UCCGCAGCCUCCUCGUAACCUUGCUCAUGAUAUCACUUGUUAGAAUAAAUUCGAGGCGCUCCGUCGAUCUACCAAGGACCAAGCAAUCACACUAGGCACGACACCGAGAUUUGUUAACGAGGUUCAUCGAUAUGGCUACAACCCCGGGGCCUGACUACGGGCGCUCCUCCCCGUGACACCGUCACAAUACCGCACAUCGGCCACCCAGGCGCCGGCACACCCCGCCGCCUCCCCUGCGUACCUGUGCUAUUAUGUUGGCAUAGGUUACAUCGUGUGUCUAUCCUUGUUAUAUAUGAGAGACCUAGGAUAGAAGUGUCCUACUAGGACACGACUCCAUACCUCGUCUACACACCGUAUGACUCGAAGUCCAACUGUAACCUAACUUGUACAAUAAUAUUCGACACAACUCUAACACUCACGGUAGCUCAGGAAGGUAGCAUUGAGGAUCUAGCUGCUUUGUACUUGGACGGGGCACCAAUAAAUCCAUGGCGGCAGCCUCGGCUGGUGGAUCAACGCUUUCUCUACAGUGACCGGUACUCGUCGAUUCCGCCGUCCUCCUCGGACGUGGGUGCGGCGAAGUGGUCAUGGUUUGUGCUUGUGCUGUGGGUCUCCUUGGGGGAGGCCGAACCCGAUCUAGAGCCGUCCAUCUUCUUCAACCUUGGCAGCCUCCACCCAAUCUUACCUUUGGUGGCCUGCGGUCACCGAAGCCGGUCAUUUAUGCACCAGAGAAAUCCAAGGCCAGUUGUGCUGACCACGACGACCCUGCUUCAUGUAGGCGUCGUCCAGGUUGUCCCCUUACCCCCUCCUCAUUCCCACUUCUCGUGUAGAAGGUGAAAACCUAGAUCUUGUCCAAAUUGGGCGGCAACAGAGCUCCGAGUGGCGUCACCCUGAUGGGGGUGCCAUCAUUGGUGCGCAUGGGGUGGAUGUGUACUUUUCUUGUUGUAUGGAGGUGGAUGGUGGCUUGGUCUUAGCUCUGUGUAAGCUCGCUCUUGUUCGUCUUCUUUUGGUGCUCUGUCCCCCUCCCCGCUCAUCCGUUUGUGUUAGGAUCUACGGUUGUUGUGGCUUCUGAUCCGGCGUGCAUCGUUCGCUAGGUUUCUGUGGGUGCAACCCAGCCAGCCCUACUUUGCAUGGACCUGCUCCUCGUGGGCGAUGUGCCCUGUUCGGUUGGGUCGGUAUCCCGGCCUCUCGGUUGAUUAAGUCAUUCCGGAAGCACUUUUUGUGUUUUGCAGAUACCAACUGAUUCUAGUUAACAAUGUAACAUGCAAAUUGAACUAUUUUCAAUCAUGUGGCUAUUCUACUGGUGUUUAGUUUUGAUUGCUUGUUAAUGUACGUUGUAGUCAUGCGUACCAUCACCCCACUACAAAGUAAGAGCAGAGAGUAGUCAAAGUUCAGUAGAGUAGCAUGUCGUUUCCUUCCCUGUUCAGUCUUAUUUAGCCUAACUUGCUUGUUUUUUUUUCUUUUUGCUGAGCUCCUCUAUACUGGUGCAUGUUCGAUGAAAAGAAUGUGUGAAGUGAGAAUCAAAUAACUUUAGCUAAGUUAACUCCGCUUUUCAGGUUAGCAUAUCAUAGCAAAGAAACCUAGACAAGAAAAAUUGAGAAAAUAGAAGUUUGUAUAGGUAAAUUACUACUCCCUCCUAUCUGUAUUAAUUGUUGCAGAUUUACUACAGAUAGGAGGGAGUAAUAGCUAAUGAUUUUCACUGUAGAAAUUCAAACCAUUUGUCAUUGUGAAGCAAACGAGUAGUUUGAGGAAGGCUCUAAAGCAAGUCUCUUGACCAAACAAGUCUCCACUGCACGAAACUGUAAUAAUCUAUGUGUCACGGGAGUGCUACUAUUCUGAAACAGAACAAUGUGGUGUGGUAAUAUCUUGUGAAGUACUCCCUCCGUACCAAAAUAUAUGAUAAUUUCCGGUUUAAAUGGAACUGCAAAACCGUCUUAUAUUUUGAUACAGAGGUAGUACUACUUUUCAAUCGUGAGGGAGGCUGGAAGUAAACAUGGUGUGGUAACAUCUUGUGAAGCACAUUUAUCUAUUUCCCUGAAUUCAAAUGUUGGUGAGGCACAAUCCUACUAGAGCAUGUACAAUGCACAUGUUUUUUCUACUGUGAGUGCUAGAGAGAAUCUUUUUUUCUUUGUUGUAUCAGAAUUUCUCGGUACUGAUUUCCUUCAUCUUUUUGCCUUCCCAUUAUACCCAACUAGUAUUACCGCCUUUUGCAUUUGAGAACAAAAAUGGUCACAUGAGUGCCUAUUGUGCAGCUAAUUUUCCAUGAAGCAUAUGUAAAGGGAUUUUCCAUUUGAGAGAAUGAGUUGUAAAAAAAUCCUCAUCGCUAGCUCUGCUCUAUUUUGAGACUCACUUGAAUGCACUUUGCUUCGCGUGUGUGUGCCCUUACAAGUUCAAAGCGCAGUGCUUGUGUAACUGCAAGUCAGGAAAGAAGGAGCAUUACAGGCUUAAUUUUGUGGCAAACAUUGAGAGUAUCAUGGCCCAUGCUUUGUCACCCAAAUAAUGUUGGAGAGUUUCUAGUCCUGCAAAAUAUCGUGCAACCUUUAAAUAUGAUGGCAAAACAUGAAACUGUAAGUAGACAUCGGGAAAGGAAACUGUUAACCUUUGGAACUAUCCACUCUCGAGAUUGGCCAGGACACCGCAUCGGCAAUGGGAUCUGGAAUUAAGAAAAGCUUUUGGACGUGAGUAUCUAAGAAAAUAGUAGUUGGAAACAACACUCUAUUUUCAGUGUCACGAGCCAAAAUAGAUUUACAGUCAGUAAAUGUUACCAUGGUAUUUUUGUUUUCCUCCAAUAUUGUGGACGAUUUGAAGUUGGAUAAAGAGAUAAACAAAUUAGUAUUCAUAUCCCACUCACUUAAUUGGGUAUCCUAAGGCAGAAGGUAUAUAUAGGACUCCCAUACAGAAUCAUGUGGUAGGUGUGAGCUAACCAUCCAGGAAACAUUGUUCACAUCAUUUGCUACACGAGAGUGCGCUACAAAAUCAUGCAUGUGGCCAUUUAACUUGUAUGUUUAGUUAUCGAUCCAUUUCCUAGGAAGUAUGGCUAUGAACAGAGUGAGUAGAAACAUUGUGUUUGAUUGGAGGAUAAUGCAACACAUGUUCACGAGAUAUAUACCUGUUGCAUCAACUGAGGAAAACAGGAUUGAGAUUAGCCUAAACUGCGGAGGAGAACCAUCAACUGAGGCCGGAAUUAUGAAUGGUAGAACAGAUUUGCCGAAACAUCCACUGCAUGUAACUGACUUUUGAAAAAAGGAAACUGCUAUAAUGUCUUCGUCUAGCGAUUCACGAAGCAAUGUUGCGCGAUCGAGGUUCAAAUUUACACAUAUGUUGAAUGUGAAAAUUGACACACAUCAUUGCUCCAAAGUUUAGACAACUGGAGAUAAGAAUGCAUCUCUCACAGAUGGUUAACUAAUUACCUACCAUGGCACCGUUUUCCUUAGCAUCUUUUGCCAUAGACAGAGUAUCCCAACUUGUACAAAAUUUGGGGGAAUGGUGAAGGAGAUAAUACACCCACAUUACAACAUAUCUGAACAAGAAAAAAACGUGAAGUUCACCAAAGCCGAUAAUAAUCAUGACACAGCCUAGUGCAUUAUUUAAAGCAAACACAUUUUUUUCCAUUUCCAUGCGGUAUUCGUCCUAUUUUCCUCCUAUAAAAAUAAUCUGAACAAGAUUAUUUGAAGCAAAACACAAUUCCCCUUUCCUGCAUCAUAAGGAGAAACAUUUCAGACACCCCAAACGGAUCAAGUGUAUUUCAGACAUCGAUGACAUACUUUUAACUAAUAACAUGAAGAUAAGAAUGCAUGCACUGUGUUCUACUCUACAGAAGACAACCCGAUAAAGUCUGUCAUGCUAGUUAGUUAAACAGUAUCCAAAUGCAUGCAAUGUGUUCUACUCUACAGAUGAUGAUACCUAAACAUACUAGAAAAAAUGGUUAAACAGGAGCUGACACCGCUGGUGCUUCACGACAAUUAAUUGAACAAACAGGUCACGGCCUGACGUUAAGUAGCUGCCAGUACAGGCAUAUAAAGCAGAGGAACAUGGCUCUCCUCUCGGGUGGCCGUCUUUGGCGGCAGCUUGCCACAGCUACGGCUAUGGCUACUUUGUGGAGCAUUACAAACAAGACAAUACUAUAAAGCCAGAAGUAAUCAUACUAUAAAUCUCAAUCACGCCUAGUCUGAUGUAACUUAAACGCUGGUUCAGGAAUAGCAGGGCACAUCACUGACCGACCCACUGACUACUGGAGGCUGUUCUGUAAAGAAACGGGGCUAUAGAAGCAUGUUAGCUAAUCUAGUCGCUGUAGUUUUUCUUCAGUUAGUUUGCUUUCGUCAGACAUAACGUAGCCAGGCGCAUGAGCUCGCGAGUCGUUGUGCGAGCCACGCGCGUAGGCGAUCUGGGUACGAUCGAUGCCCGAUCGAUCGGGGUGGUCAGCCACGAAACCCACUCGUGGGAUGGCACGAGAAUUCGGGAUCAUGGCGCUAGGACCGGGCCACUCUUUCUCUCUGUAACAGAAUAAGUAGAGGAGAUCAAAAACAGAAAAGUCACAAGGUUGUCCGUGACGCAAAAACUCCUGUCUCUCCUCUCAGUGAUCGCAAGCUGUGAGAGAUCGAGCAACCCUGACAAUUGGCAUCAAAGCCGGUUUAAGGUGAUCCCGACGCCCAUGGCUGACACCGGAGCUCAGCCGGACCAGGCGGCGGCGGCACCCCGCAACGGUGGCGGGGGUGGGAGCCGCUCGCGCACUCCACCACAGGAGCGCAGCCGCGGACGGAGCCACGUGAGAAGGGAGUGGCGGGUGGUGAUCCACCAGGCGGUGGCCAUGGAGCGCGCGCCGCUUGUGCCAAGCGCGGGCACCAUGUUCCCGACGCUCACAUCCACGAACUACAUCGAGUGGUCUCUCGUGAUGAAGGUGCACCUGGAGUCUUGGGGGCUCUGGGACGCGAUCGAGGGUAACGCACUGCAUGUGCGUGACGACAAGACGGCGCUCGGCGUCCUGUUCCGAGUCGUCCCCCUAGAGAUGCUUGGCGUCCUCGUCGUCAACGAGACGGCGAAGGAGGCCUGGGACACGAUCAAGGUCAUGCGCAUGGGGAUGCACCGUGUGCGCGAGGCCACCACGCAACGCCUGCGCGCGGAGUUCGAGCAGAUCACCUUCCGCGACGGCGAAACUCUCGACUCCUUCGGCAUGAGGAUCACCGCCCUCGUCAACCAGCUGCGCACGCUGGAGGACAACGUCGAAGAGGUACGCAUGAUCCCGAAGAUGCUCCGUGUCGUCCCCGCCCGCUAUGCCCAGAUCGCAGUCGCGAUAGAGCCCCUCCUUGAUCUGACCACGAUCUCGGUCGAGGAGCUGAUCGGUUGACUGCGCACCGCUGAGGAGCGCUGCGGUGGCGGGGCGGCUCAAGCCAGCGGCGGCGGUCGGCUGCUCAUGUCGGAGCAGCAGUGGGAUGCCUGGCGCCGCGAGCGCGAGCAGGGCCAGGGGUCCAGCUCAAACGGCGCCGGCAACGGGAACCGCAACGGGGGCGGCGGCAAUCUCCGCCGUGGCAAGCCGCAGAACCAGAAGUGCGGCAACGACACUCAAAGCCAAGGCGGCGGCAACGGCCGCGACAGCGCCGGCAACGGUGGGCGCGACAUGUCUAAGGUGAAGUGCUACAAUUUUCUCAGCGCUGGACACUGGUGUGCGCGGCGCCGUGAAACUCGGCGACGGCUCGGUGGUUCAGAUCGAGGGGAGAGGAACGAUCCUCUUCCAAUGCGGCAACUGUGAGCUCAUGGUCCUGUCUGAUGUGUAUUACAUCCCAAAACUUUGCAGCAACAUCGUCAGCAUCGGACAGUUGGACGAAAUCGCCUACGAGACCAAUAUUAGUCACGGGGUGCUCCAGCUCCGUGAUCCCAGUGGGCAGACUCCUCGCGCGAGUGCAACGUAACCAGGGGAGGCUGUACGUGCUGCAGCUCACGCCGGCCCAGCCAGUGUGCUUCGCGGCGCAUGCUGGCGAGGAUGCAUGGUGCUGGCAUGCGUGCUACGGCCACGUGGACUUCCGGGCUUUACGUCAACUCGCCCGGGACGAACUGGUGCACGACCUCCCGCUAUUUGACGAGGCGGAUCGUGUCUGCGAGGCGUGCCUCGCCGGCAAGCAGCGUCGAGCACCCUUUCCUUAGCAGGCUCUCAGCAGAGCCGACGAGGUGCUGGAGCUCGUGCACACGGACCUCUGUGGUCCAAUCUCCCCUCCAACGCCAGGAGGGAAGCGUUACUUCCUGUUGCUGGUUGAUGACAAGAGCAGGCACAUGUUGGUGUACCUGCUCGCGACAAGGACGAGGCGCAGCCCGCUCUGAAGCGCUUCCAGGCGAUGGCGGAUCUCGAUUUCGGGCGGCAGCUCAAGUUGCUGCGCACGGACCGCGGCGGGGAAUUCACCUCUGCCAGCCUCGGCGAGUACUACGCCGACAAGGAGGUCAAGCGCCAGCUCACGACGCCCUACACGCCCCAGCAGAACGGCGUGGUCGAGUGCCGAAAUUAGACGAUCGUGGGCAUGGCGCGCAGCCUGUAGAAGACAAAGGGUGUGCCGGCGCAGUUCUGGGGGGAGGCCGUGAUGACGGCGGUCUACCUCCUGAACAGGUCUACGACCAAGAGCGUGGCGGGGUCGAUUCCGCACGAGGCCUGGUGCAGGCGGCGCCCAAACGUUGAACACCCGCGCGUGUUCGGAGCGUCGCGCAUGUCAAAGUGACGCGUCCGAAUCUGUCGAAACUCGACGACGGGAGCACGCCCAUGGUAUCCUGGGCUACGAGCCAGGAUCGGCGGCUUACCGCGUCUACCACCCGCCGUCGAACCGUGUUCUGGCCUCCAGGGAUGUCGUGUUCGACGACGAAGCAGCGUGGGACUGGUCUCAGGUCGCGGCGACAAACAAGGAGCCGUGCUACCUCUUGAGCAUGCAUUGGUUUUCCCUUAAAGAGGAAAGGGUGAUGUAGCAAAGUAGCGUAAGUAUUUCCCUCAGUUUUUGAGAACCAAGGUAUCAAUCCUGUAGGAGACUACAUGCAAAUCGCCUAGUACCUGCACGAACAAUCAAGAACCUUGCAACCAGCACGAUAAAGGGGUUGUCAAUCCCUUCACGGUCACUUGCAAAAGUGAGAUCUGAUAAAGAUAAUAAGAUAAUAUUUUUGGUAUUUUUGUUGUAUAGAUUGGAAAAGUAAAGAUUGCAAAAUAAACGGCGACAGAAAUUGGCAAGUUGACGGGAGAUUAAUAUGAUGUAAAAUAGACCCGGGGGCCAUAGGUUUCACUAGAGGCUUCUCACAUGAUAGCAUAUCUUACGGUGGGUGAACAAAUUACUGUCGAGCAAUUGAUAGAAAAGCGUAUAGUUAUGAGAAUAUCUAGGGAUGAUCAUGAACGUAGGCAUCACGUCUGUGUCAAGUAGACCGAAACGAUUCUACAUCUACUACUAUUACUCCACACAUCGACCGCUAUCCAGCAUGCAUCUAGAGUAUUAAGUUCAUAAGAACACAGUAACGCAUUAGGCAAGAUGAUAUGAUGUAGAGGGAUAAACUCAAGCAAUAUGAUAUAAACCCCAUCUUUUUAUCCUUGAUGGCAAUAAUACAAUACGUGUCGGUUCCCUUUCUGUCACUGGGAUCGAGCACCGCAAGAUUGAACCCAAAGCUAAGCACUUCUCCCAUUGCAAGAAAGAUCAAUCUAGUAGGCCAAACCAAACUGAUAAUUCGAAGAGACUUGCAAAGAUAUUAAAUCAUGCAUAUAAGAACUCAGACAAGAAUCAAAUAUUGUUCAUAGACAAACUUGAUCAUAAACCCACAAUUCAUCGGAUCUCGACAAACACACCGCAAAAUGUAUUACAUCGAAUAGGUCUCCAAGAGAAUCGAGGAGAACUUUGUAUUGAGAUCCAAAGAGAGAGAAGAAGCCAUGUAGCUAAUAACUAUAGACCCGUAGGUCUGUGGUAAACUACUCACACAUUAUCGGAGAGGCUACGGUGUUGAUGUAGAAGCCCUCCAUGAUCGAUUCCCCCUCCGGCAGAGCGCCGGAAAAGGCCCCAAGAUGGGAUCUCACGGGUACAGAAGGUUGCGGCAGUGGAAAAAGUGUUUCGUGGCUCCCCUGGAUGUUUUCAGGGUAUAAGAGUAUAUAUAGGCGAAAGAAGUAGGUCGGUGGAGCUGCGACGGGCCCACGAGGGUGGGGGCGCGCCUCCCUGCCUCGUGGCUUCCUCGCUGCUUCCUUGACUUCCACUCCAAGUCUCCUGGAUUGCGUUUGUUCCAAAAAUGAUCCUCGCGAAGGUUUCAUUCCGUUUGAUAUUCCUUUUCUGCGAAACACUGAAAUAGGCAAAAAAAUAUCAAUUUGCACUGGGCCUUCGGUUAAUAGGUUAGUCUCGAAAAUAAUAUAAAAGAGCAUAUUAAAGCCCAUUAAACAUCCAAAACAGAUAAUAUAAUAGCAUAGAACAAUCAAAAAUUAUAGAUACGUUGGAGAUGUAUCAAGCAUCCCCAAGCUUAAUUCCUGCUCGUCCUCGAGUAGGUAAAUGAUAAAAACAGAAUUUUUGAUGUGGAAUGCUACCCAACAUAAUUUUCAAUGUAAUUUUCUUUAUUGUGGCAUGAAUGUUCAGAUCCGAAAGAUUCAAGAUAAAAGUUUAAUAUUGACAUAAAAAUAAUAAUACUUCAAGCAUACUAUUUAAGCAAUUAUGUCUUUUCAAAAUAACGUGGCCAAAGAAAGCUCAUCCCUACAAAAUCAUAUAGUUUGGCUAUGCUCCAUUUUCGUCACACAAGAAUGCUCUCAUCAUGCACAACCCCGAUGACAAGCCAAGUAAUUGUUUCAUACUUUAGUAUUCUCAAACUUUUUCAACUUUCAUGCAAUACAUGAGCGUGAGCCAUGGACAUUGCACUAUGGGUGGAAUGGAAUAUGAUAAUGGGGGUUGUGUGGAGAAGACAAAAAAGGAGAAAGUCUCACAUUGACGCGGCUAACCAACGGGCUAUGGAGAUGCCCAUCAAUUGAUGUCAAUGCAAGGAGUAGGGAUUGCCAUGCAAUGGAUGCACUAGAGCUAUAAAUGUAUGAAAGCUCAACAAAAUAAACUAAGUGGGUGUGCAUCCAACUUGCUUGCUCACGAAGACCUAGGGCAUUUGAGGAAGCCCAUCGUUGGAAUAUACAAGCCAAGUUCUAUAAUGAAAAAUUCCCACUAGUAUAUGAAAGUGACAAAAUAAGAGACUCUCUAUCAUGAAGAUCAUGGUGCUACUUUGAAGCACAAGUGUGGAAAAAGCAUAGUUGCAUUGUCCCUUCUUUUAUUUUCUUUUUUAUAUAUUUUUUUGGGCCUUCCUUUUUUUAUCUGGCCUUUCCCUUUUUUUAUUUGGCCUUUUUUUUCAUGGGACAAUGCUCUAUAAAUGAUGAUCAUCACACUUCUAUUUAUUUACAACUCACUGAUUACAACUCGAUACUAGAACAAAAUAUGACUCUAUAUGAAUGCCUCCGCCGGUGUACCGGGAUGGGCAAUGCAUCAAGAGUGACAUGUAUAAAAAAUUAUGCAAGGUGGAUUUGCCACAAAUACGAUGUCAACUACAUGAUCAUGCAAGGCAGUAUGACAAUGAUGAAGCGUGUCAUAAUAAACGGAACGGUGAAAAGUUGCAUGGCAAUAUAUCUCGAAAUGGCUAUGGAAAUGCCAUAAUAGGUAGGUAUGGUGGCUGAUUUGAGGAAGAUAUAAGGGGGGUUUAUGUGUGAUAGAGCGUAUCAUAUCACGGGGUUUGGAUGCACCGGCGAAGUUUGGACCAACUCUCGAGGUGAGAAAGGGCAAUGCACGGUACCGAAGAGGCUAGCAAUGAUGGAAAGGUGAGAGUGCUUAUAAUCCAUGGACUCAACAUUAGUCAUAAAGAACUCACAUACUUAUUGCAAAAAUCUACAAGUCAUCAGAAAACAAAGCACUACGCGCAUGCUCCUAGGGGGAUAGAUUGUUAGGAAAAGACCAUCGCUCGUCCCCGACCGCCACUCAUAAGGAUGACAAUCAAAGAACACCUCAUGUUUCAAAUUUGUUACACAACGGUUACAAUACGUGCAUGCUACGGGACUUGCAAACUUCAACACAAGUAUUUCUCAAAUUCACAAUUACUCAACUAGCAAGAAAGAUGAAUCUAGUAGGCCAAAGCAAACUGAUAAUUCGAAGAGACUUGCAAAGAUAUUAAAUCAUGUAUAUAAGAAUUCAGAGAAGAAUAAAAUAUUGUUCAUAGAUAAUCUUGAUCAUAAACCCACAAUUCAUCGGAUCUCGACAAACACACCGCAAAAAGUAUUACAUCGAAUAGAUCUCCAAGAGAAUCGAGGAGAACUUUGUAUUGAGAUCCAAAGAGAGAGAAGAAGCCAUCUAGACAAUAACUAUGGACCCGAAGGUCUGUGGUAAACUACUCACACAUCAUCGGAGAGGCUAUGGUGUUGAUGUAGAAGCCAUCCGUGAUCGAUUCCCCCUCCGACGGAGCGCCGAAAAGGCCCCAAGAUGGGAUCUCACGGGUACAGAAGGUUGCGGCGGUGGAAAAAGUGUUUCAUGGCUCCCUUGGAUGUUUUCAGGGUAUAAGAGUUUAUAUAGGUGAAAGAAGUAGGUCGGUGGAGCUGCGAGGGGCGUGCCUACCCCCUGGGGCGCGCCUCCCUGCCUCGUGGCUUCCUCGUUGCUUCCUUGACUUCCACUCCAAGUCUCCUGGAUUGUGUUUGUUCCAAAAACGAUCCUCGCGAAGGUUUCAUUCCGUUUGAUAUUCCUUUUCUGCGAAACACUGAAAUAGGCAAAAAAAAUAGCAAUUUGCACUGGGCCUUCGGUUAAUAGGUUAGUCCAAAAAUAAUAUAAAAGACCAUAUUAAAGCCCAUUCAACAUCCAAAACAGAUAAUAUAAUAGCAUGGAAGAAUCAAAAAAUUAUAGAUACGUUGGAGACGUAUCAAGCCGCAGUGGGACACCUUCUCCAUCGAUCUCGAACCGGUGCCCGCCAAGGUGGUCGGCGGCACCCCAUGCAGCGCAACAUCCCCUGAGGCGUCGAGCUCUCCUACCAUGCCGACAUCGACGCACACGAGUGCGGCCAGGACACGGCCCGCGAUGCUGAUCUGUGCCACACCAAGCCCAGACCGCUCUGGCAUGCAAUUCAUGUCUCCACUGCCGGGGGCGUCAGUGCCGCCGCCCGACAAGGAGGCUCCGCGGCGGUACCGCACCUUGGAGAAUCUGUGAGACACCACUGAAGAAGGGACAAGUGAUAACAGUCAGUACAGUUACCUGUGUCUCUUCGCAGGGGAGGAGCCGACCUCCUUCAAUGAGGCGCAGAAGGAGGGAGGAUGGAGAAACGCCAUGAACGAGGAGAUGCAGAGCAUCAUCGACAACGACACGUGGGAGCUGUGCGAGCUCCCUCCCGGGCACCGAGCGAUAGGCCUCAAGUGGGUCUACAAGCUCAAGAAGGACGCCCACGGCACGAUGGUGAAGCACAAGGCGCGGCUGGUGGCAAAAGGCUACGUCCAAGUCCAAGGAGUGGACUUCAAGGACGUGUUCGCUCCGGUGGCACGCAUGGAAUCGGUGCGCGUGCUGGUCGCGCUCGCCGCGCACCACGUGUGGCCAAUUCAUCACAUGGACGUCAAGUCCGCCUUCUUGAACGGGGACCGGCAGGAGGAGGUCUACGUUGUUCAGCCACCCGGGUACGUUGAGCUCGGCGACGAGGGGAAGGUGCUGCGUUUAUGCAAGGCACUGUAUGGGCUACGCCAAGCCCUGAGAGCUUGGAACGCCAAGCUGGACGAAAGCUUGCGUUCUCUGGGCUUUGAGCGUUGCCCCUCGGAGCACGCAGUCUACCGACGCGGGGAGGGCGACAAGCUCCGGCUCAUCGGUGUGUACGUCGACGACCUUGUCAUUACAGGGGCGGACAAGACGGAGAUCGACGCAUUCAAGUGUCAGAUGACCACGCUCUUCCGCAUGAGCGACCUCGCCGAGCUCAGCUACUACCUGGGCAUUGAGGUGCGCCAGGAGCGCGACCGCAUCACACUCUACCAAGCGGCCUACGCAAAAAGCUGCUGGAGCGUGCUGGGCUCAAAGAGUGCAACACCGGCAACGUGCCGAUAGAAGCUCGACUGAAAUUGAGCAGGGACAGCAAGGAGAGGCCGGUGGACAGCACUGAGUACCGCAGCAUCAUUGGAGGGUCGCGCUACCUCGUGCACAUGAGGCCGGACAUCUCCUUCACCGUCGGCUACCUGAGCCGUUUCAUGGAGGCACCGACUUCAGAUCACUACGCGGCUGUGAAGCGUCUGCUAAGGUAUGUAGCAGGCACUCUGGACCACGGUUGUGCCUAUGUCCGGGGGAAGGGCACGCCGGAGCUGGUGGGGUACAGCGACGCGGAUCACGCCGGUGACAUCAACGACAGGCGGAGCACGACGGGAGUGCUCUACUUCCUCGGCACGGCGGCAGCCCAGUGAGUUGGCAGUCGCAGAAGCAAAGGGUGGUGGCACUCUCCUCAUGUGAGGCGGAGUACGUGGCUGCCACCACCACCGCUUGCCAAGGGAUUUGGCUGGCUGGGCUGAUCGGAGAGAUGCUGAACAUCGACGUCUGGCCACCACGACUUCUGGUCGAUAACAAGUCAGCAAUGUGUCUCCAAGAACCCCAUCUUCCAUGAUCGAAGCAAGCACAUUGAGAUACGAUACCACUUCAUUCGUGAUUGUGUGGAAGAAGGGCGGAUCGACAUCGACUACAUCUGCACCAACGAUCAUCUUGCUGACGUCCUCACCAAGGCACUUGGACGACUCAAGUUUCUGGAGCUUAGGGGGAGGAUCGGCAUGACAGAAAUAAUUCGGCGGCGAUGAGCUUAGAGGGAGAUUUGUUAGCUAAUCUAGUUGAUGUAGUUUUCCUUCAGUUAGUUUGCUUUCGUCAGACAUAACGUAGUCAGGCGCAUGAGCUCGCGAGUCAUGCGAGCUGCGCGCGUAGGCGAUCUGGGCAUGAUCGAUGCCCGAUCGAUCAGGGUGGUCAGCCACGAAACCCACUUGUGGGAUGGCACGAGAAUUCGGGAUCAUGGCGCUAGGACCGGGGCACUCUUUCUCUCUGUAACAGAAUAAGUAGAGGAGAUCAAAAACAGAAAAGUCGCAAGGUUGUAGGUGACGCAAAAACUCAUGUCUCUCCUCUUUGUGAUCGCGAGCUGUGAGAGAUCGAGCAACCCUGACAAAGCACAUGACGCCUAUAGUCCAUUGUUAAUUCCUCUCUGUACCUAAUCUUGUUAAUUUCCCACACCAAAGAUGCUAAUCAACUGGCAUUCUAAAACUCUCCUAACAAGUAACAACAGCCGCGCCUAUGGACGAUCGAUCCCACCAGUGGCAACCAAUGGAGGUGCCAACGGUGGUGAUGCAACUUGUUUCCAUGUACAACAACUACGGCAAUCCGUCCUCUCCUACCUGCAUUGUCCUCGAAGGAAUGGAAGCGGACGAGAGAGAGCGUCGACCUGACUUAUAACAUUUUUCUUUCAGCAAUCUCUACAAAAAAUCAUGCCUCUCUUGACUUGGGGUCAAUAGCUCCUGUGCGACAUCUUUCGUGGGAAUUGGACAGAGUGCGACAUUGUUGACGAAAAUGGCUUUGGGGCGACACUUUUGAGCGACAAAAUAGCCCAGACACGACAUGGCCCUUAAACUGAUCUGAUGCCCUCAUUAGCUGUUAUGGGCUGGACCCACAACUUAUCCACGUAAGCGCGGGACCCACCAUUUGUCCAGUAAGCGCGGGACCCACAACUUAUCCACGUCAGCAUGGGACCCACCACUUGUCCAGUAUGCGCGGGACCCACCUCUUUGCAGCUAGAAGAGAUGACUGAUGACCCACAAGUGUAGGAGAUCUAUCGUAGUCCUUUCGAUAAGUAAGAGUGUCGAACCCAACGAGGAGCAGAAGGAAAUGACAAGCGGUUUUCAAUAAGGUAUUCUCUGCAAGCACUGAAAUUAUAGGUAACAGAUAGUUUUGUGAUAAGAUAAUUUGUAACGGGUAACAAGUAAUGAAAGUAAAUAAGGUGCAGCAAUGUGGCCCAAUCCUUUUUGUAGCAAAGAACAAGCCUGGACAAACUCUUAUAUAGAUAAAAGCGCUCCCGAGGACACAUGAGAAUUAUUGUCAAGCUAGUUUUCAUCACGUUCAUAUGAUUCGCGUUCGGUACUUUGAUAAUUUGAUAUGUGGGUGGACCGGUGCUUGGGUGCUGUCCUUACUUGGACAAGCAUCCCACUUAUGAUUAACUCCCAUUGCAAGCAUCCGCAACUACAAAAGAAGUAUUAAGGUAAACCUAACCAUAGCAUGAAACAUAUGGAUCCAAAUCAGCCCCUUACGAAGCAACGCAUAAACUAGGGUUUAAGAUUCUGUCACUCUAGCAACCCAUCAUCUACCUAUUACUUCCCAAUGCCUUCCUCUAGGCCCAAACAAUGGUGAAGUGUCAUGUAGUCGACGUUCACAUGACACCACUAGAGGUGAGACAACAUACAUCUCAUCAAUAUAUCGAACGAAUACCAAAUUCACAUGACUACUAAUAGCAAGACUUCUCCCAUGUCCUCAGGAACAAACGUAACUACUCACAAAGCAUAUUCAUGUUCAUAAUCAGAGGGGUAUUAAUAUGCAUAAUGGAUCUGAACAUAUGAUCUUCCACCAAGUAAACCAACUAGCAUCAACUACAAGGAGUAAUCAACACUACUAGCAACCUACAGGUACCAAUCCCAGGCUAUGAGACAAAGAUUGGAUACAAGAGAUAAACUAGGGUUUGAGAGGAGAUGGUGCUGGUGAAGAUGUUGAUGGAGAUUGGGCCCCUCCCGAUGAGAGGAGUGUUGGUGAUGACGAUGGCGAUGAUUUCCCCCUCCCGGAGGGAAGUGUCCCCGGCAGAACAGCUCUGCAAGAGCCCUAGAUUGGUUCCGCCAAGGUUCCGCCUCGUGGCGUCGGAGUCUCAUCCCGAAAGCUUGCUUAUGAUUUUUUCUCAGAUGAAAGACUUCAUAUAGCAUAAGAUGGGCACCGGAGGGCCACCAGAGGGCCCACGAGGUAGGGGGCGCGCCCCCACCCUCGUGGCCAGGGUGUGGGCCCCCUCUGGUAUUUUCUUCGCUCAGUAUUUUUUAUUAUUUCCAAAAAUAACUUCCGUGGAGUUUAAGGACUUUUGGAGUUGUGCAGAAUAGGUCUCUAAUAUUUGCUCCUUUUCCAGCCCAGAAUUCCAGCUGCCUGCAUUCUCCCUCUUUAUGUAAACCUUGUAAAAUAAGAGAGAAUAAGCAUAAGUAUUGUGACAUAAUGUGUAAUAACAGCCCAUAAUGCAAUAAAUAUCGAUAUAAAAGCAUGAUGCAAAAUGGACAUAUCAACUACCCCAAGCUUAGACCUCACUUGUUCUCAAGCGGAAGCCGAUAAUGAUAAAUAUGUCCACAUGUUUAGAGGUAGAGGUGUCGAUAAAAUAAAAUACGGACAUGAGGGCAUCAUGAUCAUUCUUAUAACAGUAACAUAUAUGGAUAUUGUCAUAUUAUUUCUUAUGAUAAAGUAACAAUCUAUCCACAAUGUCAAGUGUGAAUCAGAAACUUCAUUGAGAACUAACAAACGAUAAUCUCAGUCAUUGAGGCAAUUGCAAUUUAUCAUAACAUCAUAAAGAGUCUAUGUAAGAGCUUUUCAGCAAGUCCACAUACUCAACUAUCAUUUAGUCUUUCACAACACUCACGCAAUACUUGUGGUUAGGGAGUUUUAAUCGGACACAGAGAAAGAUAGGGGCUUAUAGUUUCGCCUCCCAACCUUUUACCUCAAGGGUAAUGUCAACAAUAAUAGUUCAUUCUAAUUUGCAUCCAAUUAUAUAUAUAUAUAUAUAUAUAUAUAUAUAUAUAUAUCAGGAUCUUUCCAACACAAGGUGCUUGCCAAAGGAUAUAAAAUGUAAAAAGGAAAGGUGAAGAUCACCAUGACUCUUGCAUAAGGUAGAAAAUAAAAGUAAAAGAUAGGCCCUUCGCAGAGGGAAGCAGAGGUUGUCAUGCGCUUUCAGGGUUGGAUGCACAAAAUCUUAAUGCGAAAGAACGUCACUUUAUAUUGCCACAUGUGAUAUGGACCUUUAUUAUGCAGUCCGUCGCUUUUAUUUCUUCCACAUCACAAGAUCGUAUAAAGCUUAUUUUCUCCCACACUAAUAAGUCAUACAUAUUUAGAGAGCAAUUUUUAUUGCUUGCACCGAUCACAACUUACUUGAAGGAUCUUACUCAAUCCAUAGGUAGAUAUGGUGGACUCUCAUGGCAAAACUGGUUUUAAGGGUAUUUGGAAGCACAAGUAGUAUUUCUACUUGGUGCAAAAAAUUGGCUAGCAUGAGGGAGAAAGGCAAACUCAACAUGUUGGAUGAUCCAUGACAAUAUACUUUAUCUCAGAUAUAAGAAAACAUGACCCAUUAUGUUGUCUUCCUUGUCCAACAUCAACUCUUUAGCAUGUCAUAUUUUAAUGAGUGCUCACAAUCAUAAAAGAUGUCCAAUAUAGUAUAUUUAUAUGUGAAACCUCUCUUUCUUUAUUACUUCCUAUUAAUUGCAACGAUGACCAAAACUAUGUUUGUCAACUCUCAACAACUUUUAAUCAUCAUACUCUUUCUAUGUGAAGUCAUUACUCUCCAUAAAAUCAAUAUGAUCUCUUUUUAUUCUUUCUUUUUCUUUUAUUCACUCAUAAUCAUAGCAAGAUAAUCAAGCCCUUGACCCAACACUAAUCUCUAUUAUAUAGCUCACGGACUUGAUUACAUAGAGGGAUCAUAAAGCAAAACUCAAAACUAAAUCAUAUUAAAACUUUAUUCUACUAGAUCAAGAUAUUACCAAAAGGAUCGAACUAAGAAAAACGGUAAAGAUAGGAGUGUGAUGGUGAUACAAUACCGGGGCACCUCCCCCAAGCUUGGCAGUUGCCAAGGGGAGUGCCCAUACCCAUGUGAUUAUAUCUCCUUUGCUGGCGAAGGUGAUGGUGGAGUUGUUGAUGAUGUGGGCUUGUCGUCCAUCGAGCGUAAGAGGUCCUCCAACUUGCAGAUAAUGCCCUUGAGUGCGAUUUUAUAUGCUCCCUCAACAAAAUAUUUUCACAUGUGAGAUACUUCUUUUUUAUACGAGCUAACUCAAUCAUCUUGAAAGCUUCGAUCUCAGUUGGGGUAAGAAGAUUGUGAUCAAGUUGAAGGAUGUCUUCUGCUGCCGGAGCUUGGUCCUCUGUGGCCUUAUUGAUCCCUUCAUCUUUGUUGAUCUCCAUGGGUUCUUCCCUCUUCAGCUCUAUCUUCAUUAGCCAAGCAUCGUUGUCACCAUUGUUGGAGGAGGAGGACGACAUGAUGCCUGGCCUAGACAACCCUGACAGAAAAUAAUGCAACUCGAAACAAGAACAGAGGAUAAUUGCGUGAUACGGGAGUCAAAAUCUUCGGGAGUUUAUAUAAUGAAUUUUUACCGACCGAAAGAAGUAUCGUGCAAGAAAACGGAGUCCGGAGAGCACACGAGGUGCCCACGAGGCAGGGGGACGCGCCCAGGGGGUAGGGCGCGCCUCCCACCCUCGUGGAAGCCUCGUUUCCUUCCCGGACUGCUUCUUAUUUUCCUAUUUUUCUAAAUAUUCCAAAACAGAGAAAGUUUGCAAUUAGAACUGUUCUGUAGUCGGUUUACUUACCGUACCACAUACCUAUAACUUUUCGGGGUCUGAAACGUUCUAGAAAGUGUCUCUUAUGUAUUCCUCCGGUGUUACGGUUUCAACAACAUUAGUUUCAACAUUUAUAGGGUUACCUGAGAUAUAAUGUUUGAUUCUUUGACCGUUCACCACCUUCGGACUUGUGCCUUCAAAGUUGUUGAUUUUUAUGGCACCGGAACGAUAGACCUCCUCGAUAACGUAAGGACCUUCCCAUUUAGAGAGAAGUUUUCCAGCAAAAGAUCUUAAACGAGAGUUGUAUAACAAUACAUAAUCACCUACAUUAAACUCAUGCUUUUGUAUCCUUUUUUCAUGCCAUCUUUUAACUUUUUCCUUAAACAAUUUGGCAUUCUCAUAGGCUUGGGUUCUCCGUUCAUCAAGUGAGCUAAUGUCAAAUAACCUCUUCUCACCAGCAAGUUUAAAAUCAUAAUUGAGCUCUUUAAUGGCCUAGUAUGCCUUAUGUUCUAGUUCGAGAGGUAAAUGACAUGCUUUUCCAUAAACCAUUUUAUACGGAGACAUACCCAUAGGAUUUUUAUAUGCAGUUCUAUAGGCCCAUAAUGCAUCAUCAAGUUUCUUGGACCAAAUCUUUCUAGAUCUAUUAACAGUCUUUUGCAAAAUUAAUUUGAGCUCUCUAUUACUCAAUUCUGCUUGACAACUAGACUGUGGGUGAUUAGGGGAUGCAAUUCUAUGAUUAACAUCAUACUUAGCACGCAUUUUACGAAAAGCACCAUGAAUAAAAUGUGAACCACCAUCGGUCAUUAAAUAUCUGGGGACUCCAAACCUGGGAAAAAUAACUUCUUUAAGCAUCUUAAUAGAGGUGUUAUGAUCAGCACUACUAGUCGGAAUAGCUUCUACCCACUUAUUAACGUAAUCAACAACAACUAAAAUAUGUGUAUACCCAUUAGAGGAAGGAAAAGGUCCCAUAUAAUCAAAGCCCCAAACGUCAAAUGGUUCAAUAACAAGUGAAUAAUUCAUAGGCAUUUCUUGACGUCUACUAAUGUUACCAAUUCUUUGACAUUCAUCACAAGAUAAGACAAACUUACGAGCAUCCUUGAAGAGAGUAGGCCAAUAAAAACCGGAUUGCAAUAACUUAUGUGCAGUUCUAUCUCCAGCGUGGUGCCCUCCAUAAGCCUCGGAGUGACACUUGCGUAGGAUCUGUUCCUGUUAAUGCUCAGGUACACAACGCCUAAUAACACCAUCUACUCCUUCUUUAUAAAGAUGUGGGUCAUCCCAGAAGUAAUGUCUUAAAUCAUAGAAAAACUUUUUCUUUUGCUGGUAUGUGAAACUAGGUGGUAUAAAUUUAGCAACAAUGUAAUUAGCAUAAUCAGCAUACCAUGGAGCAGUACGAGAAGCAUUUAUAACAUUUAAUUGUUCAUCAGGAAAGCUAUCAUCAAUAGGUAGUGGGUCAUCAAGAACAUUUUCUAACCUAGACAAGUUAUCUGCAACAGGGUUCUCAGCUCCCUUUCUAUCAAUAAUAUGUAAAUCAAAUUCUUUUCGCAAGAGAACCCAUCUAAUAAAUCUAGGUUUAGCAUCUUUCUUUUCCAUAAGAUAUUUAAUAGCAGCAUGAUCAGUGUGAAUAGUUACUUUAGAAUCAACAAUAUAAGGUCUGAACUUAUCACAAGCAAAUACAACUGCUAAAAAUUACUUUUCAGUAGUGGCAUAAUUUCUCUGGGCAUUGUCUAGAGUUUUACUAGCAUAUUGAAUAACAUUUAAUUUCUUAUCAACUCUUUGCCCUAGAACAGCACCUACAGCAUAAUUGCUAGCAUCACACAUAAUUUCAAAAGGUAAAUUCCAAUCAGGUGGCUGAACAAUAGGUGCAGAAAUCAAUGCUUUCUUAAGUAUUUCAAAUGCUUCUACACAAUCAUCAUCAAAAACGAAAGGUAUAUCUUUUUGUAAGAGAUUAGUCAGAGGCCGAGAAAUUUUUUAGAAGUCCUUAAUGAACCUCCUAUAAAAACUAGCAUGACCAAGGAAACUUCUUAUACCUUUGAUGUCCUUGGGACAUGGCAUCUUUUCAAUAGCAUCAACUUUAGCUUUAUCAACUUCACUACCUCUUUUAGAAAUUUUAUGCCCCAAGAAAAUACCUUCAUUAACCAUAAAGUGGCACUUCUCCCAAUUCAAGACAAGGUUAGUUUCUUCACAUCUCUGCAAAACUCGAUCAAGGUUGCUCAAGCAAUCAUCAAAAGAGGAUCCAUAAACGGAGAAAUUGUCCAUGAAAACCUCACAUAUCUUUUCACAAAAGUCAGAAAAUAUAGCAAUCAUGCAUCUUUGAAAGGUAGCAGGUGCUUUACAUAAACCAAAAGGCAUACGUCUAUAAGCAAAAGUACCGAAAGGGCAAGUAAAAGUGGUAUUUGCUUGAUCAUCAGCUGACACAGGUAUUUCAGAGACACCAGAGUAACCAUCUAGAAAGCAAAAAUGUGUAUGUUUGGAUAAUCUUUCUAGCAUUUGAUCAAUAAAAGGUAAGGGGUAAUGAUCUUUUUAGUAGCCUUAUUUAAUUUGCGGAAAUCAAUUACCAUCCUAUAACCUGUAAUAAUUCUUUGCGGAAUCAAUUCAUCUUUAUCAUUGGGAACGACAGUAAUACCUCCCUUCUUAGGGACACAAUGGACAGGACUUACCCACUGACUAUCAGCAACGGGAUAAAUUAUACCUGCCUCAAGGGGCUUUAGUAUUUCCUUUCUUACCACUUCCUUCAUCUUAGGAUUCAGACGUCGUUGAUGAUCAAUAACUGGUUUGGCAUCUUUCUCCAAAUUUAUUUUGUGUUGGCAUAGAGUGGGACUAAUGCCAUUAAGAUCAUCAAGAGUAUAUCCAAUAGCAGCACGGUGCUUCUUCAGAGUUUUCAGUAAUUUUUCUUCCUCCUUCUCUGAAAGGUUAGCACUAAUAAUAACAGGAUAUAUCUUCUUUUCAUCAAGAUAAGCAUAUUUAAGAGUAUCAGGCAACGGUUUAAGCUCAAACACGGGAUCACCCUUGGGUGGAGGAGGACCCCCUAGGAUUUCAACAGGAAAAUUGUGUUUCAUAAUAGGUCCAUGUUUAAAGAAUACUUCAUCUAUUUCCCUUCUUUCAUUCAUAAACAUAUCAUUCUCAUGGUCUAGCCAAUAUUGUUCUAAAGGAUCACUAGGAGGCACGGCAAUAGAAGCAAGACCAAUAAUUUCAUCCUUACUAGGCAAUUCCUCAUCACGCGAGGUUGUCUACGAAAUUUAGAGAAAUUAAACACAUGAGACAUAUCAUCCAAACCAAUAGUAACAACAUCCUUUUCGCAGUCUAUCUUAGCAUUAACAGUGUUCAAGAAGGGUCUACCAAAUAUAAUGGGACAAAAGCUAUCUUGUGGGGAACCAAGAACAAGAAAAUCAGCAGGAUAUUUAGCCUUCCCACACAAGACCUCAACAUCUCUAACAAUCCCAAUUGGUAAAAUAGUAUCUCUAUUGGCAACCUUAAUGGUAACAUCGAUAUCUUCUAUCUCAGCCGGUGCAAUAUCAUGCAUAAUUUCUUUGUAUAAGUAAAUAGGUAUUGCACUAGCACUAGCACCCAUAUCACACAAGCCAUGAUAACAAUGAUCUCCUAUUUUAACAGAAAUAACAGGCAUGCCUACCACAGGUCUAUGUUUAUCUUUAGCACCAGGUUUAGCAAUUCUAGCAGUAUCAUCACAGAAGUAUAUAACAUGCCCAUCGAUAUUAUCAGACAAGAGAUCUUUAACAAUAGCAAUAUUAGGUUCAACUUUAACUUGCUCAGGAGGUGUAUAAGUUCUAAUAUUACUUUUACGAACCACAGUUGAAGCUUUAGCAUGAUCCUUUAUACUAACAGGAAAAGGUGGUUUCUCAACUUAAGCAGUAGGAACAAUAGGAUCAUUAUAAGUGAUAGUCUUUUCUUCAACUUUAAUAGGUUCAACUACUUUUACUUCUAUGGGAGGAUGAUAUUUAAACCACUCUCCUUAGGGAGAUCAACAUGAGCAGCAAAAGAUUCACAGAAAGAAGCUACUAUCUCAUAGUCAAGUCCAUAUUUAGUGCUAAUAAAUUUACGGAAAACAUCGGUAUCCAUAAAAGAUUUAACACAAUCAAACUUAGGUGUUAUACCCGACUCCUUACCUUCGUCGAGAUCCCAAUCUUCAGAGUUGCGUUUAAUUCUUUCCAGUAAAUUCCAUUUGAAUUCAAUAGUCUUCAUCAUAAAAGAGCCAGUACAUGAAGUAUUGAGCAUGGAGCGAUUAUUGUGAGAAAGCCGAGCAUAAAAAUUAAUAAUCAUUUCUCUUGAGAGUACAUGAUUGGGGCAUGAAUAUUACAUUGACUUAAGCCUCCCCCAAGCUUGAGCGAUGCUUUCUCCUUCGCGAGGCCAAAAAUUAUAUAUAUAAUUACGAUCACGAUGAACAAGAUGCAUAGGAUAAAACUUCUGAUGGAAUUCCAAUUUCAACCGUUUGUAGUCCCAUGAUCCCAUAUCAUCACAUAGCCGAUACCAUGUCAAUGCAUCUCCCUUCAAAUAUAAAGGGAAGACCUUCUUAUUGAUAACAUCAUCGGGCACACCUGCAAGCUUAAAUAAUCCACGAACUUCAUCCACAUAGAUUAAGUGUAAAUCGGGACGCAAUGUUCCAUCUCCUGCAAAAGGAUUAGCCAGUAGUUUCUCUAUCAUACCCGAAGGAAUUUAGAAGUAAACAUUUUCAUUUUCAGUAGGUUCAGUAGGUUGAGGAGCAACUCUUUGCUCUACUGGUCGAGGUGAAGAUACCCCGAACAAGCCCCUCAAAUGAUUACUUUCCAUAGUAACAAGUGACAGUAAAUUUCAGCACACUAUAUAAAAUUUUCAUUACCAAAUUCCACCUACCAAAGGCGCUUCACUCCCCGGCAACGGCGCCAGAAAAGAGUCUUGAUGACCCACAAGUUUAGGGGAUCUCUCGUAGUCCUUUCGGUUAGUAAGAGUGUUGAACCCAACGAGGAGCAAAAGGAAAUGACAAGCGGUUUUCAGCAAGGUAUUCUCUGCAAGCACUGAAAUAUAGGUAACAGAUAGUUUUGUGAUAAGAUAAUUUGUAACGGGUAACAAGUAAUGAAAGUAAAUAAGGUGCAGAAAGGUAACAAGUAAUAGAGAAAAGCGCUCCCUGAGGACACAUGGGAAUUAUCGUCAAGCUAGUUUUCAUCACGUUCAUAUGAUUCGCGUUCGGUACUUUGAUAAUUUGAUAUGUGGGUGGACCGGUGCUUGGGUGCUGUCCUUACUUGGAAAAAUAUCCCACUUAUGAUUAACUCCUAUUGCAAGCAUCCGCAACUACAAAAGAAGUAUUAAGGUAAGCCUAACCAUAGCAUGAAACAUAUGGAUCCAAAUCAGCCCCUUACGAACCAACGCAUAAACUAGGGUUUAAGCUUCUGUCACUCUAGCAACCCAUCAUCUACUUAUUACUUCCCAAUGCCUUCCUCUAGGCCCAAACAAUGGUGAAGUGUCAUGUAGUCGACGUUCACAUGACACCACUAGAGGAGAGACAACAUACAUCUCAUCAAAAUAUCGAACAAAUACCAAAUUCACAUGACUACUAAUAGCAAGGCUUCUCCCAUGUCCUCAGGAACAAACGUAACUACUCACAAAGCAUAUUCAUGUUCAUAAUCAGAGGGGUAUUAAUAUGCAUAAUGGAUCUGAACAUAUGAUCUUCCACCAAGUAAACCAACUAGCAUCAACUACAGGAGUAAUCAACACUACUAGUAAUCCCAGGCUAUGAGAAAAAGAUUGGAUACAAGAGAUAAACUAGGGUUUGAGAGGAGAUGGUGCUUGUGAAGAUGUUGAUGGAGAUUGGCCCCCUCCCGAUGAGAGGAGCGUUGGUGAUGACGAUGGCGAUGAUUUCCCCCUCCUGGAGGGAAGUGUCCCCGGCAGAACAGCUCUGCCAGAGCCCUAGAUUGGUUCCGCCAAGGUUCCGCCUCGUGGCGGUGGAGUCUCGUCUUGAAAGCUUGCUUAUGAUUUUUUCUCGGACAAAAGACUUCAUAUAGUAGAAGAUGGGCACCGGAGGGCCACCAGGGGGCCCACGAGGCAGGGGCGCGCCCAGGGGGUAGGGCGCGCCCCCCACCCUCGUGGCCAGGGUGUGGGCCCCCUCUGGUAUUUUCUUCACUCAGUAUUUUUUAUUAUUUCCAAAAAUAACUUCCGUGGAGUUUCAGGACUUUUGGAGUUGUGCAAAAUAGGUCUCUAAUAUUUGCUCCUUUUCCAGCCCAGAAUUCCAGCUGCCGACAUUCUCCCUCUUUAUGUAAACCUUGUCAAAUAAGAGAGAAUAAGCAUAAGUAUUGUGACAUAAUGUGUAAUAACAGCCCAUAAUGCAAUAAAUAUCGAUAUAAAAGCAUGAUGCAAAAUGGGCGUAUCAACGACCGCCCGUCCCCGUCGGCCCGCCGCCACCCAUUGCUUCCCCUUUCCCCAUUCUUCCUCUUCUCUGGCGAGCUGGUGCAGAUGUCCACCUCCUCCGCCACGCACUGAAAAUGGCGUCAGUAUGGUCCAGUGCCGCUCACAAGGUGCCCUGACUGCCCACGCCCAGAGCCUCUAAAACGGUGGGUCAGUAGAACUGAUGAGAAUGGAAAUCUUGGGCGGGAAUUUGUGAAGUGCUUGAGCAAAACAAUGGCAGAAAGGGAUGGCAAGGUUAGAUCUCAGUUCUUAGCCCAUUCUUUCACUGUCGUUUGCUCUGAUUUAUCCAUAUUUUGUUUUUUUCCUCGAAUUUGGAAUUUAGGGUUCAUGUUGUUGUUUUUUCCUCGAAUUUGGAAUUUAGGGUUCAUGUUGUUGAUUUAUCCAUAUUUCAUGUUGUUGAGAGGAUUCAGUUCGAGGGCUACAUUGAUUCGAGCGGGGCCGCAACCUGGGAGCUCAAUUUGGGGGGAGGGGUGCCGCAGAUGGAGAAUUUGGGGUCGAGCUUGGACAGAGGGGCGGGCAGAGUCGUGUCGAUGGCUAGGUAUGCGCGCAAUGCUGAACUGCACUUGGAGUCUGAACUAACCGAGGAACUGAAGAUAAUCAAGAAAUCAAAUGGAGAUGAUCAAUCUGCAGAAGCAAGCAAAUAUCAUGGCAGGGGGGGUUCUAUUGUUGUGUCAUUGCUCUGUUUUUGUUUUACUUGUUGUUCAUCCGUCAUUAGAGGGAGCAUUUAGGUCUAUCAGGGCAGAGGAUGCGAUCUGUGCGCCAUGCCAAGUUCAUGUAACUGAAUCGAAGCAGAAAUAUUCUAUGUUGAUGCUUUGUUCUUGUUCUUCAGUUAACAGAGUGCACACCCCCCAAAUUCAGUUUCUAGUAAGAAAAUCUUGCUGCCGAAUAGAUGUUGGGCCAUGAAAAAACAACGAGGCCCAAAUAGAGACAAGCCCACCCGCGUAGGGGCACCAGCCCAGUUUUAUAGCAUAGAGGCACCCAUGUUUAAAAAAAAUGUUCGACUAAAAACUCAAAAUAAAAUAUUGCUUCGGCAAAUAAACCUUUAACAAACAUAUACUUCUUUACAUAUUUGUUGCUUGUCCACGCUUGCACAAAAUAUUGGCCAGAGGUAAAAUUCAAACUAAUAUUUUUAGGAGCACAGAAAUAUUUCUUUUGUGACCAAUAAUUGUUUGCAUGAACUAAAAUAGUUGCAUUUCCAUGGUUGCAAAAAAAAUUGCACCGUACACCUAAUAGCUAGGGUGAUCCUAUUUGCAUGAACUAAAUUAGUUGCAUGUCCAUGGUUGCACAAAAAUUAUCACCGUACACCUACUAGCCAGGGCCUAGAUACAUGCAAGCACACAUGCAUCACACCAAGAUAUGAAAAAAAAUUGCAAAAAAAUUUGGGUACCCAUACACUUGCAUGUCCGUAGUGGAAGCUACCUUUUAUUAGUAAGACAUAGAUCAAAUAGGGAUCCAAUCAACUAGAUAUAACAUGGGUACCCAUAGAACAUCAAGCACCAUAUAUAUCAACUAACCAAUAUCAACUAGAUAGAAAAAAAUAACAGAUAGAACAUAGUAGCAUAAGUAGUAGCAUUGCAUAGAUAAGGGUAGCACGACAUAUAUAGUACCACUACAACAUAGAUAAUUCAUAGUUCAACCCAACACGACAAUAAUAAAACACCACCAGCUUGUUUGCUUGCUUGCUCAAAGGCCAAAUCCUCCAUGGCCAACUCCUUCACUCGUCGCCGUUGGUGGGGUACGGGAGGGUGUGCAUGCGCUCAUCGGCGGGGAAGGCACUGUCGAAGUCCGUGAAGAUGUUGUACAUGGUGAAUGCGAUGAACUCGCAUCCACAUCAAAAAACACGACCGAGGAGGUAGUAGGCGUCGAAGGGGUUGGUGAACCUCACGAUGAGCCCGAUAGGAUGGCCACUGCUACUGACCUCUUUGACACGGAACAUGGCCGGAGAGCCCCUCGGGAGGUGCCGGUAGCCGGCGGAGAGGAAGAACUCGGUCAGCCCCCUUGCCCCCCUCCACCUCGAGAUCGCCCACACCCGUAGGGUGUUCUCCACCCGGACUCCGGUAGGGUAGAGCCUCUCAGGGAAGGUGCGCGGCACACGGUAGGUAGCCCCGGUGAACUGCAUCUUGCUUGCUAGCUUUGAGUGGAUCUUGGAAGAUGGGAGAUGAAGGAGAGUGAGAGGAAGAUGUGGGUAGAGGAAGAUGUAGGCUUGGGUGUGCUUAAAUAGCCGAGGUGCAGUGUUUUAACGUUUUGUUUUCCUCUCCCUCGUAAUGGCAUGGGAAACGAGCAAUGUGGCAUCGAGUCACCCGAGCCAACCCGUGUGUACACGCGCAUGCAUUGUGGUAGUAAUGCCAAUGACCCGCGUAGCACUCUAGCAAUAAAAAUGCGUCGAGAGAUGAGCUCGAUGCCAUGCAUGCAGCGGCUAGCGGUCGGGCAUCUAGACCCAUCUAGAAUGGGUAAAUAGCCAUAAUGCUACGAGGGUGUCGGCGGGCAUGCUCGCCCGCGAUGCCAUCCAUGCAACGUCGAACGCUGAGAGGGCGGCCGCAGGAGGGCUACACGCGCGUGCAUGCUUUUCAGGCCGAAUGCAGCGUCGUGUCCAUCGGUCCAAUGGGUGGGCCGCUUUAAUUAAGCCCAACAACACAUGGCAGGCCUGCUUAGUCUUACAAUGUAAAAAAUGGGCUAAAACGACCAGCCAAUGAAAGCGCAACACGCGGAUCUGUGACGUGGCUCCUAAUCCAGACUGUUGCUUAUGUUCACAUCCAUCCAAUGGUCCAGAAUGCUACGUGUUAUAAUAUUCAGCAUCUUCGAAUCAGCCAAUCAGAGUGCUGCCUGCAGAUCGCUGACGUAGCCCUGGUGCCUGAUCCAGACCGUCCAUUCAUAGCGAUCCAAUGGCCGAGAGGAGUGUGGGGUUUCAAUGGGGUUUUGAGUGGUUUUCAGCGGUUAGGGUUGAGCAUAACUAAUUCAAAAAAAUCAAAAAAACUAUAAAACUUGUGUCGAUCAUCGUUCUAUGUGACUAAGUAUCUAGGAAAAAUAAGAAACUUGUACUACGGAUAUUUUCAUGAAAAAACCUUCACAAAAGAUGGCUAUCAAGAACGACCUUGUAGGGUUUUGAAGAGAAGUGAGCUAGGGUUUAGUGUCAAACAUGUCAUACUUUAUCGAAACAAUCCAAUAUCAGGAAGGACUCUUAUAUACACACACUAGAUGUCAAGUUUCCUUUUUGGGCUCAUUUAGAGAAGGUCGAAAAAAGCUUGCUUACAAAUGGGUCUGUUUUCCCUAGCUUUGGAGGGGUUUUGGAGGUCAUGUGGAGCACAUUUUUCAUGUCCAGAGUUUUACAUAAUAAAAGUGCUCCGAUUAAUCAACUAACAUGCAUAAUAGUCCAGAAAUCAUUGUAACACCAACACCACAGACCAAAUAACUUCAAAUUUGAAUUUUGUCUCAAAUUUGAAUUUUGUCUCAAAUUUGAAUAGUAUUACACAAAUACACAUCAUAUCAAAGUACAAAUAUCAUUACACAAAUUCAGGCAAGGUUUUAUUACUACAACAUACUAGCAAUACACAAGUUUCAACAAAUUUUCACUUCUGCUUCUUCCUACCACUCGAUUUGUUCUUCUUCUUUUUACCAAUGCUUGUUUUUGGUUGUACAACACCCAGUUCACUCAAGCUCUUGAUUUUCUUCACUGGACUUCCUGGAACACAAGCUUCAUUUCGCACCACAACAGUUGCAGUAUCAUCGGACCCAAUAUCACCAGUUGGCAACACAACUUCCAAUAUAGGCUCAGUUGGCACCACAUCAACUGGAAUAUCUUUAGUUGGCAACUCAACUUCCAACAUAGGCUCAGCUUGCACAGCAUCAGCUGGAAUAUCUUCAGAGGUACCCAUAGCUUCAGUUGGCACCAGAACAUCAAAAUCUUGCUCAUCUUGCAGCAGCACAUCCAAGUCUUGCUCAUUUUGCACCACACCAUCCAAGUCUGGUUGAAUGUGUAUUGUUUCACCAAAACUUCUCUUUCUUCUAGAGCCAUUGCCUCUUGCUUUUUUCUUUGGCCAGCACACUUCAACAACAAGGGGCUCACCUGCACGCUUCCUCCUAAAAAGAUAAAGCAUGUCAACUGGUUAGUAAUUGAAAAAUGCAACAAAAUAGUAAACAAUGCAAACAUAUGCCCACAUACUUUGGCCAUUCAUGAGUGUAACAACAUUUGGGAGAUCCAACUCGGUGCCCAAGUUCCUGGCACAACUUGCCUCUAUUUUUUUUUACCUUUUUGGGACCUUUUUGGCUUUGCAUUCUUCUUUCCCUUGCCCUUUUUACUACUCCCACCUUUCUCAAACCAUGCCUUGAAUCUACUUUCUUUAGGCCUGCCAGCCUUUCUUUUUGUUAGGGGAGGACCCAUGGAAAAUUCAAUUUCAACUUCAGGCCACUGAGACUGAUCUGUAAGUGCUAGAAUUGGAGUUGCAUAUGCAGCCUUGAAUCUUGCUACUAAGUAAUAUUCGUGCAAAUAUGGGUGCAUGUUUAUCUUCGGUCGGGAGGCCAAGAAAAGUAUGGCAUGACUCACAUGGUUUCCCAGUGUGCUGCCACUCCAAACAAGUGCAAUCAUGCAUUUCAGUGUUAACAACAUGCCUUCUACCAGUUUUGGUAUCUCUAACUUCAACACCCCACACAGAAGAUUUUUCAACAGAUAAAUGUGUAAGAUUUAUGCUCCUGUUGACCACCUGGUGUACCACUGCAGGAAGCUUAUCCCCUUGUAGACAAUCACCAAUCCUUCUUCUCAAUUCCCACAAGCGCAUGAUCAUGAUCCUGAUUUGGUCAACCAUGUCAUGCACAGGAAAAAAAUUUAACUGCUUCACCCUGUUGUUAAAACUUUCUGCCAAGUUGUUGUUGAUAUGAUCACACUUGAUGGCAGUGUUAAAUCCCGACCUAUACCAUAAUAGAGAAUGGUACGUGUUCACCCAUGGACCAAACUCAGGACAUGAUGUCAUUAUCAUACCAAGAUGAUAUUAAUGUGUUUGUUUAGUGUAAGAUCUUGCUGCUGGCCACAUACGACCAAAUUCUUCCCCUUUGAAUUUUUUGAUCAAAUUCAUCCACAUAUGGCCGAAGCACUCCCUCUGCUCACAAUGGGGGAAAACAUUCUUCACUGCGUUUUCUAGCCCUUUGCAUGCAUCUGUGUGGACUGCCAAAGGUGACACUGGACCUAUGCAUCUUUUCAACUGCACCAUGAACCAUGUCCACGAGACCUCUAUCUGUGACUGAAAUAAGCCAAUAGCAAUAGGGAACAUCCAGUUGUAUCGAUCCAAAGCAUUGCAAGCUGCCAAUUGACCAAUUGAAAGUGCACCUAUGCCUAGGUGGUUUUGGUAAUUCCUAACAACAUAUAGCUCAUUGAGCUAAUGAUAUCUCAAGAUAAAUAUUUCAGGAAAGCACAAUGAUUGGCAUGGCAUGGAUUAGAAAUGUGACCCCUCAGAAUACCAAGGACAAAAGAAUGGCUCAAGCUCUAAAGCUCAAGACUCUACAUUUUACUUUUAGUGAUCCAAGAUCACAUUGAGUCCAUAGGAAAAGCAAAUACUAUUAAAAGGGGAUGAGGUGUUGCUUAAUGGGUUGCUUGCUCAAAAUGCUUAGUGAUAUGCUCCAAAAACCCUCAACUACUUUCUCAUAUCCACAUAUGUCCCAAACCAGAAGUCAAACUCGGCCCCACCAAAACAUCCUAUCUGGCACCACCGAGUUCUCUUGACAUAGCCACUGCCACAAACCCUAGUCACUUUGGUCUCACCGAUAGGGAUCUCGGUAUCACCGAGAUGGGAUUGCAAACAUCUGUUUCCCUUCCUAACGUUUCGGUCCAACCGAGAUGAGCGAUCGGUCCCACCGAGUUUGCAAUGCAAACUCUCUGUUUCCCCUUCGUAACGUUUCGGUCUCACCGAGAUGAGCAAAUCGGUCCCACCGAGUCUGCCUCAUCAACUCUCUGGUUAGCUUAUCACCAAAAUCAGUCCCACCGAGUUUGUGUAAUCAGUCUCACCGAGAUUACGUUAUGCCCUAACCCUAAUGAAAUCGGUCCCACCGAGUUGACAUGUCGGUCCCAUCGAAUAUCCUAACGUUCACAUUUUGAACUAAAUCGGUCCGACCGAGUUUCAUUAUUCGGUCCCACCGAGUUUGAUGAUUUGUGUGUAACGGUUAGAUUUUGUGUGGAGGCUAUAUAUACCCCUCCACCCACUCUUUAUUCGUGGAGAGAGCCAUCAUAACAUGCCUACACUUCCAGCAUACAUUUUCUGAGAGAGAACCACCUACUCAUGUGUUGAGGUCAAGAUAUUCCAUUCCAACCACAUAAAUCUUGAUCUCUAGCCUUCUCCAAGUUGCUUUCCACUCAAAUCGUCUUUCCACCAAAUCCAAAUCUGUGAGAGAGAGUUGAGUGUUGGGGAGACUAUCAUUUGAAGCACAAGAGCAAGGAGUUCAUCAUCAACACACCAUCUAUUACCUUUUGGAGAGUGGUGUCUCCUAGAUUGGUUAGGUGUCACUUGGGAGCCUCCGUCAAGAUUGUGGAGUUGAACCAAGGAGUUUGUACGGGCAAGGAGAUCGCCUACUUCGUGAAGAUCUACCCUAGUGAGGCAAGUCCUUCGUGGGCGAUGGCCAUGGUGGGAUAGACAAGGUUGCUUCUUCGUGGAACCUUCAUGGGUGGAGCCCUCCGUGGACUCGCGCAACCGUUACCCUUCGUGGGUUGAAGUCUCCAUCAACGUGGAUGUACGAUAGCACCACCUAUCAGAACCACGCCAAAAAUCUCCGUGUUUAUAUUGCGUUUGCUCCCUCCAAACUCCUCCCUUUACCUUCAUGUGCAAUGUUUUACAUUCCGCUACUAUACUCUUAGACUUGCAUGUGUAGGUUGAUUUCUUGACUAGUGCUAAGUUGCUAAAAUCUGCCAAGACUUAAAAUUGGGGAAAGGCUAGAUUUUUAUUUGGUCAAGUAGUCUAAUCACCCCCCCUCUAGACAUAAUUUCGAUCCUACAAGUGGUAUCAGAGCUACGGUCUCCAUUUGCCUUGAUUUCCAUAGCUUUUGGUGAUCAUAGCCUUGGUUUCACAACCUAGGAGACUAUGGCGUCUAGCAAGGGAAAUUACCACCAUAGAGGUCCUUACUUUGAUGGUACUAAUUUUGCUACUUGGAAGCACAAGAUGAAAAUGCAUAUUCUUGGACAUAACCCCGCCGUUUGGGCUAUUGUGUGUAUUGUCUUGCAAGGUGAAUUCUUUGAUGGGAGAGAACCGAACCGUGAAGCUACUGCGGAAGAGUUGAAGAUGCUACAAUACAAUGCUCAAGCUUGUGAUAUUCUCUUCAACGGAUUGUGCCUCGAAGAAUUCAACAAAAUCAGCCGUCUUGAGAAUGCAAAGGAAAUUUGGGAUACUUUGAUUGAUAUGCAUGAGGGUACCGACUCCGUCAAGGAAUCCAAAUUGGAUGUGCUUCAAAGUCAAAUUGAGAAGUUCAAAAUGAAGGAUGGUGAAGGUGUCACUGAAAUGUACUCUAGGCUUGCUCUCAUCACAAAUGAGAUUGCCGGCUUAGGAAGUGAAGAGAUGACCGAUAGAUUCAUCAUCAAGAAGAUCCUAAGAGCCUUGGAUGGAAAAUAUGAUACCGUGUGCACAUUGAUCCAAAUGAUGCCCAAUUACAAAGAUCUCAAGCCAAAGGAAGUCAUUGGAAGAAUUGUUGCUCAUGAGAUGUCACUUAAGGAUAAGGAAGAGCUCCACAACAAGUCAAGUGGUGCUUACAAAGCCUCAUGUGAUGCUCCUACACCAUCAAGUGAGAAACAAACCUUUAAUGAAGAAUUGAGCCUAAUGGUGAAGAAUUUCAGCAAGUUCUACAAGAGUAGAAGCAAGGAAAGAAGUUCCAAGUCAAGAUCCUACAAUGACAAAAGAUCUUCAAGUCGUGAACGAAAUUGCUACAAUUGUGGAAGACCCGGACACUACUCCAAUGAGUGUACGGCUCCCUACAAAAGAAGAGGAGAUUCUCCCAAAAGACGAAGUAGAAGAGAAGAAUCAGCACCAAGAGAGAGAAGGAGUAGAGAUGAUUGUUAUGAACGAAGAACCUCUCGGAGAAGCAAGGAUUCGGAAAGGAAGGACAAAUCAUCAAAGAGCUACACAAAACGAAGACAUCAAUCUCACGUUGGUGAAUGGGUAUCCGGCUCCGACUCCGACCAUUACUCCGAAAGAAGUUAUCACUCCGACUCCGACUAUACUCAAGAAGAAGGUGUUGCCGGUCUAGCACUUGCGUCAACCAACUCCUACAACAUAUUUGACUCACCAAAUGAAGGAAUUGGAAGAUGCUUCAUGGCUAAAGGCCCCAAGGUAUCACACCCCGAGUUUGUUGAUUUCAAUAGUGAUGAAGAUGAUUUGCUAGGAGAUGAUGAUUUACUUGUUGACAACUCCAGUUAUGAAAACUAUGAUGAACUUGCUAUUAGUCAUGCUAAUCAAGAUAAAACGAAUGACGAUGAUAAGAAGGAGAUUGAGCGUCUAACUAAAGAAUUAAACACUCUUAAAUUAGCUCAUGAAACUACCAUGGAAGAUCAUCGAGAACUUUUAAAGACUCAUGAGAAGCUACGCUUUGAAAGGCUCAACCUUGAGCAAGAGCAUGGGUUCUUAAAAGCAAUCAAUGAUGAUCUUCGCAGGAAAAAUUCUUCUUACAUUGCCAAGCGUUUACUCUUGUCUACUUACAUGCCACAAGUAGAAUCUAGCAACAAGAGUAAGAAAGAUUCUUCAUCUAGUAGUAACAAUAAUCAUGCUAAAUCCAAUGUUGUUGCUUCUAGUAGUUCUCUUGAUUCCACUAAUGAUUCUCUUAGCCAAGUUACAAUUGAGCAAGAAAAUAGCUUAUUGAAGGGAAUUAUAGAGAAAGGUGUUUACAAGAGCCUUGUCGGAAGUAAGCAAUUUGAGGAAAUUGUACGCAACCAAGGAAGGCACCGGAAAAAUCAAGGUGUUGGUUUUGAACGAAAGUUCAAUGCCAAUGGAGUUGAGUGGGAAGAAGAUCAAUACCCCAAGACGAAGUUUGUUCCUCAACAAGAGAAGUAUGAUCCUACUUCCUUCCAAGGAACACAAGCUCAAGAUGAUCUUCCACCACAAGACCACAAGCAAAAAGGCAAGGACAAGCUUCAAGAGGAGAUUGAUGCAUUUUAAGAAGCUCCCAAGGCCUUGGUCGAGUGGGUUCCCAAGACUACAUCAAAUACGACUACAACUCCAAGGAUUCCCAUCAAGAUGAUGUGGAUCCCGAAGAAGAAGAACUAGAGAGUUCUUGAGGGUGACUCCGCCAACAUACUUCACUCAUAUCUUUUGGCAAGGACAUGUGAGAACAACUUCCACAUAUUGCACUAGUUCAAGGAGUCACAAACCCUCUUGUUUGUAAGACAAGGGACAAGGUAACCUAAUGCUUUCAUGGACAUCAUCUUGUGUGUACAUCACUCUAUGUCUAUGGAUAUCCUUGUUUGUUCCUUGUGGGACUAACCAGUGUAGGUAUUGGAAGUGCAACUCACUCCAAUGGAUUGCUCCGAAUGAUCUACAUCAACAUUGAGCAUCCACAUCUUCAACACCUACAUGAAGUCAUCAUCGACAAAACCCAAGGUUAGUUCAUCCCUCUUAGGGGGAUAUCACAUCUAGGGGGAGCUUUACUCUAAUAAAUUGAGCUAAAGCAACUCUAAUGGUGUGAACACAACAAUGCUUUAUGUGAAAGUGGUAACCCCACUUAUGCUUAAACGAUGAGUAUGACCUAUGAUCAAAUGUUCUCAUUUGACUCCUAAGUCAAUAUACUCAUAUAUAGAUGACCUAGUCAUCGCCAAUUGCUUGAUAGAUGCUAGAGUCUUUGUGCAUGCUUUGUCACAUAUUUCGUUUGCCAUUUUAUUGUGUGAGCAUGUUAAUUGCAUAUUUUACUCAUUCGAGGACAUCCAUUUGUUGCUUUGAUUGUUUGGCUUUUUCUCUUUUGCCAAAUGGAUGGACAAGAAUGCCUAAGAACUCCCUCUAGCUAUCUAUGCUUUUCUCGUCUCAAACUCUAUUCAUGCUACAUCACAAAGUUUGAUCAAGUCAGGUUCGAACCACUCUGUGUGAGGAGCACUCGGAGUCCCCGAUUCGUCAUAGACUUAAACUUCCAAAACCUCUUUGUGCAUUUCGGUAUGACCGAUUCAUCCAUUUUGGUCACACUGAGUUCACUAAGUUGAUCUAGGUUUUCCAUCUCGGUGCAACCAAUUUGAACUUUUCGGUCACAUCGAGUUGCAGUAACCGCUUGCGAUUCUGCAUCUCGGUGCCACCGAGUUGUUCCACUCGGUAACAUCGAUAGGGUCGGGAUAUAUAAACCCACAGGUGAGAUUUUGGAAAUUUCUUCAAACUCCUCAGCCCGCGUGUGUCCUGCUCUGCCUCCUCGGGUCUCCGGAUCGUCUCCUCGCCGCCAGCGACCUCCCGCCGCUGGUUUCCGUUGCUGUCAACGGAAUUCUCCUCUGCCGUUGUCGCCAUAGCGAACUCCCGCCGAACUAGGGUAUGGGUUCGACUCUUUGUGCUAUUUCCCUACUCCAAUUUGUAGCACAUUUCUUUUCCAUGAUCUUUACCACGUAUGAAAAUAAUCUAUCGAGAGAAAACAUCCUUUAGGUUAGAUUUGAUUCAAAAAUUUAGGGUUAGGUCUCCGCCGAACUCAUCUCAGACCAACCGAGUUGUAGAAAUCGGUCUCACCGAUUUGGCUUAGGCCAUUGCACAUGCUUUUUGGUCUGACUGAAAACGGCAAAUUGGUGCGACCGAUUUCGAAUCUCUGUGAAACCCUAGCAAUCUCGGUGCCACCGAACUGUGACUCGGUCUGACCAAGUUCACUAGUUUAGGUUCCAAAAGUUGCUUCGGUAUCACCGAGUUUAACAAAUCGGUAGCUCCGAAAUGCUUUCUGUGGAGAACUAUAACUAAGUUUUUGAGUCAUCUGUUUUGCAAAAGCUCUGCACUUUGUGAUGCUCAUCCACUCUACCUCAUCUAUAUCUAUUCACAGGGUUUGCUGUCAGUGUGAUUGCCAAGAUGUCUGAUCAAAGUGACAGCCAGAACAGAUCUGAAGAGCAAGUGCAUAUGAGUGAGGGCACUAAUCCCUCAAGCAGCUAUGAUGAGGGCAGCAGAAGCACACCAAGUAACUUGCCCAAGGUAGCCACUAGAACAAGGAAGAAGAGAACCUCAGACUCCGAGGAUGAGGACUAUGUGGCCAUUGAGGAUGAGGCCACCUCAAGGAAGAAAGUGCUGAAGAAAGAGUAUGGCAUAGCUGCUGCAACUAAGCCAGGGUUGCAUAAGAAGGCAACAGCAAAGAGAGUCCCAAUGUCAAAGCCAACGAAAGUUCCAACAGGAGAAACCAUGAAAUUCACAAUAUAAUCAGAUGAUGGUGAGGCAGUUGGUGAUGGCAAGAAGAAGAAGAGGGCAAGAACCACAUCUGCAAAAGUUCUUGGAAAAUCAACUAUGGUAAGAGAUUCAGAAGAAGAGGAAGAGGAAGAGGAUGCUGCACCAGCACCCAAGUCUCAGAAGCUUAUGGGAGAUGCUAUCAAGUCAGGGGCUGCUCCAUCAAAGCCCAAGACUGCUCCCAAAGCAACAGCUCAAACUCAGAAGCCCUCUAAGCCCAAGAGAAGCACCAGAAACAUUCCUGCAGAAGAGAGGAACAAGGCCUCAGUGCCUAAGGUUGAAGAAGAGGAUGAUGAAGCCCUAGUGCUAAGAAAACUGAAACCCAAGAUUCCAGACCACAAUGACACUCAUCCAGUGGCUGAGGACAUGCACAUCAGGAAAGAUGCAGGAUUGAGACUUUGGAGACAGUCUGAUCCUUAUGCUGCGACAAGGAGAACUGUUGUGGACUACAUGUUCCACACCAAAGAACAACAAGACUUCUAUGAGACUAUUCUGCUUGACAAGAAGCCAAUUGUCUGUGAAAUGAGAUGGGUUGAUUGGGAAUACAUCAAAGAGAAUGAAGAUCACUUCCCAGGUGUACCAGACAGCUUCAAAGCAAGUGGAGUUGAUAAGUUUGUAGGUCAGAAGCCCACCAAAUGGAAUGAUGAGCUAAUCAUGCAGUUUUACUCCACUGCUCAUUUCUAUCCAGAUGGGAGAUAGUGGGGAUGUCUGAAGGUACAAGGUACCAAUCAACUGUAGAAAAAUGGGCCAAGUUGAUCAAUGCCCCAGAAGAGUAUGAGGAUGAUUUGGAUGUGUAUGCCAAGAAGAAGAAAGACCACAACUCUAUGGCAAAUAUGUACAAAGAGAUCCCUGAUAAAGCUUUGGAGACACACAAGCUUGGAUCUGUGCACUAUUUGUUGUCUGGUCUACCCACUAUCAACACUAUCUUAAGGCAUACUCUGGUACCCAAAUCUGGAGAUCACAAGAUGAUCAGAGGACAUUCCAUCAACUUGCUGCAAAUCUUUGAUGUCCCUUAAAAAUUCAAGGUCGUGAGUCUGAUUGUUGAGACAAUCAAGAGGACAGCUGCUGACCAGAAGAGAUCUUGUGGGUAUGCUCCACACAUUCAGGUGGUCAUCAACUCAAAGAUGGGCACAGGGACUUACAUGUUGGACAAAGAACAUUUACCCUUGUAUCCAGAUUUUGAAGAUAAUGAAGUUGUCAUGAAUGAGAAUGAACCUUCAUCAGCACAAGCACAAGAGAAGAGAGCUAAAGCAAAGGCAGAAAAGGCUGCAAGGAUGCCAAGUGCCGAGGAAGCAUCUCAGGUGUCCCUGAAGAGCAAGAAAGAUCAGCUUAUAUCUGAUUCAAGCUACAUUGAGGAUUGAGAAGGGCUUGGCCACCCUGACUCAGAAUCAGGAGAGCUUGGAGAGGAUCAUAGAGACAAAAUAUUAUGAUCUUGAUCUGAAGGUCACUGAGAUACAGAGAGCAGUUGAGCAGCUCCAGGAGGAAGCAGGAGAGAGGAAAGGGAAGGCAACUACAGAUGCUUUUCGGCGAGUGCCAAGAGGUCAGAGGUCUGCUGCAGUGCCAGUAUCAGAUACUAGAGCUACAUCGUCAGCACCAAUAGCUACAGCUUCAGUGCCACCUCCAGCAGCCACUCCACCAGCUCCAGCUACAUCCACUGAUGCCUUCGUCCUUGGAGUUCUCUCUACUCCACCUCCUGAAGACCAAGCCUGAGAGACGCAUAGCACUAUGCAUUUUCGAACUUUUUGAUAACUUGUUGCCAAAGGGGGAGAAAUGUAUAGAUCAUAGGCUUCGAGAGAGAGUGUUUUGCUUCUUUGUCUCUCUUGAUUUUGGUUGAACUUUAUGGUGUUCUUGGUUGAUACUCUAUGUCUGUGUGAGAUACUUGUUUGAUCAUGGGUUUGAUCAUAUGCUACUUUAAUGCUUGCUUGGAUGGUAUUAUCUCUUAUAUCCCAUAUAUGUUCAUUCACUUUGCUUGGUGAUGAAUGCUUUCUUUUAAUUUCCACGAUCCUAAUUGAUUGUGCAUUUGCAUUCAAAAGAUGUAUGUGACAUGGAAGAGUAACCCAUGAUCCUAAUCGAUUGUGCAUUUGCAUUCAAAAGCCUAUUUUUAAUAAUGCACAAAUUUAGGGGGAGCUCUUGCUUAUCACAUACUUCUCAAAGCGACGAUGUAUUUCAAUCUUAUGAUCAUUUGUCAAAGCUUUGAUCUAUAUGUUUUCAUCAAUUAUCAAAAAGGGGGAGAUUGAAAGUGCAACUAUCCCUGGGUGGUUUUGGUAAUUCCUAACAACAUAUAGCUCAUUGAGCUAAUGAUAUCUCAACAUAAAUAUUUCAGGAAAGCUCAAUGAUUAGCAUCGCAUGGAUUAGAAAUGUGGACCCCUCAAAAUGCUAAGGACAAAAUAUUGGCUCAAGCUCUAAAGCUCAAGACUCUACAUUUUACUUUUAGUGAUCCAAGAUCACAUUGAGUCCAUAGGAAAAGCCAAUACUAUUAAAAGGGGAUGAGGUGUUGCUUAAUGGGUUGCUUGCUCAAAAUGCUUAGUGAUAUGCUCCAAACCAAAAGUCAAACUCGGCCCCACCGAAACAUUCUAUCCGGCGCCACCGAGUUCUCUUGACAUAGCCACUGUCACAAACCCUAGUCACUUCCGGUCUCACCGAUAGGGACUCGGUCUCACCGAGAUGGGAUUGCAAAAUCUUUGUUUCCCUUCGUACAUUUCGGUCCAACCGAGAUGAGCGAUCGGUCCCACCGAGUUUGCAAUGCAAACUCUCUGUUUCCCCUUCGUAACGUUUCGGUCUCACCGAGAUGAGUGAAUCGGUCCCACCGAGUUUGCCUGACCAACUCUCUGGUUAGCUUAUUACCAAAAUCAGUCCCACCGAGUUCGUGUAAUCGGUCUCAUCGAGAUUACGUUAUGCCCUAACCCUAACGAAAUCGGUCCCACCGAGUUGAAAUGUCGAUCCCACCGAAUAUCCUAACAUUCACAUUUUGAACUAAAUCGGUCUGACCGAGUUUCAUUAUUCGGUCCCACCGAGUUUGAUGAUUUGUGUGUAACAGUUAGAUUUUUUGUGGAGGCUAUAUAUACCCCUCCACCCACUCUUCAUUUGUGGAGAGAGCCAUCAGAACAUGCCUACACUUCCAGCAUACAUUUUCUAAGAGAGAACCACCUACUCAUGUGUUGAGGUCAAGAUAUUCCAUUCCAACCACAUAAAUCUUGAUCUCUAGCCUUCUCCAAGUUGUUUUCCACUCAAAUCAUCUUUCCACCAAAUCCAAAUCUGUGAGAUAGAGUUGAGUGUUGGGGAGACUAUCAUUUGAAGCACAAGAGCAAGGAGUUCAUCAUGAACACACCAUCUAUUACCUUUUGGAGAAUGGUGUCUCCUAGAUUGGUUAGGUGUCACUUGGGAGCCUCCGUCAAGAUUGUGGAGUUGAACCAAGGAGUUUGUACGGGCAAGGAGAUAGCCUACUUCGUGUAGAUCUACCCUAGUGAGGCAAGUCCUUCGUGGGCGAUGGCCAUGGUGGGAUAGACAAGGUUGCUUCUUCGUGGACCCUUCGAGGGUGGAGCCCUCCGUGGACUCGCGCAACCGUUACCCUUCGUGGGUUGAAGUCUCCAUCAACGUGGAUGUAUGAUAGCACCAUCUAUCGGAACCACGCCAAAAAUCUCCAUGUCUACAUUGCGUUUGCUCCCUCCAAACUCCUCCAUUUACCUUCAUGUGCAAUGUUUUACAUUCCGCUGCUAUACUCUUAGACUUGCAUGUGUAGGUUGAUUGCUUGACUAGUGCUAAGUUGCUAAAAUCUGCCAAGACUUAAAAUUGGGAAAAGGCUUGAUUUUUAUUUGGUCAAGUAGUCUAAUUACCCCCCCCCCUCUAGACAUACUUUCGAUCCUACACCAUUCCACUUGCCAGUCAAAAAUGAUGAGUCUAUGCUCAAAUAUGGACGACACCCUACCUUGAAGCCAUCAAUGCUAGGCUUCAAAGCCAUAAUAAACGUAUAGAAAAGUACUCUUCCAUCCUCUGUUACCUCAGUAUCUAUCUCCACAACACUCCCAGGUGACCUCUUCUCCACCUCUGCUUUGAAAUUAUAAAGCAUCCUAAAAGUAUUUGCCCAGUCACCAUAUAAUUGUUUCAUUGCCCUUUGUUUUGCCUUCCACACCGUGUUAUACUUCUCCUUAAUGGGGUAUUGCUUUCCAAGUAUACUUUAAGUUUCUUUGCAGUGGUGUUUGGUUUCUUGGCUAGAAUAGGAGUGAUCUUUUCUGCAAUCCAAAGCUGUGAUGUCAUGGUUGAUACUCUCGGUGAACUUGUAAUACAAGUAUGUUGGUGAGGGAUUUGAUUCACCCUAAUGGUACUUCCAUCAGGUUGGCGUCUAGCAGAUAUGUACUACUUGCAAGGCUUGACACUUCCAUCAAAACCUCUACACCUUGCAUAAAACUUCUUUCUAUCAGUCCACUUAGUCUUGGCACCAAACUCAUGUUUGACUGCAUAUGUCUUGAAACACAUCCUAAACUCAUCCAUGUUUGGGAACAACAUCCCCACUUCAAUAACAGGGUUUUCCUUGUCAUACACAUUUACCAACUCAUCAUCAUGUGCAUCAUCUACAUCAUCUGCAGCAUCUUCCAUCAGCUAUCCAUCCAGAUCUUCAGUUCUAUCUUUGUUAGCAUCAGUAUCAGUAGGCAUACUAGAUUCACCAUCCUUCUCCUCCUUAUCUUCAUCAGCUACUGGAAUGCCAAAUUUUUUGGCCAUCUCAGUGUCAUCCAUUGGUGCAAUGACUAAAUCAGUUGGGUCAUUUAAUUCUACUGAAUUCCAAUCAACAUAAACAACCCUUCCAACACCCUCAGAGCCAUCUUCUGCAUCACCCCCCUCAGGUAAUACUGUCACUUCACCUGUACACAUGGGCAUUAUCUGCCUCUCUGAAGCCCAAUCAUCAUCUACCAUUUGUGAAGCUAACUUUGAGGGCACAUAUCCAACCUUAGAAUCUGAUUUCAGAUCAACAAGCUAUGCAUGAAACAUAGUUUGUUUGGUUGUCCAGCCAUCUUGUUGAUCAAUUUCAUCAACCAUGUCUUCACCAUCCUCAAUUCUCACAUACUCUCCUUUCCAAUUAUCAAACCGUAACAAUGCUACCUCUUGCUCUGGACCCCAAAAAAUGCUCUCCCCAAUUUUUUUCCACCACAUUCUUCAUGGCCUUCUCUUCCAUGCUCUGUAGUUCUUGUGGAUCAAUCUCUGCAAAAUCAAUCUCCGGAUGCUACCAUCACCUAUGUCCCGCAUGCUACCAUCACCUAGCUUCGCCUUAGAAGGAAGGAAUUCCGCAGUGAAUUUGAACGUCCGAGCAACAUCCCCCCUAUUUCGGGGCAGUGUGAGGUGAGCUACCGGAAGCAGACGAGGCACAAAUCGCAUUCCUUGGAAAGGAUGCACAUUAAGGGAUUACCUUCUAGAUGUUGUUGUCUCUGGCGGCUCCAUCGCGUGCAGGCCCCCCUCCCACCCACCCAAAUCUGGAUCAAAUUGACCAAAAACACCAAAAAACAGAGGGAAAGAGAGGCGGUGAGAUCUAGCUCGACACGGAGGGGAACGGGAUAGGGUUCCUGAUUCACUCAACACAGCCGCCGCCGUCGCCGAGAACGAAAGCUCCUCUGCGCUGCUAUCACCGAGAACAAAAUCUCCGGCGCCGGCGCCGGCUCACCGCCAAGAACAAAGAGGGGGGGUACACGUUCAGAUAGGCAUGGGGACACGUUUCACCUGAUGCACUGCCAAGUGGGGCCCGCAACUAGAUGCACUGCCAAGUGGGAUCCACAUGUCUUAAACAUAACCUCACUCCCGUUGACGACCAGUUUAAUCGCCCGAGUGGACCUUGGCUAUUUGGGCCUCUGAAACAUAGUACUACAGUUAUUUUCGUCAACUAUGUCGCUUUCCUUCCAUUGCACCUCAAAUAUGUCGCACAGGAGCUAUUGACCCCUUGACUUGUUGCAGCUGGCCAUUUUCUACUACGAAACCAAUUUUCUAGGAGUAAAUAAAUAAAUGAACAACUACAGCAUACAUCAUAUGAGUUUCAGACUUUAUGAAGCCUGAAUGUUGAAAAAAUAAGAAAAAGAGACAACGUAAGGACCUCUGCUCUGUCGUGCCGAUGGAUGACAGAAGCUAAUUGCAGAUGGCCGGAGUUGCGACAUCAGCCUCUUCGAGACACGCGGAGACCUCCGUAUCUCCUCGAGCUCUCCUGCCGCGCGGGGCCGUCAGCGCCCAACAACCUAUGCGGUGCCGCCGCCGUCUGUCUCAUAGGGAACAGCAGAAAGGCCAUUUUCUUUCGGGUGCUUUGAUAAAAAAAAUCAUAUAUUACAGGUGGGUCCAGGACUACUUAUCAACAAUACAUCUCCUUCUCAAUGUAUCCGAAAUGGGGAUUUUGAAAUAUAUUAACCGGAGUCUCUGAAAUCUAACACACUAAAAUUCAGGAACCUAUGAAAACUGGUACAUUUCUUCAUCAACCAUCCUUCGAACCUCAUGUGGCAACGCAGAUAUCAGAGCAUGUGUGUCUUCCUUCUAAGACUUUUGCAUGUUGCCCCUCUAUGCUCCUUUUUUACGGCCAAUGUGUGGAAGGUCAUGUCCAUAACCUCAUUGAUAGUCAAAACAUAGACGAUGAUGAUUGUGAACAUCCGCUGUGGCUUCAGAUUGCGAUGAUGUUGCCUCAUCCCCCAAUUGUGUAGACACAGGCUCCCAUUACACAAAGGGAAUGGUGGGGCGAAUAGACUCGUACCUCUGAAGAGCGAGGAGAAGAUACAUGUAUUUGUUUUCCUCCAAUAUUUUAGAUGGGCCUAGGACAGAUUGAGAGGGGAGCAAAUCCGAAUUUAUACCACACUCACAUUGACAUCCCAAGAUGGUGGAGUAUAUAUAGAACUUCUAUACAUCUUGUUUUUAAUAGCUCAUUUUUAGGAAGGAAAAAAAUAAAUUGUUAUCAUGGGAUAUGUGUUGAGCAGGUCAUUCAAAAAUGUUUAUUUAAUCAUGUGACUGAAUACACCAGAAUCAUGUGAUCAUCCUACUUGCAUGUUUAUGUUAGUCUCCAACUUCCAAAGUAGAACCUAGUAUACAUGGUAUUCUAGUUCUCUCCUGUGUACCAUCACUCCAAGUCCAUUGCAUCAUGAAAGACGUGUGAAACGUGAGAACUGGCAUUGCAUGAUUCUUCUCCAUCUCUAUGUUUCAUCUGGAUAAAGGGUGUCAGAGUAGAUGAUGGGUUUAAUGGCAGAGAGGGGGGGGAGAGGGAGAGGGAGAGAUCUCAUUCUUGUAAAAUGUAAAAAAAAGGAAUGGAAGGAAAGGUCCACACUUAGACAAACUGAUUAGAUCCGUAAACUAAUUAGACCCGCAAAAAAAGAUGACGCUAUAAAUAUCUCAUAACAACAGAGGGAGAGGAAGGCCAUAGCUUUUAUUGUGUAUGGUGAGACCGGCUUUUCAACACCCGGGUGUCAGACACCCGGCUAUCAGGCCGUUCAGGCAAUACCUCUCAUUGGGAUAUGUGUCUGGUCCUGCACCACCAUUUUCAUUAGCAGGCAAGGUGAAUAGUAAAUGGAUGUGACAACAGAGAACGGCCAUAGAGCGGACGAGCUCGCCUGUGUUGAACAGCCUGUCACGUUACACAAGGUGCACCGAAGCAGGAGUAUUGAGCCGCACCAGAAGUCCCAAUAUAUUGGUAGAGAUAAGCUAGGUAGUUAGUUCAUAUCUAUCCUUUGUAACCUAUUCUAUCUCUUCUCCUUCAAGUCUCCUGUAAUAUCUCAACUUCUAACUUGUAUGUGCUUCAGGGAUUGCGCCCCUGCCUAUAACAUGCAACGCGUCCCCUCGCACCGAGGUAAAGACGUUUCCGCAUCUCGCACAUGGUAAUCAGAGCCAUCCUACUUCCCAUCUAGUUUUCUCUCGAUUCCAAUCGUGUCCAAAAAUCAUGUCUUCCUCCUCCGGCAUCUCUCACCCUAGCCUCAGUGGGCAGGUCAUUGAGAAACUCUCCCGCACGAACUACGUGCUAUGGCGCACACAGAUCACGCCACAAUUGCGUGGCGCCGAUGUCUUCAGCUAUGUUCAUGGCACCUCGCCGGAGCCGGCCAAGCUCCUCGCCGCCAAGGACAAGGACGGCAAGGAGACCUUCCAGCCCAACCCUCUCCACCCCAUCUGGGUCAGGGAGGACCAGCAGGUUCUCGGCUACCUGCUGAGCAACCUCUCCAAAGAGGUGCUCCUCAUGGUGACCACGAUCACCACGGCGCAGCCGCUCUGGACGACGCUGGCGGGCAUGUACUCGUCGCAGUCGCUUAGCCGCAUCAACAACAUCCGUACCUCGCUCAUCAAUGCGCAGAAGGGCAACCAGUCCGCCACCGCCUACUUUGCCUCCAUGCGCGGUCUCGCGGACGAGCUGGCAGCGGCCCGCAAACCCAUCCAGGAUGACGAACUCAUCUCGUACAUCCUCCACGGGAUGGAUCUGGAGUACCAGCCCCUCGUCUCCGCCCUCGACACCCGUGUUAGCCCCGCCUCCCUCGACGAAAUCUUCUCCAUGCUCAGCAACUUUGACCAGCGCAUGGCGCGGUUCCAUAGCUCGGGCGGCGGCAGAUUCAAGUCCUCCGCAAACGUCGCUACCCGUGGACGUGGCGACGGCUCUCGCUACCGCGGUCCUUCCCGUGGCAAGGGGAGGUCUGGUGGCGCCAGGACUAGCAGCGGUGGUGGGAUCAGUGGCGGUGGCAGGCGUGGCAACAAGGGUCGCCGUGGUGGCGACUCUGGUAGAACCCGCCCGGACACGCCGCGCUGUCAGAUUUGUGGCAAGCCGGGGCACACUGCCAAAGACUGUUGGUACCGCUAUGAUGAAGACGAGGACGACUCUCAAGAUGAUGGAAAGGUCGCUACGGCGGCUGAUGGCUCCUACGGUGUUGAUACCAACUGGUACCUCAACAGCAGCGCCACUAAUCAUCUCACCGGUGAGCUUGAAAAGGUGACUCUCCGUGAGAAGUACCACGGCAAGGAUGAGAUUCACACCGCCGAUGGUGCAGGUAUGAGAAUCAGUCACAUUGGUCAUUCGGUUAUACAUACCCCUCGUCGUAAAAUUCAUCUUAGGAAAAUUUUGCAUGUUCCUAGUGCCAACAAAAACCUCCUUUCCGUUCAUAGAAUUGCACUUGACAACCAUGUCUUCAUUGAAUUUCAUCCCUUUUUCUUCUUGAUCAAGGAUCAGGCCACGAGGAAAACCCUAUAUCGAGGUAGAUGUGUUCGAGGACUCUACCCGUUGCUUCCGGAGUUUAGAAGACACAAUAAACAAGCCUAUGCUGUUGUCAAGCUUUCUUCAACAUGGUGGCAUGAUCGUCUAGGAUAUGCUUCUUUUUCUUUAGUUGAACAUUUGCUUAGGAAGAAUAAGCUCAUGUUUGUUGGUGAGCGUCAUGUUGAAACUGUUUGUGAUUCAUGCCAAAGAGCAAAAAGUCAUCAAUUGCCUUAUCCUGUUUCUACUAGUGUUUCUACUCAACCUUUGUAAUUAAUCUUUUCGGAUGUCUGGGGUCCUGCUCCUUGUUCGGUUGGUAGACACACAUAUUACGUAAGCUUCAUUGAUGACUAUACCAAGUUCUCAUGGAUCUACCUUCUCAAGAAACGAUCCGAUGUUUUUCAAGUUUUUCAAAACUUCCAAGCACUCGUUGAAAGAAAUUUGACAGCAAGAUCAUUGCAGUCCAAUCUGACUGGGGGGGAUACGAAAAAUUAAAUUCCUUCUUCCAAACCCUUGGCAUACCCCAUCAUGUUUCAUGCCCUCACCCUCACCAACAAAACGGCUCUGCCGAACGCAAGCACCAACACAUAGUUGAAGUUGGUCUAGCUCUCCUAGCCGGUGCUUCCAUGCCCCUCAAGUUUCGGGACAAAGCCUUUCUUACCAUCGUCCACAUAAUCAACAUGCUUCCUAGUCGUGUCAUCAACAACGAAACUCCCAUGGAAAAACUCCUUCACAUCAAACCAGACUACAAGUCUCUCCGUGUGUUUGGUUGUGCUUGUUGGCCCAACCUUCGUCCAUACAACAAUUGAAAGCUCAUAUUUCGAUAAAAACAGUGUGUUUUUCUUGGGUAUAGUGCCCAACACAAGGGUGUCAAAUGUCUAUAUGUAUCCACUGGUCGCAUCUAUAUUUCACGUGAUGUUGUUUUUUACGAGACCAAGUUCCCAUUUGUUGACCUUCACCCCAAUGCUGGUGCACUCCUUCGCAAAGAGAUCCUACUUCUCCCUUCUCAUCUCACUAGUUUUGAUCAAGGGGGCGAUAAUUGUAAUGAUCAAGUGUUGACUGGCCCUCUUAAUACCACAUAUGAGCCUGGUGAUGAUGCAGGAGAAGGCACAGAAAAAAACAGCAGUCAAGAUGGUGAAGAAAUGCGCUCUACAGAGCCAUAUUUCAUGUGUCCAGGUGAAGGGAACAAGUCCCCUUCGGGAUCCGUGCUGCCAGGCGUGUCAGCCGCAUCAUCCUCAGGAGACCGCGCAGACGCGUCAGGGCGGCCACGCGAAUCUGCACCAGAAUCCGCGCCAGCCUCGUCAGGCGUGGUCGGGAGCGAGCCAUCGAGCGGCGACUCCGAGCCAGCCACGCGGCGCCCUGUGGCUGGGGAACACGCCUCCUCUGCUCCGCGCCAAUCACGCAUUUGAAUAUUCAAGCGUUUGAAUAUUUUUAAUAAAGUAUUGCAAAUGUUAAUCAAGCAAUUGAAACUUGUUAAGGCCUUGUUCGGUUUGGCAGGGUUUGAAGAGGUUUGAAAGGAUUGAAGGGGAUUAAAUCUCUUGCAAGUCAAAAUCCUUCUCAAACCUCGCCAAUCCCCUUCAAUCCAUGUGGCAAGGGGAUUAACCGAACAUGGCCUCAAUGUGUAUAGAAAAAAUGGUUGCCAUGUAAACAAAUAAUUAAUAAAAAAUAUACAAUGUGUAGGAAACGAAUGUUGAUGGUGUAUUUAAAAAUGUUGAUAAAUAAUUAUAAAUUUAUCAAUGUAACAAAAUAAAUUUCUCAUGUGUUCAACAUUUGUUAGUGGUCAUAAUACUUUUUGCGCGCACAAUGCACAUUUCUUUUAUAAAUCAAGAACAUUUUUUUACAUUCUUAAUAUUAUAAAAAUACAUAAUUACCUUUCUUAAAUACAUUUUUAUGGUGUCUACUUUUACUUAAUGUGCAUAUUACAUUUUUGUAUAACUGAUCAGCAUUUUUAUAUACACGUUUAACAUUUUAAAAAAUAUGAUCAAUAUUUUUCCAUAUGAACAAAGCAAAGGCAAUAAAAACCAACUAAAACCUAAAUAGAAACAAAUGAAAUAAAAAUAAAAAAUAAAAAAACACCGCAGAAAGAAUAGAAAACAGCAAAAAUCGAGAAAAAAGGAAAAAUGAAAAAAGAAAGACACAAAUAGAAAAUAAAGAAGAAGAAGAAGAAGAAGAAGAGAAAUAAAAGAAAAAACAUCUAAAAACCAAUAAAGAAACAGAAACAGAUCAAAGAAAACAAAGAAAGCUAAAAGAAAUGAAGAAAUACACAUUCACCAGUGACGCGAUCAUGAGCGGGCAUUUUUUUGUUUUGUUUUGAGAAAUGGACCUCCUAGUUGCUACACGAGAGAGUUAUUCCUUCCGGGUAAAGAAGCUACGAACUCGGGUGAAGCAAGACAUAGCUCUCGCGGGAAAAGAGAGCUCCUCGUUGGCGCGUUAAGCGAGGCGCACCUAUGUAUCGCUUGAUACGAGAUGAAACAUGCGACCGCUUAGGGGUCGCAAUACAUGGUUCGGCCCAGAUAGGUUCCAGGUUAGGUCAUCCUUUUUCAUGUGUUUCUACUUUUUUCGAAAAUAUUGUAAACAAAUAUAUACAAAAACAUAAAAAUUGUUACUAAAAAUAGGAGCUGCAAUUUGAAAAUGUUAAUGAAAUGUAUGUUAGCUUAAUUAAAAGAAAUAUUGGUAGCGUACAAAAAAUAUGACAUUUAACAAAUAUUCACGUGUUUCAAAAGUAGUAUGUGACUUUAUAACCAUGUAUUUCAAAAAUCUUAAAUUUGUAUGUAGACUCUUCUUUAUUUACACAAAAAAUGUACAAAUGUGUACGUAAAAAGUAGACAUAAAUGACAUAUAUUUGGAAAAUGACACUUCUGUAUUAGAAAAAUAUUAAAUAUGCAUCCAAAAUGUUCUUGAUGUAUAAUAAAUUGUACAAUACGUAUAAAAAUCUACAUAUAAACAAUUAUUUGAAACAAAAAAAUUAAUCAUGUAAAUUUGCCCGUCUCCGCGAGAUCAAUUUGUGGUUCCGAACAACGAGCUCGCUCAACGCAGAAGCCAUGGCGGUGGUUGAGGCGCUAGACAAGGAGGUAGUGUCAAGGUGUUUCCCUGGUAACAAGAGCAACCAUGGUGGUUCUCUAAAUAAUGGAGGAGGCAGAGUCAACAGAUCCCUCCAAGCAAUUCAAGUGGGCGGUGUUCAGGUCCCUUACCACAAUUUUCCUUGCGUCUGUGGAGGUGGUAAGGGUGUUACCGACAUCAAGAAGCAGUUCGAUGCUGAUUGUGAUUUCAGAUGAGGAGCUUGAGCUGCAGCGGGUGAAGAAGAAGGGCAUGGUGGUGAGUUUCCCACACGGCUCCGCCAGGCUCCAUGCCCUCUCCGCGCAGAGUAGGUGUCUCCCCGGAUGGUAGCUGCUUCUAGUUGGUGGCCGCGGAGGAUUGCGACUAGGCUGAUGCUGGAGAGGGUUGCCCGCCGGAUAUCUCAGGCAUAUUUCUAUCUGCUAAAUAUUUGCAUUCUGCUUCACAUAUUAGUGAUGGUAGAAAUGUUUUGGGUUGGAAUAAAAUUCAAUUGAAACUGAAAAAGAAACAACAUAAAUAAACACGUCCAGCUACAUGAUUCUAGAGUUUGUGAUUGGGAAAAUAAAGUUGAUGAAAAUUCGUCUUCUGUUUGUUAACCAUGUAUAAAAAUAUGCUUAUCAUGUGUAAAACAUUAUUUAGUGGCGCUAAUUGCUUUUGCACGCACAAUGCACAUUUUUUGUACAUCAAGUACAUUUUUUCUUAACAUUUUAUAAAUACAGAAUCAAUUGUUUAAAAAAUAUGCCGUCUACUUUUAUUUAAUGUACAUAGUAUAUUUUUGGUGCAAAUGAUCAGCAUUUUAAUAUAUACAUUUAACAUUUUUUAAACAUGUUCAAUGUUUUCCAUAAGGACGAAAAAGACAAAGAAACCACCUAAAACUGAAAAAGAAUCAAAUGAAAAAAUAAAAAUAAAAAAGAAAGAAAACCACCUCAAAAAGCAUAGAAAACAGGGAAAACCAUGAAAAAAAUGAAAACAGUGAAAACGAAAGAUACACAAAAAAUGAAAAAAAGGAUGAAUAAAUAAAAUAAAAAACAACUGAAAACCAAGAAAGAAACAAAAAAACAUGAAAGAAAACAAACAAGAAUAAUAAUAAAUCGAAUGGAGAAAAAAAUAAAAAUCGAUGGAAAAUAAAUAAACAAGGAAAACAGGCGAAGAAACAAAGAAAAAAAGAAGUAAACGGACCUUGCCAGUUGCUACGCGAGAGAUCUAUUUGUUCAGGCAAGAGAAGCUACGAACUGAAGUGAAGCGAGAUAUAGCUCUCGUCGCACACGAGAGUUCUUGGUCGGCGGAUUAAGCAAGACGGAGCGUGCAAUAGCUUUGGUGUCAGCUAUACAUGGUUCGGCCCAGAUAAGUUCCAGGUUAGUUCGUCCUUUUUAUGUGUUUCUCCUUUCUUUUGUUCUUAUUUUGAAAAAUGUUGUAAAUAAAUAUAUACCAGAACAUAAAAUUUAUUUAAAAAUAUAAAAAUGUUGAAUGUGAAUGUACUAAAUAUGUUAGCUUAAUUCAAAAAAAUAUAGGUAGCGCACAAAACAAUUGUGACAUUUAACAGAUAUUCACGCGGUUCAAAAAAAGUAUGCAACUUUAUAACCAUGUAUUUCCUAAAUGUUAAACGUCUAUAAAAAAACUCUUCUUUAGUUACGCAAAAAAUGUAGAAUUGUGUAUGAAAAAAGUAGACAUCAAUAACAUAUAUUUGAAUUAUGUUACUUUUGCAUUUAAAAAAUGUUAAACAUGCCUAAAAUAUGUUCGUGAUGCCUAAAAAAUGUUGCGAUGAGGAUGGCUGUCAUCUCGCACCCGCCGACUGCUUGAACAGCUAGCGUCGCUGAGCUUGAGGAACCCCUUGUAGGGACCAAAGCAGACAACCUUGACGUUGCUGGCCUCCGUCGGCAUAUCAACAAAGCGCGACGCUUUCACUGUCGGACCAAAUCAGAGAUGGAUUAGGUCUAAAAUAUAUAUUUCUUGGUUAAAGGAAAAACAUGUAAUAACUGAACUCGCACUUAAGAAUUAAUCAACAUGUUGAUUCCACCGAAGCAUGCAUGCCUCCUGGAUGCUGAAACACGACUCACUGACUAUAAAAGCAGAGGACUCACUGACUAAGUACAGGAGCGAGUGACCGACUCUCGGCUCGGGUGAGGAUAAAAAAGAUCACCUGCUGCUGCUGGUUAUUGGUAAAAUCCAUGUGAGUGCUUGAUAAAAAAUUAUGGAACAUUGUAUAUGUUGUUACACAUAAAUGUUGGGAUAAAAAGAAUCAUCUUGGUACACUGCCUAGUCUUUUGGUGGACAGAAGAUUGUAUGGUGCAAGAAGCUAUUCAGAUACAACAACACUGGGCUACAUGACAGGAAUGGUGUACACGCCCCAAGGGCCAGCAGGCAGCAGCAAACCAGGUCAAGAUGAGAUGGUCUGGGCCUAGGAUGUUGAUUCAGAGAUGCCUGACUCGACGCCAAGCAGCAGCCACCCUACACCGCAGGCCCCGGCAGUUCUCGACCGAGAGCGACUGCGGCACAGUUCAGUUGUAGAAGCAAUCACAUGCCAUUCCCCCAGCAGAGCAGAACAGAGCAGAGCAACAAUCAGGGAUCAGGCCUGUCAUUGAAUAGAAGCUGAAUGACCUUCAGCUUCAGCUCCGGCAGGCCUGCCUCCGCUCACGGACUAGCCUCGGUAUUUCCUUCCAUGUCUUCGGUUUCAAUGGUUUGAAUUCCGUUACUGCACAUACCAAAAACGAUGUCAGAAAAAGCUUGCACAAAUUAAUGUGUUAUAUCAAAAUAUAUAGCAUGAUGGCAUUCAAAUAAUGGAGAAGAAACUUCUGCAAACGUGUUAGACCAUUAUGUACAAGGGAUGGAACGGAUGACUGCAUCUGUUUGUUAAAUGUGGCAAAGAUAGAAGGACGUGCUGCAAGCAUACCUUCAUAGCAGGCAUCUAGUCGUUUGCGGCUGAUGCUGCCCAGUUGCUGCUGCAGGCAUCUAGGGAGCUUCUUUAUAGCAGGGCAGCCUCUAAUUUGAAGAUACACGAGAGACCUGUAUACUUGCAGCUCAUUCGGCAGGGAUGCCAGGGUACUGCAUCUGUCAAGAUAAAGGACAUCCAGCGAUGGGGGGUGCUCUCCCGACAGACACUCCAGCGAUGUCAGCCCACUGUUUCCCAUAAUCUGCGGUCCCUUGAGGGGUGCAGGUAGACGGAGAGUCCCACCCAACAUGCCAGCACAGUCCACUAUUACUAGAGAUUCGAGAUGGGGAGGAAGUAAAUGCUCUCUUGCAGUUGGUGUUGCUGCUGCUGGUGGCUGUGGCAUGAUAGGACUUCUGCUUAUGGAGGUAGUGACUUCUGGUUUCUGGAGCCCACCCAGCUGGCAUGAUAGGACUUGAAUACUACUACAGCUAGCAAUACGAAUGUACUUUAAAGACGGAGGAAGGUUCAGAACCGCUGGUAAGCUUCCACAUCCAGAUAAAAGUAGAUCUUCUAGGCAUGGACAAAAGUGAUUCAUGGGUGAGGAUGGCAACUCUGAUACAGCUGCAGCCCUGAUUGCCUCACUGCUAGAAGAUACUUGGACUAACUCUGCCAUGCCCUGCUGCUUGCUGAAUAUGGAGUCAAGCUUAAUGCACCUAUCAAAAUUCAUUUUCUUGAGAGAUGCCGGGACGUUGAACAUCUCUACUAAACUUGGGCAGUUUUCUAAGCAAAGAGACUCUAGACCUCUCAGGUGCUGACUCCUUUCGGACGCCAAUGGCUCAAGAGGAGCUUGUGCAUAUCCAAUCAGAUUUUCACAGUUUGUAAUCGCCAAGCUCCUCAAGGACACCAAGCUUUGGAACACUUUCUCUGGCCAGUGGACGAGCACAUCGCAUCUAUCAAUUUCCAACUUUUCAAGAUCUACAAAAUACUCACACGGCUCUAAUGCACCCGAUCCAAAGAACAAGUUGCAGCAUCUUAGCUCCAUAACUGUAAGAGGGGAUUUCUGGUUCCAUUUCUCCUUGCUGUCCACCAAUACAAUUGAAGUGCACUCAACCUCUGAUGUUGUUUCUGUGUUUUCUAGCUUCAGUAUCAGAUUGGUCAAUGAGGGCAAAUAUCUAUCUACAGAAUCGGAGAUCUCUUGCUUGCCAUCUUCAAUUUCUAAUACACUGAGUUUUGGUGCUUCAGGCAAUGCUACCAGUUUUGGGCAUUUCUGGACUGACAAUUUCUCAAGGUGGGGAAACAAUGUACCUUCGACUGCAUCCCAUCUCUGAAAGCUCCCCAACCAUUUCAUUUUGAGCACCUUUAAGGCAGGAAAGGCUGAACGUACCAAUCUAUAACCACCUUCACUACAUGGUUCUUGAAGCAAUGGUGCUUCAGGUAACGCUGUCAGCUUUGGACAUUUCUCAAUUGAUAGUUCCUCCAGACAAGGAAACACUAUCUGUUCUCCUUGAGUCUCUUCGACUGCAUCCCAUCUCCGAAAGCUCUCCAACUCUUUCAUUUUGAGUACCUUUAGGGCAGGAAACGCUGAGCGUACCAAUGUAUAACCACCUUCACCACAAGGUCCUUGCAGCAAUGGUGCUUCAGGUAAUGCUACCAACUUUCCACAAUUACUAAUAAACAACUUCUCAAGCACAGGAAAUAUUGUUUGUUCUUCUUGCCUCUCAUCUAUUUCCCACCAUCUUACAAAACCCAACAAACGUUCUAGCAUUAGUACCUUCAGUUUUGGAAAAGUGAAGCUUGCACUGCAUCUGAACAAAACUUGCAAUCUUUCACAAUGGAAAAGAUGGAUCUCAACCAUGUUUUGCAGCAUACCCAUGCACUCUCCUCCAUAGGAAUAUAUCUUCAGAACCUGCAACCCACCAUGUGGUUCGAAAUUGUCGAGCACCAUGCUGUCACAAACAGAAUUCCAUCUUAAUGUCAGUUCUCUGAGAUCCUUCUUGUUUCCAAGGUUUGCCACUUUUGCCUCUGCCUCUAUAACAUUCUCUAUCUGACAUAGCUCUAACUGACCACCAAGGUUUAAAUGCUGCAGCUCUGCAACAUCACUGCAAUCAGUGCCAGUAACUGCUGCUGCAAAAAAUGUAAGCGUCUGCAGCUUAGUGAGUUUUCCUAGUUCUGGUGGCAUGCUCUUCAAGUUGCGACAUCCAAGAGUGUAGAGGUGACGGAGGGAAGUCAUAUACUUCAUUUGCCUCGGAAGUCGAUCAAGAUGAUAGCAGUUGGAAAGGUCUAACGUUUGCAGGUUAUAUAGAAUACUUAUAUCUUCAGGAAGUGCUUUGAUAUCACUGUCUGAGAGAUCAAGGUACCUCAGGUGAUACAGAUACAUUGAUUUCAGAAGAAAUGAUUCUGUGCCUCUAAUACAGAGCUUUAAGGCAUGCAAAGAGCUAUAUUUUGAUAGAUGCUUCAAUGAGCUUCGCACAUGGCUAUCACAUAUCAGUGUUUGAAUGGCAGGGGAUUUUUUCUCCAGAGCAUCAUUCAAAAUACCUUCUGUUUCUUCACAUGACAAGAACAAAUGCCGAGCAGUAUCUGGAAGCCACUCGGUUUGCCUUGGUUCCAUAGUUGCAACAACUCAUUCCUCUUCCAUAACAGACAUUGCAAUAUCAUGCAUAAGAUCAUGGAUUUUACAUGUAUUUCUGGAAUAAUACUCCCAGUCUUCUUUACUCUUCUCUAUAUCCAGAAAGAAUGACCUUGAAGCAAGCUCAUCAAAAAUAAGUUGUCCAAUGGUUUCAAGACUAUCUUCCUUGUGUUCAGGGAUAAAGCCAUUUGUGAUCCAUAGUUGGAUCAGCUUUGCUACAUCAAUCUUGUAAUCCUUUGGAAAUACAGCACAAAAAGCAAAGCACUGCUUCAUGUGCGAUGACAAGUCAUUGUAGCUAAGCUUCAAUAUUGGCAAGAUUCCAGUUUCCUCAGUGCAAAUGCUGCUUCUAGAUGCUAUAGCCUUCCAUUCUUUCACGGUGGUCUUGGUACGAAGUACAGAGCCCAGUGCACUUGCAGCUAAAGGAGAGCCACGACAUCUGUUCACAAUCUGAUCAACCAUCUUGACUAGCUCAACAGGCUUUUUUUUUCCGGAACUGAAUGCUCGAGCCUCAAUAAUUUCCUUUAAGAAUAUAUCAUCCAAACGACCGAGAAUGUGGGUAUCUGCACCCAUAAUUUCAGCAACUCCUUUAUCACGAGUUGUUGUCAGCACCGCACUACCCAUGACACCAUGCUUAAGAUGGUCCUUCAGCCUUUCCCACUUAUGGACUUCUCUGUUCCAGACAUCAUCUAAUACAAGGAGAUACCUCUGCCCGGUGACCAAUUUCUGAAGUCUCUCUAGUUGUGGUUUGUUUGUAUGAUAAUUUUUCUUGGGAGAUGCUUCAACUAUACUCUUGGCUAGGGAGUUCACAUCAAAGAUAUCCGAGACACAGACCCACAGCAACAACUGGAAAUGCUUCUGAAUUCUAGGUUCAUUGUAUAUGAGCUGUGCUAAUGUGGUCUUACCAAAGCCCCCCAUUCCAACGAUGGCAACCACUGCGAGAUCAGCACUAUUAGCUUGGCGAAGUAGUCUACCAACAACUUCCACCUUAUCUUUGUCUCUGGAUCUGCUAGCAAUGUCUUGCAGGUCGGUGAUAACAGAAUCCGUCUGCCUCCACUGCUUGGACACGGGUGGCUGUGGUCGGUACUUGAACCUAAAGGCAUGCAUCUCUGCUAUGAGCACAUCAAUGGCCUUCAGGAUCCGGCAAAGCUUGCGACCCAUUUUGUAACGGAACACAAUACAGUUGUGAGUAGGGAAGAGUUUAAUUACAUCGAAGCCGAGCUUGCUGUAGUGCCCCUUCUUCCUGGCUUCACGACGGAGUGCUUCGUACUUGAAUUCGUCAAACACUUCAUUUGCCUCAUAUGCCACCGUCUUGAGCUCCUGGAGCCAGGUUUUGGCCCCAUCUCUAUGCUCCGUCGCCUGCUUCUCGGCGUCGGUCAUGACGUCGAGGAUGGCCGGAAGCUUGCGUUUGAGAAUCUUGUGCUGCUCCUCCAUUCCCUCCAUCACCUUGUACUGGUCCAGGAGGGAGUUGCCCGCCUUGUUCACCAGCAUGGACACCAGCGGCCGGAUGGCCAUGGCGGCCACCACCUCCGCCAUUGGAACGCCCACACGAUUGGCACAGCAACACGAAGCAGUGUGGAAUGGAGAAUGGAAUGGUGUGAGCAAGACGUGCUUGCUUUGCUAGUAAUGAAACUGGAAGCCAAGGUGAGUAUUGACUUUCUGGGAGCGAAGUGGAUGAGCUCGCGUUACGGGAACCAAUCACAACUAUCCAAUCCUGAACAGCUCAGCACUGGGCAUUGUUUUUGGGCUGAUGCAUAAUAGGACAAUCAGCAUACCACAUUAACAGCUGGGGGCAUCUUCAUUUCUUAAUGAGACACAACCAGAGUGCAAGACGACGCGGGCAACCAUAAUAUUGCAAGUAGAUCAUUGUAUUAGGUAUUUGUGUCAGUACAUCCAAUCCAGUUUUUCAAAAGUGACGUUUCACUGGCUGUGACCUUAGCAGAUGGUACGAAUUUCCUUAACAAAUACAAAGAGUUGCAGGAAUGCAAAUUAAAUAAUUACUUCCACUGGCUAGACGUGUGACAGCACACCUACUGCCUAACUACAGCAUAUACUUAUCUCAAGUGCCUGCCGCCCAGGGAGACCAGAAUAAUGGUGUUCUUGGAUUAGUUGAACCUUCAAUGCAUCACUACUUAUCACCGAAGCAUUAUUUUAUUGUUCUUUUUUUUUUGGAAUGGCCUCUAAGUAUGAUUGAGUACAGGAUUGAUCUCAGAGCAAACAUAAUCGGCUGGCAGAGAAUUAUGUCUUGUUCAUAUAGUCUGAUGCAAUUUUGUGGUUACACACUCCUCAGUUUUUAUAACUAAAUACAGAAUUUUAAUCUGUUGACAGAUCAGACAAACGUAGAAACAGUUAGCAAGAGCCCCAAUGAGAUUAUAUGCAGCAUCAUUUUAAUCGGAAAGCAAUUGCCCUCAUGAGAUCAGCAACCAUACACAGUGCCAAUAAAAAAAGGUGGCUCGUACUAACGACGCAGGUUUCAAAUUAAUCAAGUGGCUAAACCGAGGCAUCGACAGCCAUAUGGGACAAUGUGCACUUCAGUUAGAAAAUGAACACUUGCAGGCAGUAAAAUAAUUUAUGUCAGUACACCCACGAUAUUGCAAAUAGAGUAUUAAUUACGUAUUUGUGUCAGUACAUCCAAUGCAGUUUUUCAAAAGUGACGUCCCAUUGGCUGUGACCUUAGCAAAUGGUACGAAUUUUCGUUCUAAGUACUACAAAAAGUUGCAGGAAUGCAAAUUAAACAAUUACCUCCCAUGUCUAGACGUGUGAGAGCACACCUACUGUGCAACAACAAAAUAUAUUUCAUCUCGGGCACUUACCGCACAGGGAGGACCACAAUAUUGGUUUUCGUGAAUCUAAAAUACAUCACAUGCUUCCUGCUGAAGAGGGAAGACCCGGUGGCAAGUGGUUAAUUUCUUGUCCUUUUUUAAUGACACCUCUAACUAACAUUGAAGGGGCAUGAUUGAUCUCAGAGAUGAGCAUAAUAAGCUGGCAGAUGACCAUCCCUUGCUCAUAUGGACAAAUGAUACACUUAAUAUACUGAUAUGAUAAAAUACAACUUGACAAUCUCCUGAUAUUCGACGAUGAAAGAUAUGUAUGAGUAUGCGAUUCAAUUUGGUGGGCUUAAUAUGUUCCGUUAUUGAGAGACAGUGAAAAGCGGAAUAAAGGGCAGGGUGGAAUUCUCUAUAUCAGGUUAAGGAGAUCGUCUUAACUAACUAAAAUCAGAUGAAGCCUAACUUUGCAACCAUACGACGGAAGCAACAAAAAUAAAGACAGGGAGCCAGAACAGAACAAAGAUAAAUUCCAGUGCCCUUUUAUUGAUCACUGCCUAUGGCCAUAUAGAUGAGAUCUGGGACUCGGCCAGCUGAAACAUUCCUCUAGAAAGCACAUUUCCGCUGAUGCACAUAUGAAAUACGACAGUACAAAGCAGAAUAAACACUGAGAUUAUACAGAUGAUUGGACGCUGUAACUAAGUUGGAUAUCGCGGCGCGCAUAGGCGGAAAUGAGAGAGAAACGGAAUGUCCAAAGCCACAAAUGUACAUCGCUGUCAGGCUACCCAGCUGAAUCCUGCUUCCUGCUGACCCUCCUGAUUCACGCAGACGCAGCUAGCAUGGAGAUGGGCACGCCUCUCGAAUUCAUGUGAAUCGAAUCGCUGGAAGAGACGGACGGACAGGAUCAAUACCUUUGUGUCGACGGGGAGGGGAGGCCGGAGUGGCUGCCGUCGACGUACGGCGCGCAGCCGACGGGGGAGCUCCGGGACCUUCUUGUCGACACCAUCUGCAAUGGAAGUAAAAAAGAGCUGUUAGAAGAGGAUACGAGAGAGGCUCACGGUAGGAAGGAAUGGGGAAGGGGGAUGAGUGAGUACCUCGAGCGGCCGCGGUGGUGGUGGGCGGGCGGAUGCGGAGGGUGGGAGGGAGGCUGACACCUCCGCCGCCACAGACGUACGUGGAGCGGCCACGGGCGUUGCGUUCUGGUAGAGGCCACGGGCAGUGGGGUCCGGGAGACGUCGUGCGCCGGCGAGGAGGACGGGGAAGGGGAGACGAAGACGACGCGGAUCGGCGGAGUGUGGGCUGGGCUUGUGACGUUGGGGCCUCCGAAAACUAUAGCCCAGUUCGAAUUGGUGCCCUAACACACACAGCGCUUACGUCGGCUAAAUCCUAUUUGGCGCCUUCAGCGCCCGCUAUAGGUCUUUCGGCCGGCCCAGUUUCGACAUUUUUUCUGUGUUUCCAAAAGGCAAAAAGGGCGCUAGAGCUGGGUAUCGAAAACGCUACAACCACUCAACCACACCCCUUGGUGUGAUUGGUUACAUGUUUUCUCGUCUUUUCUUAUGCUUCUUUUCCUUUUUAUUCCUUUUUUUCUUUCUUUUUUCAAAUUCGCAAAACUGUUUCUUCAUGAAUAUUUUCUGCAAAUCGAUGAACUUUUCUCUUUGAAUUUGAUGAUUUUUUUCGAAAAAUUUGAUGAACGUUUUUUCAGAUCCGAUGAACUUUUUUUUGAAUUCCAUGAACUUUUUUCAAAUUCGAUGAACUAUUUUUCGAAUUCAAUGAACUUUUUCUGAAUUCGAUGAACUUUAUUUCGAAUUCAAUGAACUUUUGAUCGAAUUCGAUGAACUUUUUUAAAUUUGAUGAACUUUUUCAAAUUCUGAUGAACUUUUUGAAAGGACAAGAGUACAUACCGUAGCAAAACGGUUUGUUUUUUCCAAGAAAAUCAGUACACACUGUAGCAUUUUUUGAGCGAGAGAAAUAAAAAAGUGAUCGAGCGGUAGCUAGCGACCGAGCGGCGACAGCAGCGAGCGUUGCUGGGCCAGGCCCAUGCAAGCGACGCAGUGGGCGCCGUGUUCACUCGCUCCACCUCUGCAUUGAUGUCUCUAGCUUGUAGCAAUUGCCAUCCUUUACAUGUAAAGAGGAUUUGAUGAGUCAUGUCAUGCUCUAUAGGCGUCAGUUCAUCUUAUCACCUUAGAGGAAAAUACAAAGUUAGUUUUUCGAAAAGCAACCGAGCCUAGAAGAACCGUACCCUCGACACGCAAGGCUUUAGCAUAUCUUAAUAGCCGAGACACGAUUGCGACUUGGUUCCACACAAGUUUCGUCUUUCUUGUUAAUGGCUGACAGCCCAUACAAGAUUCCAAACUCGGUUGCAAAAGUGAUACUAUCCUGAUAAGUGCGUGACAUGUAAAGUGAAUAAGGUGAUUCAUCUAUAGCAAACUUUAGGAUUUCUAUACUUUGUGUAUAAUCAUAUGCACAACUAAAAAGCAACUUUGAUGAUCAAUCCAAAAGUACGCUUGUAGCUAGUGCAACCUAACACAAUGUACCAAAAAUCCAUUUCAGAAACAUCCAAACAUAAUUAUUAAAGCUGAUGGAAAGAAGGAAAGAGAUGGUGCCCGGGCUACUAUAAAUAGGCAUGAAGUAUCAAGAUCAUCACAGGCACAAUCAUCAAAACCAAGCAAUACUAGUUAACACCAAUCCACCAUGAAGACCUUCCUCAUCUUUGCUCUCCUUGCCAUUGCGGCGACAAGUGCCAUUGCACAAAUGGAGACUAGCCGCGUCCCUGGUUUGGAGAAACCAUGGCAGCAACAACCAUUACCACCACAACAACAACCACCAUGUUCACAGCAACAACAACCAUUUCCACAGCAACAACAACCAAUUAUUAUACUGCAACAAUCACCAUUUUCGCAGCAACAACAACCAGUUCUGCCGCAACAGCAACCAGUUAUUAUACUGCAACAACCACCAUUUUCGCAGCAACAACAACCAGUUCUACCACAACAACCACCAUUUUCACAACAACAACAACAACAACAACAACAACAACCACCAUUUUCGCAGCAACAACAACCAGUUCUACCACAACAACCACCAUUUUCACAACAACAACAACCACCAUUUUCGCAGCAGCAACAACCAUCUUCACAACAACCACCUUUUCCACAACAACACCAACAGUUUCCACAACAACAAAUCCCUGUUGUUCAACCAUCCGUUUUGCAGCAGCUAAACCCAUGCAAGGUGUUCCUCCAACAGCAGUGUAGCCAUGUGGCAAUGUCGCAACGUCUUGCUAGGUCACAAAUGUGGCAACAGAGUAGUUGCCAUGUGAUGCAACAACAAUGUUGCCAACAGCUGCCGCAAAUCCCCGAACAAUCCCGCUCUGAGGCAAUCCGUGCCAUCGUCUACUCCAUCAUCCUGCAAGAACAACAACAGGGUUUUGUCCAACCUCAGCAGCAACAACCCCAACAGUCGGGCCAAGGUGUCUCCCAACACCAACAGCAGUCGCAGCAGCAGCAGCAACUCGGACAGUGUUCUUUCCAACAACCUCAACAACUACAACAAUUGGGUCAGCAGCCUCAACAACAACAGAUACCACAGGGUAUAUUCUUGCAGCCACACCAGAUAUCUCAACUUGAGGUGAUGACUUCCAUUGCACUCCGUACCUUGCCAACGAUGUGCGGUGUCAACGUGCCGUUGUACAGCUCGACCACUAUUAUGCCAUUCAGCAUUGGCACUGGAGUUGGUGGCUACUGAUAAGAAAAGAUUUCUAGUAAUAUAUAGUCGUUAGAUCACCGUUGUUUAGUCGAUGGAUAUGUCGAUGUAGCGGUGACAAAUAAAGUGUCACACAAACGUCAUGUGUGACCCGCAAACUAGUAGUUAAAUUCUGGAAUAAAAUACAAAUAAAGUUUUCUCUAGACAAUGUUCAUACCGGCGUUCUGUGGACGUCGAUGUGACUACCAUGCUUGCAAGUUCAUAAGUUCGUCUUGUCUGGUCACAAACCUGGUGCGUUAAUUUAUUAUUCAUGUAUAGAAAUAAUCAAAAUUUAAAUAUAAUAGUGUUAUUGUAAAAUUUUGGUUGAGUUGAAGCAAGGACUAACAUACAACUCUUUAAUGGUUGGAGAUUCAAGAUCUUAUUUUUAUUGGUUUGUAUCUGGUUCCAACUACCACCAUGGUCUACAGUGACAACCACAACUGGUUUGAUCGUUAACUCUCUUUGCUUGGUUUUUUUGCAAAUAUGUUCAUUGAUUCUUUGCACAAUUUUUUUGUCAAGAAAAAGGUCAGCUUUUGCUUGAACUUCACACACACACACCACUACAUAGUUAAUUCGAAAUAAGUUGCUGGUGAUGUCCUAGACCAGCUAGCACAGUCAGUGUGUGUGGGGAGGGGGAGUUGUUGCAUGCGUAUUCUUCGCGCAUUAUUUUAUUUUGUUCUUUUGAUGCUCUUACACCAUACCACAUUUUUACUUGAUGGAAAGCAAAAUAAACAACGCAGCUAGAAACCAUAGAACUUGAUACUGGGUGUGUGUCAACUUCACAUCCUCCUCCUUACGUCAUUUCAAUUGGAAAGCAAUAGCCCUCAUGAGAUCAGAUAUCCAUACAUAAUGCCAAAAUAAACAAGGUGAUGGCAUUAACGAUGCAAGUUUUAAAUUAGUCAAAUGGCUAAACUGAGGCACCGGCAGCCAUAUGAGACAUCCACGAGCAUGUAAUCCAUCUUAUUGCAAGUAGAGCACUGUAUUAUGUAUUUAUGUCAGAACAUCCAGUGCAGUUUUUCAAAAUGACGUUCCAUUGGCUGCAACUAGCAAAUGAUACGAAUUUUCUUUCCAAAUACUACAAAAAGUUGCAGGAUUGCAAAUUAAACAAUUACCUCGACUGACUAGACGUGAAACAACACACCUGCUGUGCAGCAACAACAGAUAAUUCAUCUCAAGCACCUACCCAGCAGGGAUUAGUUCUCGUGAAUUCAUGGAAUUUAGAAUGCAUCACAUGCUUACUGCUGAAGAGACAAGACCCAGAAGCAAGUGGUCACUUUCUUGUCCUCUUUAAAUGACACCUGUAAUUAAGAUUGAGUACAUCAUCGAACUCAGAAGUGACCAUAAUCUGCUGGUAGACCAUUAUUUCUUGUUCAUAUGAACAUACAUAAUACUUAAUAUACUGACAUGAUACAAGGCAACUUGACAAUCUCCUGUUAUUCGAAGAUGAAAGAUAUAUAUGAGUAUGCGAUUCAAUUUGGUGAGCUUAAUAUGUGCCGUUAUUGUGAAACAGUGAAAGACUGAAUAAAGGGACAUAUGGAAUUCUUUUUAUCAUAAUAACGAGUUUCUAAACACAGAACGAAAGCAACAAAAAAUAAAGACAGAGCGCUAAAAUUUCAGAGAAGUUUUUGAAGAUAUAAAAUGCAGUGCCCUUUUAUUGAUCACUGCCUAUAGCCAUAUAAAUAAGGUCUGGGACUCGGUUCGCUGCAACAAGCCUCUAGAAAGCACAUUUCCUCUGAUGCACAUAUGAAAUUUGAGAGUAAAACAUAAAAACGCCGAGAUAUACGGAUGAUUUAAUGAUGUAACUAACUUGGAUAUCCUUCUAGUGACCACGGAAUGGACAAAUUUUCUUCCGAGACGUCGAAAAGGGAUGGAACCUCCACACCCACUGCUUCUCCUUCACCUGCAUAGCGUGCGUAGGCGGAAAUUUGAUGAGUAUUUGAAGUGACAUCCACAUAGAGCAGGAGUUAUUCGGCUAGCAAAGUGCAAAUGUACAUCACUCUCAGGCUACAAGACUGAAUUCUGCUCGAUGAUCUUCCUGAUUCAUGCAGCGGAUAUGCAAAUGGGCGUGCCCCUUAAAUUCAUGUGAAUCAAAUUGCAGAAGAGACGGACAAACAGGGUUAAUAUAUACCUUAUUUCUUGUGUUGACGGGAUGGCUGGAGUGGCUGUCGUCGAUGUACGGCCCGCACUCGACGAAGAGCUUGAAGACCCUCUUGCGAAGACCAUCUGCGAGAGGAAGCAAGAGUUGAGGUCAGAAGAGGGUACAGUAGAGGUUGAGGGUGGGAAGGAAGGCAUCAACACUAGUAGAAAAAGGGCCUAAUGUGAAGCACAUUAGUCCCGGUUUGUAACAAAACCGGCACUAAUGUGUCCAUUAGUGCCGGUUCCAACGGCUAGGCGGGUGGAGCUAAAUUAGACUGAAUUGAACUUGUUCUUUAUAACUAGCUUGGGACAGAAAAAUUACUAUGAAAUGCACUUGAUUAUACUUGAUUUUAUGGGCUACAAAAAAUAUCAUCCAAAAAUGCUCUAAAAAACACGUUCUAAAGUAGGUUUGGCAGGAGAUGCGGCACAUUAUCAUUCAGAAAUUAGACCAAGAUAAAUGUGGAGUUGGCGGCUCAACACUCUAUAAGACUGUAACAGGUUGUCCCAGUGUCUCAGUCCUUUAGGACAUAGAUCCAGAAAAUGUAGAACUAACAUAUUAGCGGUUAGGAUCAUAUUUGCAAUGUGGGAACUUGGUGCGCUCGCUCCAACAUGCCUAGUGGAAGCAUGUGUCCUCUGAUGCACAUAUGAAAUAUGACUGGUACAAAACAUAAGAAACACUGAGAUUAUACGGAUGAUUGGAUGCUGUGGCUAACUUGUGCGUCGCUCCAGUCAACUGAGUGGACGAACUCGCUAAGAGCUUUCUUCUCGGAGAUCAAAGGGGACGGAACUUCCUAAGAGCUUUUGAUUCAACCUCCAUGCUAACUAACUACUUCUCCACCUGUUUAGUGGGCGUAGGAGAAAAUUUGAUGAGUAUUUGAAGUGACGUCCACAUAGAGCACAUAGCUAUAUUCAGUUAGAAAAGCCACAAAUGUACAUCACAUCCAGAUUAAUGGAGGUGGAAUGUGAAUGUGUGUGCCCUUAAAUUCAGGUGAAUCAAAUCGCAGAAGAGCCAGACGAAUAGGAUAGAUACCUUGAGUGGACGUGGAGGACGGAGUGUCUGCAGACAAUGUAUGGCCCACACCUGAAGGAGACCUUCUUGCCGAAAGCAUCUGCAAGAGGAAGUAAGAACAUGGUUGUUGACAUCAGAUUUUGGCAUGGUACAAAAAGCAAUUAAGAUUGCCCCAAAUGGAGAAGUGAUUUACAUGAAAAAGUUCCAUUUUGUCGACCUGAACAUCUUUGAAGUUUGUGCCAUCGCCAUCUAAUCUCAUCUCGAAGGCCAAAGUUAUGUUCGAAAUACUGAGAUUUUGUAUCCAGAGCACUGUUCGGCCGAUUAUGCCUCAAGGGAUGGUCACUUUCUACAUGAAUUGUCUUCGUCUCAUCAAAACGGUCGAUUUUGAUAAAAAUUCAUGUCAAUCCGAGGUUGUAUGUAAAAGUUAGAGCCACCCGAGUGCGGUCAUGAGCCAAAAGUGGCGAGUAAUAGUCUAUUUUGCACGAGCAAUUCGUCCCUGAAGUUGGCAUCUAUUCGAAACAUGUUUAACAUGAAUGUUGUUCGUCUCGGUGAAACGGUUAAAUUUGGUUCUUACACGAUUUUGAUCUGAGGUCAUUUACUACCCAAAAAAUGACCCGCAAGGUGAAGCCAAUUUUUAGAUCGAAUAGUUUUGGGAAGUUCGGAUCGAACAAUCCGAAUAGGAAUCAAAUUAGGGUUUUGGACAUGAAUUCUAACCUUUCCUUGCACGGGAAGUCCAUCCACCUCUUAUAUACAUGAGGGGUGACGGCCGAUUGAGAAACAACACACAAUCGCAAAACCCAUCUACAAACUUUCAUCUCCUAUCCUACUUUUCUGCUUCUCGUUCAUCAGUGUUCUUUGCUUCGGAGAGCUCUGAUCUAUGAAGUCCUAGGGGUGGGCGAACCAACCUAGGGCAGCCCAGCACUGUCGUGCGGCCAGACAGGGUCUCUUCCGACCGCGUGGGGUUUCGGGUCUUCAAAAGCGCUCGCCGGAUUGUAUUGCGUACCACUCUUCCGGUGAGCCUCCUUCGGCGAUGUGUCUUGCGUAUCGCGCUCGACGCCGAGGGUACACGGUGACGUGUUUGUGUGUGAACACACUUUUUGGCGACUCCGCUGGGGACCAAAGAGCAAUCAUCAUCAUCCAUCAUGGUCAAUCUUCCCAAGCCAUCUGAAGUGGAUGCCGAUAACAUCAACAAGCCCAAUUUUGAGGAAUUAUCGGCAGAACAUCGCCAAGCUUGUGAGUAGUACAAGAAGGCACGUGAAGGGAAGGAGAUGCAGGAGUUCCUUGCUAAGUUCAAAAAGGAUCGCCAAGGCAACAUCACUUCAAUUGAAGAAAUCAAGUUUCCUCCUCUUCACAAUGAGUAGGUAGAGUCGGCUGAAAUCACUACUCUUAUUGCUCAGAAUAAUGAUCGAAAAAAUACUCCUCAAUCAUCUAAUGGUAGAAAAUAAUACUGAUCGAAAAAAUACUCCUCAAUCAUCUAAUGGUAGUGGUAGUAUGUCUGCUGGUGUGGAAAACUUUAGUCCAAAUUUACCUAUUCCAGCGGUGCUGCCCAUGCCAUUGAAUUCUUAUCCCAGUCAGACAAACCAACUUGUUGCUCCACCAUUUAAUCCAGCCAGGAAUAUGCCAAGUUCAGUGAAUCCAACUGCAUUGCUAGGUUAUGGUUCGGCAAGUCCAAGUGGAUUGCUGCCGAACUAUGGUAUAACAUACACACCACCAUCUCUUCCGACUAGCACUAUACCAACUAGUAGAAAUCAUAUUCACCAUGCGCCACAACCACACGCAACGCCGCUCAAUACGAGUGAUAUUUUGGCUAAUGUCAGAGAGGAGAUGUCGAGGGUGUUCCGAGAGCAUUGCGGGAUUGAACUACCUCAACCACGAAUUUCUAGGAAACCAUAGCUAGAAAUUUUUGAUGUCGUGCCAUGUCCUCCCGGAUAUAAAGUUCCAGAUUUUGUUAAAUUUAGCGUAGAGGGAAGAAAGACUACAUGGGAGCAUGUUAGUCGGUACUUGGCACAAUUAGGUGAGGCAAGUUCACGAGACGAGUGGAAAGUACGUUAUUUUCCUUUAUCUUUAACCGGUACUGCUUUCCCGUGGUUUUCUGCAUUACCACCCGGUUCUAUUACUGCAUGGUUUCACUUGGAGCAAAAGUUUCAUGACCACUUCCAGAGUGGUGACAAUGAGCUUAAACUAUCCCAUCUUACAUCGGUUAAGCAAAAGCAUGAUGAAUCAGUCUUCGAUUAUGUCAAAAGAUUUAGAGAUACAAAAAACCGGUGCUAUAGUUUGGUGAUAACCGAGAGAGAUGUGGCUGAUCUCGUGCUUAGUAGUUUGAGAACUCACAUUAGAGAGAAGCUGGAAGGCUAUGAGUUUUCAAGUAUCAACCAUGUCUUAGAAAAGGGCUUUGGCUCAAGAAAGCCAAAGCAAAGAGUUUAAAGAGGUGCAUAGGUAUAACACUGAUCAUCCUAAGAUAAAUAUGAUUGAGUAUGAUGGUGAGCACUCGGAUGAUGAGGGUGAUAUUUAUGAUACUGAAUUUGUUUGGCCAUCUAAGGCCAAACCAUUUACUUGCAAUGAUAUAAAGCCAAUUUCAUAAGAAUCGUGAUGAAGAGAUGAAAAUUACUUUCAACAUUACUAAGUGUGAUAGAAUAUUUGAUGCUUUGUUGCAAGCGAACAUUAUUAGAAUAUCUCAUACUUUACCGCCGUUUCAAGAGCUGAAACGGCGUGCUUAUUGCAAGUAUCAUAAUUCUUUUUCUCAUGCCACUAACGAUUGUAAUGUUUUUCAACGACAAAUACAGCCGGCCAUUAAUAACGGACGAUUGAAAUUUUCUCAGAUUCCACUUGAUAAGCAGCCCUUUCCAAUGAACACCAUGGAUUUGGAGGGAAAAAGAUGUUAAUUCGGCCCGAUAUAGCCGAAUCAGCUAAUAAAAAUAAGAUUGUCAUUGGUGAGCCUCAGAAAAGCAAGGAAGACGACAAGGCCUUGGGGAGACAAGUUGUGCUUGACAAGCGACCCGGUGGCAAGGAGAUCAUUAAGAUCACCAUCAAGAANNNNNNNNNNNNNNNNNNNNNNNNNNNNNNNNNNNNNNNNNNNNNNNNNNNNNNNNNNNNNNNNNNNNNNNNNNNNNNNNNNNNNNNNNNNNNNNNNNNNNNNNNNNNNNNNNNNNNNNNNNNNNNNNNNNNNNNNNNNNNNNNNNNNNNNNNNNNNNNNNNNNNNNNNNNNNNNNNNNNNNNNNNNNNNNNNNNNNNNNNNNNNNNNNNNNNNNNNNNNNNNNNNNNNNNNNNNNNNNNNNNNNNNNNNNNNNNNNNNNNNNAAAUUUGUUAAACCAAAGAAUCCAGAGGUUGGCAAGUGGAAGACGAAUGAAGCUAAAGUACAACGCAAGAGAAUCAAGCCAACUUUUGUUAUGUUGCUAUGCAAAUGUGCCAAUCAAGCGGCCAAUUCUAGCUCUAACCGGUCAUCAAAUUUAAAGCUCUCCAGGUCACCUCCUCGACAAGAAUUUCAUCAUCAUGCAAGGCCAUAUGGGUCUUGGGCACCUUGACCAUCGAUGGCACCACCCCCCCUAUGUGUCAUACUACAUGGGAAACUUUAAUGGAGGAUGGGGGCAACCUCCAAUGACCCCUUAUGCUUUUCAUCCGGGUUGGGUAGAACCAAGGAGGCCCGUUUGUGAGAGGCUUUCUUACCCUAUACAUGGCCGUUUGAACAAUGGUGUCAAUCGGCCAAUGCAGGAUAAUCAAAAAAGGUUCAGCAAUCAAGUGUGGCGAGCUAAAUCACCAAGUGCUGAAAUUUCAGAGGCUAGCAACCAAAAGGAGAAGAGUACUAGUGCUGAAACUAUUAUUGUAGGCACUAAAGAAUUAACAAUCAAAUAGCCGAUUAUUGUUGAUAAUGCAGCUAUUUCUAACAAGGAUGUGGCUGCUGUCCAACAAGGUCCCGUGGCUAAUGAUCAUGAAGCUAGCACAAGCAAGGCCAAGCUGAGGGAUCCAAAAUAUACUUAGCCUAAGUGGUGUCCCUCCGGUCUGACCAAGGCACAAAAAAGUAGGUUGCAGCACAUGAGAAGCCACGAGAAGGAGGGAUAAGAAGCGGAGAGGCAAAGGGAUAAACUGUUCAAUGAAACCCGUCCCAUGAUGUCCGCAAAACAAGUGUGGAGGCCUAAGCAAAAGGAAAACAUAGUAGCUUCUGCAUUGGUAAUAACAGCACCUACACCACCAAUGGAGGACGAUGCGACUGCUAUUACAUCGUCCACUUCACCUAUUACUUCCUCUUCACUAGGAGAUAUUUCGGAGUCGAUGGACAUGCUUCAGGAUGGAGAUGGUAUUUUGGAUUAUGAGUCUACACCGGUUCAUGAAGGUAUUGAUAUUAAUAUGGUGCACUACUUACCCGCUGAAUUCCGUGCUAUAUAUGAAGAAGGGCAAGUACCUCAGUUGGAUUUUGGUCCUAAAAAUGCUAUAAUCGAGAAGCCAAAAGAAUGGGUGACGCACCUGAAGCCAUUGUUCCUUAAAGGUCAUAUUAAUGGAUCGCCGAUUGCUAGAAUGCUUGUUGAUGGUGGUCCUGUGGUGAAUCUUAUCCCAUAUUCAGUCUUAUAAAAAAUGAGGCUGCGUGAUGAAGAGUUGAUAAAGACCAACAUGGUGCUCAACGGAUUUGAAGGUAAAGAGAAAAUUGAAGCCAAAGGUGUGAUGUAUGUGGAGCUUACGGUGGGAAGCAAAACUUUGGCUACCGCAUUCUUUGUCGCCGAGGUGCAAGGUAACUCCAAUGUGAUAUUAAGCCAUGAUUGGGUUCAUGCAAACCAAUGUGUGCUAUCUACUAUGCACCAGUUUUUGAAUCAAUGAGUUGAUGAUGAAGUGGAAGUCAUUCAUGCGGAUAAUUCGAUCGGCUUGUGUUGCUUUGGCCGAUGAAUCGGUGGAUUGGCAACAUCCCAAUGCUACUUGCUUGACGGGGCGCGACUUAUCAGAAUUUGAUUUUCUUAGCGCUACAAAAUUGGUUUCGUGCCCCUUUCUAUAAAGCCGGUUGGCGAUAAUCGGCUCCAAGGUAUGAUGUAUUUAAAUGGAUCCUAUCUCAGAGUGGUUUCAAAAGCGUCUUGUAGAAUAUCGGUCCAAUGAGAAUGAUAUGUAUGAGUCCAUAGAAGAGUUAGAUGAUAUGGAUAAAUUAGGACAAGGUUUUACAUCGGCGAUCCAUUAGAAGAGAUAGAUAUAGCAGAUGGUUCAUUUCUUAGGCCGACAUUUGUAAAUAAAAAUUUAAGAGUCGAUCAUAAACUUAAGUUGAUCGAGCUGUUAAAAGAAUAUAUUUGUUGCUUGGCAUGGGAAUAUCAUGAGAUGCCCGGUUUAAGCCGAGAGCUAGUGGAGCAUCGAUUACCUAUAAAGGCUGGUUUUUGACCGUAUAAGCAAUCGACCAGAAAGUUUAAUCCAAAAACAUAUGACCGGAUCAAGGAAGAGAUCGGUCGUUUGCUGAAAGCUAAUUUUAUUAGACCUUGCAAGUAUGCCGAGUGGAUUUCUAACAUUGUACCAGUGAAGAAGAAAGGCUCGGGCAAGUUGAGGGUGUGUAUUGAUUUUAGAGAUUUGAAUAGAGCUACACCCAAAGAUGAGUAUCCCAUGCCCAUAGCCGAUAUGCUUAUUAAUGAUGCCUCUGGACAUAAGGUCAUUAGCUUUCUUGAUGGUAAUGUGGGGUAUAAUCAAAUUUUUAUGGCCGACGAUGAUAUGACCAAAUUAGCUUUUCGAUGUCCCAGUUUCCUUGGUUUAUUUGAGUGGACAGUGAUGACCUUUGGUUUAGAGAAUGCCGACACCACGUAUCAAAGGGCUAUGAAUUUAAGUUUUCAUGAUUUACUUGGUGUUAUACUUGAAGUCUAUAUUGAUGAUAUUGUUGUCAAAUCGGAUGCUUUUGAAUCUCAUCUAGCUGAUUUGUGCUUAGAUUUUGAGAGAAUGAAAAAAUAUUGACUAAAGAUGAAUCCUUUGAAAUGUGCUUUUGGUGUAUCGGCUGGUAAGUUUUUGGGUUUCAUUAUUCAUCAACAUGGCAUAGAAAUUGACCCAAAAAGAUAGAGGCUAUACAAAAGGUGUGGGCUCGAACAUGCAAGAGAGAUAUGCAAAAAUUCCUUGGCAAAGUCAAUUAUUUGAGGAGAUACAUAGCCAAAUUGUCAGGGAAGGUUGAUACAUAGCCAAUUAUUUGUGCACUUCUCUAGUGUUGAAAGCCCCCAAGCAUAGAGAGCCCUUUAGGCUUUAUAUUGCGGAGGAGAAAGCCCCCAGGCAUAGAAAGUCCCCUCAAGAGACCGAAGGAAAGGAGCAUGCUAUUCUUAUUUGAGUCGACGCUUAUUGGAUGUCGAGAUAAGGUAUACAUUGAGAAAUUAUGCUUAUGCUUAUAUUAUGCUUGCACAAAAUUGAGACAUUACCUAGUGCCUAGUACAUGCAUUAUAGCUUUUCAAACUGAUGUCAUCAAAUACAUGUUGCAUAGGCCAAUUCUUAGUGGUAGAAUUGGCAAGUGAGCUUAUGCUUUAAUUGAAUAUGAUUUGGUUUAUGAAUCUCUGAAAUUCAUGAAUGGGCAAAUCGUUGUUAAUUUUGUUGUUGAGCAUCGGAUUGAUGACAAGCAUGAUAUUGAUCUUAAACUUGUCUAUUAGUACCAUGGAGAUUAUAUUUUGAUGGUUCCGUUUGUAGCAAUGGACAAGGUGUUGGUAUUGUUUAUAUAUCUCCUCAUGGAGCUAUUUUUCAAGCCUCAUGCCGCUUAGAGUAUUUUUGUACAAAUAAUUAGGCCGAAUAUGAAGCAUUUUUACUCGGUUUAGAGAUGUUGCUUGCCAUAGGCGCUACACAUAUUGAGGCUUUUGGUGAUUCGUUAUUAGUAGUGCAACAAAUAUCCAGAGUAUUUCAAUGUUUUCAUGAAUCACUUAAUGUUUAUCUUGAUAAAUGUCUAGAUAUAAUUUCUACUUUGGAUUAUUUUAGCAUUCCUCAUAUAUCUAGACAUGACAAUUGGAGAGCAAAUCAGUUGGCACAACAAGCAUCUGGCUAUCAUGUUAAUCAUGACAUGUUUCAUAUUUACCAAAGGCCGAUGUCUAUUCUUGCCAACGUAGGGGAGGCUGAACCGGAGCCCACCGUUUCGGUCACAAAUGAAAAUUUUAAUGUAGAAAAUCUGGACUAGAGGAAAGCCAUUAUUGAUUAUUUGCGUGAUUCUAAUAAAAUUUUGGAUGAGGACCAAGCAAGAGUUGCUAUGAGAGAGGUUCAUGAAGGAAUUUGUGGGACUCAUCAGUCGGCUCCCACUAUGAAAUGGUUAUUGCGACAGGCUGGGUUUGAUUGACCAACGAUGAUUAAUGAUUGCUUCAGGUAUUAUAAAGGAUGUGCAGCUUGUAAAAUGUCUGGUGAUAUUCAGCUAGCUUCUGCUGCUAUGUUACAUCCUAUUAUUAAGCCGCGGCCUUUUAGAGGUUGGGGAUUAUACUUUAUUGGAGAGAUUCAUCCUUCUUCUUCAAAGGGGCAUCAGUUUGUGUUGGUGGCAACUGAUUAUUUCACUAAAUGGUCUGAAGCAAUACCGCUAACAAAUAUGACGCAUACGGAGGUAAUUCAAUUCAUAACUUAGCACAAUAUUCAUAGAUUUGACAUUCCUCAAAUGUUAACUACGGACCAAGGUUCAUCUUUUAUGUCAGAUCAAGUUAGAGAAUUUCCCGAAUCAUAUAAGAUAAAGUUGCUCAAUUCAUCUCCGUAUUAUGCCCAAGCCAAUGGACAAGCUGAGUCUAGCAAUAAAAUAUUAACCAACCUCAUCAAGAAGAAGAUUGAGGAUAAUUCAAGGAGAUGGCAUGAGCUAUUGUCCGAAGCUUUGUGGGCACACAUAAUCUCAAGGUAUGGUGCUACAAAGGUAACUCCAUAUGAGCUCAUAUAUGGUAAAGAGGCCGUUUUACCAGUGGAAGUGAAUUUGAAUGCUUUGAGAAUAGCAAAACAAAAUGAUUUAUCGGCGGUGGACUUUUAUAACUUGAUAAUGGAAAAUAUUGAUGAAGUCGCUGAUAAAUGUUUUGUUGCUUUGAAGGCCAUAGAGAGAGAUAAUUUGAGGGUGGCAAGAGCUUACAAUAAGAAGGUCAAGUUGAAGAAUUUUCAAGUUGGCGAUCUCGUGUGGAAGGUGAUUCUACCAAUUGGUUCGAAAGACAUAAAAUUCGGGAAGUGGUCUCCAAGUUGGGUAGGUCCUUUUAAGAUUACAAGGGUAGUUCCCAGAAACUUAUAUUUAGUGGAAUCCGUACAAAGGACAUUGUUACCUCGAGCUGUCAAUGGCAAAUAUUUGAAGAAGUACCACCCAAGUGUGUGGCAAGAAGCCUAGAUAAUCAAUGGCCGAUAUACGACUAUGGCCCUUAGCAUAAACAUGGCCGAUAUAUAAUUAUCGCACCGAGAAGUAUAAAUGACACAUGGAGUGUUGACAUCGUCCUUAGAAUAAACGCGAUGCAAAUUAUUUUCCGGCAUUCAAGCUCUGCCCAAAACAGAGGAUAAGGGUUGACACCAGAUUUUAGCAUGGUAGGAAAUGCAAUUAAGAUGGUCCCAAAUGGAGAAGUGGUUUACAUUAAAAAAAAGUUCCGUAUUGUCGACACAAACAUCUUCGAUGUUUGGGCCAUCGCCAUCCGAUCUCAUCUCGAAGGCCGAAGUUGUGUUCGAAAUACUGAGAUUUUGUAUCCCGAGCACUGUUCGGCCGAUUACGCCUCAAGGACGGCCUCAAAUGAGAAAACUUUCGACAUGAAUUGACUUCGCUUGGUCGAAACAGUCAAUUUUGAUAUAAAAAUCGUCUCAAUCCAAGGUCGUAUGUAAAAGUUAGUGUCUCCUGAGUCCGGCCCUGUCACGAGCCAAAAGCUACGCGAGUAAUAGUCUAUUUUGCGCGAGCGAUUUGGCACUGAAGAUUAUAUCGAAUCGAAAACUGUUCAACAUGAAAGUUGUUCGUCUCGUCGAAACAGUUAAAUUUGCUUCUUCCGCGAUUUUGAUCCGAGGUCGUUUACUACCCCAAAAAUGACCCGCAAGGUGCAGCCAAUUUUUAGACUGAACAGUUUUGGAAAGUUUGGAUCAUACGAUCCUAAUUGGACUCAAAUUAGGGUUUUGGACAUGAAUUCUAACUUUUCCUUGCACGGGAAGUCCAGCCCCCUCUUAUUUACAUGAGGGGUGAUGACUGCCCCUCCUAGAAAAAACCAGACUGGGAGGACAUUUUUUUCCUGUCCGAAAGCCGUUUCCGCCUCUUGGAAGAAGAAGAAGAAAAAAGAGAAAACACGUUUUUUUUCGUUUCCGAGAGCCUCUCGCGGAAACAAAACAAUGCCGCUCAUGGAAGAAAAACAAAAAAAUGCAUUUUUUCACGAAAGCAAAACCGUGCCUCUCGUGAAAGAAAGAAAAGAGAAAACACAUUUCUUGUCCUUUUCGUGAGGCACGGCAGUGCCUCUCGCGGAAGCAAGACCAUGCCUCUCGCGGAAGCAAAACCGUGCCUCCCGCGGAAGAAAAAUACAGGGAAAACACGAUUUUUUUUCGUUUAUGAGAGGCACGACUGUCUCGCGGAAGCAAAGCCAUGCCUCCCGCCGAAGGAAAACCGUGCCUCUGGUGAAAAGGGAAAAAAAGAAAACGUGUUUUGUCACAGGAAAAAAAUUAAAAAAAAUUGGUCCAAAACCUAGGGAAGACCGGUGAACAACCAAAAAGCCGGAAAAUUAAAAAAAAAAACAUCUAAAAUACCAGAUGGAGGUUGAGAGUGCACCAAGUGACGCGCUCUCGGCCCAUCCACAAAUGACCCUUGGGAAGGGUGGGAACGAGCGCUCUUUAGUAUUAUUUUUUGAGGCAAACCGUUCUUUAAUUAGUUGCUCCGGGGAAGGGGAAUGGAAGACGCAGAUCGGCAACGUGUGGGCUGGGCUUGUGACGUUGGGGUCUCAGAAAAUAUAGCCCAGUUCGAAUUUAGUGGUCUCAGCAAGUAAAACCAGCGCUUAUGUUGGGCCUAAUCACUCACUCCAGGCUGUGGGCCUCGCUAGCAGCCCCAUCUUACCAUUCCCCUCGUUCUCUCUCUCUCUCGCAAAAAAAAACCAUCAUUUCCGUCAAAAAGAAAAGACAUCUACCCGUCUCGCCGCCAAGAGAUCCAGGAACCCCGGGGUCGUUCCAUUGUUUUGCAUAGCGUGUAGAUUAGGUUUUCUCUGUUAGUUUUAUGUGUUCUUAGUGGCGAUGGCUUGACGGUGAAGGCGAGAGUGAUGAUGGUCUCUCGGCUCCAUUCCUGUUCUGAUUAUGCGUUCCCGGCUAAGAAGGCCAUCAAACAUAACAUAAAUGGGGUGCUUUCUUUUCUUCUUACCGAUCUCCUCCUAGUUUACCGGCUCAAGGUGUAUCGGCUCUACAAACAUCUUGUAUCCACCUCACGUCCUGGGAAAUUACUGUCGGUAACUUUCAUCGUAUUGCGAUAACAAUAUUUUCUUUCAAGAACCCGCCUUCCUUGAAUUUCGUACAAAGUUAAUUGUCAAUGUCAUAACUAAUUGCAAGACCAGGUACAGCUCUUCUCUACAGGAAGUUACAGUUUCUAAAUUGCAUGACCCUGUAUCACUUUAUGAAGCAAGCACAUCACCUUCAGCUCCUCAUUUGCAAACUUAGGACCCAUUUGGACCACAUAAAUUUUACAAUAUGUUUGCUGCAUUUCACAAGAAACCAUCGAUUUUGUGAAGAAAGAAUUACAUUGUUUCAUCGCCGUUACAACACAACAUUAAUCAGAUCACCUUAAUACCUCCCACUGCGUUUUUUUUUGGAAAAAUACACAACAUACUGAUUGACCUUAAAGAAUGAAGGAGGCCAUAAGGUCUUGUACAAUGCUAGGUGUUUAGAAAGAUAAACCGGAUUUUACUGAUACACCGGUGCCUAUUUCUACCGGAGAGACGUCUAAUUAAGCGUAUACCCUGUACAAAUAAGUAUCAGUGCUUAAGGAAAGCCUGGUUUAUUUCUCGAAGCACCUCUCCUAAGCACCUUGCAGUGUACAAGGCCGAGAAGAAAGCUCUGACUUCCUAUUGUUGCUGCAUCAGCAGGAAAAGUAGUCUUCAUUUCAAAAAGAAGCUGAAAGUGCUAGAGUGAAAAAUAUCAUAUGUACAGAAGCUGGAUAUAUAUUACCAGCAAGGUGGAGAAGUGGGGAAAAAAAUGCUCAAAUGUGGUUAUCAAUCUUUUGAAAUGCAAGCAAGUAAGCGGAUGGGUGUUUGAGCUAUCUUUGUGUGAUCAGAACAAAUCCAUGUCCAUUAAUUAGUCUUAAUAUCAUCUUCACAGUACCAGGGACUCCCGGAUACUAAGAGUGCUUAAUAAUCUUAUAAUUAGGUGGAGACAUUUUCAUUACCUGCAUACAAAUGCGUACGAAUGAUGAUAUUUUAUAUUUUUUUCUUUGCAACUUCGGAGUGCCCACAAAGUGAAAUAGAAGGUGUAAACAUAACUUCUUUCAACCUCCAGUAAAAGUAACAAUUCUCUCUCCAUGUACCACUCUAUACCAACUUCUUCAAUACCUGUUGACUCUCAUGUUUUUGUUUUCCUUCAAUAUUUCAGACGUUCUAAAGCUCGGUCGAAAUCACUCGAGCUGGUCAACCCUGCCCCCGUGUCGCCCGCAACAGACGAUACGGGGAAAACUUUCGUCGCCGCCGGUAGCCUUCCUCCGCCAGUGCCCCUCCCCCCCCCCCCACAUCGCUGCCGCAGGAGGGUCGGCCAGCGAAGUCGCGCCGCGCUCGGGGAUGGCGGCGGCGGGGCGGUUUCGUACCCUCCCCCCCGAUGCGCUGCCCCAACAACCCCUUCGCCGCCAUCACCUCCCCGCGCCGCUGCUGCCGCGUCGCGCCUGAGGGUGGGGGCGGCAGGGCAGCUUCAUUCCCUUCAUGCUGUAGCUCCUCGUCCCCAACCUCCUCGCCCCCCAGAUCCAAUCUGGUGCGCCGCGGGCUCCCCUACCCUCCAACUGCUACUGUGUUCGUCCUGCCUGUCCGACGAGGUGGCGCGGCCGUGCCCGUCGUGCACCUCCCCAGUCUACCUCUUUCACCUUGCUGGCGCAGCUUCCUUCUUGUUGUUGUUCGCUGGGGCAUGCGAGGACUCGUGUGGAGGUCACGGGCUGGCCAAGGCUCGGUCUUGCCCCGUGUUGCAGACCACCCUUCGUCUCUGAUGGCGUCUCCUUCUAGUUACGGCGGCGACCUCUGCCCGUGUGUGGUCAAGGUGUUGUUUUGGGCAGCGGGAUGAAGCUUCGCGGUGGGUCCUUGCCGACACUGCUCCGGUCCCAGCGGCCAUCGACCAGCGUUCUUCGGCCUCCCUACCGCCGUGAAUUCAGCCCCAACACUCCGGUCGCUGCGUCUCCUUCCGGCAUCUUCGGUUUGCCGGUGUUCUGGUGGUUCCACCUCCGGCAGCUCGGAGUUGUGCUCCCUUCCGCCUCCAGCUUGUCAGCGGCGCCGGUCACCAUCCCACCCUCCAUGCCGGCUUUCUACCAUGCUGCCUUCCCGACCCUGUCGACACCCGCAACAUGUCAUUUCCAAAGCUCGUGUUCUUUCGGCAGCAGGUGCAGCCCCACCACCUCCGUACCGGGAUGGUGGUUGACUAGCGGAUUGUCUUCCUCAUCUUCGGAUCCUGAUUUGGCAGCUAUGGCAUUGCUCAGACUAAGGCCAGGCGAAAUCCAUGCUCUGCUUGCCAAUGUUGGCAGAGGCGACACUCGUGAGUGCUUUGCCAUGGCCUUUAUCCGGGCCCCUCUUCGAGCGCUGGGGGAAACCCUAGGUCCGGUUCUUCGGAUCGGAUGGUGGCGGUGUCACGAUGUCGCACCCCUUCCUGAAGGCGCUAUCUUGUUCGCCCCCGGUGUCCCUGUUUGUUUGAUUUUGAGAUGUUCGACGUCGUGCUUGUUCGGCCUGCCUCUCUGUUUAGGAUUUGUGGGUGUAGUUGUGUCAUUUCCCCUGUUCGGGCUGAGCACCCCUUGUCUCUCUGCUCCGGGUUCCAUGAUCAUGCCUCUUUGGGUUCAUGCCAUGUGUUGUAUCCUCUGUUGUACGCAUUCUCUUUCUUCUAUCAAUAAAGGAUAUGCAAGCUUUGUGUAUUCACAAAAAAAAAGACGUUCUGAAGCUCUGAAGCUAAAGAUGUAAAUAAAUCUGAACUCUCGCACUCACUUUUAAAUCGUGGGGCAGUAUACUCUAAUCUAUCCAGCUCUUCCUGUAAAACAAAUAUACUGUCAGCAUGUGAUUUAUCAUUCAUGAAUCGUUUAUCAUGCCAUUUUUAGAAUGUGACUGGCAAAAUGGUGUGACUGUACAAUUCUACUUUUUUCGAAAAAGAGGAUUACCCCUAGUAUCUACAUAGAGCCAUGCACACAACCAUUUUAUUAUAUUAUUUAACGGAACCAAACGAAACAAAUAUAUGGAUCAAGCCAAAGCCACCUCCCUAGAAACUAUUGUCGUUACACGUACAAGCUUUAAUGGCGUGCCCUGACCACUUAUCAACACACAUCAUAUAUUCCGGUCGCCUCACCAAGAUGCCUGCCGGCAAUUUGAGAGCAUCUACCGGUCUAGCUAGACCCUCUGCACGCACAUCAUGCACACGCUUUAGAUUCAGCCACCGCCAUGUUCCGCGGUCCCACCUUCAAGAGCGAUCAACGUAUUCAUCUCGCUAGGCCAUCUCGACACCAGAUAGCUCCACUAUCCAGCGCGGGCGCCCGUCGCCGACACUCCGCCGUGCCACGCCACCGAGACCCUGUGUCGUCCUUUCGGUAGAUGUAACACCGCUCCUCCACUUGUCUCUUCCAGUCGGCUCCUACUCGAGACAAUGCCCCUAGGAGGGAGAACGGCGCUGAAGGCACCAUCAUCGUCCGAUCCGGGAUACCCAGAACUAGAGUUUCCCCCGGAACAACCCGAGCGUAGUGACACAACUUACAAAUGACGAUGCCUCGAAAAAGGAAACAACGUUAGAGACGCCACCAUCUGCCAUGACCGCAGUUAGCACAAUUUCACCGGAAGUCGCGUCGACAUGGAGACGUAAGCUGUCGCCGGAACGUCGGCAUAGGGCCUCCAGUCGCCCCUGACCUGUCCCUGCACGCAUCGCCUGCCGGCCAAGGCCACGCCAAGAUGGAUCUGGAUGGGACGCUAGUUCCGCGGCCACUGCCGCCACCCAUCACAUGGUCGGCCAGGUCAACGACUAAUCCCACAGCCAUGGACAAACCGGUCGCCGCCGCCAGCCCGGGUCACCACCCUGACCGCACCGGCUGAAGACACAGGUGUCGUCGCGAGAUUGAUACGGUGAACAAGGCCCGAAUCCCUCGUGCUCGACCUUGAUCAGCCACACACAAGCAUCUCUCCACGCUGACGAGGGGUCCACUAUGGGAUCCAUCGCGCCGACUUCCGCCACCGCGCCGCGGGAAUAGACUGCCCUGAUGCUGCCGCCCACUGAGGCGGGCUUCGCCUGUUCGGCCUCCUCCAACAGCGUCCGGCCGUGGGCUGCNNNNNNNNNNNNNNNNNNNNNNNNNNNNNNNNNNNNNNNNNNNNNNNNNNNNNNNNNNNNNNNNNNNNNNNNNNNNNNNNNNNNNNNNNNNNNNNNNNNNNNNNNNNNNNNNNNNNNNNNNNNNNNNNNNNNNNNNNNNNNNNNNNNNNNNNNNNNNNNNNNNNNNNNNNNNNNNNNNNNNNNNNNNNNNNNNNNNNNNNNNNNNNNNNNNNNNNNNNNNNNNNNNNNNNNNNNNNNNNNNNNNNNNNNNNNNNNNNNNNNNNNNNNNNNNNNNNNNNNNNNUUCAGCCUCUCCACUUGUGGGAACAAUAUCCUUGAAUGUUUAGUUUCUCAUAUCUUUACGAAAACGGAGUAAGGGAAAUAUCGUGUGUGGUUGCAGGGAACUCACAUCAAAUGAUUGGGAGAUGUUCAUAAAUCAGUGAUAAUAGCCUUUGCAAACAGGCUAAUCCCAAAUGAUUCAAUGAAACCAACCUUCAUGUACUCAAUGAACGUAUUAUGCAUGUUAUGCUAGUUCAAGUCAUACUAAAUAUCACUUGUCUGGCAAAUAACAACAGCGUUCUCUGAAACCAUUGCAUCAUGAGAGAAUUGUGUGAAAUGGAAAUUGACACGAUUUAAAUUUUCAGGUUCCUUUCCUGGUGAGCCUAUCAUAGUAAAGAAACCUGGAAGAAAACAUUGGAGAAAGGAAUUCACAAAAUGCGGAAUUAUUAAUACUAAAUGACUGUUGAUGUUCAAAUGCAUGUCAGUUCUAAAUAAAUAAAUGAUUUUCUUCUUCUUUCUGCUCUUCAAUGUUUUCUUCCCUUACAAGAUUCUAGCAGUCUUAACACCAUUAUGGCCACAGAAAAAAAAAACAUCUAUCCCAUUUGUUACACGAGCUAAAAAUAAAAAUAGCACAUGAGCAUGGGCUGCAGAAAUGCACAUUCUUACUUCUAAGAAUAAUGUCAUCAAGAGAAGCAAAAGGCUGGUUUUUUGUGACAAUAAUUUAUUCAAUGAAAAGAGUGAGCCCGGGUUGCACGAAAUAUGAGUUUAUCUAUUUUUCUUCCAACAAAAUAUCUGGUCUACCAUCACUGCACCUUCGAACAUCAGAGUGCACACAGAACAAGAAAUAAAGAAGCAAAAGGGCCCUUGCGUAACUCAUGUAUUUUCAAACAAUGCUACAGAAAAUAUCCCUUAUACUCCCUCCGUCUAGGUUUGUAAGUCAUCUUACGAAAACAAAAUAAUCCCAAAACACUUAGGCGCGGUGCGUUAACUUCUACCUCGUUUCUUGUUUCUUGACAUAUCAACCAAUAAGAGAUAUGGGUGUGCAUGCUUUUAAUGACUUGAGACUACCAAACACGACAUGCAGUGGUUAGUUCAUUGCAUGCAAUGCUAUUAAUUAGCAAAAAACAUUAAGUUCUCUCGUUUUCCCUCCUCCUUGGUCACGGUGCACAACAUAAGAUGACUUAUUCACUUAGACGGAGGGAGUAUCAUGGAUUUGCGCCUGCAUCAAUUGUUUCCGAGUGCUGUCAAAGAGAAAAAUUUACUAAGAUUUCCAUUGUCAAACUGUGAUGUCCGACUAGUGUUGGUGGAAGAAUCACAUAUUGGAGAGGAUAAUUUGGAGUAGGGGAUGAGAAGAAGUUGAAGAACAGAUGAAGAGGGUGAGAUGUAGAACAGAGUAGGUGAGAGUUCAAACAAUUCUCAUUUCAUCGAUAAGUUACGGCACAUGUCUGAUUCACUUGCCCCUUUUAAACACAUAGGCACUCUCUUACAAGUGGGCCCUCAAAUCCACACGCCCAGUGCACUAGAUGAUCUUCCUAUGGCUCACUCCUAAGUUGUCUCUCUCUAGUUGUUGGGCCCUUCGUCCUCCAUAUCCUAGUCCUCCUCAUUCCACUGGACUGGGAUCUUGAUUUCCGUCGAGGGUGUGGUAGAGAGCAGAUGCAUGACACAAUCUUUGUUCCAUUACGCUUCCUCAAAGUCGCCAUUUUAGACAUUGUCAUGUCUACAACACACAAUUAGACGCUUGGUGACCUGUUGCUUCAAAAAUAUAUUUUGAAAUCAUGUGCCUAGAGGUGUUUUGAAUGUAUGGCUACAAAUGUCACUGAGGUUCCUAGUUCCUGUUCCAUCAGCAUACCCUGCCGAAGUGGUAAUCUGACUUCAAGUGGAAUAAGCAAGACAGGAGAAAGAAUUAAGGUGGUAUUCAGCUCGUUUUCCCCUCACCUUUUUGACUCUCACAUUUUUGUUUUCCUCCCAUAUCUUAGAUGGGGUGAAGCUAUAUGCAUAAACAAAUAUGAAUUCAUAUCACACUCACCUCGACAUCUCAGUAGUACAACACAGGGCUUUCGUCACAGGGCAAUUUUCACAUUAGUCCCGGUUCAGUCACGAACCGGGACUAAUGUGAGCAUUGGUCCCGGUUCGUGCGGCUAAGGCAUUAGUCCCGGUUCACCUGGGCCCUUUAGUCCCGGUUGGUGCCACGAACCGGGACUAAAGGGUGCGAUGCCCAUUAGUACCGGUUGGUGGCACCAACCGGGACUAAAGGUCUAACCUUUAGUACCGGUUGGUGCCACCAACCGAUACUAAUGCGCUUUGAGGCAUUAGUACCGGUUCAUGGCACGAACCGGUACUAAAGGGCCCAUUUUCAAACUCUACCCCCCCUGGUGGACCGCCUUUUCAGUUUUAGGAAAAACAAAAGAAAAUGAUGGAAAUGUCAAAAAAAUAAAAUAAAAUAAGUUUCCCAUGUGAUAUGUGGUCUAGUUGUUGGGAAAAUUAACAAAUAUGAAUUUCGACUUUAUUUGCAAAAUCUCUCUGAAAUUUCUUAAAAUGGGCAUAACUUUUGCAUACGAACUCGGAUGAAAAAGUUUUUUAUAUGAAAAAUCAUCUACUCAAAAUCCUCAAAAACCUAACAGAAAAAAAGAUACGGGACUUUUAAGAUCUGGAGAGGCAAAAAAAUUCAAAAAAUUUCAAUUUGUGGUCAAACUGUGGUCAAACAAUAGUCAAACUAAUUAUUCUAGAAUAUUAGUGUUACUAAAUAAUUAUUUCAGUUUUUUUGAAUUUUGGUCAAAUCUGGUCAAACUGUGGUUAAACAGUGGUCAAACAAUGGUCAAACUAAUUAUUCCAGAAAUAUUAGUGUUACUAAAUAAUUAUUGUUUUUAAAAAUAAUAGUUUCAAACUCAAACAGUGAAAUAUGUCACUUCAUGCUCAAGCUAAAUUCCUGAGGGUUAAUAAAAUUGACAUCUUACUAUUGUCAGGAAAACAACAAGUGCAGACUUGGAAACGAGGGAGAAUAGAACCCAGAAGUUAAGCGUGCUCAGGCUGGAGUAGUGAGAGGAUGGGUGACCGUCCGGGAAGUUAGAUGAUUUGAAAUGAUGAGGGGUGAUUAGAGAUUAGAGGAUAAAUUGAGCAGUGAUGAGGGGUGGUGAUUAGAGAUUAGAGGUUAAAAUAAUUCAGAAAUUUGAAAAUCAAAAAAAAAGUUCGCAAAUUUUUUUUUCAAAAAAAAUAUAUCAUAAAAUUCUGCGUCCACGUGGACGGCCUUUAGUCCCGGUUCGUGUCUAAAGGCUUGGGUAUAUAUAGACCUUCUACACGUCUCCAAUCUCUAGUAGCUCUUCAUAUGAUAAAAAUAUAUUGUGAGUAUGGGAUAUGUGUUGAGAAGGCCAUUCAGGAAUCGUUUAUCAUGUGAGUAGACUGCAAAAUGACAUAACCAUUCCACGAGCAUGCUUAAGUUUGAAAACUCUUUCCCGGGAAGUAUCCUAUGUGAUUGAAUGUAACUCAUAAUUAUUAAAGAAUGUAUAGAAGUUUCUAAACGAGCGAGUGGUUGAAUGUCAAAUGCAUCUGAUACUCGGCGAAGACUUAUGUUUGCCAAAUUCGGUACUCGGCAAAGUUUCGCCGUGUUUAUUAUGGGCUCUGCCAAGUUUCUAAGAAGACAAUCCGGGUAGUGAUGGAUGCCUGAUCUUUAACAUGGAAUGUCUGUAUACAUAGUCCUCAAUGUGGGGCAUAAUGUAGUAGCCGGACAAGACGCUUGAUUAAUCUGGUUCUUCUCUACAAUAGAAACUCGCCUUGUACAUGAACAUAUUUUGUUUUGGGUAUAUAUAGACCUUCUACACGUCUCCAAUCUCUAGUAGCUCUUCAUAUGAUAAAAAUAUAUUGUGAGUAUGGGAUAUGUGUUGAGAAGGCCAUUCAGGAAUCGUUUAUCAUGUGAGUAGACUGCAAAAUGACAUAACCAUUCCACGAGCAUGCUUAAGUUUGAAAACUCUUUCCCGGGAAGUAUCCUAUGUGAUUGAAUGUAACUCAUAAUUAUUAAAGAAUGUAUAGAAGUUUCUAAACGAGCGAGUGGUUGAAUGUCAAAUGCAUCUGAUACUCGGCGAAGACUUAUGUUUGCCAAAUUCGGUACUCGGCAAAGUUUCGCCGUGUUUAUUAUGGGCUCUGCCAAGUUUCUAAGAAGACAAUCCGGGUAGUGAUGGAUGCCUGAUCUUUAACAUGGAAUGUCUGUAUACAUAGUCCUCAAUGUGGGGCAUAAUGUAGUAGCCGGACAAGACGCUUGAUUAAUCUGGUUCUUCUCUACAAUAGAAACUCGCCUUGUACAUGAACAUAUUUUGUUUUGUGGAACUUCCUCCGGAUUAAAAAUACUUGAAGAUAGCAACAUAAUUGAUGAACUAAAAAAUGGUACUCUGGUAGCAAUGGGAUAAAACAAUAUUAUGCCUUUCUUUCAUUAGUUAACUAAAAAUUUGUGCUGCAGUAGUAACGGGAUAAAACAAUAUAAGUAGAAACAAUUUUGAUAAGCAAUAACAUUUCCUUUUGCUAGGGCAACGCUAUAGGUAACUCCUACAAACUAUUUCUCCUAGGUGUUGAUUAAUAAAUUAGCCAUAUGCAAAAUUAAACUGCAGUGGAUUAGUAAUACACGGUUGAAGUCAACACUUCCGGUUAAUCUUAUAAAAUCUAGCCUCUUUAGUCUCCAAUCUCACAUUGAGACAUGGUUAAUAGUUGUUGGUAUAUCUAAAUCCUAUGGGAGGACAUCCUCUUAUUCUCAGACACAUGAGCCCAAGUAUCUCCACAAAAAGUUCACCAGACAUACAUAUCAUGUCCUUUCAUAGCCAUCCAAAAAAAGGAAGGUGCUAUGAUGUAGUGCAACAUUGAUGGAAUAAUACCAAAAAAUGUAAAAAGGGUGUUUCAUUCUCAAAAAUAACUUUGGAAGUAUAUCGGUGAACCAUCUAAACAGGAACAUACUAGUAAAUUUGUUGAGGAAAUUGUUAACUGGUAGCAGCUUGGUUGGCUAGGGAGUAGGGGAUUAAUAGGGUGAUCGGCAAGUUUAUUGGCCUAUUAAGCAAUUAAACGGAGGAUUUAUCAGUUUAUUGGCUACAUGGUGACCUUACAAGUAGGGAUUAAUUCCCAAGUUAACUGGUUAAUCAGACGAAUUCUUCAACAGGACCAGUAAUCAUGCUAAUAUGGUACAUGAUAAUCUCUUAUGGUUGAAUGAAUAUGAGUAAUGUCUGUAGCUAUCUUUAACAGUAUUUUAUUGAGUACCUAAAUAUGUAAAGUUCAGUAGUUUGUACUAUCAUGUUAUUGCACAAAAAAAAAGGAAAUCUCUCAUUCCAAUUUUUUUAGCUAAACUAAACAAAAGAUACUAGCAUGUUGCUCAGGAGAUAGGAAUGGUAGCAGGGGUAGAUAGCCAACAAAAACAUUAUGUUAUUACAGUGUGAAUAAUAAAUAAGAUUAUUUGGAUCAUAUGAAGGAUAAAGCCAUCAAUCUCGCCCAUGUGCAAUAAUUUUAAUUUGUCUUUGUGUAGUAUAUAUUGUUGAUUAAUCAUUCGUGAUGAGAUAUGCACCUUCAUAUGGUUUAACAAAUAGAAGAUGGGUGGCGCCAGAAUAAUUUUUCUGACCGUGCAAAGAUAGAGAUCUGCAUUGCUCUCAUCAAUGACCUGCAACGAUUCAUGCAUGCUUCUACUAUGAUCCUUGAGCCUAUCAAAAUUAAUUGCUAUAAUCUUGACUGACCGAGCUACUGAUAUGUGGGCGUCUUGAUGAGUAUGGCGAAUUCUCUUUUAUCUUGGUGGUUGUUCAUUUCAUAGACAUCUCAAUAUAUUGUUUAUUUGGAUGGUUUUGUCUCCUCCUUUAUUUUGGGGUUAUUUUUACAAAGAGAAGUCUAGUUUUCUCCCUAACAAUUUCACAUGGAGAAGUGUCACUCAUAUUUAUUUCAAUCACAUUUACCUCUUGACCUUAAUAUUCACUCACAUUUACCUCCUGACCUUUUGGUUUUGGUUUAAUUUUUCCAUUAAAAUUUCACAAAUGAUAGAAUCCUCCCUGGAAGUUUUAAGAAAAAAAAAAUCUAGUAAAGGCAUAUGUAAUUUUUUUGUAAAGGAGAAUGUAUUAAUAUCAAGCAGAUACCAAUUAUUCCCAGACUCUGCAACAACAAGAUGCCUAAAAACAUCCAGGAUGCACACAGCUAAAAAUUAAAAUAAAAAGGGAAGAAAAAAUGAGAAAAAAUAUCCCGCCACGGUGAUCAAUCACCCGAUGUAGCCGCACUCUAACCACCACCAAAGAUGUCACCCGGACUACAAAAUAGGUUCUCCAAAAGCAAUGCCUCUAGAAAGGAAACAAAACACAAGCAUUGUCGUUGCCCGAUCAAAGAUAUUACGUUUUCACCCUGGAGAAAGAUCAGGUUCCCAACAAUAAUGCCUUCAACAAGACUACCGCCAGGCACAACCAAUAAAGGCCAGACCUUGGGUUUUCACCUUGGAAAUCCUGAUUGGGUACUCAAAGGAGCACCGAAUAACAAAGAAGUCCUCCAAUGCCGCCACCCCCACUUGCGGAGGCUAAUACUGCAAGUCACGCACCAUUAGGCUCACAGGAAUUCACAUCCCGCCUGGACGGGAACAUAUCCUGUAAGCCAUGUCUAAACAACUGCCUAUGAAGCAAAGUCUUCAUCGCAUCCAAGACCUCGCAUUCGCCACUUGCAAGUCCUUCAAUCACGCCAUGGCAUUCUCCGUAUGUGUUGAUCCCAUGGAAAUCUUGGUGCAGACAUGUCCCAAGGUGCCAACAAAAACAGAGCUUCACGAUACCCCGGUAAACCUGGUUAUGCUGAUGUUGCGGGUGCGCACGACAGGCCCCUAUCUAGUCAAGGUGUCCAAAGAGCGCCAUAUGUGCCAGUCCUUUUUUUCCUUCAAAGGAGAAGUCCGGAAAUCGCAGAUGGCCAGAUUGAAGAUCUCAGGUUCUCAAUUGCAUGAGCUUGUGAGCAACGAGAAUGAGCAAGACCGAACAAGGGGAAACCAUCCAAGGACGGGAACACCGUGUGCACAAUAUAUAGGAUCCAAUUUGCACCAGCAAUGUUUAUACAGGAAUAACCAAAAUGUGAGUGUUGCCACGUACAUGUAUUUACUACUGCAGAUAGUUUUCUUUAUUGCACAGGUAUAAAACUUGUUCUUAAUUUUAAUCAAUUCUCUUGCACAAAUUUAUCCACAGAGAGCACAUAUAUGAUUUAUCUAACACUAUGUUUUCAAUAUCACAAGAUAAAAUCUUGUCUUUACAGAGCAAAAUUAUACACCGAUAAAAAUGUGUUGUCUGCCUGCAUGAAAUUACAUAUGCUAUGCAAAACUCUUUACUUCGUAUCGUCAUGAUCAUCCACAAUAUUAAAAUUGUAAAUAAACAAAAAAAGAGGUGCCGGCAAAUAGUUUUGGAUAGAGUAGUUUGGCACAAUAUAUAUGUUAUCCCUGAAAAUAUAACGUCUUCCUGGAUCACACUGUAGCUUCGUGAUAGUUUUGACGGCUAUGAUAACAAAAGCUGCCGACACAUGGCUCUGGAAAUAGUUAUGGCUGUAGGGGUAAAUAUAAUAGCUGACAGCUCUAAAAAAUAUUCCCGCAAAAGAAGGCAGCUCUAAAAAACAAGCCGACAAAAGAAUCAUGAAGCUACAGUGUGAAUUAUACUCUCUCCAUUCACAUUAUUAUGGGAAAACGAAUUGUGCGAGUACAGUCUGCCAAAAUGAGUGGUCGUCCAUGCACCUUGUUUAGGGGCAACUUUAUUUUAAUGUGUCUUUUUGUAGUAUAUAGUGUUGAUUAAUCGUCCGUGAUGAGAUCUGUGCCUUUGUGUGAUAUAACAAAUAGAAGAUAUAUGGCGCCAGACUAAUUUUUCCAUCCGUACGUGCAAAGAUGAGAUAUGAAUGCAUUGCUCUCAUGAAUGACCUGCAACGAUAGACAUAUGCAUUCAUACAUGCUUCUGCUGUGAUCCACGAGCCCGUCAAAAUUAAUUGCUAUGCAGUGGCUUAACUACUCAGAUGAACGUGGGCGUCUUAAUGAGUAUGGUGACUUCUCUCUUAUGUUGGUGGUUGUUCGUUUCAUAAACAUUUCGAUAUAUUGUUUAUUUGGAUGGUUCUGCUUCCUCCUUUAUUUUGGGGUUGUUUUUACAGUGAAAAUUCAAGUUUUUUCACUAACAUAUUCGCAUGGAGAAGUGUCACUCAUAUUUAUUUUCACUGACAUUUACCUCCUGACAUUUAUUUUCACUCACAUUUAACUCCCGGCCUUUUGGUUUUGGUUUAGUUUUCCCAUUCAAAUUUCAUAAAUCAUAGAAUUUUCUAUCGAAGUUUCAAGAUUUGUUUUUCUAAAAAAGGUACAUGUAUGCACUAUAUAUUAGAUCUAAUUUGUACCAGUAAUGUUACCAGCUACAUGAAUUUACUGCUGCAGAUAGUUUUUUUUUGUAUUGCAUAUGUAUAAAUCUUGUCCUUAAUUUUACUCAUUUCUCUUGCACAAAGUUAGCUUCAUAGUGCACAUGUAUGAUUUACCUAAUAUUAUUAUUUCAAUAUUCCAAAAUAUAAUUUUGUCUUAACAGAGUGAAAUAAUACACCAAUAAAAAAACAUUGUCUGUAUGCAUGAAAUUACAUAUGCUAUGCAAAACUCUUUAGUAUGUAUCGUCAUGAUCAUCCACAAUAUGAAAAAAUAGUAAAGAAACAAACAAGAGGAGCAGACACAUGGUUUUGGAUAGAGCAGUUUAGCACAAUAUAUUUUAUCCCUGUUUAUAUAACGUCUUCAUUGCUCACACUGUAGCUUCGUGAUAGUUUUAUUGGCUAUGAUAACAGAAGCUGCUGACACAUGGUUCUGGAAACAGAUAUAACAGCAGGUGUAAAUAUAAUAGCCGCAGCUCUAAAAAAUAAGCUGACAAAAGAAUCAUGAAGCUACAGUGAACUAUACUCCAUCCUCCCUUGUCUAGGGGCAACUUAAUUCGCUUUGCGAAGGAUAAUGCAUCCAUGGCAAACAGUUUCAGGGUUGUCAGAAUAAGAAAUCUUAUGCCUCCCGAUCAAGAUCUAGACAGAUUUUCAGGGCAUGGUGUGGCCGUCCAACUACCUGAUAAAAAAAAAGAUAAUGAAAAGGGCCCACAGCAUCAAACCAAUGACAGAUAUGUUCAGUUUCGAAUCUCUUAAUAUUUAGUUUGAAAGCUGCAGAUUUUCAGGUUGUGAGAGCCGAAACUCUUGGACCAAGCCAUAUGUUCAGUUUCGAAUCUGACCUAGUAGCGUCCUGGAACUAGUUAUCAUCGAUUGGCUGCCAAACUCCCCCAAGAAACUCCGCACACAUCUCUGCAAUCGAACCAGGGCAAAUUAAUUUAGCGAAGGGAACUCACAACGCAGUGUCUCUUGACACAUCAUCCUAUUUAGUGAAAACUAUUUAGAGACAAUGACCCCUAUUCAUUAUAUACUCAACACGUCUCUUAAUAUUUAAAGUAUCUUAUAAAUGUCGUAUCUAAAUGAUAUUCCAUUUAAUUAGUUUAUGGACCUUUUUUGCAUGUCAACAUUGUGGCCUACUCCAGUUGUGAAGACAAAAAUUGUGAGAUAAACCACAAAGGCUCAAAGCGUUAGUCACUAUACGCAGAAAAACAAGUUAAUUAAGAGCCAUAUCUACACUAAAUAGAACAUAGGGAAGCUCAUCGAUCCAUCACCGGCCACACUUCUUGAGUUAGGCGAAUGUUCUCUUUUGGAGACCAUUGAGGACAUGCGCAUUUCAUCGCUCCAUCUGCCUGUCACUACAAGGGAUAAGGCUACACUAGUAGAAAACAGGGUUUUGGUUCGGCCAGAAAAGAGCAUUAAUCCCGGUUGCAUUACGAACCGGGACUAAUGUGAGCAUUAGUCCAGGUUCGAGCGGCUAGGGCACCGUACAUGCAUUAGUCCCGGUUCAAAUGGGACCUUUAGUCCCGGUUGGUGCCACGAACCGGGACUAAAGGGUGCGAUGCCCAUUAGUACCGGUUCGUGGCAUCAACCAGUACUAAAGGUUAGAUCUUUAGUCCCGGUUCGAGCCACCAACCAGUACUAAUGGGGUUUGAGGCAUUAGUACCGGUUCAUGGCACGCCUUUUCAGUUUUGUAAAAAGCAAAAGAAAAUGAUAAAAACUUCAAAAAUUAAAAUCCUUCCAGAUGUAGUUAUGUUACUACAUGUCCUAGUUAGGAAAAUUUAAAAACUUCAAUUUGGACAUGUUUCGCAAAAAGUGUAGGGAAAAUGUAAAACGGCUAUAACUUUUGCAUACGAUGUCAGAAAAAACGUAUAAUAUAUCGAAAUGUUCAGCACGAAAAUCCGCAUCCGAUUUUGACAGCCUACGGCCUGUUUGUAAAUUUUUAGAAUCCUCAAAUUCUAAAAGGGAAAAAAGUUAUGCUAUUUCUGUUUUUUUAAUUUUUGUUAAAUCUGGUCAAACUAUGGUCAAACUACUUAUUCAAGAAGUAUUAGUGUUACUAAAUAAUUAUUCAAGAAUAUUAGUGUUACUAAAUAAUUAUUUCAGUUUUUUUGAAUUUUGGUCAAAUCUGGUCAAACUGUGGUCAAACAAUGGUCAAACUAAUUAUUCAAGAAAUAUUAGUGUUAGUAAAUAAUUAUUUCAGUUUUUUUGAAUUUUGGUCAAAUCUGGUCAAACUGUGGUCAAACUACUUAUUCAAGAAAUAUUAGUGUUACUAAAUAAUUAUUGUUUUUUAGAACAAUAGUUUCAAACUCAAACAGUGAAAUGUGUGACUUCAUGCUCAAGCUAAAUUCCUGAGGGUUAAUAGGAUUGACAUCUUACUAUUGUCAGGAAAACAACAAGUGCAGACUUGGAAACGAGGAAGAAUAUAACCCGGAAGUUAAGCGUGCUCAGGCUGGAGUAGUGAGAGGAUGGGUGACCGUUCGGGAAGUUAGAUGAUUUGGAAUGAUGAGGGGUGAUUAGAGAUUAGAGGUUAAAUUGAGCAGUGAUGAGGGGUGAUUAGAGAUUAGAGGUUAAAAUAAUUCAGAAAUUUGCAAAUCAAAAAAAAAAAUUUAAAAAAAAAAUCAUAAAAUUUCCUUCAGUACCGGUUGGUGUUACCAACCGGGACUAAAGGUGGACCUCACGUGGAGGGCCUUUAGUCCCGGUUCGUGUAAGAACCAGGACUAAAGGGGGAGGCUUUAGUAACGACCCUUUAGUCCCGGUUCCAGAACCGGGACUGAAGGCCCUUAUGAAGCGGGACUAAAAGCCCUUUUUCUACUAGUGCUAGUAGUGGCGCGGUUUAAAGGCAUAGGAGUAGCGCGGGUUGCCUCUCUACUUACAUUAGCAACUAUAUAAAAACUCAUCAUCAUCAUCAUCAUCAUCAUCAUCAUCAUCAUCAUGUAACAACUCAUCAGCGCGUAGCUAACUGGUUCCUAGUAAGACGGGCCAGGCUCGGCUCUAAUACUACUUACAUUAGUAGCAGCGCGGUGUUUGGCCCGUGCUACUAAUAACUAGCUAUAGCGCGAGGCCCCCCGCCACUACUAACUCUAUGUAUUUCCUUUCUACAUAUUAUACUAUAUUAUACAAUAAUUAUACAGAUUUUUAUACACUAGCAACUAUAUAACAACUCAUCAUCAUCAUCAUCAUCAUGUAACAAAUCAUCAUUAUCAAAAUGAUAUAACUCAUCAUCAUCGUAGUGAUAUAACAGCUCAUCAUGAUCAUAAUUAUAUAAAAAUGUCUCAUCAUCAUCGUCAUCAUCACCAUCAGCAUCAUCAUAAGUUAACCACUACUAGCUAAUUGUCAUCAUCCUAGGUAAGUAACUUUCAAGCACAUGACAAGUACUAUGACCUACUCUAGUGUCUUAGGUAAAAUAGAAUAAAACAGAAAAAAUAACUACAUCUCCAUGAUGGACCACAGAGAUCCCCGGUCUCCAAUUUGUUGCCCGCGCUCAUUGACUAUUUGCCUCCAUCAUUCAAUUUUGAGGCAUCCAUUUGAUUAACACUCAGUCAAGUAUGUAUAUUUGAAUCCGAUCUUCAAAGGGCAAAUAAUAGUCAUCUCACUUUUGACGUCCAUCAGCAGAGGCACAACAACAUUUGGGACCUUCCGCUGAAGUACAUAAUAGUAACAUAGUCGAAAUAUGCAGAUAUAGCAAGAAUGAUCCUAAUUUAUUUAGGCAUCACUACCAGUUUGCCCUCAAUGCCUCGAGCGCCAUCUGGCAGAUCAACCAAGUUCCAAACUUGAUUGUCAUCCAUGGACUUUAAUUCGGAUCUCAUGGUCUUAAGCCAUAACUCAGAAUCAGGGCUCUCCGUCGCUUCUGCAUACAUUGCCGACUCGUUGUUCUCCAAGAACAACACAUUGCAGUUAUGCAUAUUGCGCAACCUUUCCGACCUCUGUGGAAUCAGCGUCGACUCCACUAUGGGUUCCUUGACUAACUCCAUGUGGUUCUCGAAUUUCCUCUAGUCGGAUCAUCCUCCCACUAGCCUUCCGAUUGAGAAACUCUUUCUCAAGGAAAACUCCAUGUCGAGCGACAAACACUUUGCCCUCUUCACAGAUGUAGGAGUAAUAUCCCAAGGUUUCCCUUGGAUACCCCAUGAAUAUGCACUUGUCCGAUUUGGGUGUGCGCUUGUCUGACUGGAGUCGCUUGACGUAUGAUUCACAACCCCAAAUUUUUAGAGAAGACAAAGUUUGGCUCUUCGCAGUCCAUAUCUCAUAUGACGUCUUAUCUACAAACUUGGAUGGUACCCUAUUUAGUGUGAAAGCUGCAGUUUCUAGAGCGUAUCGCCAAAAUAACAAGGGUAAAUCCGACUGACUCGUCAUUGAUUGGGCCAUGUCUAACAGAGUCUGAUUCCUUCGUUCCAACACGCCAUUUCUCUGUGGCAUACCCCGAGGAGUCAGUUGUGGAACUAUCCUACGACUCUUCAGAUAAUCAUCAAACUCCUGGCUCAUAUACUCAUUCGCCACGAUCAGAUCGCAGAAGUUUGAUUCUCUUGUCGAGUUGAUUCUCCACUUCAUUCUGAAACUCCUUGAACUUUUCAAAAGUUUCUAACUUGUGCCUCAUCAAGUAGACAUAUCCAAAUCUACUCAAGUUAUCUGUAAACGUCAUGAAGUAUUGGAAACCACCUCUAGCUGGACUUGUUUUACCAUUGUUGAAAUGUCUUGUGCAUCGGGAUUCCGAGUCUGAUCGGAGGGUCUCGAGAUGGAGGAUUGUCUCUGCGGAUCGUGAGCUUGUCAUGGGCAAAGUUGGGACACCCCUGCAGGGUUUAAACUUUCGAGAGCCAUGCCCGCGGUUAUGUGGCAGAUGGGAAUUUGUUAAUAUCUGGUUGUAGAGGACUUGAACUAAACUCAAUUAAAAUACACCAACCGCGGGUGUAACCGUGACUGUCUCUUUCCAGGUGCGUUCGAGAAGAGAAUACGGUUGGGUUAUGUUUGAACGUAAGUGGUUUAGGAUCACUUCUUGAUCACUAUUAGUUUGCGACCGUUGUGUAGAUUCUCUUCUUACUUUUGUACUCGUAAGUUAGCCACCAUACAAAUGCUUAGUGCUUGCUGCAGCUUCACCACUAUCCAUUCCAUACCCAUUAAGCUUUGCUAGUCUUCAUACCCAUGGUAAUGGGAUUGCUGAGUCCUCGUGGCUCACAGAUGACUACAACAAUAGUUGUAGGUACAGGUAAUGCAAUGAUCUGACGUGAGAGCGAUGCUUGAUUGCUUUUGGAGUUCUUCUUCUUCUUCGAUCAAGGGAUUAGGUUCCGGGUCGGGGAGCCUGGGAUUAGUGGGGUGGAUAUUAUUCUUCUUUUUUGUUUGAUUUCAUCCGUAGUCGGAUCCUGCCCUUCUGUGUGCGCUCGAAAUGCGGUUGGAACAGACGAUCGCUAGACAGCGCGCCCGCAUUGCCACCCUCAAAGACGGUGAUGCCAGCUCUGCCUUCUUUCACCGGCAGUGCUCGUUUCAAUGACAGAAAAACCGCAUCUUCUGCCUCUCUGCGAACGGCACGCUACUCACAGACCAUGACGAGAUGGCCGAGGCUGCAUUCCGGCACUAUGACACACUGCUUGGCACGGCGGUCGAACACGACCACUCGAUGGACCUGUCGCAGCUCAUCGAGGGGAGCGAUCUCUCCGACCUUGACGCGACCUUUUGCCCGGAGGAGAGAUGGGAAGCUGUGAAACGCCUCCCCGCGCACAAGGCAGCUGAGCCUGAUGGCUUUAGCGCUGAAUUUCUCCGCGUGUGCCGGAGCAUCAUCAAGCAGGACUUCAUGGAUGUGUUCCAGUAGCUCUUCGAGCUGCGUGGCCGUGGCUUCUGCAAGGUCAACCAGGCCCUUCUCACGCUGCUGCCGAAGCCCAGGAGGUGCGCAACUACCGCCCGAUAUGCCUCAUUCAUAUCGUGGCCAAGGUACUCGCGAAGGCCCUCUCGCUCCGGCUAGCUCCAAAACUUGACCGCUUUGUCAGCCGCAAUCAAAACGCGUUCAUCCUCGGACGGAGCCUACACGACAACUUUAUGCUCGUCAGGCAAUCGGUCAAGCUGCUGAGCCAACUUGGGGGCCCCAGGGUGAUGCUCAAGCUCGACCUCACGCGCGCUUUUGACUCCAUCUCCUGGCCGUUCCUCUUUGAGGUUCUGCGCCAAUUUGGGUUCGGGAAUCGCUUCCUCGAAUGGAUCGCCAUCCUCCUGUCCUCGGCAAGCACUCGGGUGUAGUUGAUUGGUGUCCCAGGCCCACUGAUAUGGCAUAAGGGAGGGCUGCGGCAGGGGGGACUCCUUGUCCCCGCAGCUGUUCGUGCUCGCGGUCGACACUCUCGGCCGGCUGAUUCGGCGCGCCCAUGAUACGGGCAUCCUCCAGCCGCUGCAUCUGCGGAGGCCGAUACCGGCUAUAUCCCUAUACGCCGACGACGUCAUGCUCUUUUGCCAUGCCACGGAGAGUGACGUGACUGUCGUCAAGGAAAUCCUUGACCUGUUUGGUAGAGCGUCCAGCCUCAAGGUGAACUACACCAAGAGCUCGGCCACGGUCUUGCAUCGGGAAUAGGUUGCCUCCGAGAUGAUCACCAGCUUGGGGUGUUCGACUGCCGCGCUCCCGGUCACCUACCUCGGUAUACCUCUGACGAUGCGCCGCCCUUCCGCCGGGCAGUUGCAGCCCCUUGUCGACAAGGUCACCGGACGCUUGCCCACCUGGAAAGCAUGGCUCAUGAACAGAGCCGGCAGGCUCGCCCUCGUCAAGUUCUUCCUUUGCACUAUCCCGGUGCACCAGCGGGUUGCAUUUGCCCCCUCGAAGAAAAGACUGCAGCAACUCGAGAAAAUUCAACGAGGGUUCCUCUGGGCCGGGCGAGCCAUCACCAACGGCGGGCACUGCCAUGUGAACUGGCAUCAUGCUUCCCGCCCGCUCGCGCUUGGCAGCCUUGGGGUUCGUGAUGUCGAGCGCGUUGGACUCGCGCUCAGGCUGCGGUGGCUCUGGCUCUCGCGAACGGACGAAGGGCGCGCCUGGCAGGGGCUGGACCUCCAAUUUUCUAGCAACGAGCGUACACUGUUCUUUGCCUCCACCUACAUGACCAUUGGAAAUGGCAUGAACGCCCUGUUCUGGGAGGAUCGAUGGCUCAACGGGCACUCGGUUGGCGAGCUCAUGCCCCUGUUCUACAGCUGCAUCCCCAAACGCCGGCGCAAAGCUAGAACGGUGGCCGAAGGUCUCAACUGCAACGCAUUGGCCCAUGACAUCCAGGGCGUCCUCGUCAUCCACGAGAUAGGCCAGUAUCUACAGCUUUGGCAACUCACGGAACAGGCUAUGCUCAGCGAUGCUCCUGACCAGCUGAUCUGUAAGCAGACUGCGAGCGGCAUCUAUUCGGCGCAGUCUUGCUACGCGGCUACCUUCCAAGGAUCAGUGCACUCCUACUCUUGGAAGUUGAUCUGGAAGGCUUGGGCUCCCCCUCGACUCAAGUUUUUCCAUUGGCUUGCCAACCUGGAUCGCUGCUGGACUGCCGAUCGACUGGCCUGCCAAAGACUGCAGCAUCAUCUGUGCUGCCUUCUUUGCGAUCAGGCGCCGGAAAUGAUCCGGCACCUCAUGCUUGACUGCCCCUUCUCUAGGCAGGCAUGGCAUGAGACCCUGGCCUGGCUACGCAUACCGGCGUCGAUCCCCAACCAGGAGCCCACCCUCAUGGACUGGUGGCGGCACGCCGCAAGCACAACGCAAGGCCCUGCAAUCCGUAGUGCUACUCGUACCAUGGCUCGUCUGGAAGCAUAUGAACAGCCACGUCUUCGACAGCGCGACGCCCUCCCUAGGCACGCUAGUCGACCGGAUCAAGGAGGAAGCCGACUCCUGGGCUAAGGCCGGAGCAGUAGGCCUUAGAGUAGUCCUACCCCCUUUAUGGGACGUGCACUGAGCAUUGUAUCUGAUCCUUCAUUAUUCAUCCUAGGACGACUGUAACUGACUCCCUACCUUUUCAAUGAAAAGAAACGGAAAGGUCUUUUGCAUUUUCUCGAGAAAAAAAAGAAUGACCUUGAGGCAAGCUCAAUGAAAAUACGUUUUCCAAAGGUUUCAAGACUAUCUUCCUUGUGCUCUGGGAUAAAGCCAUUUGCAAUUCAUAGUCAGAUCAGCUUGUCCACAUCAAUCUUGUAAUCCUUUGGAAAUAUAGCACAAAAGGAAAAGCAUUGCUUCAUGUGUGAUGGCAAGUCAUUGUAGCUAAGCUUUAAUAUUGGCAGAAUCCAGUUUCCAAAGUGCAAAUGCUGCUACUAGAUGAUAUAGCCUUCCACUCUUCGACGCUAGUCUUGGUACGAAGUACAUAGCCCAAUGCAGUUGCAGCUAAAGGAGAGCCAGAACAUCAGCUUACAAUCUCAUCAACCAUCUUGCUUAGCUCGACAGGCUUUUCUUUCUCCGAACUGAAUGCUCUAGCCUCAGUAAUUUCCUUUACGAAGAAAUCCUCCACAAUAUUGAGAUUGUAGGCUCUACCUGCACCCAUAAUUUCAGUGACUUGUUUAUCACGAGUUCUUGUUAACAUUGCACUACCCAUGCCACCAUGUUGAGGACAGACCUUCAGCCUUCCCAACUUAUAGACCUCUCUGUUCCAGACAUCAUCCAAUACAUGGAGAUACCUGUGCCCGCUGUCCAGUUUUUGAAAUCUAUCCAAAGGUAUCAUAGACCUCUCUGGGGGAUGCCCGCUGUACCCAGAGCUGCAACUGAAAAUGAUUCUGAAUUUCAGGUUCAUUGUAUAUGAGUUACGCUAAUGUGGUCUUGCCAAGGCCCCCCAUUCCAACAAUGGGAACUACUGCGAGAUCAGUAUUGCUAGCUUGACCAAGUAGUAUGUCAACGAUAUUAUUCUUAUCUCCGUGUUUGGAUCUGUUGGCAAUUUCUUGUUGGUCGCUGAUGACAUAAUCUGUGUGCCUCCACUCCUUGGACACUCGUGUUUGCCUCAACUGAUUAGACACCAACAACGUCUGCCUCAACAUAAGCGCGACGCGUUGUUGGGCUAGGCCCAGAACGGUGCGCGGGCAGGUGGGGCGUAUUUUUACCGUAGUAACUGUUUCGUCCGCUGCGCUUCCCCACGACCUGCGUUGAACACGCACGUGGAGGGUCGUGCGUGACGUGGGGGUCAUGCGUGGGGCGGUCUCCACACGCAUGCGUCACAUCGCAUUUAAUGGGAAAAGAGGCGGCCCACGCCUUCCCCGUAAAAAGGAAUAACAGCGGGCGCGCUGUUCAUUUACCCCCUGCGUCUUCUUCAAUCUCGGAAUCGCCGUCCCCUUCUUCUUCCUUCUCAAACUCUCGCCUUUGCUCGUUGCCGCCGCAUCUUCGCUGUCCUCCGUCCUUUGCCUCUCGCAGCCGCCAUGGCCCCCAAAACAAGUAAAGGAAAGGGAGUGGCCAAGGAUGCCGGGGCGAAGGAGCCGCCGGAGAGCGAGUUGGUGGCGCGGCGGACGCAUCUCGCCUACUUCCCCUCGACGGUCGACGCGGUCGAACUCCGGGACUACUUCAGGNNNNNNNNNNNNNNNNNNNNNNNNNNNNNNNNNNNNNNNNNNNNNNNNNNNNNNNNNNNNNNNNNNNNNNNNNNNNNNNNNNNNNNNNNNNNNNNNNNNNNNNNNNNNNNNNNNNNNNNNNNNNNNNNNNNNNNNNNNNNNNNNNNNNNNNNNNNNNNNNNNNNNNNNNNNNNNNNNNNNNNNNNNNNNNNNNNNNNNNNNNNNNNNNNNNNNNNNNNNNNNNNNNNNNNNNNNNNNNNNNNNNNNNNNNNNNNNNNNNNNNNNNNNNNNNNNNNNNNNNNNNNNNNNNNNNNNGCGUGUCAUCCCCGCCAAUUGCGCCGAGGCCGCCCCGAAUCGGUAUCCGUUCUUCGUCGAUUACUUUUCUUGCGGUCUCUGCCCCCCUUUCUCCGAUUUCUUCAAUGAUGUCAUGCACACAUUUGGCUUCCACCUUCUGGAUUUCACUCCCAAUGCCGUGGCGUGCAUGGCUCUUUUCGCCCAUCUCUGUGAGGGCUUCGCCGGAGUUCUUCCCAACACAUUGCCCUUCCGCUAUUAGUUUUACCCUCGCAUCCAAAAGGGAGGCGCCAUCUCUGGUUGCGUCGCCUGGAUACCAAGGUCCAAAGGGACGUACCCGGAGGGCGCCCAGAAGGAGAGGUUGGAAGAGUGGCGGGGCCGGUGGUGCUGGAUUGGGGAGGACGACCCGCCGGAAUUUUUCCGGGUUCGUCAGGCGCCGCCGGUUCGCAGGAACGACUGGGGCGAUGUCAACGCCCUGGAUGACAAGCUCAAGGUCGCCACCACCAGGAUUCACCGCCUCACCGUUGCCGGGCUCACCCUGGAGAUGAUUGGGGCGGACUUGAUCCGCCGCCGAAUCGCUCCACUGCACAACAAGGGGAGACCGGCCUGGCUCUUCCAAAACGCGGCUGACAUCAUGAGGCUUCACUCUGGCCUCAACAACAACUUCACGGUGAUGGGGCACGCCCACUUCUGCUAGCGGAUCUUUCAGCUCGACGUGAACCGCGACGGCAGGGCCAAGAGGUCCGGCAAGGCUGCAAAGGCCGGCAAGGUCCUCAAGGGGCCCUUGUUUGGGUUGCCAGCGGGGGUGGUCCCGCUGAGCAACAACUCGCGCCAGACCGACAUCAUCGCCAUGAUGUCGGACUACAAUGCACACGGUCCCGUCCCAAAUUGGUUCGAGCCGCUAGCGGAUCAGGUGCAGGAGUUCUUUGAUACUUUGGCGGAGAAGUAUGUCUGCGACGAGCCGCUGCUCAUCUAGGACACCACCCAAGCAGAGCUGGACUACAUCGCCGCCAGGGCGGCGGAGGCGGAGCUCGCUAGGGAGGCCGGCAGCGCUGGCGGCAUGGAGGACGAGGUCGCAGCAGCCGCAGAGGAGAGGGAGCUCGCCCAGUGGGAGGAAUCCGAUGGGGAGGCCAGCAGCGCCAGCACCGGGGCCCCUCUUAUUGAAGAUGUGGUCGACGAUUCGGAGGAGGAGGAGGUCGAGGCUGUCGAUCCUCCGGUCAUGGGGAGAGGGCGAGUCCUGCGGCGGGCCAGCUCCGGCAAGCCGGUCCAGCCCGGCAGGGCUGUGCAACCGCAGCAGACCUAGGAGGGGUAUGUGCGCCAGACAAGGGCCGCGGUGGCGAGGAAGUUGGUGAAGGCCGUGGUGGCGAAGAAGAAAGCAACAACCUCUUCUUCGUUCAAGCGUGGCCAGACUCCACCUUCUUCCCCUCCUCGGGCAGACGUUGACACGGAGGUCGUCUUCGACUUUGGGUCCCUCAGCCCAAGGAGGAAGAGGAAGGCAUCAGAAGAGGAGGUGGAGGAUGAGUAAGUUUCUUGUUACUUUUUGUCAUCUCCGUCUCCUCAGACUGUGCUGCUUAUCUCGAUUUGUUUUCAUCUUUGCAGGGAUGCGGAGACGCUGGCCCAGAGGGUGAAGAGGGCCAGGUCCUCGGCUGGCGGCCGGCCUCCGGCGGGCACUUCGAGGAUGCCACUAGUGGUGGUGAGCAGCCCGGACAGCAGUCCCCGAAGCAGCCCCCGGCGUAAGUUCCCCACUCGUCCCUCGUCAACGUGUGUUGGGGGUACGAUCCCUUGGCGCUAACCUUGCCGUGAUUGCAGGAGGAGGACAACAGGAGGAGGAGCCACGGAGGGUUACCCCCAACACGCUGCCCCCAUCGACCACGCCGCCCCGAGGGGUGGUGUCUACUACGCAACCUUCUUCUUGUAGACGUUGUUGGGCCUCCAAGUGCAGAGGUUUGUAGGACAGUAGAAAAUUUCCCUCAAGUGGAUGACCUAAGGUUUAUCAAUCCGUGGGAGGCGUAGGAUGAAGAUGGUCUCUCUCAAGCAACCCUGCAACCAAAUAACAAAGAGUCUCUUGUGUCCCCAACACACCCAAUACAAUGGUAAAUUGUAUAGGUGCACUAGUUCGACGAAGAGAUGGUGAUACAAGUGUAAUAUGGAUGGUAGAUAUAGGUUUUUGUAAUAUGAAAAUAUAAAAACAGCAAGCUAACUAAUGAUAAAAGUGAGCACAAACGGUAUUGCAAUGCGUUGAAACAAGGCCUAGGGUUCAUACAUUCACUAGUGCAAGUUCUCUCAACAAUAAUAACAUAAUUGGAUCAUAUAACUAUCCCUCAACGUGCAACAAAGAGUCACUCCAAAGUCACUAAUAGAGGAGAACAAACGAAGAGAUUAUGGUAGGGUACGAAACCACCUCAAAGUUAUUCUUUCGGAUCGAUCUUAUUCAAGAGUUCGUACUAGAAUAACACCUUAAGACAAAAUCAACCAAAACCCUAAUGUCACCUAGAUACUCCAAUGUGACCUCAAGUAUCCGUGGGUAUGAUUAUACGAUAUGCAUCACACAAUCUCAGAUUAAUCUAUUCAAACCAACACAAAGUACUUCAAAGAGUGUCCCAAAGUUUCUACCAGAGAGUCAAGACGAAAACGUGUGCCAACCCCUAUGCAUAGGUUCAUGGGCGGAACCCGCAAGUUGAUCACCAAAACAUACAUCAAGUGGAUCACGUGAUAUCCCAUUGUCACCAGAGAUACGCACAUGCAAGACAUACGUCAAGUGUUCUCAAAUCCUCAAAGACUCAAUCCGAUAAGAUAACUUCAAAGGGAAAACUCAAUCCAUUACAAGAGUGUAGAGGGGGAGAAACACCAUAAGAUCCAACUAUAAUAGCAAAGCUCGCGAUACAUCAAGAUCGUACCACCUCAAGAACACAAGAGAGAGAGAGAGAGAGAGAUCAAACACAUAGCUACUGGUACAUACCCUCAGCCCCGAGGGUGAACUACUCCCUCCUCGUCAUGGAGAGCGCGGGGAUGAUGAAGAUGGCCACCGGUGAGGGUUUCCCCCUCCGGCAGGGUGCCGGAACAGGGUCCCGAUUGGUUUUUGGUGGCUACAGAGGCUUGCGGCGGCGGAACUCCCGAUCUAUUCUGUUCACCUAUGUUUUUAGGGUAUAUGGAUAUAUAUAGGCGAAAGAAGUCGGUAAGGGGAGCCACGAGGGGCCCACGAGGGUGGAGGGCACGCCCAGGGGGUGGGCGCGCCCCCUACCUCGUGCCUUCCUUGUUGCUUCCCUUACGUACACUCCAAGUCUUCUGGAUUGCUUCGGUUCCAAAAAUAACUCUCCCGAAGGUUUCAUUCCGUUUGGACUCCGUUUGAUAUUCCUUUUCUGCGAAACACUGAAACAAGGAGAAAAACUGAAACUAGCACUGGGCUCUGGGUUAAUAAGUUAGUCCCAAAAAUAAUAUAAAAGUGCAUAGUAAAUCCCAUUAAACAUCCAAGAUGGAUAAUAUAAUAGCAUGAAUACUUCAUAAAUUAUAGAUACGUUGGAGACGUAUCAGCAUCCCCAAGCUUAAUUCCUGCUCGUCCUCGAGUAGGUAAAUGAUAUAAGAAAUAAUUAUGAAGUGUGAAUGCUAGCAGGUGCACAAGUUUGAUCAAUGAUAAUUUCAAUCACCUUUUCAAGCAUCAUUAUAUGUCAUAACAGUAGCUCAACUCAUAAAACUUUUCAUGAUCAAGUAACAAGCUAUUCACAUAUUAAAGCAUAGACCAUAAACUUUCUUGAAAACUAACAAACUAUGUUCUCAGUCAUCAAACAAUUGCAAUUCAUCUUAUUUUCAGGAAGGGUCUAUGUAAGAGCUUUGAUUUAGCAAAUCCCACAUACUCAACUAUCAUAUAGUCUUCCAUGAUUGCUACCACUCAAAGCAUAUUUUCGGAACAAAUAGCAUCCAUCGAACACAGAGAAAGAUAGGGGCUUAAUGUUUCGCCUCCCAACUUAUUUAUCAUAUAGAUAAUUGUCAACAAUAAUAAUUCAUGAUCAAAUAUAUUUGAAUGGCCAUAUAUGCUUAGAUCUUUCCAUCACAUGAUGCUUGCCAACUAAAAAGUAGGUUGGAAUGAGAAGGAAUACUACUGACUCUUGCAUAAAAGUAAAAGAUAGGCCCUUCACAGAGGGAAGCAGGGAUUUGCAGAGGUGCCAGAGCUCGAAGCUAAAACAGAGAUGAAAAUAAUUUUGAGAGGUAUGCUUUCAUUGUCAACAUAACGACCAAGAGUUCCCAAUAUCUUCCAUACUACAUACAUUAUAGGCGGUUCCCACGCGGAAAGGUAAAGUUUUUACUCCCCCUCCACCAACAUUCACACUCCACGGCUUGUCCGAAACAAUGGGUGCCGUCCAACUAUCAACAUUCUUGGGGGAGUUUGUUGAAAUUAUUUGUGAAUUUGUUUUUGAUCUUUUGAUCAUAGGACUGGGCAUCCCAGUUACCAGCCAUUUUCUCGUGAAUGAUGAGCGGUGUCCACUCAUCGUGAGAAUAACCCACCCAGCAUGGAAGAUACUGACAGCCCCUAGUCGCUACAUGAGCGAUUCGGGCAUACAAAACAGAUUAUUAUUUGAAGGUUUAGAGUUUGGCACAUGCAAAUUUACUUGGAACGGCAGGUAAAUACCGCAUAUAGGUAGAUAUGGUGGACACUCAUGGAAGAAACUUGGUUCGAGGAAUUUGGAUGCACAAGCAGUAUUCCUGCUUAGUACAGACAUUUUGGCUAGCAAAUGAUUCUAAAUAGCAAGCACCACAAGUUAGAGGAUCCAUAACAAUAUAACUUCUAUACAAAUAUACCCAAGCAUAACUCAUUAUGUUGUCUUCCUUGUCCAACUUCAACUAAUUUGCUCAGGUUUGCUAAUAAUUAAUGGGGCUCACGAUCAUAGAAGAUGUCCAAGAUAGUAUUAUAUGUGAAAUCUCUCUUCCUUCAAUAUUCUUUCAUGAAUUGUUCAAGUGACAAAUACAAAGUUUGCUAACCUUCAAAAAAUUUACCACCUCUACUUCUUAUAUGUGAAGUCAUUACUCCCCAUGGGAUAAGUAUAUGAAACAUAUAUAAUUUCAGAUUUAUAAUAUUCAAAUCAUUCAACUAUUUACUCAUAGGAUAUAAGUGAAGCACACGAGUAAAUGACAAACUACUCCAAAAAGAUAUAAGUGAAGAUCAAUGAGUAGUUAAAUAAUUAUGUAGUUAUCUGAAGACUCUAUCUCAUUUAAGAAUUUCAGAUCUUGGUAUUUUAUUCAUACAGCAAGCAAAACAAAAGAAAAUAAAAUGACGCUCCAAGUAAAACACAUAUCAUGUGGUGAAUAAAAAUAUAGCUCCAAGUAAAGUUACCGAUGAACGAAGACGAAAGAGGGGAUGCCAUCCGGGGCAUCCCCAAGCUUAGGCUCUUGGUUGUCCUUGAAUAUUACCUUGGGGUGCCUUGGGCUUCCCCAAGCUUAGGCUCUUGCCACUCCUUAUUCCAUAGUCCAUCGAAUCUUUACCCAAAACUUGAAAACUUCACAACACAAAACUUAACAGAAGAUCUCGUGAGCUCCGUUAGCGAAAGAAAACAAAACACCACUUCAAGGUACUGUAAUGAACUCAUUAUUUAUUUGUAUUGGUGUUAAAUCUAAUGUAUUCCAACUUCUCUAUGGUUUACAAACUAUUUUACAAGCCAUAGAUUCAUCAAAAUAAGCAAACAACACACGAAAAACAGAAUCUGUCAAAAACAGAACAGUCUGUAGUAAUCUGUAACUAACGCAAACUUCUUGAACUCAACAAAUUCUACCAAAAUAGGACGACCUAGAUAAUUUUAUUAUUGAUCUGAUGCAAUUGGAAUCAGUAUUUUAUCACGUUCUGGUGAUUUUAAACAAUUGUUUUCGUGAACAGAAAGUUUCUGGAAUUUUCAGCAAGAUCAAAUAACUAUCAUCCAAGAAGAUCCUAUAGGUCUUACUUGGCGCAAACACUAAUUAAAACAUAAAACCACAUCUAAACAGAGGCUAGAUAGAUUAUUUAUUGCUAAACAGAACCAUAAAGAAAGAACAAAAAUAAAAAUCGGGUUGCCUCCCAACAAGCGCUAACGUUUAACGCCCCUAGCUAGGCAUGAUGAUUUCAAUGAUGCUCGCAUAAAAGAUAAGAAUUGAAAUAUAAAGAGAGCAUCAUGAAAAAUAUGACUAGCACAUUUAAGUCUAACCCACUUCCUAUGCAUAGGGAUUUUGUGAGAAAACAACUUAUGGGAACAAUAAUCAACUAGCAUAGGAAGGCAAAACAAGCAUAACUUCAAAACUUUAAGCACAUAGAGAGGAAACAUGAUAUUAUUGCAAUUCAUACAAGCAUACAUUCCUCCCUCAUAAUAAUUUUCAGUAGCAUCAUGAAUGAAUUCAACAAUAUAACCAGCACCUAAAGCAUUCUUUUCAUGAUCUACUUGCAUAGAAAUUUUCCUACUCUCCACGUAAGCAAAUUUAUUCUCAUCAAUAGUAGUGGGAGCAAACUCAACAAAAUAACUAUCAUGUGAUUGAAAAUUAAGAUCAAGAUGACAAGUUUCAUGGUUAUCAUUAUUCUUUAUAGCAUACGUGUCAUCACAAUAAUCAUCAUAGGUAGGAGGCAUGCUUUCAUCAUAAUAAAUUUGCUCAUCAAAACUUGGGGGACAAAAAAUAUCAUCUUCAUCAAACAUAGCUUCCCCAAGCUUGUAAUCAUGCUCAUCAUUCAAAUAUUUAGUGCCAAACAUUCUAAUGCAUUCUUCCUCUAGCAAUUGAGCGCAAUUAUCGGAAUCCUUAUUUUCACGGAAGACAUUAAAAAGAUGAAGCAUAUGAGGCACACUCAAUUCCAUUUUUUGUAGUUUUCUUUUAUAAAAUAAACUAGUGAUAAAACAAGAAACUAAAAGAUUCCAUUGCAAGAUCUAAAUAUAUACCUUCAAGCACUCACCUCCCCGACAACGGCGCUAGAAAAGAGCUUAGUUGACGGGGUGUGAGUGCCGCUUACCUAGCCUCCCCGGCAACGGCGCCAGAAAAGAGCUUGAUGUCUACUACGCAACCUUCUUCUUGUAGACGUUGUUGGGCCUCCAAGUGCAGAGGUUUGUAGGACAGUAGCAAAUUUCCCUCAAGUGAAUGACCUAAGGUUUAUCAAUCCGUGGGAGGCGUAGGAUGAAGAUGGUCUCUCUCAAGCAACCCUGCAACCAAAUAACAAAGAGUCUCUUGUGUCCCCAAAACACCCAAUACAAUGGUAAAUUGUAUAUGUGCACUAGUUCGGCGAAGAGAUGGUGAUACAAGUGUAAUAUGGAUGGUAGAUAUAGGUUUUUGUAAUCUGAAAAUAUAAAAACAGCAAGGUAACUAAUGAUAAAAGUGAGCACGAACGGUAUUGCAAUGCGUUGAAACAAGGCCUAGGGUUCAUACUUUCACUGGUGCAAGUUCUCUUAACAAUAAUAACAUAAUUGGAUCAUAUAACUAUCCCUCAACAUGCAACAAAGAGUCACUCCAAAGUCACUAAUAGAGGAGAACAAACGAAGAGAUUACGGUAGGGUACGAAACCACCUCAAAGUUAUUCUUUCGGAUGAUCUUAUUCAAGAGUUCGUACUAGAAUAACACCUUAAGACACAAAUCAACCAAAACCCUAAUGUCACCUAGAUACUCCAAUGUCACCUCAAGUAUCCGUGGGUAUGAUUAUACGAUAUGCAUCACACAAUCUCAGAUUGAUCUAUUCAAACCAACACAGAGUACUUCAAAGAGUGUCCCAAAGUUUCUACCGGAGAGUCAAGAUGAAAACGUGUGCCAACCCCUAUGCAUAGGUUCAUGGGCGGAACCCGCAAGUUGAUCACCAAAACAUACAUCAAGUGGAUCACGUGAUAUCCCAUUGUCACCACAGAUAUGCACAUGCAAGACAUACAUCAAGUGUUCUCAAAUCCUUAAAGACUCAAUCCGAUAAGAUAACUUCAAAGGGAAAACUCAAUCCAUUACAGGAGUGUAGAGGGGGAGAAACAUCAUAAGAUCCAACUAUAAUAGGAAAGCUCGCGAUACAUCAAGGUUGUACCACCUCAAGAACACGAGAGAGAGAUCAAACACAUAGCUACUGGUGCAUACCCUCAGCCCCGAGGGUGAACUACUCCCUCCUCGUCAUGGAGAGCGCGGGAAUGAUGAAGAUGGCCACCGGUGAGGGUUCCCCCCUCCUGCAGGGUGCAGGAACAGGUUCUCGAUUUGUUUUUGGUGGCUACAGAGGCUUGCGGCGGCGGAACUCCUGAUCUAUUCUGUUCCCCGAUGUUUUUAGGGUAUAUGGAUAUAUAUAGGCGAAAGAAGUCGGUAAGGGGAGCCACAAGGGGCCCACGAGGGUGGAGGGCGCGCCUAGGGGGGUGGGCGCGCCCCCUGUCUCGUGCCUUCCUCGUUGCUUCCCUUACGUACACUCCAAGCCUUCUGGAUUGCUUCCGUUCCAAAAAUAACUGUCCCGAAGGUUUCAUUCCCUUUGGACUCCGUUUGAUAUUCCUUUUCUGCGAAACACUGAAACAAGGAGAAAAAACUGAAACUAGCACUGGGCUCUGGGUUAAUAAGUUAGUCCCAAAAAUAAUAUAAAAGUGCGUAGUAAAGCCCAUUAAACAUCCAAGAUGGAUAAUAUAAUAGCAUGAAUACUUCAUAAAUUAUAGAUACGUUGGAGACGUAUCAAGGGGCGUCCCCGGCAAGGGCGCCAAGCACCGAGCCCAUGCACACAGAGGAGGAGGAGGCAGACUUGGGCGCUAGUGGCUCCGCCUCGGUGCCAGAUGUUGGCAGGGAAGGGGCUACUUCUUCCCAGCCCGGCACGGGUACGUCACUUGCCUCCUGUCCCUGCUUUUUCUUCUUCUUUUUGAAUCUUGGUCUUGGCUCCGCCUCAUCCCCUUCUCGAUAUCCAGACCCUCCCUCGGCGGACCGGGAGGACAUAGACACCGUCAUCGAGGAUGUCGCCAAGGACACCGCGGCGGAGGCCGAGAAGAUUGCCGCCGAGGAGGCCGCCAAGGGCGCUGCCGAGGACGCCGCAAAGCGAUCUGCCGGGGAGUCCGGCAUGUCUACUGCCAAAGUGGCCGGCAAGGGGCCUGCCGGGGAGGCCGGCAAGGCCGCUGCCGGGGAGGAGGUGGUUAACGACCAACCUUCCUCCUCUGCUGCCUCUGGUUCCGGCAGGUAUCUGAAGGUGAGCGACGACCUAUUCGUCAACCUCCUAGGGACGGCGAGCACUAGGGCGCCCACCGAGGGAGAGGUGUUCGACGAGGAGGUGCUUGCCGCCGCUGGGCUCGAGGUUGUUGACGAGUCGAGCGCCGGUGGCGACGGUUCCCAGGAAGAGCGGCUCCUUCAGGCCAUGGGCGCCAGCUUUCGGAAGCUCCAGGCGCUCCACCGCGCCCGCCUGGACAAGGCCAAGUCCAGGAUGGCAGCGGUGGAAAAGGCGGAGGCGGACCUCGAGGGUCGCAUCGUCGAGACGCAGGCUUGGUUCCGCCAGGGCUGCGAGGAGCUGAAGACCGCCCAGGACGAGCUGGCCAAGCGCAAGGUGGAGCUCGUCAUGAAGCAGGCCGACAUCGAGAGGGGCCAGGAGUUGGCGAAGAACCAGGCCGCCAAGGACGAGGUCGCUCGGUCCCAGCACCAGGCCGCGCUGAACUCCCAGGAAGAGGACCUUGCCGCUCGCGAGGAGAAGCUCGCCGUGACACUCCGCGGCAAGGACGAGGAGGUCAAGAAGCUUGUCCUGCAGCGGACCCAGGAGUUGGAGCAGAAGCACGAGGAGGCGCUCAAUGCCCAGGCUUAGGUCCACGCCGGCAAGGUGAAGGAGCUGGAGGUGGAGCGGGACGAGCUGAAGAAGCAGGCCCUGGAGUUGACGGCGGAGAGGGACGCUGCCAAAGGUGCCCUGGCCGACGCGCAGGCCGCAGUCCUCAGCAAGGCCGGGCUACUCUCCACGGCCAACGAGACCAUCAAGGACCUGAAGCUGAAGCUGGAGGGCCUUGAGGGGACGCUCUCGGAGGCCAAGGCCCGGGAGGAGACCCUGGCCAAAGAUUUGGAGGCCGAGAAGCAGCUGCGGAAGAACGAAACCGCCAACCACAAGGAUUUUGUGGAGGGCGAGAACCGCUGGAUCAGCCGCCUCAAAGGCGUCGCCGGCAGGAUCACCACGCAGCUGGCUACGAUGGGGAUGCCAAAUGUGAGGUACGCCCCGGAGCCCAAUGUGACUCCCAAUGCCAAGCUGACCCUAUUCUUCGAGGGUGUCCUUGGAGCCCUGGAGCAUCUUCGCUCCAGCAGGGCGGCCUCUUUGGCCGAUGAGGCCCGGAAGCUUUGCCGGGGUGCCAUGACCAAGGUCCUCACCAAGGUGGCGUACUGGAACCCCGACCUCGACUUCGACGCCGCACUAGAGAGCUUGCCGGAGGAUGCUGACCUCGCGGCGCUCAAGGAGCGUAUCAAGCCCAUCAUCAGUCGCGUCGACGGAAUCCAGAGGGUGGAGGGCCAGCGCUGGGAUUAGGCACCCCGUUUCUCAUUGCCGCUGCAGGUUCAUGACCAUGACAAUUUCUAUCUUUAGUUAGAACCGCGGCAACAACUGAUGUAAUAUAACUCUGCAGUACAUUCGUGAUGAUGUAUGUUAUCUUCCUGUUUGAUCUUCCUUUGUAUGUUCACCCUACGUUAAUCGGGUAGGCUUGCCGGCGCGUAAACCCAGGCCGCGGCGCCUUGAGGAUGGAUCCCCAAUGGCCUGCCGGGUAUGCUUGCUGCCAGGCGAACCACCUUACCGCAUUAGUAGAAAACAGGGCUUUGGUUCCGGCCUGGCCAGCCCAUUAGUCCCGGUUCUUCAUGAACCGGGACCCAUGGGGGGCAUUAGUCCCGGUUCAUGAGCCCAGGGGGCCGUCCGGGGCCUCGUGGGCAUUGGUCCAGGUUCCUCUGGAUCCAUUUGUACCGGUUCUAGAGGGCCGCGCUCCUUGCCCACAGCCAUUGGUACCGGUUCGUGCCUAUAACCGGGACAGAAGGGGGGGGGGCUUUAGUACCGGUUCGUGCCACAAACCGGGACAAAUAAGUUGCCUAUAUAUACUCGUCGCCGCAGCAGAGCACUCCACAGUGCUCUGUUUUUUCUGGCCGGCGAGGGGAGGGCAUUUGGGUGCUCUAGCUCACCUCCUAUGCACAUGAGGUGUUUGAUGAAAUGCCCGAGCGACACUAGUUAAGCUUUCUCCUCUUGAAGCUCGACCUCGGAGCUCCAUUUUUCCCAAGAUUUGUCUAGAUUUAGCGGUCCGUCACGCCCCGUCCCCGUUUUCACCGCCGUCAAUCGCCCGUGCCGAUCUCGUCGCCGGCACCAUCGUGGUGAGCCUCUUGUUCUUAUCUUCUUUCUGAUUUGCUUAAUUUAGAUAGAUACUUGUCUGAUUUUCUUACUUUUGACACACAUAAUUAUAUAUAAUGCACGCAGAUGAACCGGCAAUGGAUGUACGGUGACAGACACACCUCCGAGUACAUUAAGGGCGUGCAUGAAUUUCUCGAAGUGGCAGAGGCAAACAAGCAGAAUGGUUUUAUGUGUUGUCCAUGCCCUAAAUGUGGGAAUACGAAGUCUUACUCUGACCGGAAAAUCCUGCACACCCACCUGCUUUACAAGGGUUUCAUGCCACACUAUAAUGUUUGGACGAGGCACAGAGAAAUAGGGGUUAUGAUGGAAGACGACGAAGAAGAAGAGGACGAUGACAACUAUGUGCCCCCUGAAUACGGUGAUGCUGCAACGGGGGGAGCUGCCGAAGAUCAAGAGGAACCAGACGAUGUGCCCGAUGAUGCUGCAAUGGGGGAAGCUGCUGAAGAUCAAGAAGAACCAGACGAUGUGCCCGAUGAUAAUGAUCUCCGCCGGGUCAUUGUCGAUGCAAGGAUGCAAUGCGAAAGUCAAAAGGAGCAGCUGAAGUUCGAUCCCAUGUUAGAGGAUCACAAAAAAGGGUUGUACCCCAAUUGCGAAGAUGGCAACACAAAGCUCGGUACCGUACUGGAAUUGCUGCAGUGGAAGGCAGAGAAUGCUGUGCCUGAGAAAGGAUUUGAGAAGCUACUGAAAAUAUUGAAGAAGAAGUUUCCAAAGGACAAUGAAUUGCCUGACAGUACGUACGCAGCAAAGAAGGUCGUAUGCCCUCUAGGAUUGGAGGUGCAGAAGAUACAUGCAUGCCCUAAUGACUGCAUCCUCGACCAUGGUGCGUACAAGGAUUUGAACGCAUGCCCGGUAUGCGGUGCAUUGCGGUAUAAGAUCAGACGAGAUGACCCUGGUGAUGUUGACGGUGAGCCCCGCAGGAAGAGGGUCCCUGCGAAGGUGAUGUGGUAUGCGCCUAUAAUACCACCGUUGAAACGACUAUUCAGAAACAAAGAGCAUGCCAAGUUGAUGCGAUGGCACAGUGAGGACCGUAAGAAAGACGGGAAGUUGAGAGCACCCGCUGACGGGUCGCAGUGGCGAAAAAUUAAGAGAAAGUACUGGGAUGAGUUUGCAGGUGACCCAAGGAAUGUAUGGUUUGCUUUAAGAGCGGAUGGCAUUAAUCCUUUCGGGGAGCAGAGCAGCAAUCACAGCACCUGGCCCGUGACUCUAUGUAUGUAUAACCUUCCUCCUUGGAUGUGCAUGAAGCGGAAGUUCAUUAUGAUGCCAAUUCUCAUCCAAGGCCCUAAGCAACCCGUUAACGACAUUGAUGUGUACCUAAGGCCAUUAGUUGAAGAACUUUUAUAGCUGUGGAAUGGAAACAGUGUACGUGCGUGGGAUGAGCACAGACACGAGGAAUUUAACCUCCAUGCGUUGCUGUUUGUAACCAUCAACGAUUGGCCCGCUCUCAGUAACCUAUCAGGACAGACAAACAAGGGAUACCACGCAUGCACGCACUAUUUAGCUAACACCAAAAGUAUAUACCUGGACAAAUGCAGGAAGAAUGUGUACCUGUGCCAUCAUCGAUUUCUUCCGACCAACCAUCAAUGUCGAAAGAAAGGCAAGCAUUUCAAAGGCGAGGCAGAUCACCGGAAGAAGCCCGCCAUGCGUACCGGUGAUCACGUACUUGCUAUGGUCAAUGAUUUACACCUAAUGUUUGGAAAGGGUCCCGGCGGACUAGCUGUUCCGAAUGACGCUGGGGGACGCGCACCCAUGUGGAAGAAGAAAUCUAUAUUUUGGGACCUGCCCUACUAGAAAGACCUAGAGGUCCGCUCUUCGAUCGACGUGAUGCACGUGACGAAGAACCUUUGCGUGAACCUGCUAGGCUUCUUGGGCAUGUAUGGGAAGACAAAAGAUACAGCUGAGGCACGGGAGGACCUGCAACGUUUGCACGAAAAAGACGGCAUGCCUCCAAAGCAGUAUGAAGGUCCUGCCAGCUAUGCUCUUACCAAAGAAGAGAAGGAAAUCUUCUUUGAAUGUCUGCUUAGUAUGAAGGUCUCGACUGGCUUCUCGUCGAAUAUAAAGGGAAUAAUAAAUAUGCCAGAGAAAAAGUUCCAGAACCUAAAGUCUCAUGACUGCCACGUGAUUAUGACGCAACUGCUUCCGGUUGCAUUGAGGGGGCGUCUACCGAAAAACGUCCGAUUAGCCAUUGUGAAGCUAUGUGCAUUCCUCAAUGCAAUCUCUCAGAAGGUGAUCAAUCCAGAAAUCAUACCAAGGCUAAGGAGUGAUGUGGCGCAAUGUCUUGUCAGUUUCGAGCUGGUGUUCCCACCAUCCUUCUUCAAUAUCAUGACGCACGUCCUAGUUCAUCUAGUUGACGAGAUUGUCAUUCUGGGCCCCGUAUUUCUACAUAAUAUGUACCCCUUUGAGAGGUUCUUGGGAGUCCUAAAGAAAUAUGUCCGUAACCGCGCUAGGCCAGAAGGAAGCAUCUCCAUGGGCCAUCAAACAGAGGAUGUCAUUGGGUUUUGUGUUGACUUCAUUCCUGGCCUUAUGAAGAUAGGUCUCCCUAAAUCGCGGUAUGAGGGGAGACUGGCUGGAAAAGGCACGCUUGGAGGGGACUCAAUAAUAUGCAGGGACGGAUAUUCUUGGUCUCAAGCACACUACACAGUUCUACAGAACUCUACCUUGGUGACCCCUUAUGUCGAUGAACACAAGAACAGUCUGCGCUCCAAACACCCGGAGCAUUGCGACGACUGGAUUACAUGUGAACACAUCAGGACUUUCAGCAGUUGGUUGGAAACACGUCUCAGAGGUGACAACACUGUUUGUGAUGAGAUGUACUCGUUGUCCAGGGGACCAUUUUCGACUGUAUUGACUUACAAAGGAUACAAGAUAAAUGGGAAUACAUUUUACACGAUCGCCCAAGAUCAAAAGAGCACCAACCAAAACAGCUGUGUCCGCUUUGAUGCAGCAACCGAGAGGGGAAAGGACACAUAUUAUGGUUACAUAGUGGACAUAUGGGAACUUGACUACGGACAUGAUUUUAAGGUCCCUUUGUCUAAGUGCAAAUGGGUCAAUCUGUCAGGAGGCGGGGUACAGGUAGACCCACAGUACGGAAUGACAACAGUGGAUCUGAACAAUCUUCGGUACACUGACGAACCUUUCGUCCUAGCCAAUGAUGUGGCACAGUUUAUCUAUGUGAAGGACAUGUCUACCAAACCGAGAAAAAGAAAAGAUAAGGAAGCGAAUACAUCAUACGAUGAGCCAAAGCACCACAUAGUUCUUUUAGGAAAAAGGGACAUCGUGGGAGUGGAGCGCAAGACAGACAUGUCUAAAGAUUAUGAAAAGUUUCCUGAAAUUCCUCCCUUCAAAGUCAAGGCUAACCCAAGCAUCCUAAUAAACGAUGAAGAUUAUCCAUGGUUACGGCGCAAUAAGCAAACGACACAAGCGAAGAAAAAGUGAAGACUUUCUCUCUACAACUAUUAUGAUGAUGCCUUUGAUCUAGAAUAUCACUGCAAUUACAUGUGAAGAAAUGAAAUGCAUGUUGUAACAAACGAGUUUCCGUGUGAAAUGAUGAUACCAUGCCAAUUUGCAACCUUAUCGGAGUUCAUUUGAAAUGGUUUUCAAUUUCCGGGUCUUAUAGCUCAAAAAAGCAGUAAAUGCAUGAAAAAUAACAAAUGAAGUCAGAAAGGGUUGAAAAUUGAUGAUGUUGCUUUGAAUGGUGCAUUUUGAACACACAAGAAGUCUGGAGUUCAAAUAAGUUCGAAAAAAUGAAAUCCCUUUGUAACAGAUGAGCUUUCGUGCGAAACCCUGAUACUUCGAAAGAGAUUGUCCGUUUUGUACACAAAGUGCAUCUAGUUUUUGCCGUAACCCUCUCAACUUUCUUGCACAUGCUAUGUGGGUGAAAUGAUGAUAGCAUGCCAAUUUUCAACCUUUUCGGUGUUCAUUUGAAAUGCUUUUCAAUUUUCGGGUCUUAUAGCUCAAAAAAGCAGUAAAUGCAUGAAAAAUAAUAAAAUGCAUAAAACUAUAAUAUUUGUUAUGAUCACUAAAAAACUAAAAUCAAUUAAAAUAUUAAAUAGCAGGAAAAAGAAUCACUCAAAAAUCUAUUUUUAUAGUAAAUUUAUUCAUAAAACUAGUGAUUCACAUACAUUUAAAAAAAAUCAAAUUUUAAAACUAAUGGCACUAACAGAAAGUUUAUAAUUUUGUGACCCAAAAGCAAAAAGAAAUCACUAAAAAACUAUAAAAUUUAGUUUUAAGUAGAAAUAAAAAAAUAAAAAGAAAAAAAGGAAAAAAAAUGCCACCUACUGGACCUCCUCGGCCUAAAUACGACUAGAAACCCUACAAUGGGCCAGGAUUCAGGCCCGCAGAAGGCCCAAUAGGCCCAACAGGCAUGGCAAAGUAGAGAUUAGGCCCGUAAGCCUGCAAUAGAGAGGAGCUCGAGAGGGUGGCGGCAGCAAAGCUUAUAAACCACCCCGAGCCCCUCUCAACUAGCGAGGUGGGACUAAACAUCCCACCGCACCGUGCCAGCACAAGGCCUAUGGUCCCGGUUCAUGCCACCAACCGGUACCAUAGGCGGGCAUUCGUACCGGUUCGUGGCACCAACCAGUACCAAUGCCCACCUACGGUCCCGGUCCGUGCCACCAACCGGGACCAUGGGCCUCUGUUUCCCGCCCUUGGGGCUGCCGAAAAGAGACCUUUGGACCCUGUUGGUGGCACGAACCGGGACCAUAGGUAGGCAUUGGUACCGGUUGGUGCCAUGAACCGGUACCAUUGGUUUUGCUAUAUAAGGUAGCACUUGUGAAAAUUUCGCCAACUGCUCCCCCAUUCCCCCCGACGCCGCCAGGCCGUUCCUCGUCGUCGUCGCCGUCGCCGCCCCGAGCCCCUGCCCCGACGNNNNNNNNNNNNNNNNNNNNNNNNNNNNNNNNNNNNNNNNNNNNNNNNNNNNNNNNNNNNNNNNNNNNNNNNNNNNNNNNNNNNNNNNNNNNNNNNNNNNNNNNNNNNNNNNNNNNNNNNNNNNNNNNNNNNNNNNNNNNNNNNNNNNNNNNNNNNNNNNNNNNNNNNNNNNNNNNNNNNNNNNNNNNNNNNNNNNNNNNNNNNNNNNNNNNNNNNNNNNNNNNNNNNNNNNNNNNNNNNNNNNNNNNNNNNNNNNNNNNNNNCCCGACGACGUCGCCGCGCCCUUGACCCGCCGUUGACGUCGUCCUCACCGUCGCCGUCGUCGUCACCGCCCCCGAGCCGCUCCUCCCAGAGCCCUCGCUGUGCGCGUACCCCUCCCCCAAGAGCCCACCGUCCUCGUCGCCGUCAUCGUCACCGGCCUCGUCGUCGUCCUCGUCACCGGCCUCGUCGUUGUCCGGCCUUGAGCCCCCAGUGAGCCCCUUCCAAUCCCGAUCCGUGCACUGCCGCAGCUGCCGCCGCCCCCCCGCGCCGCGCCGCCGCCCCUGUUUUUUAUAUGUAUGUAUGUAUGUAUCUAUGUAUAUGGAUGUAUGUAUGUACGGAUGGAUGGAUAUGCAUGUAUAUGGAUGGAUGUAUGUGUAUGUGUUCAUAGUUUUUUUUUGUUCAUAGUUUUUUGUUGAUAGCAUUUUUAGGCUGUAUAGUUUUAUUUUUGUUCAAUUUUUAUGGUUAGAAGAGGAGAGGAAAAAAUUGUGUUGCUAAAGUUACAUUUAAGGUUAGUUGAUUUAGUUCAUUUUAGGUUAUUAGUUCUACUGUUAGUGCAUUUAAGGUUAGUUUAUUUUUAGUUGAACUAGUUGAUUUAAUAAAACUAAUUUAUUUUACUAUACAUAUAAGUAGUUUAUUUUUAGUAAGUACUACUUUAUUUUAUUUAUAGUAAGUGCUUAGUAGUUGAACUAGUUGAUUUAAUAAAACUACUUUAUUUUACUAUAGAAGUAGUUUAGUUUUAGCAAGAAAAUUAAUAGAAUUAGUUUAUUUUUUAGUUCAAGCAAUUAUUCCCGCAUCGACAUCGACGAUGCCUAUCCCGCAUCCUCGUCGUCGACUCGGCGGAGGAGGCCGACUUGAUCAGAGGGGCCAUGUCCGGGACUGGGCUCCGCCGGGCUGGUAUUGGGAGGUGCUACCUUCCGGGGGGCGUAGGUUGGUGAGGAGCCAGCCCGUCGUUGACCCGAUCCUUGUUUGGUGGCGGUCGCGUGGGCCAGUGACUGUAUCGAGGCUUCCGGACACCGCGGAGGUGGUACGUCACCAUGUCAGCGAGGAGGACGAGCACGCCCGUCGCUACAUGGUUGCGUUGGAGGGCAGGUUCGACAAUACCUGGCAGCUUCUUCAGGGAUCUCAUUGGAGCUAUGAUCAUGUGAUGGUUCCUUCUCUUUGGGCAUCCACCGCCCGCGCCGAUACCCGUCGGGCGCUACGGUUCUAGCUGUACUAGCGAUGCUAUAUGUAUGAUAGUAUUCGAGGUGUAUUAGUGAUAAUAUUCGACGAUGUACGGACGCAAGAGAUGAUGUAGUUUUGCUUAUAAUUGAAUGCAUCCUAAUUUGAAUACUACUUUAUUUUGCGAUCUGAUUUUGCUUAUUGAAUGCUCAAAUUGGAAAACUACUCCUACUUUGAAUGCUAAAAUUAGAGAGCACUAUGCAAGGCGUAUGCAUAUGAUUAGUUGAUAGCUUAUAGUGUUUUUGUUUUCGCAAAAAUAUAGGAGCCCCCAACCAUCAUCCCCGCCGUCGUCCCCGUCACUGACCCCCUCCGACGUCGAGGUGAGACCAGCCAAAUCUCCAUGUCAAUAUGAGUCCUAUAAUAUGAGUCCUCGGGUCGACUUUAAGUCUGUCGAGUCUCCACCAUAUAUGAAAGGACGAAGAAUCAUGACUGUUGUCGUGGGGGUAGCUUCUCCUUCGUUCCCGUGAUGAAUAAUAAUGAUCUAACUUAGGUUUUUAGUACAUAUAUUUAAUUGUAGAUGUUUAAUAUUUGAAUUAUGAACAUAGGAAAUGUCGUACUCAGACUACGAAAGUCUCCCGGGGGAGUGCGACUGGUGCCACGACGACCGAGGUUAGUGCGACCGGCCUCACCUGGACGAAGAUCAGCGCUUCAGCAUUAAGCUGGAGGAGACCUUCGAUGUUGAAACGGUACGCAACGACGACAAGUGUUAUUUUUUCGUAAUUAAGCACGACUUCAAGUAUUUCAACGUGUACUUCUUAUCUUUUACAAUUCGACUAGCUUAUCCCAUGCCAUGCAAGACGCUAUGUCUUGGAGAGGAUGGGUUUUGAAGACCAGGAAAGUUUCGAAACAAAGAAAAUUCAUCUAAGGACCCAUCAUGGUGUGGAUUUUGAAGUAAAGCGGUACAAUUCUGAGAGCGUAACCCAUUUUGGUUGCAAAAAAUGAGAAGCACUUUGCAAGAUGUAUGGUUUUGAUGAGGGUAUGCUUGUCACCAUUGAUCUUGGUGACCCUGAAAUCGAGCAAGACAAUAUGGACAUUUGGGUCCUUGUUGAUACGCCUCCAAUUCUACCGCUAUGUGAGUUUCUCAAACAUAGUUAUUAGCUAAUUUAUAUUGUUUAUUUCAAAAUAGUUGACAACUUAUUUCCAUUGACAGCUUAUUUUGAUUGUUCAAACAAUGUGCGGAACAUGGUAGACAAAACCCACUACACCGAUGGCUCCGAAUUAACUUAUCAGGAGAAAAAUCAUCUGGUCUGAUUUUGUACUGAUAUUGAGAAUUACAAUAUCUAGAAUCAAACUCCUCAACAUUAUUGUCAAUACGUGCCACUAGUGCACGUGUUGAACUACAGUAACUACCAUGGAGAUACCCUGGUAAGAUUUUUUACUAUUACGACAUCCGUGCAUCUUUUGCAUACUUCUAAAACUAGUACAUCAUUGCUAACUAUGAAGUUAUUACUAUGUUUUUCAACAGAGAAUCCCAGAGGAUUGUGUGCCUCAUUUGAUGUAGCAGAAUGGCAGCCUUCGUGUUUUGAACAUAUAUCCAAGUCAUCCAACGAAUCUCAACUGUCCAUACCGGAUUUAUCAAUGAAGUGGAGACAUGCUAAUCAAAAAAUGGAAAAAAUGUAUGGACAGUCGUAAGGAGGUUCUUGGAAGCAAAAGGAAGCGAAGCGUAAGAAUUGGAGACAGGAUGAUCUCCAUUCUCCAUAAUGGAGAGUCAGGGUCUAUAUUGUUUUAUGCUAUUUUACCUUAAAGAGGGUAUUUAGGUCCUACCUAAUACUGAUGAUCAUGUGCUAAGAACAAUUAAGUAGGGCUGGUUCGAUGACUAUGAGGAUGAUGAUCGUAUGACUUGUUAUUAAUAACGAGUAGAAGUUGUAUGAUGAUGAUUAGUAGGACUUGUUAUUAUAUAAGAUGAUGCAUGAUGCGAGCAUGAAGAGUUAUUAUAUAUCAGCGGGUGAAAUGAACAUGGAUUGGAUUGAAGUGAAGGCAACAUGCAUGUGGUGCAUGUCGAAAGUACUACAAUCCAAACUUGAUCAAAGUUAGGAUUAGUAUUACUUUCGACAUGCACCACAUGUUGCCUUCACUUCAAUCUAAGCCAUGUUUAGGCAUAGCAGUAGCGUUGGUAAACCAAGCACGGAGAUAUAAGAGAGGACACUUCUCUCUAUUAUAUUAGCUAGCUAAUAACAACCUAAAUUAACCCCCAAAACCCCUAAAUCAGCCCCUUUAAAAAAACAAAAAGCUCAACUCCAGCCAGCUGCUGACGCGUGGAUGCCUUUUGGUCCCGGUUGGUGUCACCAACCGGGACCAAAGGCCCCCCUGCCUGGGCUGGCCGUAGUGGCCACGUGGAGGCCCAUCUGUCUCGGUUCGUGUAAGAGCCGAGACUAAAGGCCAAGGGCAUUAGUAACGACCUUUUAGUCCCGGUUCCUAAACCGGGACAGAAGGCUCUUACGAACCGGGACAAAUGGCCCUUUUUCUACUAGUGCCGCUCUAAACGCGGCCGCUCGAACUGUUGAGCUUGACUCGAGUCAGAAUCGAGAGCGUUGCCGAUUGCGGAAGGCUAUGUUGCCGUUCUCGACGCGGCCGCUUGAGCUAUUGAGCGGACUCGAAACAGAGUAAGGGCGUUGCCAAUAGCGGAAGGGCCCCUUUGCGUGCAUGUUUUCCAUACAUAGGGCAGGACCUUCGAGUACAAUAACCUUCUAUAUAAAAAGAUAUUGCUUAAAGUUUCACACGACUUAGCUUUUCUGUCAUUGCACGGGCGUCCACCGCAUCUGCAGAUGGUGCCGUCAAGCUUGGUCGUCUUCUAUCUUGGAACGACGGCCACGAUGAAGCCGCUGCUCCGAUCAGACCAAAUUUCCACAACUGCGCCCCCUACCUAGCGCGCCAAAGAUGUCGGGGGAAAUCGACACCUAUGGAAUCACAGGGAUCCCUUCUACGGUUGGCGGGCGCGGGGUUGUGCAAAGAGCAGGUCUGACAGGAAGCACGCAGAUCGUUUACCCAGGUUCGGGCCGCGGAGAUGCGUAAUACCCUAGUCCUGCUAUGGUGGAUGUAUUCGAGUGUUCUUGUGUUCUUGAACUAGCUACGGGGUGUAACUUGCCCAGAAGAUCCGAAUCCCUGUCCUGGAUGCCUCGGGCCUCCUUUUAUAGACAAAAGGGGUUGCCACACUGGCACACAGGAGGUGGAAAGGUGUACAGUGGAUGAGUCUAUCCUCUGGCACCGUUGGACGAACACAUUUAAUGCGCUGCCAACGUGACCCUCUCGCUUUAUCGGGGACGGUCAAGGAAGCUCGUCCCAGCUGUCGCCGCCUCGCCUGGCUUCGACACGCGUCCGAGCUGACGAGGCGUCGUGGCGCCACAUUGGCUGGCUGCUGGGCUGGCGCGGUGGUGGAGCCUUCACGAAGGUCUGCAUGCCACCACGCAGGUGCUUGCUGUGUCGGUGUAGAGGCCGCUCGUCGCCACGCAGGUGCCUGCCCAGCUGGUUGGGCUAGCAGCUGCACGGGGACGGCGGUGGAGUCUUGGCAGGCGCGGGCCUGGCUGUGGCCCCGCUGAUGCCCUUGGCAAGGGUCUUGCCGGGGGCCCGGCAAGGGUCUUGCCGUGGUGCCGCGGUCGUCCCCGGCAAGGCGCUUGCCGGGGGUCUCGUGGAUUUCCUCGGCAAGGACCUCGCCGAGGAUCAUCGUCUUCUGGUCCUCAUCUGAUCUUGUGUAUUUAUGAUCUUCACAAAGAUCAGCAUGCCACCACGGAGGUGCCUCCCGAGCCUUGGUCCCAAUGUGGUUGAUGGCGUUGGAACCCUUGGGCUCAAUGGAGGCGCGCUUCGUUGGCGUCAGGCAAGUUGCCCCGGCAAGGCUCUCGCCGGGGCUGAGGAGGCCGUCCCGGCAAGGGUCUUGCCGGGGGAGUCCACCUCGCCCUCUUGCCCUUUGUGUCUCUGGUCUUGGCAUUGCCAUGGCUGUCUUGUGCUCCGGCUUCCCUCCUCUGCCCUGCUAAGUGUGGCCGUGGGCGCGGCUCUGACUACCAGUGCACAAGUAAAGGGGUCAAAAGGAGAGCCCCUAGUUUUAUACACCGACAUGUAUCCUCCCAGAAUCUCGUAGAAGUACCGUUACUGAUCACAAGCUUUGUCUGAUUGAAAAAAAUGGAUUUAACUCUCAUCAGUCCUUUCCAAAAGGGCUAGUCCAUUGGCCUCACUGUGACCUGGGAUAAAGUUCUGGAAUGAAGGUACUUAUUACGCAGUAUUUGUGCCCAUGUAGCCCCCGUCUCGCUAGAUAGCUUAUACAGCCAUUUGCUGAGAAGACAUAUGUUCUUCACCUUAAGAUUUUUGAUACCUAGACCCCCUUGGUCUUUGGGUCGACAAAUAAUAUCCCAUUUAGCGAGUAUACUUUCUCUUCAGAUCAUCACUUUGCCAGAAGAAACGGGAUCGAUAGAAAUCUAGUCUUUUCCGAACUCCAACUGGUACCUCGAAAAAAGACAAGAGAAACAUGGGCAUGCUCGUGAGAACCGAAUUAAUAAGAAUUAAACGGCCUCCAUAUGACAUGAGUUUGCCAUUCCAGCAACUGAGUUUCUUCUCAAAUCGAUCCUCAGUGCACUUCCAUUCUCUCUUUGUUAGCUUACGAUGGUGAAUUGGUAUGCCCAAUUAAGUGAAAGGCAAAGCCCCCAAUUCGCAUCCGAACAAUUGCUUAUAUGCCUCUUGUUCCUCAUUGGCUCUUCCAAAAUUGUAUAAUUCGCUCUUGUGGAAAUUAAUUUUUAGUCCGGUCAAUUGUUCGAAUAAGCAUAACACCAGCUUCAUAUUUCUCGUUUUUGCCAAGUCAUGGUCCAUGAAGAUGAUAGUAUCAUCGGCGUACUGUAGGACAGACACACCUCCAUCCACUAGAUGAGGUACCACAGGAGAGCACCUGCGAUAAUUAUAUCAUGCCACACGAGUACAAAGGAUGAAGCAUCUUAGACGUUUGGAAUAGAUUUGGGCAUCACAUACGAUUUAUUUUUCCAAAAAGGUAUGCAUGAUUGGGCUCUAUCUGUAGGAGAUAUGCCCUAGAGGCAGUAAUAACAGUUAUUUUGUAUCUCCAAGUUUGUAAUGAAUGUUUAUGAUCCAUGCUAUAACUGCAAUGAUUCUCGAGUCUACAAUAUCCACGAGGCUCGGAGGGAACUCAUAUGCACGUGUGGUAUUAUAAACGGUAAAAUAUAUUCCUAGUCUUGCCUCUAAGACUAGCUCAAGUAUUGCAUGAUGAUCCUGUUUCCUGAUCAUGGGCAUGACUAUGCCGGCAAUUUUGAGGGCACAAGUUUGGUAGAACGCUUGUGUUGAAUCAACCCGGAUUGAUGUUGUGCUAUGAGAUGCCUUCGUCACAAGUUUAUGGUUAAUAUCAUUGAGAUAGUUAAUGUUUGCAUAAUUCCUUAGACCAUGAGAGUAUCAAGUUCCUUCGUGCUUGCUUCGUGAACUUUGGGGUUUGUUAAACGUCAUCCGUAACUUGGUGGCUAUUAUGGCAGCUUUCGGGUUCACGGAAAAGUAUAGGAAGUAACAAGAUAGCUCAAGAUUGGGAUUUGCUCCUCCGACGAUGGAGAGAUAUACUCGGGCCCUCUCAGUGUAACGGUAUCCAUCAUCGUCUGGCCAGACACAUUGUGAUUUGAUCACUGGGAUGCCGGAACACGGAAACGAGAAAAGAGAACAAAACCGGUAACGAGGUAACUUGCAUGGUGGACAAAUUGUUCGUCCAUGGGCAUGCAAUAAAUCUCACCUCGGGUGUUUGUGACAUAUCGCGAAGCAACAGGAAUAGCUCACUACAACUAGAGGUUCACUCGAAUAUUCAUUCGUGUGGGUAUAGGGGUCAAUAUGGGUGUCCACGGCUCCGAUGUUGAUCAUUGAUCGGAAGGGGUUCCAGGUCAUGUCUAUACUUCACCGAACCUAUAGGGUCACACGCUUAGGGGUCAUCUAUCUGUUGAAUACUAGACAGGGAGUCUGAGAGAAAAUCACCGAAAAAGUUUCGGACACCGAAAAGUUUCGGACAGCGGAAUCGUACCGCAGAGAGAGGUCAUCGGAUAAGUUUCGAUGAUACCGAAAAGUUGUUUCGGGAUACACCAUUAAGUCAAAUUGGUUUCGGCACAUGCCUGAUAAUUCUUGGAGGAUGCCAGAAUCAUUCUGGAAGCUUUUUGGAAUUUUCUGACAUAAAAACCGGAAAUGUUCCGGAGCUGCCGGAGCCACUUCAGAUGCGUUUCGCAGAUGAAAAUCACUAAAACCGGAAUUGUUUCGGAACGCGUUGAAAAACAUUUUAGUGGGUACUGGAAAUGUUCUUAGCCCACAUAAAUAUUUUCAGUUCGAUCAGACGCUGAAAAAUGUCGUCGUGAAUAGUGAAAAUCAGCUUUAUGGUUACUUUAUGGAAAGCCACCUUUUGGGGCUUUGCUCCAAAAGAUCUUGGGGAUGACAUGGAUGGAUAGGACCCAUUUUUUGGGCCCCUCAUGGGGGUGUGGCCGGCCACAUGGGGUAUCCCCCCUUGGGGACCCUUUUGUUCAUUGGUUUCACUUCUAGGUCCUUGUGGAAGGACUUCAUUCAUGUGCAUUUUGGGUUUUUGUGUGAAACUACCCUACCCCUUGGGAUUUCCUAUAAAUAGAGGUGGAGGGGCAGCCCUCCACACUCAUCCCUUGCUCUCAUACACAUGCCAUGCAUUAUCUGGCUUCUUCUCUCCCUCCCACGAAAAGAGUUUCGUAGAGCCGUAAGGCUGUCUGGGUUCCGGCAGGAACUAGUUCUGGACGGCGAAGCCCUGCCGGAUAGCUGACACCGUAUGUGUGCAACCCCGUAGAGAGAUUGUAGUUUCGAUCUUUUGCCCGAGGGGCUGUUCGAGUGUCCUCCCGAAGGGCUGUCCGAGUCUCCGUCCGAGUUUCGAGGGUCCUCCCGAAGGGCUGUCCGCGACAUUGUCCGGGGGACUGUCCGACCGCCUCCCGAAGGGCUGUCCGGAGAGGGAGUACAUCCUCGCGGUUGGGAGGUUGUAAAUCCUAGCUGCGGGGAUCUGCACCGACGAUCUACACCGACUCUUCUUCCGCUGCGCUUCGAGUCGGUACGGAUCAGAUCAAACCUUGUAUGCAGUCUCCAUAGUGGUCCUGGGCGUGCUCGCUAUACCGAAAAUUUUCGUUUUCUGUCGCGUUCCCCUACAGUGGCAUCAAGAGCCGUGCUAUGCGUAGAUGCAGGUUACGAUCUAGAAUACAUGGAGAUGUAUGGGUAUUGCAUAAUAUAAUUUUGGAGUAGAUGAGAUGUAUUGCUGAAAAUUAUUUAUGCGGGUGACAGAUGAAAUCUGUUACCCGACGUUCUUGUUGCUUCCCUAGAAUUUGCGUUUGCUCAAUCUCGAGACAGGAUGGUGGAAUUUGACAAAGUUCUGGCAAUCCGUGAUCCUGAUUGAUCAUGGAAGUGCUAUCAGUUCUUUGGGUUCUGCCAUAGUCAAAAGAAAGAUGAAAUUCGCAGAUGAAAGGGCAUUGCAGAUAUGAUCUGCACGGGGGUCAUGCGUAUGACGAAGUUUAGUAUGGGGCUCGAGAUUUAAUUAUCUCGUGUUUCAUACACCCCGAGAUGUUAAUCUAGCAACUUGAAUAAUCAUACUUGAUGAUAAAACGUUGGUAGCUGCGGUUUAAGUCAAAACCUUAGAAGCCACGUAAAAUAAAAUUUUGCAUAAACCGAUUAGAGGCGUCUAACUUGGUUUUGCAGGAUGUGCAUGUGAUGUGGUAUAGCAAUGCUCAUAUUCAAUUUGAUUAUGUAUGAGAUGACUAUAUGAUGUAACUAACAUGACCUGCGUGUCAUGAUUCUGCAUGAUGGCUGGAGCCAUAUGAUUGCACUUUAAUGACCUGCGUGUCAACCUUAAGUAAUGCACUUAUUUUAUUAGCUAUAGAGAUAGCAAUAUUAUCUGGUGCAUCGACAAGGUGGUGGCAAUCUUCGCGAAGGUGAACACCGACGCAAAUGCCGAAGACGAAGAAUUGAAAGACUUCUCCGUCAGAAAGGGCUAUACCAUAUCAUGCUAAUUAUGAAUUGCCUGAGAUGUUUAUCCCCUAUGAUGCACCCUUCUUGAUUGCGCGGUAGUCGCUUUUAUUAGGGUGAUCUCUCACUUAAAAAUAUCAAGUAGAUAGUGUUCUCCCAAGUGUAGCACCGUCACGGCACCUAUCGUUUCGGGGUGCGCCGUGUCACACGGGUACGAACGAUUAGAGAAGUGUGAGGCGGGUGAGUUGAGACCUCGCAGCGAGAUCACUUGGUUGUCUUGACGUUCAGGCAUGACCGUCAUGAGCUCGGAACACACGCAUCGAAAGAUGAACAAGAGUCACAUAGUGAUGUGAUUGGCAAGUUGGCCUACCGGUUAAGAUUUUCGUCAUCAGUGGUGUUACACCAAUGGCGAACAAUCAAGACACGGAUCUUGAAUCACUCAUAAUCAAUUUUGAGAGAUAUUGAUUUGAGUGGGAGUGCAUUUUAGAAUAAAAUGUUUAUUCACUAGUGCAAAUUUCAUUAUAAACAAAGUCUAAGUGAAACUUGUGUCUUCGUUGUAGAUCAAAUGGCUCGCAACACCGCGUUCAACUUAGGCCCGAUGUUAGAGAAAGAGAAGUUAGCUACGACUGGAAACAACUAUGCGGACUGGGCCCGUAACCUGAGGAUUGUCCUCAGGAGCGCUAAGAAAUUGUACGUGCUUGAAACUGCUCUUCCAGCUAAACCGGCGGCAGAUGCACCGGUAGAUGAACAAAAUGUCUGGGCCACUAAGGAUGAUGAUCACAACUUAGUGCAGUGCCUCAUGCUAGCUUGCAUGAGUCCAGGGCUUCAAAAACGUUUUGAAUUCCAUAAAGCCCGUGAUAUGAUCCGGGAAUUGGAUGCUCUGUACAAGGAAACCGCAAAGUCUGAACGAUAUGAUAUCAUGAAGGCUUGGAUGGAUUGCAAGAUGGCUGAGGGUAGUUCAGUUGGCGAACACGUGGUCAAAAUGAUUGGCUAUUCUGAAAGGCUUAAAGCCCUAGAAUUUCCACUUCCACCUGGCCAUAUGAUGGACAUGUUGCUUUCUUCACUCCCCCCGUCUUACGACGGUUUUGUCAUGAACUACAACAUGACAGGGAUGGAGAAGACGCCGAAAGAAGUGCUCGCCAUGCUGAAAACUACAGAAGGAGGACUGCGGAAAAAUCGCAAGUAAGUGUUGCUUGUGAAUAAAACCGCCUGUUUCAAAAAGAAGAAAGGCAAGCCAAAGAAGGGCAAGGGCACCGGUAAGACCGGCUCCCAAAGCAACUCUAAGGGCGGAGCCAAGAAUGAAACUGAGUGCUUCUACUGCAAGGGCACAGGACACUGGAAGAGAAACUGCAAGAAGUAUCUGGAAGAUAAGAAGACCGGGAAAACCGGAAAAGGUAUAAUUGUUAUACAAGUUAAUGUCAUUGACGUUUUGCUUGCUAGCGAAAACUCUAAGUCUUGGGUAUUUGAUACCGGAUCGGUUGCUCACAUUUGCAACUCGAUACAGGGACUUCAGAAGGUGCGCAAGCUAGCAAAGAAUGAAGUCGUGAUGCGCGUCGGGAACGGCGCUGGGAUCGCCGCUCAAGCCGUCGGCAUUAUGCCUCUACGUCUCCCUUCAGGAUUUAUCUUAGAACUAAGUAACUGUUAUUUUGUUCCACUGUUGUGUAGAAACAUUAUCUCCGGAUCAUGUUUGGUACACGAUGGGUAUUCGUACAAGUCUGAGAACAAUGGUUGUUCACUUUAUUGUAAGGAUAUGUUUUAUGGAUUUGCACCCAUUGUUGGGGGCCUUUUCAUACUAAAUCUUGAAUGUGGAAGUGAUGUCUUUAACAUGAAUGCUAAACGCCUUAAGAAGGCUGAUACCACCACCACUUUCAUGUGGCACUGUCGCCUUGGCCACAUCGGUAAGAAACGCAUGCAAAGACUCCAUAAAGAUGGAGUUUUACCGUCCCUUGAUUUUGAAUCAUUUGACACAUGUGAAGCUUGCCUGAUGGGGAAAAUGACCAAGACGCCGUUCACGGGUCAUCCUGAACGGGCGGGUGAAUUAUUGGAAAUAAUACAUAGUGAUGUAUGUGGUCCAAUGAACACAGGCGCACGGGGUGGAUAUUUUUACUUCGUGACUUUUACUGAUGAUUUGAGUAGGUAUGGCUAUAUCUACUUAAUGAAGCAUAAAUCGGAAACCUUUGAAAAGUUCAAAGAAUUUCAGAAUGAGGUAGAAAAUCAUCGUAACAAAAAGAUUAAGUUUCUGCGGUCUGAUCGCGGAGGCGAAUAUCUUAGUCAUGAGUUUGGCCAACAUCUGAGUGAUCGUGGAAUCGUUUCACAGCUUACGCCUCCCGGAACUCCACAGAGAAAUGGAGUAUCGGAACGACGUAACCGAACCUUGUUGGACAUGGUAAGGUCAAUGAUGUCUCUUACAAAUCUUCCAAUAUCUUUUUGGGGUCACGCACUACUUACUGCUGCUCACACACUAAACAAAGCACCGUCUAAAUCUGUUGAGACGACGCCACAUGAGAUGUGGCACGGGAAGAAACCCGACCUGUCGUUUUUCAAAAUUUGGGGUUGUGAAGCUUAUGUAAAACGUUUACAGCCAAGCAAGCUUGAUCCCAGAUCAGACAAAUGUUACUUUGUAGGUUAUCCCAAGGAGACAGUUGGGUAUUCUUUCUACCACGCCUCCGAGAAUAAAGUGUUUGUUGCAAAACAUGGAGUCUUUCUUGAGAAAGAGUUUCUCACUAAAGAAGUGAGUGGGAGGACAAUACAACUCAAUGAGAUUAGUGAAUCUUCGGGAACCGUUGAUAUGGCUAAGGAACCGGAAGAAAUUCCGCUAAUUAUCCCUACAACCGAGCCGGAAGUUGUCGCAUGUGAUGCGGAGACUUCAGACAAUGUUGUAACUGAACCGCGCAGAUCAGGUAGGGCUAUCCAGCCACCUGAGUGGUUUCAUAACGAAAUCUUCAUUCUUGAAGACGAUGAACCUGCGCACUACAAGGAAGCGAUGGCGGGGCCCAGCUCAAAAGAAUGGCACAAAGCCAUGAGAUCCGAAAUGGAAUCCAUGUACGAAAACCAAGUUUGGAACUUGGAAGAACUUCCAGAAGGCAUAAAGCCCAUUGGUUGUAAAAUGGAUUUUCAAAAGAAAGACGGACGCGGAUGGUAACAUUACUAUCCACAAAGCUAGACUUGUCGCGAAAGGGUUCACACAAGUUCCAGGAGUGGACUACGACGAGACUUUCUCGCCAGUAGCUAUGCUUAGGUCUGUUCGGAUAUUGCUAGCAAUUGCUGCUUAUUUCGACUAUGAAAUAUGGCAGAUGGAUGUCAAAACGGCUUUCCUAAAUGGAAACCUCAAAGAGGAUGUAUACAUGAUACAGCCAGAAGGUUUUGUCAUUCAUGAGGAUGCUGGAAAGGUAUGCAAACUUCAGAAAGCCAUUUAUGGUCUGAAGCAAGCAUCAAGGAGCUGGAACAUUCGUUUUGAUGAAGUGGUCAAAGAGUUUGGCUUCAUCAUGAAUGAUGAAGAAUCUUGUGUUUACAAGAAGUUUAGUGGGAGCGCAAAAGCAUUUCUAAUCUUGUAUGUGGAUGACAUAUUGUUGAUUGGAAAUGACGUGAAUUUUCUUAGCGAAAUAAAAGACUCAUUGAAGAAAAGUUUUUCAAUGAAAGACUUAGGCGAAGCGGCAUAUGUAUUAGGCAUCAGGAUCUAUAGAGAUAGAUCAAAACGCCUGAUAGCGCUUAGCCAAAGCACGUACAUUGACAAGGUGUUGAAAAGGUUCAACAUGGAGAACUCCAAGAAAGGCCUACUCCCCAUGUCACCUGGCACAGUGCUUUGCAAGAAUCAGAGUCCUCGGACUCUGGAUGAGCGAGUACAAAUGAAUGAUGUUCCAUAUGCCUCGGCAGUUGGUUCUAUUAUGUAUGCCAUGCUAUGUACAAGACCAGAUGUUUCCUAUGCGCUAAGUGUUAGCAGCCGGUACCAAAGUGAUCCAGGGUUGGAACACUGGGCCGCAGUCAAGGGUAUUCUUAAGUACCUCAGAAGGACCAAGGAUUUACUCCUUGUGUACGGAGGUGAUGAAGAGCUCAUUGUAAGUGGUUACAAUGAUGCAGGCUUCAUGACUGACCCAGAUGACUUCAAAUCUCAAUCAGGCUACGUUUUCAUAUUGAACGGCGGCGCAGUUGAUUGGAAAAGUUCCAAACAAAAGACUGUGGCGGAUUCUACGACGGAGGCGGAAUAUGUUGCUGCUUCAGAAGCCUCCAAGGAGGCGGUAUGGAUCAAACAAUUUCUUGAAGACCUUGGUGUGGUUCGUAGUGCCCAGGACCCGGUGGAGAUCUAUUGUGAUAAUAGUGGCGCCGUGGCUCAGGCAAGGGAGCCAAGUUCGAACCAUAAGACAAGACAUAUUCAACGCAAAUAUAAACUCAUUCGACAUCAUGUCGAAGAGGGUUUAGUGAAAGUACGCAAAGUUCACACGGAUCUGAACGUGUCAGACCCGAUGACAAAGCCUCUACCACGAGCAAAACAUGAGCAACACCGGAUAGCCAUUGGUGUUAGGGAAGCCAUGUAACUGGAUUAUGACUCUAGUGCAAGUGGGAGUCUGUAGGAGAUAUGCCCUAGAGGCAGUAAUAACAGUUAUUUUGUAUCUCCAAGUUUGUAAUGAACGUUUAUGAUCCAUGCUAUAACUGCAAUGAUUCUCGAGUCUACAAUAUCCACGAGGCUCGGAGGGAACUCAUAUGCACGUGUGGUAUUAUAAACGGUAAAAUAUAUUCCUAGUCUUGCCUCUAAGACUAGCUCAAGUAUUGCAUGAUGAUCCUGUUUCCUGAUUAUGGGCAUGACUAUGCCGGCAAUUUUGAGGGCACAAGUUUGGUAGAACGCUUGUGUUGAAUCAACCCGGAUUGAUGUUGUGCUAUGAGAUACCUUCGUCACAAGUUUAUGGUUAAUAUCAUUGAGAUAGUUAAUGUUUGCAUAAUUCCUUAGACCAUGAGAGUAUCAAGUUCCUUCGUGCUUGCUUCGUGAACUUUGGGGUUUGUUAAACGUCAUCCGUAACUGGGUGGCUAUUACGGCAGCUUUCGGGUUCACGGAAAAGUAUAGGAAGUAACAAGAUAGCUCAAGAUUGGGAUUUGCUCCUCCGACGAUGGAGAGAUAUACUCGGGCCCUCUCGGUGUAACGGUAUCCAUCAUCGUCUGGCCAGACACAUUGUGAUUUGAUCACUAGGAUGCCGGAACACGGAAACGAGAAAAGAGAACAAAACCGGUAACGAGGUAACUUGCAUGGUGGACAAAUUGUUCGUCCAUGGGCAUGCAAUAAAUCUCACCUCGGGUGUUUGUGACAUAUCGCGAAGCAACAGGAAUAGCUCACUGCAACUGGAGGUUCACUCGAAUAUUCAUUCGUGUGGGUAUAGGGGUCAAUAUGGGUGUCCACGGCUCCGAUGUUGAUAAUUGAUCGGAAGGGGUUCCAGGUCAUGUCUAUACUUCACCGAACCUAUAGGGUCACACGCUUAGGGGUCAUCUAUCUGUUGAAUACUAGACAGGGAGUCUGAGAGAAAAUCACCGAAAAAGUUUCGGACACCGAAAAGUUUCGGACAGCGGAAUCGUACCGCAGAGAGAGGUCAUCGGAUAAGUUUCGAUGAUACCGAAAAGUUGUUUCGGGAUACACCAUUAAGUCAAAUUGGUUUCGGCACAUGCCUGAUAAUUCUUGGAGGAUGCCAGAAUCAUUCUGGAAGCUUUUUGGAAUUUUCUGACAUAAAAACCGGAAAUGUUCCGGAGCUGCCGGAGCCACUUCAGAUGCGUUUCGCAGAUGAAAAUCACUAAAACCGGAAUUGUUUCGGAACGCGUUGAAAAACAUUUUAGUGGGUACUGGAAAUGUUCUUAGCCCACAUAAAUAUUUUCAGUUCGAUCAGACGCUGAAAAAUGUCGUCGUGAAUAGUGAAAAUCAGCUUUAUGGUUACUUUAUGGAAAGCCACCUUUUGGGGCUUUGCUCCAAAAGAUCUUGGGGAUGACAUGGAUGGAUAGGACCCAUUUUUUGGGCCCCUCAUGGGGGUGUGGCCGGCCACAUGGGGUAUCCCCCCUUGGGGACCCUUUUGUUCAUUGGUUUCACUUCUAGGUCCUUGUGGAAGGACUUCAUUCAUGUGCAUUUUGGGUUUUUGUGUGAAACUACCCUACCCCUUGGGAUUUCCUAUAAAUAGAGGUGGAGGGGCAGCCCUCCACACUCAUCCCUUGCUCUCAUACACAUGCCAUGCAUUAUCUGGCUUCUUCUCUCCCUCCCACGAAAAGAGUUUUGUAGAGCCGUAAGGCUGUCUGGGUUCCGGCAGGAACUAGUUCUGGACGGCGAAGCCCUGCCGGAUAGCUGAAACCGUAUGUGUGCAACCCCGUAGAGAGAUUGUAGUUUCGACCUUUUGCCCGAGGGGCUGUUCGAGUGUCCUCCCGAAGGGCUGUCCGAGUCUCCGUCCGAGUUUCGAGGGUCCUCCCGAAGGGCUGUCCGCGACAUUGUCCGGGGGACUGUCCGACCGCCUCCCGAAGGGCUGUCCGGAGAGGGAGUACAUCCUCGCGGUUGGGAGGUUGUAAAUCCUAGCUGCGGGGAUCUGCACCGACGAUCUACACCGAUUCUUCUUCCGCUGCGCUUCGAGUCGGUACGGAUCAGAUCAAACCUUGUAUGCAGUCUCCAUAGUGGUCCUGGGCGUGCUCGCUAUACCGAAAAUUUUCGUUUUCUGUCGCGUUCCCCUACACUAUCGCAGCCGGUUAACUUGCGUUGUGUGUGAUGGACACCCUUUUCGCACACCUUCACACAGCGAUGCAUCAAAGGUACGUGAGCAAAAGGGGUUUUUAACCGUUUGUGUUGGACUUGCGUGCACUAGUGUGACAUGCGUUACUUAACCUAGCUUUUGUUUAGUUUAGUUAAAUUUCAAGUAGUUUUUUAUGUAACUUGUUAAAUUUUAUCAUAUAUGCAUAUAUGUAAUAUAUCGUACUAGGUUUAUUUUCAUUCGUAAUUCAUUUGAAAUGUGUUCCGAACCGGGGGGUGGUAGUUAAAUGCAGAAAAAACACCACAAUAGCCAUCUCAUUAGCAAAAACAACCACUUUACAAUUUGUGGCAAAAAGGACGACACGCAACAACGGACAGUGGCAAAAGAGCCGGUCGGGACCGGCUCUUUCAAAAUGUGGGGUCCCACUCACCCACUCACUCUCUCACUCACCAGCUCUCGCUCACACUCGACGCCGGUGCCGCUCCUGCUUGACGCUGCCACACAAUGCAUUCAUGGAAUGACGAAGAGGAGAGCAGCAAGGAUGCCCUCAAGUACAGCAGCAUGGAUAUGGAUUUGUGGGUAAGUUUCAGCGCUCAAUAACUAGACGUUUGGAUUAGGGUUAGUGUUUGGAUUUGGGGAUUUAGGGUUUGUGCUCGUUUCCAGCCUUAUUGAAAGGAUUUGUUAGUUAAUUUAGAUAUUGUCAAUGCAGGAGAACCCUGAGACCAUUGUGAAUUCAUUUUACUAUGGGACAGUGGCAUUUUCGGCCAUCAAAUCCAAGCUUUACCAGGCAAGAGCCAAAAAAUCUGUUGGUUUUGGUGACAGACACUAGGAGGAAACUUUAUGGCUGCACUGCACAAGUACUCCCUCCGUCCUAUAUUAAUUGAGCUAAAAUGGAUGUAUCUAGUACAUAUGGAUACUUUCAUUUCAACAACAAUUAAUAUGGGACGGGGCAGUAAUUUUAACUUGCCUUGCUGUUUCACCACUUUGCUCUGUAGCUGUUUGAUUUCGCUGUGUAGUUAUCUAUGUAGUGACGAGUCAUCUGAACUUAGUUGUAUCUUGUUCAUUUUGACUGGAUUAAACUUAGUCUUGCUGCUAUUAAAGGUUAGUCUGUAAUUUAGUAAAUCGAAAUUUAACUGAAUUUUGUUGUUCAAGUUCAGUAUGUAGUUUAGUGAAUCAGAAUUUAACGGAAUAUUGUUUUUCAAGUCCAGUCUGUAGCUUGCUGAAUAUGUAUUGUACUGAUUGUUGUUACUCAAGUUCAGUAUGUAGUUAAGUCAAUCUAAAUUGUAGUGUCAUCAUGUAGUAAAAUAGGUAGUAUAUGUGAAAGAAAUAGGCUUGAUUUAUUGUUGUGUAGUUUUGGAAACAAUAAAUUUUGAGAUACUUUUGUCUGUCUGAACAAUAUGUCACUAGUAGAAAACAGGGCUUUGGUUCGGCUAGAAAAGAGCAUUAAUCCCGGUUGCAUUACGAACCGGGACUAAUGUGAGCAUUAGUCCCGGUUCGAGUGGCUAGGGCACCGUACAAGCAUUAGUCCCGGUUCAAAUGGGACCUUUAGUCCCGGUUGGUGCCACGAACCGGGACUAAAGGGUGCGAUGCCCAUUAGUACCGGUUCGUGGCACCAACCGGUACUAAAGGUUAGACCUUUAGUCCCGGUUCGAGCCACCAACCGGUACUAAUGGGGUUUGAGGCAUUAGUACCUGUUCAUGGCACGAACCGGUACUAAAGGUCCCAUUGUCAAACUCUACCCCCACCCUGGAUCGCCUUUUCAGUUUUGUAAAAAGCAAAGAAAAUGAUAAAAACUUCAAAAAUUAAAAUCCUUCCAGAUGUAUAGUUAUGUUACUACAUGUACUAGUUAGGAAAAUUUAAAAACUUAAAUUUGGACAUGUUUUGCAAAAAGUGUAGGAAAAAUGUAAAACGGCUAUAACUUUUGCAUACGAUGUUAGAAAAAAAGUAUAAUAUAUCAAAAUGUUCAGCACGAAAAUCCGAAUCCGAUUUUGACCGCAUAUGACCCGUUUGCAAAUGUUUAGAAUCCUCAAAUUCUAAAAGGAAAAAAAGUUAUGCUCAAAUUUCUGUUUUUUUUAAUUUUUGUUAAAUCUGGUCAAACUACUUAUUCAAGAAGUAUUAAUGUUACUAAAUAAAUAUUCAAGAAUAUUAGUGUUACUAAAUAAUUAUUUCAGUUUUUUUGAAUUUUCGUCAAAUCUGGUCAAACUAUGGUCAAACUAAUUAUUCAAGAAAUAUUAGUGUUACUAAAUAAUUAUUUCGGUUGUUUUGAAUUUUGGUCAAAUCUGGUCAAACUGUGGUCAAACUGUGGUCGAACUAUGGUCAAACUACUUAUUCAAGAAAUAUUAGUGUUACUAAAUAAUUAUUGUUUUUUAGAACAAUAGUUUCAAACUCAAACAGUGAAAUGUGUGACUUCAUGCUCAAGCUAAGUUCCUGGGGGUUAAUAGGAUUGACAUCUUACUAUUGUCAGGAAAACAACAAGUGCAGACUUGGAAACGAGGGAGAAUAGAACCCGGAAGUUAAGCGUGCUCAGGCUGGAGUAGUGAGAGGAUGGGUGACCGUCCGGGAAGUUAGAUGAUUUGGAAUGAUGAGGGGUGAUUAGGGGUGACAAGUUUUUGAUUACUUGUCCGGUAAGUAUACGAAUUAGAAACCGAGUCGGUUUGGGAUUGUGGUCGCGACACAAUACCGCCUCUGGUCCUAAUAUAUAUACAGCUACCGGCUGCGGCCAGAGACACACCGAAAAACACCUAGGGUUUUGCCUCAUCUCACAACCUGCGCCGCCAUUGUAGUCUACUCCAUCCCAAACGCCGGCGUGCAUCGACGCGUGGGAGAGCAGGUCUCCGGAACCGUUCGUCUUUGCGAUCCUGCACCGGGAGAGGACGAAUUAGGUUUAUGGGAAGCGUUGUGCGCGACUGCUCAAAUUCGUCAUCACGGGUCGUCUUCCGUCCAAGUCGGGCGGUGCUACUCAUCGUCGUAUUCAUCGCCGUCAGCAGCAGAUCGUCACCAACAUCGUCAUCAACACUGUCACACCCUUAAUAGCUAACGAUCAGUACGUCCGACAUCCUCUGUUCAUGUCUGCUUCUACAGCUAUUGUUACGUGUUUGCUGCUGUUAUGCAUGUCUUGCUGUUCUUCUAGUUUGCUAGAUUAUUGCAUGCUAGUAUCUCUUCUAGUCAUGAAUUAUUUACUGGAAUCAAUCAUGAACUUGCCUAAUAUUCCAACAAUCCAAAAACCUAAUUAUAGGCAAUUUCCUGAGUUAACUAUGGCUGGAUUCGCUGAUGCACUGAGGCCGGAUAAGUUUACCGGUGUGCACUUUAAGAGGUGGCAGUUGAAGACCACGCUCUGGCUUACUGGUCUGAAAGUUUUCCACGCUAGUGUUGGUGCUCCAGAGGGAAUGACCGACGAAGAUCGGAGAAAAUUCCAGGAAGCCAAUACUAUGUUUGUGGGAUGCAUUCUGAGUGUUCUUGCUGACUGUCUGUGUGAUGUGUACAUGCACAUAAAUGACGGAAAGAUUCUGUGGGAUGCACUGAAUGCAAAAUUCGGUGCAACAGAUGCAGGCAGUGAACUGUACAUCAUGGAGAGUUUUCAUGACUACAAGAUGGUGAAUAACCGUUCUGUGGUUGAACAAGCUCAUGAGAUACAGUGCAUUGUGAAGGAACUUGAACUCCUUAAAUGUGUUCUACCUGACAAAUUCGUGGCUGGGCGCAUGAUUGCAAAGUUGCCUCCUUCAUGGAGGAAUUUCGCCACAACUCUGAAGCAUAAGAGACAGGAGAUAUCAGUUGAAAAUCUGAUUGCAUCUCUUGAUGUUGAAGAAAAAGCUCGGGCUAAAGAUACUACUGAAAAAGGAGGUGAGGUUCAGCCUACUGCUAACAUGGUGCAGAGGUACCCACAGAACAAGAACAAAGGGAAGAACAAACCUGUUUUCAACAAGCCUACCAAGACUACUACCUUCAAGAAGAAGAAGUUCAACAAGGCUGAGCUAGAGUGCUACGCCUGUGGGAAGCCUGGACACUUUUCCAAGGAAUGCCCUGAACAUGCAGACCGCAGAGGGAAAAUAAGCUCCAAGACUGUCAACAUGGUGACCGCUAGCAAUACUGAUGGGUAUGGUAAUUUACCUAUUGUGCUUUCAGUAUUUCAAUCAUCUUCGUGGUGGAUUGAUUCGGGUGCUAACGUUCAUGUGUGUGCUGACAUCUCCCUAUUUACUUCUUAUCAGGUCGCAAGGGAUUCUUCCGUCCUAAUGGGGAAUGGGUCACAUGCUUCGGGAAAGAUCGUGCAACUAAGGAACGUGCAGCAUGUCCCUACUAUGAACAAGAAUCUAGUUAGCGUCUCCCUUCUAUGUCGAGAUGGAUUUAAGGUAGUUUUAGAGUCCAAUAAAGUAAUCGUGUCAAGAUUUGGACAAUUUAUAGGAAAAGGCUACGAGUGUGGAGGCUUGUUCCGCUUUUCUCUUUCAGAUUUUUGCAAUAAGUCAAUAAACCAAAUUUGUGCUAGUGAUAAUGAUGAUGCAAGUAUUUGGCACUCUCGUUUAUGUCAUAUUAAUUUUGGUUUAAUGUCUCGGCUAUCCAGCAUGAGUUUAAUUCCGAACUUCAGAGUUGCCAAAGGUUCUAAGUGCCAUAGUUGUGUGCAAUCUAUGCAACCUCGAAAGCCUCAUAAGGCCGCCGAGGAGAGAAACUUGGCACCUCAAGAACUCAUACAUUCUGAUCUUUGUGAGAUGAAUGGUGUGUUGACAAAAGGUGGAAAGAGAUAUUUCAUGACUUUGAUUGAUGAUGCGACUAGAUUUUGCUAUGUUUAUUUGUUGCAAACUAAAGAUGAAGCAUUAGACUACUUUAAAAUCUAUAAAGCUGAAGUUGAAAAUCAACUAGAGAGAAAGAUCAAGCGUCUUAGGUCCGAUCAUGGUGGAGAGUAUUUUCCAAAAGUUUUUGAUGAAUUUUGUGAGGAACAUGGUAUUAUUCAUGAGAGGACGCCUCCCUAUUCACCUCAAUCAAAUGGAGUGGCCGAGAGGAAAAACCGCACAUUGACUAACUUGGUGAAUGCCAUGUUAGACACUGCUGGUUUAUCUAAGGCAUGGUGGGGGGAGGCUCUAUUGACUUCAUGUCAUGUCCUGAAUAGAGUUCCCAACAAUAAUAAGGAGAAAACCCCUUAUGAGGAGUGGGUUGGGAGAAAACCAUCACUUUCUUAUUUGCGCACUUGGGGAUGUUUGGCAAAGGUCAAUAUUCCUAUUCCUAAGAAACGCAAACUUGGACCAAAGACAGUGGAUUGUGUCUUUCUAGGGUAUGCUCAACGGAGCAUUGCUUAUAGGGUUUUAGUGGUAAAAUCUGAAGUUCCUGAUAUGCAUGUUGAUACUAUAAUGGAAUCUCGUGAUGCAACAUUUUUUGAGAACAUAUUUCCUAUGAAAGAUAUGCAUAGCAUUGCUAGAUUUUCUUCUGAGAUAAUUCCUGUAUCUAGUACAACUGAUGAAUAUUUCGAACAAUCACAUGAGGAAGUCCUUGAGAAGGAUAACAAUGAAGUUCCUAGAAGGAACAAGAGACAAAGGAUUGCAAAAUCCUUUGGUGAUGAUUUCAUUGUAUACCUUGUGGACGACACACCCAAGACGAUUGCAGAAGCAUAUGCAUCUCCGGAUGUAGAUGAUUGGAAAGAAGCUGUUCAUAAUGAGAUGGACUCAAUUAUUUCUAAUGGAACUUGGGAACUAACUGAUAGACCAUAUGGUUGUAAACCUGUGGGCUGUAAGUGGGUGUUCAAAAAGAAGCUCAAGCCUGAUGGUACUAUUGAUAAGUACAAGGCGCGGCUAGUGGCCAAGGGCUACACUCAGAAAGAAGGCGAAGAUUACUUUGACACCUAUUCACCCGUUGCUAGAAUGACCACCAUUCGAGUGUUACUUUCCUUGGCUGCCUCUUAUGGUCUUAUCAUUCAUCAAAUGGAUGUAAAGACAGCUUUUCUCAAUGGAGAGUUGGAAGAGGAGAUCUAUAUGGAUCAGCCUGACGGGUUUGUGGUUAAGGGUGAAGAGAGAAAGGUGUGCAAGUUGUUAAAAUCUUUGUAUGGUCUGAAACAGGCACCUAAGCAAUGGCAUGAGAAGUUUGAAAGAACUCUGACUUCUGCAGGAUUUGUCAUUAACGAGGCUGAUAGGUGUGUUUACUAUCGCCAUGGUGGGGGCAAUAGUGUCAUAUUAUGUUUGUAUGUGGACGACAUACUGAUCUUUGGUACAAACAUUAAUGCAAUUAAUGAGGUCAAGUCUUUUCUAUCAAAAAGUUUUGACAUGAAAGAUCUGGGAGAAGCCGAUGUAAUUCUAAACAUCAAACUUAUUAAGGAUGAGAGUGGGAUUACAUUAACGCAAUCUCACUAUGUUGAGAAGGUCUUGAACCGAUUCGGUUUUAUGGAUAGCAAGCCUUCUCCAACACCUUAUGAUCCCAGCGUGACACUCAGAAAGAACAAGAAAGAAACGAGAGAUCAAUUAAGAUACUCUCAAAUUGUCGGUUCACUCAUGUACUUAGCUAGCGCUACAAGACCAGAUAUCUCUUUUGCUGUGAGCAAACUGAGUAGGUUCAUGUCCAACCCGGGUGAUGAUCAUUGGCAUGCACUAGAAAGGGUCUUACGCUAUCUGAGAGGUACUAUGAGUUACGGAAUUACUUAUUCAGGGCAUCCUGCUGUGCUAGAAGGAUAUAGUGAUUCAAAUUGGAUCUCCGAUGUUGAUGUACUUUACGCAACAAGUGGGUAUGUAUUUACUCAUGGUGGUGGCGCAGUGUCAUGGAGGUCUUGCAAGCAAACCAUAUUGACGAGGUCAACUAUGGAAGCAGAAUUAACUGCUUUGGACACAGCUACUGUUGAGGCAGAAUGGCUGCGUGAGCUCUUGAUGGACUUGCCGAUUGUUGAAAAACCUGUACCGGCUAUUCUUAUGAAUUGUGAUAACCAAACGGUUAUCGCUAAAGUGAACAAUUCUAAAGAUAAUGCAAAGUCAUCAAGACACGUGAAAAGACGUUUGAAGUCUGUCAGGAAGUUGAGAAACUCCGGAGUAAUAACUGUUACAUAUAUACAAACAGACAAAAACCUGGCAGAUCCCUUUACAAAGGGACUAUCACGAAAUGUGAUAGAUAUUGCAUCGAGGGAGAUGGGUAUGAGACCCAUAGAUGUUACACCAUAGUACUAACCCAACCUUUGUGAUCGGAGAUCCCGUGAAUUAGGAUCUGGGAAGAACAAGCUAUUGGUUAACUGAGGAGAGUAAUAACUUAUGAUCGUCUCCAAGUGAAGAUGCAAAACUCUCAGAGCUGUAAAGCUCAGAUCUGUAAGGCAGGUUGGCAACAUGCCUUAAUGUGGUUCUAUUGGCUAUAAUUAGCAAAGAUGCUGUCCUACAGAGCAGUCUUGAAAGAACACACCUAUAUGAGUUCUGACUGUAAACGUCGCAGUCUAUGAGAUUUGGGUGAUCUCUAGUAAGCUCACGAAGAGACAAGGGAGUAUGACGUAUAAGCUCCAAACCGCGGGGUAGCCUACUGACGUAUAAGCUUCCUUUUGCCGUUUUAUUUUUAUGUCUUGGCAUACAAGUUUUUUAUUACUUGUCCGGUAAGUAUACGAAUUAGAAACCGAGUCGGUUUGGGAUUGUGGUCGCGACACAAUACCGCCUCUGGUCCUAAUAUAUAUACAGCUACCGGCUGCGGCCAGAGACACACCGAAAAACACCUAGGGUUUUGCCUCAUCUCACAACUUGCGCCGCCAUCGUAGUCUACUCCAUCCCAACGCCGGCGUGCAUCGGCGCGUGGGAGAGCAGGUCUCCGGAACCGUUCGUCUUUGCGAUCCUGCACCGGGAGAGGACGAAUUAGGUUUUUGGGAAGCGCUGUGCGCGACUGCUCAAAUUCGUCAUCACGGGUCGUCUUCCGUCCAAGUCGGGCGGUGCUACUCAUCGUCGUAUUCAUCGCCGUCAGCAGCAGAUCAUCGCCAAUAUCGUCAUCAACACUGUCGCACCCAUAUAGCUAACGAUCAUUACGUCCGACAUCCUCUGUUCAUGUCUGCUUCUACAGCUAUUGUUACGUGUUUGUUGUUGUUAUGCAUGUCUUGCUGUUCUUCUAGUUUGCUAGAUUAUUGCAUGCUAGUAUCUCUUCUAGUCAUGAAUUAUUUACUGGAAUUAAUCAUGAACUUGCCUAAUAUUCCCACAGACGCAAUAAUUGUUUUCGGGAUUUUGAAUAAAUCAGAAAAUGAUUUGUUUAAUUCCGAAAAUACUCCAAAAUUUGGAAAAUCAUGGAAAAUAAUCUGUAACUCAGAUGGAGAUAAUUUAUAUAUGAAAAAUUAUCAGGAAAAUAUGAAGAAUCUAUUUAUAGCAUUUUCAUGUAUGUUUGAACAAGUUAAGUUUUCUGUAUAAGACAAUUUGAAUAAAUGUCAUUUUAAAUUCUUAUGUGGAGUUUGAAUUUGAACCUUUGGUUCAAACCAACUUUAUUUAAAUUGUUGCUAGUUGCAUUAGUCCAAACACCAGCAUGCCAUGUCAUGAUCAUGCAUCAUACUGCUGCAUUGCAUUGAUUGUGUUCCCUCUCUGUUGCCGGUGUUUGUUCCUUCUCGAUAGAAGACGAUUCGGACGUUGUGAUCAUUGACACCGAUGAAGAGCUACUAUCUUCAAAGUGUCAGGCAAGCAAAUCCCCUUUGAGCAUUCUGAUACAAUCCCACUCUCUAACUCUUGCUCUCUUUUACUGCAUUAGGACAACAAUGAUUCAACUGUUACAUGUUGUGGUAGUUGAACCCAUUCCUCUGCAUGAUCUGUCUUUGCCACAGUAAAUAGUAAAACCCACUAGCAUGAGUAGGAGUAUUUUGAGCCAUGAUGUGCCUACUCAUUCAUGCUUGCUUGUUAUACCUGCUAUGCUUAGAGUUGUGUCAGGUUUGAUUCAUCUGGGUUGGCUUGGAAUGGUGAUGAACAUGUCCUACUGCUGAGCUCUAAGUGUGUGAACACGAUUUGGUAAAGGUAGCGAUGAGAGGCAAUGUAGGAGUACAUGGUGGGUUGUCUCGUUGAAAUCGUCCUUAGGAACUGAGUUCCGUGUUUGUGAUCCAAGACAGUUACUACCACACAUCGGGUUUCGAUAACUUGACCCCUCUCGACUUACUAAUCGCCUUGAUCUCUAUCUAGGAGUUGUAACUAGUUUCUGGUGUUUGUAGGAUGUGCUGGGGGCUGUACCUAGCGCUGACCGGAGGGGUAGGCUUUGUUACGGUAGGCACCAUGGCACGGUGUAUCAAGCGCAGUACUAUUGGUCGAGGUGGACAUGGGAAUCCUGCACACAUCGUUUGACGCCGUGAUGGAAACUUCGGCCGAACAUCCGUUACGGGUCAGUUCUCAGAUAGGCGAUAAACCUAGACUAGAGUCUUGCGUGGUUAGUCAGGUUGUGGCUGACACCCUCGCUAGGCUUCCGCUUGAAGGUUUCCGAGAUACAUGACGUGUAUAUGGUGUUAAGUGGUGAGAGCGUGUGUGAAGAAAUACACCCCUGCAGGGUAAUAUAAUCUAUUCGGAUAGCCGCGUCCUCGGAUAUGGACUACUUGGAAAGCUUGUAUGGUCCAUAGAUAACCUGAAGUGGAUACUCUAAAUGCGCAAAAUAAGUGUGAGUGCUAUGGAUGGCCUUCUCAUGGGGAGACGGGAGCGGAUCCAUAGUGGUGUAUUGAUAUGGUGAAUAUGUGGACUCACGUGCGCUUUCUCACCUCAAAGAAGUUAUUGGUAGUCAUAGUACAUGAAAGCCACUGAGUCAAAGCUGGCUUGCUGUAGUUAAACUCCACAACCCCAUUGUUGAUACUGAUGCAUAAGUAGAUAGUUCUGAUGUAAGUCUUGCUGAGUACAUUUGUACUCACGUUUGCUUAAUUGAUGUUUUUGCAGAGGAGAUUUCAAUCUCGCUAGUAGUUUCACAUGGGCUUUGACGGUUAGCUUGGGAAUCCCAGACAGAGGUAUGGCUCCUAUGGAGGGUAUUGUAGACAGACAUGCUUCCUAGCCUUCUUUCUUUUCAGCUGUCUAUAUUCAGACAGGUUUAUGCUUCCGCUUGUUGCUUGUAUGACUUUGUAUGUUGGGUCAUGAGACCAAUGUUCGUAAUAUCAUGUUAUGUGUGGCUCUUCAGAGCCUCUUAAAUAAAUACUUGAGUCGUAGAGUUAUAUUGUGACGACAUGUUGUAUCCACACAUAUUUGCAUGUUCUACAUACAUAUGAUGUGUGUUGCAAUGUGUUGGGUCACGAUAAAUCUUCUAUUGGAUUGCUUGAAUCUUUUGAUCUUUUGGUCCAACAAAAUUAUACUGUAAUAAUUAGGUCCAACAGAACAAAUCAGAAAACUUUGCUUGUACCAGACAUGGUUAGGUCCAAUAGAACAAAUGAAUCAUCUCUUCUUGGAGGAUUGUUUAAUUUAUCUUAGAUGUACCAAAAAUGAUCAUUGUGUUGGUCACCAGGAAGCAUCACAAGAUAAUUUAACAUCCAACAUGAAAGAACAUAGAUCUCAAUUCAAACAUCAUGCAAUAACUAACAGACUUCUCAAGUGUAAAUGGAAUCAUCACCACUAUAGCAGCUAUAUUUUGAACACCACGGAAACUCCAAUUUGAAACUGCAUCCUCAUUAAUAGAAACUGGAAAUUAGCUUGUCUAGUUCCAGUUUGAUUUGUUCAUCAACUAAAGAGUUAUAGUUUAAAUGACAAAUUUCACAUCCAAACUACAUAUCACAUCACAAAUUUAGGGUAAUUCAUACAUAGUAUAAAUAUAGGUAGCAUAGUACAGAAGAUCAGUUCCCAUCAAUCAAAUAUAGCAAUAGUCUUUGCAACAAAAUAUAUAAUAUAGACUUUCUUCUUGAGCUCAGCCACUUAGAUCAAUGACAUCAUCCUCUUCAAAAUUCCCUUUGAUAUUUUUCGGCUUGCCCUUGUGAAUUUCCCCAAUUUUAAGAAGCUCAGCUAUGACAUACUCUACCUUCUUAAUAUCUUUCCGGAUAACAUCCAUGUCCUUCAUCAUAGUCUCGAGCUCAUAUAUGUCCUUCUUCAGAACAUCCCUCUUCUUCAUCACAUCAUCCGAAGGGAAAGCUAGCUCCUUCCUAUCCUUUUUUAGGUCAAGGGUCUCCCUCAUGAUCAGAACCAUCUCCUUCUUGAGCCCAUCUUUGUCCACUUUCAGCUUAUCAUUAUCCUUCCUAGUGUUCUUGGUCACUUCUCGCUGAACAACAUGAAUGGCCUUGAGAUCACUGAUUACAUACUGCUUGUUCUCUAGCUGCUUCUGCAGGUCUAUAGAGUCCUCUGACAUCAUUUUUGGUAAUUCUCUUGCCACACCUUUUGGCAUUGCCUGACCCAGUGCUUGUUCCCAUCACUAGCAAACUCAGUGAAUUGGAAGUCCAACUACUUAAUCUUAUCUUUGAGAUUGAGCACUUCCUCUGCAGGAUCAAGCCCUUCCUGGGUUCUAGCAACCAUACACUUUUCAUAUUUUUUCCAGAGCAUGUGAAGUGCCUUUUUCAGGGCUUCGGGCCAGUCCUUCACUACUAGGGAAAACCUUAUACACAGAGGUAUAGCAGUAGCGCUGGUCAAAACAUGGCGCUAUUGCUACUUAUUAGUUGCGCUUGUUACAAAAGCACGCUACAACCAUUGUUGUAGCAGUAGCGCGUCUGCCCGGAAAAGCGCUACUACUAUAAUUCCCUCGUUGGUGCCGGUAGGCUAGGAAUAGUAGUGGCGGUUCUUCCAGAAGCACGCUACUGCUAAAAACUUUGUAGCAGCGCAUUUAUGCUGUAGAGCGCUACUGCUAUGAAAAGGAAAAUAAAUAGAAAAAUAAGUAGAAAAGUAAAUGAAAAUGAAAGAAAUAGAAAAAGGAGAAAUGAAAAAAAGAAAAUGUAAAGAAAACAAAAGAAAAAGAAAAAGAAAACAGAAAGGAAUAGCUGUAGCGCGUUUCGCUGGAAAACGCUAUAGCUAACUUAGCUAUAGCGUGUUUCGGUAAAACGCACUACUGCUAGUUUGACUUAACCCCCAGCCGCGCGGGCUCAAAAUUUUGCUAAGUCCUUCCCCCUCCACUCCCCCCUCUCCCCCAACUGCUCCAUCGCCGUUGUCGCCCUGCCGCCUUCAACCACACCGCCGCCACCCAAGGCCGUCUUCGACCACACCGCCGCCGCCCGAGGCCGCCCUCGACUUCACCGCCGCCGCCCGAGCCAGAGCCUGCCCUCGCCGUCGACCGUAAAGCUCUGCCUCUCCUUUCCCCUACCCUCCUAUCUCUCUUUGCUAGGGUAAUUCAUAUAUAUGUUGACGUUGUGUUGAUGUUCAUAUGAACCCUAGGUGUUCAUAUGAACCCUAGAUUUGUUGAGGGCAGUAGGCAUUUUUUGGCAUUUAGGAAAAAUGAUUGGCAAUUUUUUUAGGAAAUUAGCUAGGGAAAUUUUUUAUGAAAAUGCCUAAACAGUAAUUCCAUUUAGCUUUCAAUUAAUAGAGGGUAUGUAAAUAAUAGUAGCAUUUUGAUUAGAUUAAUAGACGCUAUAAACAAAAAACACUUAGAUAUAAAAAUUUAUUUGGACUAUGGACUUGAAUCUGUUCCAAAUUUCAUUCAAAUGAAAUUUGAAUUAUUUGGACUAUGGACCUGAAUCUGUUCCAAAUUUCAUUCAAAUGAAAUUUGAAUUAUUUGGACUAUGGACCUGAAUAUUUCUGAAGAAAUUGGGUGUAGGUACUAAGCUCUUGCUGCGGAAUUUUUGGUGAGGUCAGAAGGGUUAGAGAAAAUGGAGUUCCUAGACUUUUAGCUUUAGACAAAAAACAAAAGUAUUUAGCUAUAAAUAAAAAACAGUAGCUAUGGCAUUUAGCUAUAAACAAAAAACAGAAUUGUUUUUCUUUUCAAAAACUUGGUUAAACUAAUCGUUGCUAUGUAAACAAAAAACAAGAUUUUUGUUAUAUCAUAUAUGUCAUUGAUGUUCAUUUGCACAUUCCAUUAUUGUUGAUUAUAUCUUUUCAUUGAAGUGGCUAUGUUAUAUGCAAAUUCCUCAAUAGUGUUUGCUCAUGUUAUAUCUUUUCAUUGAAGUGGUUCGAUUGUGCCCAAAGUGGCUUCGUUGUUUCCAGGGAAUGAAGCCGAGUGGCCUAUGUUUUUCCGGAAUGUUGAUUCGUUUCCGUUCCGGCAAAUUUCAGGCUCUCGAUUUGUCCACUUUUUAGCAAAAGUCAUGCCGAAAUUUUCCGUGAAUUUCGGCAUGACUUGUGCUACAAACUAGGACAUAUCGAGUGCCCGGGAUUUGCCGCACAGGGAAGGAGUCAACGUUCCUGCAGAGCAUAGACCUUUUUUUAUGUCAUUAUUCAUUUUAUUAGGUCUAGAAUUAAUUGACUAAAUUUAAUCGUAGGAAACAUGGCUAGCAACGAUGAAGGACAGGGUUCUGGUGACUGCGACAACGUCUACCUGGCAGCAGAAGAAUUUUUUAUGGAAGAUGACGAUCAAGAGUUGAUGUUGCUGGGUCCACCUGUCACAUCAGAGAUUGAGACCGACAUCGAGACCGGCGCUGAGAUAGAGACUGGCACUGAGAGUGAGACCGGCAUCGAGACCGGCACUGAGACUGAGACCGGCGCCGAGACCGGCGCCGAGACUAGCGGAGCCGGUAUAGACCCGAAAGCAAAGAGGCAACUGCUUCCUAACAAGCUCAGGUCUAAUAGACUGGUGGUCACGGAGGUGGACGACGGCAAUUUUGAACCAAACGCGCCCUAGGAAGCGCGCGCGUGCUACGACAAUCAAAUAGGAUGCAUCAUACGGACAACCGCCACCAUCAAAGAUGAGAAACUAAAGAAGAUAGAUAAUAUGAGGCCCUCCCUCCUAAAGAAGUUGCACCUGAUAUUCUUGUUCCCGGGCCGGAAUGAAAAGGAUUAUAAAGAUCCAGAUAAGGACCUGGCAAUGAAGAAGAAAAACAAACACGUCAUGACCAAGUUUAGCGACGCGUUGGCCGCCUGGAAAUCAAGGGUGAAAUAUCGGAUCGUUGACAAAAAGGAACCCUACUCCGAGAUUGUAAAGGAUAAUCCGACAACCAUGGUAGAGCACUUUCAAAUAUUCAAGGCAGCUUGCGAGGCCGAAGCUGCCAAAAAAUAGUCGAAGUACAUGAAGGGGCUUCAAUAGAGGAACAUUGGGUGCCCCCACCUCGGAAGUCGUGGUUACGGCAGGAAGAGGUCCAUAUGGGCCAUGGAGGACGCGGAAGCCGCGAGUCCGGGCAUCCCAGACCCCUUGGCGGAGUUCACCGUCCCGCAGGAGCGUGACAUCCUCAGGGCCCGGCACCGUUGGGAUCCAAUGAAGAAGGUUUUCGAGACGAACGCGGUCACGGCGGAGUUCAUGUGACUGCUGGCAAUUUUAGUUUCUGAUCAAUUCGACUGCACGUUAGUCAUAUUUAUAAACGAUCCUUGUGCCAUUUGCAGAGAGAGCAGCGCAGGAUUGCGGCCGAAAGCGACUCGCCGUCUGAGGCGUUGGCGAGGCCCAAGUGGGACACUCCAUUCAACCGGGCGUUGAACAUAUUGAAAGGACUCCCGGUGGAGACUCGACUGUCGUAUGGACGCGUGCACGGUGUCGGAGAUGGCGCCACGUGGAAGAAGUACUACCGUGAGACCACGGAGGAGAGAAAGGAAAGACGGAGGUUAACUGAAGAAAACAUUGACAAGAAGGUUGAGAUUGCGGUUGAGAAGAAAUCAUCUAAGACAGUCGCAAUAGCGGUAGCUGCCGCAAAACAGGUGCUUGUACAUAUGUCUACUACCUUGGUUCCGGCCGUUUUCAAUUGGAGCAGGCAAAAUCUAGAAAAAAAUGCAGCGGAGUUUCCCCUUGCUGACUUCUUUGGGAGCAGCUCGACUAGCGUUGCACCAGCACCUGCAGCUGCACAUGCUCCCGCACCGGCUCCCGCACCGGCUCGUGCACCUGCUCCCGCACCGGCUCCCGAACCUGCUCCAGCACCGGCUCCGGCACCGGACGUGCUCGGCGGUGCUUCGUCUUUGGCUGAGCUCGACGCCCUCACGGUGUCUGUCACACCGGCCCCCAUCAAUAAAUGUAUUAUCUCCCGUUUUCGUUGCCUUUCGGAUGUCUCACGUCACAGACUUUUCUUUGCAGGCCGACGAAACCCCGUGCACCAUAUUGUACACCAUCGGCGACAAGAAGGUGGACGUGGGGAAGGCGACGAUAAUGGAGCCGAAGGAACCAUUGUUCCACAGCGGCUGAUCCCCCAGGACGUCUUCAAGGUUUCCGUGGCCAGUGUCAAACCGGGCCACGAGAAUUUGACUCCUCUGGUACUAGUGGGGGAUGACAACGAGACCCCACGGCGGCUUGGUAAUUGUUGCAAUGGGUGGGUCCUGUUGUGGCCAAAGAGUCUGCUUCGUCUGGAGGUGGCCGGGAGCACACCCACGAGCACACAGUUAGGUAUGAACAUCAACACCUCACCUACCCAAUUAGCGUCGGCUGUCGUGCUAGGUGAUAGCGGAGGGGGUGAGGAAGAGGCUCCAUUAGUCACUGGUGAUGUCGCCAUAGAUGAGGAUGAGGAUGACGAUGACACUCAACAGUAUGUCAAUACUGGUGCCUACUUAGGGUUUGAGCGUCAUGAGUCGGUGCCUGAAUUGCCGCCUCCGAAGUCUGAACGUAUUAUGGACAACCUUCCGGUAGUAAAGAAGUCUAGGAAGAGACCGAGGAAAGGCAAAAAAGCUGCUUCUAUGAUCCAGCCGCCUCAGCAGCCUCGGGUUCAAGACUGUAUAGAUAUCCCCGGUGCGGCAAAAUGGCAUAUCCAUGGUCAACCAAUCCUACCUAAAGCAGCGCUAGGGGCUAGAUUCGGCGAUUUAAGGAGACUUCAUGACGAUGUGCUGCGGAUAGAGAAAUGGCUCAUCGCCUCAAAAAAUCCAGGAUACCCACUCUACAUGGUUAACGUGCCGCGGCAAUUCUCGUACGUCGACACAUUCCCCGCGGAGAAGUUCUUCCUUCGAUUCGAUUACAUCUUCGACAUGUUUCACUUAAAGAAACUGGAUUUUACGUUUGUCCGCCUUUAUGUCUUGCACAUGAACUACCUCAUCAGGGUUGAGCAGAUACCUCAUAUCUGUGUCGCUAGCCCGUACUUCAUGCAUGAGGGCUUCUUGGGAGUCUGCGCAGAGCACCGUGAAUAAGCAAGGGAAUACAUCGCCAAUUUCAUGCUCACCAUAAGGACAAGGAGGCGAUUCUCGUGCCUUAUCAUCCCCUGUAAGUCAUCUGCGCGGAUAUCCUUCCUUUGAUUUCAAUCAUUCAUUUGCACAGUGGAGGCUAAUUAAUUUGAGGUGUACUUAUUUUUCGCAGCGGCGGGCGCGCCGUCCUCAUCAUCCUCUACCCCCGAUACUCCCACGCUCUUUACUUGGACUCGUCGAAGAACAUUAACAAAAAGGAUUACACCCACAUGAAGUCUGUUCUCGACAGUGCUAUGUUUUACUACGGCGCACGGGGUGGAGAGGUCAAGGACAAGAAGAAAAGGGACGGCAGGCCCGCCUUUGGCCAUAAGACCGACUUCUGCUGCAUCCACCAACCGAGUUAUUCUCUUAAUGAUGGAUUCUAUGUCCUACACCACAUGCUGGAGUACAGACGGGAUCACCAGAACCUUCGCAUGUCACCUAGAUCCGGCGAUGCCCAUAUUCUGCAAUGGGCAAAGAACUUAGGAGAUAUCGAGGAUCAUCGACUUCGAGCUGAGUUCUAUCACAUCCAGCGCAAACUUGCCCAAAUCAUCAUGAAGGAGGUCGUCGAAAAAACAGGGAUUUUCUAUGAAGAAGGACAAAUGUCGCGGGAAGACGUCCGAACACGCGUAGCGGCUCAGCUUCUCGACCUGAAGCCUUUCACUAAGCUUGGGGACUAUCUCCCUGACUUGGAUGCAUGGCACGACAUGUUGGAGUGAUUGUCGAUAUAUGACAAUGUGUCUGUUUAGUCCAUACUAUCUGUAUCACGAAACUCUGAGUUAUGCAUGACGAAACUUUAUUUGUUAUGUAAUUAAACCGUCCUCCUCGACUAGUGAAGAUCACUCUAGUUAGGGCUUUUUGGGUACGAUGAAUUUUGUUAUAUAUGCUUAUGGUAUGUUGCUUCUAUUUUUGCCAAGUCUGUCUCUUUCUGUUGCUCAACUAUAUAUGUUGCAUAUCAUCGACUCAUGUGACGAUGCAGGUGUAUAGAUCAUCGAUGGCGAAGAAGUGCUACGCCAGGAGUAUACGACGAGUGGCCGGAAUGUCAGGCCCAGGUGUACCGGUUUCCGGUUUCCGAGCGACAGCCAGUAGUUAGUUUAGGUUCACGCUAAUGCGAGAGAGGGAUACGAACUCAUGUACUGCAUAGUUCCGCUCUCACUCAAAGUGAUAGCUCUUCUCGCGUAUAUCAUUGUUUAGAUGGAUGACGACGUAGUUGCAAGUAAUCGAGACUUGUAUCGCUAUUUUUGAGAUGAUGACGAGAGACCACUUGUUGUUGGAUGAUGAUUAUGAUGAUGGCAUGAUUUGAUGAGACUAUUUGUAUGUAUAUGCUAUGAUUACAUUUGUAUGUGUAUGAUAUGCUAAAGAUUAUUGUAUAAAGCCUAUUCAAAUACAAAACAAAUAUGCAUAAAAAAAUAAAAACUAAUAAAACUAGCAGUAGCGAGGGGAACAAAGUUAGCAGUAGCGCUCCCUUACCAGUAGCGCUUCGUGCUAAAAAGCGCUGCAGAUAUUAGCAGCAGCGCUCUGCACUAAAGCGCGCUACUGCUAGCCAUGUAUAGCAGUAGCAUGGGAUGACAGGUGCUACUGCUACACGUUAGCUGUAGCGCCUUAUCAGUAGCACGUCGUCCCGAGCUACUGAUAGGCAAAAUACCCGCGCUACUGCUAGGGUUUUCCGUAGUAGUGCUUGUCAACCCAAUGAAUAAAUCUACCGUUUCCUAGUUGCAAUAAGAAACAAUUAGCAUUUAAUUAAUGGACACACAUUAGUCAAUAUAUUUUGAAAUGAGCAAAGUAUAGCAUAACUAGAUGAAAACCAAAUAUAGCAUAAGUGAGCUAGAAUGUUCCACAAACACGACAUGUCACAACUAAGUUACAAUGUUCUACCAACACAGCUUAGCAGCCAAACAAAACAUAGCUAUAAGACAUCCAAAUAUAGCACAAUAUAGUUGAAUUGUUCCACAAAAGUUGUGCAUGGGAUAACUGAAAUAUACAAUGGGUAUUGUCACAGAACACUAACUCUAGUUUAUACCAUUUACAUAUACUUUUUCCAGACAACCAUCACUUACUGAACAAGCAUCCCAUCAUUAGAGUCUGAGAAGAAAUGCAGCCUUCUCAGGGCGUCGAGAUCUGGGCCGUUGGAUUAAGCUUUCAAAAGAAUUGCGACCAUCAGAUCUUCAGAUGGAUCGAUCCGGGCCGUCGGAUCAUAGCAAACACUGCUACAGUGAAUAGUGUUGUUUCUUUUUUAUUUUGGUCUAUUAUUACUAUCUCGCUGACUGAUGGGCCACGCGGUAAGUGGUCCAUUGCUGUUAGUGAGAGCAGAGCACUAAGCGGUCGGUGCUGGUUCGUACAGGCUCAGGGGUCAGGCCAACGCCUGUGAAAUUGGGUAGCCGCUGAGGGCAAAUUCAACAUUUCACGUCAUCGCCCCUGCGUGACGCUCCGUGGAUGGCUAGUCAGCAAGUAAUGGCGAGGGAGCGACCCAUUGGCUAGAAACCUAGCCGCCUCUUCCCCGUCGUGUUCCUAUCUGUGUCGUUUGAGCUGCGGUCGCCAUCGAGGACGUGUCACUCGCACCGCCACUUCCCUGUCGAGCUCAUGCGUCCACUAGCCACACCGUCUCUUUUCCAUGCCUGCUCAUCCUCCGUUCCUCUUCGAUCACCGAGCUCGCCGUCGCUAUCGUCGGGAGGAAGCGAUUGGUGGACCUAGCCCACCGCCAUCAACGGGUGGAGCGCAGGAACCCGCGAUGCCCCUCCAGCGACCAGCACUUAUCCCUCGCCCAGCGACGAGGCCCCAUCGAACUCGCGUGUGGUCGCAGCUGGGAAUCCUCCUGUCCGCUCCUUGCUCCCCGCCGAGAGCCUUGAUUGGAUCUGGAUCCUGAGCUCUCCGUGCCCGCAUCGCCCCACCAUUCAUGGUGCACCACCAGCACGAGCUGCACAUCAUCAUGUCGUCAGAGGGAGAGCGGGAGGAAGUUGGCGCUGUUUAUCCCCACGAGGUGUGCCGUCGACGGUAGGAAGCCAGGCAGGGCGACGGGGAAAUACCGACGUAGUUCAAGCCGCAUCAAAAGGAAUUUCUGGCGCAGUUGCCAGGGAGACAUCAUCAACAUCUAUGAGGUUCCUAAUCACAAAUCCCAUCUCCUUGCAAUUUACAUUAUUUGCCAUUUGCCUCUCGUUUUCAUCUCCCCCACUUCACAAAAAAUUGCCGUUUUAUUCGCCCUCUUUUUCGUUUGCCUUUUUCUGGUUCGAUCUUAUGUUUGUUUGUGUCUCCAUGUGCCUUCUAUUUUGCUUGCAUCUUUUCUUGCUAAAACCUAUUGUUAUGGAUCCACUCAAAGUUUUGUACCUGGAUCUUGUUCGACCCAUAUGUGCUCGUGCUGAAACCCCAACUAGUUUAGUUGAGGGAAAAUCAUUAGAUGAGCAUGCUCUUUUUGCCCGUCAUCGUUUGUCUGAAAAAGGGAAGCUCUUAUGGAAUCAAAUAAAUUGUUUGCUAUGAUAUGCUUGGAAUCAUUAUGAAAUUUGUGAUUUUACUUGUUGCUCUAAGAACCCCAAAAAACACUUCCCCUAUCUAUGUGAGUUUAAUGACAAUGAAGUCUUAUGUUCUUAUGCCAAGGAGGUUUAUAGUUACUAUGAUAUCGAACAAAUUGAACAAUUUGUUGCUUUUAAGGGUGCUUAGAAGUUGCUUAUUUGAUUGAAAAGUAUGAUAUUACUCUCUACAAAUCUGAAAAUUUUGACAUACUUAAAUAUUGCUAUGAAAACUAUGCUCAUAAUGCCUAUGUUAAAGAAUUUAUUGAGAGAAUGUCCUAUGCUUUGAAAGAAAAUAGUGAUAUGCAUGAAGCUAUGGAUAACCAUGAUUCCGUUGAUUUGAUUGAAUUAUCCCCUCUUGAUGAACACGUUGCUAGCUAUUCUUGUGGCCAUGAUGCCAAUAUUAAUGAUGCUUAUGAAGAUGAACUUGCUAUAGUUCUUUAUGUUAAACAUGAAAUUAUUGCUAUUGCACGCACGCUGGAUAGCUCCUUUAAUGAAAAGCAUGAUUGCAAUGAUAUUAUUAUAGAUUCUAUUAAUCUCAAGUUUGUUAGUGAUAUGCAAAACCCCAAGCUUGGGGAUGCUUGUUUUGUUAUGUCCGCUACUUAUUGCAAUGAUCAUGAUUGGGGUGAUGAUGACUUUUAUGAUCUUGAUAGUCUAUUUAAGCCUCAUGAUGAAUAUGUUUGCAAUAAUAUUAAAAGUGGGUUUGGAAGAGUGUCAAAUAUUGAUAAAAAUAAUCCCACAAAUUUGGAGAGUGUUCAAUCUUAUGAUUUUUUUAUAAAAGUGGGCUUGGAAAGGUCAUGACUUUAUUUUAUGGUAAUCCCACUAUUUUGGAAGAGUGUCAACUUUGCAUGCAUGUGGAUCAUGUAGAGAAUAUGUUAUGUGAUAUCUAUAUUAUUGAAUUUGAACAUGAUUCCACAUGUAAUUGUUAUGAGAGAGGGAAAUAUGGUUGUAGAAAUUUCUUGCUACUAAGUCACCUCUCGUUAUGUUGAAUUGUCAAAGUUUUAUUUGUUUCCUAUGUAUAUGCUAGAUAUUUCUUGUUUUGAUAAUUUGUUUGCCUGUAAAAUUCCUAUACAUAGGAAAUAUGUUAGACUUAAAUGUGUUUAUCACAUGUUUUAUGAUCCUCUCUUUGUGUUUCAAUUAUUAUCUUUCAUGUGAGCAUCAUUGAAAUCGCAAAGCCUAUCUUAAUGGCUAUAAAGAAAGAGCUUGUUGGGAGGCAACCCAACGAAUAAAUUUUAUGUUUGCCUUUUUGUUUCUGUACAAUUAUGCCUCUGUUAUGAUUAUGUUUUUUAUGUUUUAAUUAGUGUUUGUGCGAAGCAAAGCCUUUUAGGAUCAUGUUGGGUGAUAGUUGAUUUGAUCUUGCUGAAAAACAGAAAAUUAUGAGUCCAGUAACACAAUUAUUAAAAUUCACAGAAGCGUGAUAAAAUUCUGAUUUUUUUACAGAAGAUUAAUACAAAUAGCGUAUGUUGUCCUAAUUUUUCAGAAUUUUUGCAGUUACAUAAGUAUACGAAGUUUUCAGAUUGCUACAGACUAUUCUGUUUUUGACAGAUUAUAUUUUCUUUUUGUUGUGUGCUUAUUUUGAUGAAUAUAUGGACUUUAUUGGAGGGUAUAAGCUAUAGUAAAGUUCGAAUACAGUACAUAUAAUGCAAAAAUAAAAUAUGAAUGGGUUUGCAACAGUACUUAGACUAGUGAUUUGCUUUGUUAUACUAACGGAUCUCACGAUGGUUUUGUUGAGUUUUGUGUGAUUGAAGUUUUUCAAGUUUUGGGUGAGAUCACGAUGGAUGAAGGAAUAAGGAGUAUGAAGAGACUAAUCUCGGGGAGGCCCAUGGCACCCCAAGUUAUUAUCCAAAGAGGAACAAGCAAUUAAGAUUGGGGAUGCCCCCGAGUGGCAUCCCCUCUUUCUUCUAAUGACCAUCGGUAUUUUACUUGGAGCUAUAUUUUUAUUCGUCACAUAUCAUGAGUUUUGCUUGGAGCAUCUUGUAUUAUAUGAGUCUUUGCUUAUUUUGCUUUUUUAUUUUGUGUCAUCUAUCCUUGCUGGACACACCUAUUUGAGAGGGCCCAAAUUAUGCUAUGGAAUCUUUUUGCUUCACUUAAAUCUUUUUGAGCUAUGGAAUUGAUCUUUGUGCUUCACUUAAAUCUUUUUGAGCUAUGAAAUUGCUCUAGUGCUUCACUUAUAUCUUUUUGAGAACGGUGUGCUUUGGUAUUUUUGAAGAAAUGCUCUCAUACUUCACGUAGAUUUAUUUGAGAGUUAGUAAAUUUUUUAAGAAAUCCUCUCAUGCUUCACAUAAAUUAAUUUGAGAGAAGAAAUUUUUUAUGCUCGUGUUCUUCACUUAGAUUUGUUUGAGCUAUCAAAAGCAACAUAUGAAAUUAGUCCCAAAGUGAUAGAUAUUCAAGAGGGAUAUAAUAAAAACUUUCAUGAAGAUCGUUAGACAAAAUAAACUUGAUUCUUUGUAAUAGUUUUGCGGUAUGACGAUAUAAUAUGUGAGUCAUGUUGAUGAGUUAUUACGCUUUAGUGAGAAUAUUGAUGUUAAGGUUUGUGAUUCUCUAUGUAAGCACGAAAGUCAAUAGUUAUGCAAUGAAAUUACAUCCUACUUGUCGUGCAUUAUUCGGUGUUAGUUCUGCUUAAUUCUUGCUUAUGAGAUUUUUUGUUUCUUGGUUGGAUGCUUCUCAAUAUUUUGCUAGCCUUCAAUUGUACUAAGUGGGAUUACUACUUGUGCAUCCAAAAUCCUUGAACCCAGUUUUUGCCAUAUGAGUCCACUAUACCUACCUAUAUGCGGUAUUCAUUUGCCGUUCUAAGAAAAUUUGUAUGUGCCAUCUCUAAUCUUCAAAAUAACUUCCUUUUUGUGUGCUCGUACCGCUCAUGAAACGGUAGGGGGUGGCUGAUAUUUUUCCAUGCUAGAUGUGUUAUUCUCAAGAUGAGUGUUUAUUCACUUGUCACUGCACGAGAGUAUGGCAAAGUUAUUAGGGAUGCCCAGUCCUGAAAUGAAAAAUGAAUUUACUUUAUGUUGUCAAAUAAUAAACUCCUUGGAAAGUGUUGGUAUGGACGGUACCCGUGGAUUCGGUUCGCCGUGGAAUGUGAAAGUAUGGUGGAAAAAGGAAUAAACUUUAUUUUCUGUUUGGGAACCACCUAUGAUAUAUCUAGCAUGGAAAGUAUUGGGAACUACUCGAUCGUUUUCAUUGACAGGAAAGGCAUGCCACCCAAAAUGUCUUAUCUCUAUCUUUUUCCGCUUUUAGCUCUGGCACCUCUACAAAUCCCUACUUCCCUCUGCGAAGGGCCUGUCUAUUUACUUUAUGAAAUUUUUAUUUUUAUUUCAAGUCUCCAUCUUCUCUUACAAAGCACCAACUAAGGGGCACUACGAUCGUACCAUAGCAUUGGGUGUAGCUAAUAUGCGAGUGUGUUUCAUGAAUGGAUCAAUGAUUGAGCAUAAUGGGCUAGGGAUAAAUUGCUUUAGUGUUGAUAUUUUGAAAGACAUGGUUGCUUGUUGAUAUGCUUGAGUAUUGAAAUCUUCAUAUCAACACUAGACUAUUCCUUUGAAUCAUAUAAAAGUCCAAAUGUCCAUGCUACAAAAGAAAAAGAAUAUGUGAUGAACAUGAUAGGCAACAUUCCACAUCAAAAAUUCUAUUUUUAUCAUUUACCUACUCGAGGAGGAGCAGGAAUUAAGCUUGGGGAUGCUGAUACGUCUCCAACGCAUCUAUAAUUUUUCAUUGUCCCAUGUUGUUAUAUUAUCAUUUUUGGAUGUUUUACAAUCAUUUUAUAACAACUUUAUAUCUUUUUUGGGACUAGCCUAUUGACAUAGUGCCUAGUGCCAGUUGCUGUUUUUUGCUUGUUUUUACACUGCAGAAAAUCAAUACCAAAUGGAGUCCAAAUGCAGCGAAACAUUUUGCAGAAUUUAUUUGGACCAGAAGACACACGAUGGGCCAAUAGAGUACUAGAGGGGGGCUCCGAGGGAAGCACAACCCACCUGGGCGCGCCCUGGUGGGUUGUGCACACAUCGGCUCGCUAUCGUGCCGCCUCUUUGCUCCAUAAAUACCCCGAAAAUCCAAAAACCCUAGGAGUCGACGAACACAAUUCCAGCUGCCGCAAGUUCCACAAAGCACAGAUCCAAUCUAAACACUGAUACGUCUCCAAUGUAUCUAUAAGUUUUUAUUAUUCCACGCUAUUAUAUUAUCUGUUUUGGAUGUUUUAUAUGCAUUAAUAUGCUAUUUUAUAUUAUUUUUGGGACUAACCUAUUAACCUAGAACCCAGUGCUAGUUCCUGUUUUUUCUUGUUUUAGAGUUUCGCAGAAAAGGAAUAUCAAACAGAGUCCAAACGGAAUGAAACUUUGGCGAUGAUUUAUCUUUGACCAGACGAUAACCAGAGGACUUGGAGUACACGUCAAGGAAGCCACAAGGAAUCCCAAGGGGGUAGGGCGGGCCCCCCACCCUUGCGGACCCCUAGUGACACCACCGACCAAUUUCUUCCGCCUAUAUAUUCUCAAAUACCCCAAAACCUUCUAGGAGAGCCACGAAACCACUUUUCCACCGCUGCAACCUUCUGUACCCGUGAGAUCCCAUCUAGGGGCCUUUUCCGGCAUCCUGCCAGACGGGGACUCGAUCACGGAGCGCUCCUACAUCAACAUUGCCUCUCCGAUUAAGCGUGCGUAUUUUACCACAAACCUACGGGUCCAUAGCUAGUAGCUAGAUGGCUUCUUCUCUCUCUUUGAUUCUCAAUACCAUGUUCUCCUCGACGUUCUUGGAGAUCUAUUCGAUGUAAUACUUUUUUGCGGUGGGUUUGCCGAGAUCCGAUGAAUUGUGUAUUUAUGAUCAGCUUAUCUAUGAAUAUUAUUUGAAUCUCCUCUGAAUUCUUAUAUGCAUGAUUUGAUAUGUUUGCAAGUCUCUUCGAACUAUCGAUUUGGUUUUGCCACCUAGAUUUGUUUUUCUUGCAAUGGGAGAAGUGCUUAGCUUUGGGUCAAUAUUGCGGUGCUCGAUCCUAGUGAUAGAAGGGGAACCGACACGUAUUGUAUUGUUGCCAAUGAGGAUAACAAGAUGGGGUUUUCAUCAUAUUGCUUGAGUUUAUCCCGCUACAUCAUGUCAUCUUACUUAAUGUGUUACUCUUUUAUUCAUGAGCUUAAUACUCUAGAUGUAGGCAGGAGUCGGUCGAUGUGUGGAGUAAUAGUAGUAGAUGCAGGCAAGAGUCGCUCUACUUGAUACAGAUGUGGUGCCUAUAUUCAUGAUCAUUGCCUUAGAUAUCGUCAUAACUUUGCGCUUUUCUAUCAAUUGCUCGGCACUAAUUUUUUCACCCAACGUAAUAUUUUCUAUCUUAAGAGAAGCCUCUAGUGAAACCUAUGUUCCCGAGUCUAUUUUCCAUCAUAUAAUCUUCUAUUUUCCAUCAUAUAAGUUUCCGAUCUACAAUUUUAGUUUCCUAUUUACUUUCUUUGCAAUAUUUUGCAUUCCGAUCUAUAAACCAAAAAUACCAAAAAUAUUACUUUACCGUUUAUCCAUCUAUAUCAGAUCUCACUUUGCAAAUAAUUGUGAAGGGAUUGACAACCCGUUUAUCGCGUUGGGUGCAAGUUGGUGUUUGUUUGUGCAGGUAUUCGGUGGCUUGUGCAUUGUCUCCUACCGGAUCGAUACCUUGGUUCUCAAAACUGAGGGAAAUACUUACUCUACUUUGCUGCAUCACCCUUUCCUCUUCAAGGGAAAAACCAACGCAAGCUCAAGAAGUACUGGGAAGAAUUUUUGGCGCCAUUGCCGGGGAGAUCUACGCCAAGCCGAGACAUACCAAGUACCCAUCAUAAACUCUCAUCCCUCGCAUUACAUUAUUUGCCAUUCGCUUCUCGUUUUCCUCUCCCGCACCUCUCACUACUAGGAAAAGGGCUAUAGACAAUAUGCACACUAAUGGCGCACCAGACAUGCGGUGCGCCACUACUAUAUAGCGGUGGCGCACCGUGUGCUGGUGCGCCAUUAGUGUGAUAGACACUAAUGGCGCACCACAACCAUGGUGCGCCACUACUAACAAAUUUUCUUUUUCUUUUUAAAAAAAUACUAAUGGCGCACCGCAACCAUGGUGCGCCACUACUAAUUUUUUUCCUUUUUUCCAAAAAUACUAAUGGCGCUACUUGGCACAGUGCGCCAUUACUAGUUUUAACUAGUAAUGGCGCACCAGUCACCCCGUGCGCCACUACUAUCAUUUUUUUGCAAAACUACUAAUGGCGCACCGCCAGCUGGUGCGCCAUUAGUAACCAGGGUUACUAAUGGCGCAUUUGUUGGUGGUGCGCCAUUAGUAACCUGGGACCAGCUAGAUAUUUUGGACAGCCACCUACACACUCACUUUCCCCACUUCAUUCUCUCCACCUCCUCCUCCAAGCUUGUCUCGGCUGCCUCCUCCUCCUCACCUCAUUUGCACCAUAGAUUCAUCCAAAUUAAGUGGUUAAAUUACCUUUUUUGAUAGGUAAGUAAGGGGAAAGCUUUCUUUAUGUUGUAGAUCUACUUUUUUCUCCCUCCAACAACGUGCACAUGCACUUUUUAUGGCCUAGCUAGAUCUAUGUAUGUUUGUGGUGUUGCAUAUGUUUGUGGUGUUGCAUAUAUGUUUGUGUUUGCACGUACCGGUAUUUGAAAUGCGAUAGUUGCCAAUAUUUUGCCAGAAUGUUGAUUCAUUUCCGUUUCGUCAAGAAUUUUGGCACUAUGCAUUCUUUUUUGUCCUAUUUUUAGGCAAAGUCAUGCCAAAUUUUUUCUUGGUUCUAAAAUAUCGUUUUGCUCUACCCUGCAGGCGACCAUGGUCUGCACGAUGACCGAAGGCAUCGUGAAUAGGUUUUUGAGCUCCGCGAAGGCCGAGAUGCUUCAAAAGAAUGAGACGGAGAUAAGAUGUCCGUGUCGAAGAUGCAAGCUGAGGAGCCUUAUGGACCCGGAUUCCGUACAGGUGCGGGACCACCUGCUCUUGCGUGGUUUCAUGGAUGGCUAUCGGUGGCAAGGUGAUGAAGAUGAUUAUGAAGUCGUCCAUGGGGGCCGGCCGGUAAGAAAUGAGGAAGGGCAGCAAGACAACCGCGGCGAGGGCGGGCGAGAAGACGAAGAAUCUCCAGGACAUGAUCACGAAGUAGAUGCAGUACGCAGUCAUCAUGUAGAAGAUGCCGGACAUAAAGAUGAGGAAGAUGCCGGAGCAGACGAAGGGCAUGAUCAUGAAGAUGAAGAUGCCGGAGCGGACGACGAUGGACCAUCGAUGGGCUGGGUGCAGGACCCUCAUAUUCAAGAGCUGCUUCUCAAGCAGACGGAUAACGCAAGAGCUGCCGCCCGAGAGAAAGCCAAGCUGGAUCAACUGGAGAUAGACGCGGUUACUCCAUUGUAUGAAGGAUGCAGGCCCGAGGAUACCCGCCUGAAAGUAACGCUCAUGGCUCUGGAGAUGAAGGUAAAACACAAAAUGACCGACGCAUGCUUCGACGAGAACAUGUCAUUCUGGCACGAACGUCUUCCCAAGGGGAACAAGUGCCCGACCAGUUUUGAGGAGGCGAAGAAAAUCGUGUGUCCUCUGGAUUUACCGCACGUGAAAUACCAUGUGUGCAUGAACAAUUGCAUCAUUUAUCGGGACGAGCACGCGGAGUCUACCAUAUGUCCGGUGUGCGGCGUCACUCGAUACAAGAAGAGGAAGAAAGCUCCUCGAAAAGCGGUGUGGUACUUUCCGAUCGCUCCUCGUGUGCAGCGGUAUUUCGCGGACCCUAAGGUAGCAAAGCUCUUGCGUUGGCACGCGGAUAGGGAGGAGAAGAAGCGAGAAGAUGACGCAAAUGAUCCGGAGAUAAAUAAAAAAGACAAGAUGCUGAGUCACCCUAAGGAUGGGAGCCAGUGGCAAGCGUUGAACUUCGAACACCCAGAAUUUGGGAACGAUCCAAGGAACAUCGUGCUGGGCGCGAGCACCGAUGGAGUCAAUCCGUUUGGCAGCCAGAGAAGCACACAUAGCACCUGGCCUGUGUUUGUGGAUGUACAACCUUCCCCGCUGGUUGUGCAUGAAGAGGAAGUACAUUCACAUGAGUAUGCUAAUUGAAGGGCCGAAACAACCAGGGAACGACAUCAAUCUGUAUCUGGGGCUGCUGAAAGAGGAGCUAGACACGCUGUGGAAAACGCCAGCCAAUACGUGGGACACCGCAGAGAAAGAAUAUUUCCCUAUGAGAGCCGCUCUGCUCACGACGGUGCACGACUAUCUCGAUUACGGAUAUGUCGCGGGGCAGGUGGUCCACGGAUUUUCUGGAUGCGUCAGGUGCAUGGAUGACACAACAUAUCGCCAGCUAGAUAGAGAUCUCAGGUCUUCGAAAACCGUGUUCAUGGGACAUCGAAGGUGGCUUCGCGACGAUGACUCAUGGAGGAAACGCAAGGAUCUGUUCGAUGGUGAAACCGAAACCCGAAGACGCCCGCGUACGAGGAGCGACAAGGAAAUAGACGAGUUGUUGAAAAAUUGGAAAGAUUGCCCACUGCCGGGAAAGAAGCAAAAGGCACCAGAGCCGGAAAAGAAGCGAAAGGCGCAAGAGCCGCUGCUGAAGGUAUGGAAAAUGAGGUCUGUUUUCUGGGACUUGCUGUACUGGAAGAUCCACCGUGUGCCUCACAGCCUUGAUGUCAUGCAUAUCACGAAGAACGUGUGCGAGAGUCUGCUUGGUACCCUGCUCAACAUGCCGGAGAGGACCAAAGAUGGGCCGAAAGCAAGGGCAGACUUGAAAUCAAUGGGCAUCAGGGAGGAGCUUCACGCUAAUGAUGAUGAUGAUGAGGCGAAGCAGGACACGGAAAGUCGUCGCAAAGGCAAAAAGGCCAAGAAGACCGAAAAUGACUUCCCUCCCGCGUGCUUCACUCUAAGUCAGGAGGAGAUCGAUCAGUUUUUCACCUGCCUCGUAGGAGUAAAACUUCCUUACGGUUACGCGGGGAAGAUAAGCAGAUACCUAGACUCAGCGAAGCAGAAGUUCAGCGGGAUGAAGUCUCAUGACUGUCACGUGCUGAUGACGCAGAUACUUCCAGUUGCAAUCCGUGGGAUCAUGGACGCGCACGUCCGUGAAACGCUAUUUGGCCUAUGCAACUUUUUCGACGUCAUCUCUCGGAAGUCGGUUGGUGUGAGGCAACUCAGAAGGCUACAUGAAGAGAUCGUAGUGAUACUAUGCGAGCUUGAGAUGUACUUCCCGCCCGCAUUCUUCGACGUUAUGGUGCAUCUGCUGGUCCAUAUCGUGGAGGAUAUCAUCCAACUCGGGCCGACGUUCCUGCACAGCAUGAUGCCGUUCGAAAGGAUGAAUGGUGUCAUCAAAGGAUACGUUCGCAACAUGUCACGUCCAGUGGGAAGCAUAGCCAGGGGCUUUCUGACCGAAGAGUGCAUCUCCUACUGCACGAAUUAUCUAGGCAUCGAGAACCCCGUUGGUCUGCCCGCCAACAGGCACCUCGGCAGGCUCGCUGGAUGGGGUCAUCGUGAGGGUUGCCGCGAAAUGCAUGUCGAUUUCGAGGGUCGACUCGCCGACUUUGAAAGAGCAAACCUAGUCGCGCUACAACACAUAGACGUGGUCGAUCCUUGGGUGGUAGAGCACAAAACCUUUAUUGAGAAGACGUACAAUGACCGAGACCAACAGAGGACGGACGGAGAUAUAAUCAAAGAGCACAACUCAUAUUUCACGCGUUGGUUCAAGCAGCAUGAGGAUUCUUCCGCGGAAGAACAACUCAAAUUCGCCUUGUCACAGGGCGCCGAGCACAACCUGAUGACGUAUGAGGCGUACAAUAUCAACGGCUACACAUUCUACACCGAGGGAAAGGACAUGAAGAGCGAUGGUUAUCAGAACUCUGGGGUAACGAUGGAAUCCUACACCGGUAACGAUAAGGACAGAUACUACGGAAGGAUCGAGGAGAUCUGGGAGCUGAGCUAUGCUGGAGAGAAGGUCCCGAUGUUCCGUGUCAGAUGGGCCAAGAGCGUCCUAAAAGAAGACCGGUAUUUCACCACCAUGGUUAUACCCGAAGCCAAAUCCAAGACCGCGGGCGCAAACGACACCGUGAAAAAUGAGCCAUGGGUACUGGCUUCCCAAGUGGACCAAUGCUUCUUCAUUACCGACCCGUCAAAGCCCAGUCGUGUUGUCGUGAGGAGAGGCAAAAGGAAGAUCAUCGAAAUGGAUGGAGUCGCCAAUGAGCAAGACUUCGACAAGUACGGCGACCCGAAGAUGGAACAUGACGACGAUGAUGAAGUACCAGCAUACACCACAAGAAGAAGCAGGACCACCCUACCUAAAGGACGUCCGUUCAAGAGAAGAACUCCAUUUACGAAAAAUAAGGGCAAGAAGAUUGUGAACAGAUAGCUAGCUAAGAUCGAUUGUAUUUAAAUUGUAGCCUUCAUUUCUCGAUUGUAUUUCAUGGGCACUUUUUGAACUCAUGAAUAUUUUUAAAUUUCAUGGGCACUUUUUGAAUUCAUGAAUAUUUUUUCAAAUUUCACCGCCGCCGCCGCCGACCCCCCGCACCCUCCCCCGCUCCACCGCCACCGACGACCCACCGCACCCUCCCCCGCUCCACCGCCNNNNNNNNNNNNNNNNNNNNNNNNNNNNNNNNNNNNNNNNNNNNNNNNNNNNNNNNNNNNNNNNNNNNNNNNNNNNNNNNNNNNNNNNNNNNNNNNNNNNNNNNNNNNNNNNNNNNNNNNNNNNNNNNNNNNNNNNNNNNNNNNNNNNNNNNNNNNNNNNNNNNNNNNNNNNNNNNNNNNNNNNNNNNNNNNNNNNNNNNNNNNNNNNNNNNNNNNNNNNNNNNNNNNNNNNNNNNNNNNNNNNNNNNNNNNNNNNNNNNNNNNNNNNNNNNNNNNNNNNNNNNNNNNNNNNNNNNNNNNNNNNNNNNNNNNNNNNNNNNNNNNNNNNNNNNNNNNNNNNNNNNNNNNNNNNNNNNNNNNNNNNNNNNNNNNNNNNNNNNNNNNNNNNNNUCCACCGCCACCGACGACCCCCCGCACCCUCCCCUCUGCCCUCUAUCACAGCGGGGACAACAGGAAGCCGCCGUCGCGCCCCUCUGCACCGGCUGCCCACGGCGCCUCCGUCCCGAAGCCGCAGCCCAAGUGCCCACCACUCUCUGUCCACGGUGAGCCAUCCUCUCUGUCCCAACUCUCUGUUCUUCUUUUUUAGCUAUCCUUUGUUGAAACAGUAGUUGCUGUGUAGCAAAUCUUUGGGAUUAGUGUUCAGUACUUUGUUGGGUGAGCGGCCAUCUGAGACAUCCUGCUUACAUAGUCUCCUUUUUAAAACUCGUCAAAUUGGUUUUAGAUAGAAAUGAUCAACACUCAAUUGGCCAACUGCAUGUGGAAUGAUUUCGAAGGGCGCCAUAACUUAUUGUAGAUGCUGACUACAAUAACAAUACUAAACUCAGUGUAGUCUGUUGUAAAGACACUUGUGCUUCUUUCAUCUGGAAAGGGGUCGUCUGGCCUCCAAAACUGUCAGAUUAGGUUGUGCUGUAACUCCUCACAUGGCCAUGUUUUUGGAAGAUUGGUCGUUUGUCACCGGCCCUUUGGUCACCCAGCAAUGGGACUUGUAUCAUAUUGCCAAUGAGGUUAAUAAAACAGUAGUGCAUCAGUACUUUGUUGGAACAGAAAGUCAGAAAAUCAGAAAAUCCACGGUACUUUGUUUAGAUCUUCACUGUUGACAAACGCAGUCAACUAAAAAUCCAGUUCAGUGCAUAAUUAGUGUUGACAAAUACACUGAUCUUUAUCUGCAGUAAUUCAGUUUAAACUGAAAAUUCAGUGUUGUAGUACAGAAAAUUUAAACUGAAAAUUCAUAGUCUCCUGGUGCAUAUUGAUCUCAGUGUAUGAAUUCAUAGUGUUUCAAAUUACUGAUGCUAUGGUCCAGGAGUAGAAAAAUUUGUACUCCAAGAUCAAUAUGGUUCAAUUUCUACUGUACUGUAAUCAAAGUGGAUAUAAAUUGCAGAGUGUUUAUGUUGGCAUUCGACAACAUCUAAAUUUACCAAAUGAUUGUGAACUCAGUUUAUGUUUGCAACCAAAUGCUUAGUUCAUUGUUUACUCCAAAUGAUUGUGAACUUAUUCAAAGUUUCCAAUAUUGUUCAGACACUACUUGUACUGGAACUGGAACUACUACUACUGAUGCAGCACCCCAUGUAGUUUAAGUUUUCUUUAUCUUAAACUCAGACAGCUCUCUAAUUAUUGGAGUUUAUAUCAUAUAUAUUGCUGGCAUGUAUUUCAUAUGUUCUGUAGCAUUAAGGCUACAUAGCAUUGCUUUUGUCUCUGACCAUCGUGUCGUGAUGAUAUUGUGGGGUGUUGUGGGGUUGCAGAGGCCCUUGAGUUUCAUCGCGAUGAUGCUAAUCGUGAUGACCGCAGCUCUCUUCUAUGUGAUGGUAGUUUAGAUGAUCGAUAUCGACUUGUAAUGUGAAGACAAACUCGCUACUCGCGGUUUCGAGACUUGUAGUGUUCUAACUUUGUUUGGUCUUUUGAAUUCGGAGACUAAUAUGAUGAAUUGUAUUCGGAGACUAAUCUUCUAUUGUAUUCGAUAACUCUGCUGUUUAUAUGUUGUGUGUCUAUAUUCUGUGCAGUAAUAUGUUUUGUAACCUGUGCAAAUAUCAGAAAAGAAAAAAAUCCCUAAUAUUCAUACUAGUGGCGCACCACCCAGAACUUUAGUGGCGCACUGCAAAAUGCAUACUAGUGGUGCAUCAGCAAGCAGUGCGCCAUUAGUAAGCCAGAGACAUGGUUAAAUAUGGCCCCCUGGGAGGCAUUCUAAUGGCGCAUCAUAGGGUGUACUAAUAGCGCACUACAUGGUGCGCCAUUAGUAUCUGAUAUACUAAUGGCACACUUGUGGUGCGCCAUUAGUAAUAAAAUCUAAUGGCAUGGUACUAGUGGCGCACCUGUAGUGCGCCAUUAGUAGGCAAAACAGGUGCGCCACUAGCAGCCCUUUUCCUAGUAGUGUCUAAAACGAUUUUCGAAAAAUUUGUCUUUUCUUCGCCCCUCUUUCGUGCGUCUUCUUCUUUUGCUCUUUGUUCGCUUGUCCGUUUGAUCUUUUAUCUUGCUGUCAUGGCUAGUUUUCCAUCCUUGUUAGCACUCCCAAUAAUAAGGUCCUCAACUUCAAACAAAGGGAAGGAGAAAAUUUAAAAGAUGCUUGGUAUAGAAUUUAUAAUGCUCAAAUUUGAUGAUUACUGCUGGAGAUGACUAACAUCCUAGAUGUUACUCACUAUGUCUAGAUACAUUCGUUUGAGUGUCAACUAAUUCUGAACAUCUUAGGUGUUACUCCCAAGUCUAGAUACAUUUUUUUGAGUGGCAACUAAUUCUGAAUGGAGGAAGUACACAAAGCUAAGCCACAGCCAUGAAAUAUAUAUAGGGCGGGGGGCGCUCGUUCCACAAGGAGCGGCGGGUAGCUUAGCUAUAGCUCGAUCGAUGAAUAUGGCUGUAGAUGGGUUUGGUGAGCUGGGCAUUCGUGUGGUGAGUCGCCGGCUGGUGCUCUGCCUGCCAGCUACUGCUCUGCCUGCCGCUCCACCUCCUUGUCGAUCGCGCCCACCCAAACGGACGUCCAUGACACAUACACCGACAAUGUGCUCCUCCACGGCCACGACUACCCAAGUAGUGGCCACGGCACCUCCUCCACAGGCUCGGGCGUGGGCGGUGCUGGUGGUGGUGGGGGCACGUUGGCCUCCACUCCGGCCGCCAAUUGGGCCAGCGCCUGCGCAAGGCCAGGCCACCUGGCCUUGCUCCUCGCGCUCGGCCUCCACGAUGGCCCUCCAUGUGGCCUCCUCGAGGGACACAACACAGGCCUCCUCGGCAUCCUAAUCCUCCUCCUUCACCACUCCCGGAAGUGGUGGUGGAGUGGCAAGAACGCGUGGUGCACCGGGCGCACACUUGACGCACUACCGGCAAUGUUGGUCGUGCUCGGUGGCAAACCACGCGUCCUAGUUACCGCAUACGUUGGGUCACGGCGGAGGUUGGCUAGGAGUAGAGCAUGGGAUCUCCGUCAGCUGUGCGCGGCCUGAGGCCGGCACCGGAACCCUAGCAAGGUUGAGGUCCCACCCGUGCGGUAGGUUCACACUGGGCUAUGGCGCAGGCACGCCAUACUCCCAAAAGUACUGGUAGCGGUGCAUCGGCAUGUAGUGCCGAAACCAUGGCUGCCGACUCAAGGUCGAUUUAUCUGUUCUUAUAAACUAGCGAAUUAGCAACUAUAUUACCCAAGAGUAACAACCAAGUCAUAUAUACAAUGUACGCUUGCAACCAUUGAAUAAAUUGUACAGAAUACCAAACAAAGAAGAUUGAACGAGGUCGUGGAACAACUCACAUGCACCAUCCACAGGUCAAGUGGAUGAUCCCAAUGAUGAGCGAAUGAUCCUAAUGACGAGCAGUUGGCGAGAUUAUGUUGCUCUUGUGAUGGUUAGUGAUGUCUGCGCUAGAGCUUGCUUACAACCUUGCGAGGUAAGGAGCUACGGCUACAUGCGUAUUAGGUUUUAUAAGCCGUGAAACCUCGAUAAAAGUUGCCGCUAUAAGUUUUUUCUUCAUGUCACUAUAAACCUUAUNNNNNNNNNNNNNNNNNNNNNNNNNNNNNNNNNNNNNNNNNNNNNNNNNNNNNNNNNNNNNNNNNNNNNNNNNNNNNNNNNNNNNNNNNNNNNNNNNNNNNNNNNNNNNNNNNNNNNNNNNNNNNNNNNNNNNNNNNNNNNNNNNNNNNNNNNNNNNNNNNNNNNNNNNNNNNNNNNNNNNNNNNNNNNNNNNNNNNNNNNNNNNNNNNNNNNNNNNNNNNNNNNNNNNNNNNNNNNNNNNNNNNNNNNNNNNNNNNNNNNNNNNNNNNNNNNNNNNNNNNNNNNNNNNNNNNNNNNNNNNNNNNNNNNNNNNNNNNNNNNNNNNNNNNNNNNNNNNNNNNNNNNNNNNNNNNNNNNNNNNNNNNNNNNNNNNNNNNNNNNNNNNNNNNNNNNNNNNNNNNNNNNNNNNNNNNNNNNNNNNNNNNNNNNNNNNNNNNNNNNNNNNNNNNNNNNNNNNNNNNNNNNNNNNNNNNNNNNNNNNNNNNNNNNNNNNNNNNNNNNNNNNNNNNNNNNNNNNNNNNNNNNNNNNNNNNNNNNNNNNNNNNNNNNNNNNNNNNNNNNNNNNNNNNNNNNNUAUAUAUGUAUAUAUAUAUGGGGCAUGAAACUGCAAACUACCACUAUUGUUGCCGGUGGACCUCCCGGCUCCGGUGCACAUCCCAACGUCGCCCUCGUGAAGCAAGCGAAUGGCCCCGCGAGCAUGUGGACGUUGUCCAUGUGGCAUUGGGUUCCCGCUUCUUGAGUGAACCGGAAAAAAAACCCAAAGCUGGUCAAUCUUCGGCUCGAAAGGAAGCCUGGCUUAUGGUUUUGUGUUUUCGCGCCGGCGUAGCCGCUCUCCGUCUGGGUGAGCGAGCGGUGGAGGACUGCCGCAAUGGAGGAGAUGGUGGUCCUUGGGCCCCGAUGCCUUUCGUGGCAUGAGGGCCGUGUCUUGUAUUCGAUGGCCGGGGACGCCAUCCGGAGCAGCUUGAGAAGGCACCGUCGGGGCUUUGCGCUUGCACCCCUAUGCAGCCAUGCCCGGCGCAGCGGGCUGUCCGCUGUGUGUCUUGCGGAGUCUGAGUGCAUCCAUCGGCUGAUUUUUAUUUUAUUCUUUCGAUGAGGAUUAGUAGUCGGAGAGUAGAUAGGUUCUUCCUCGAUCCCAUGAUAUAAAAGCUUGGGUGUUCGUUGACGCUAGCAAUGUCAAAAACGCUCUUAUAAAAUGGGAGGGAGUCCCUCGCAAAGAAAAAAAGAGAGUAGAUAGCUACUUUAUCUUUUAUUUUGAAGGUGGGAGUAGAUUGAUAACUACUUAGUGCACGUACGAAAAGAAAGACACGAUCGCCUAAAAAAAAGAAAUACUAUAUUGAGAUAUAUAUAGGGCGUGCGGGCGCUAGCAGUUCCACAACGAGCGGCGGGUAGCUAGGUUCAACAUCCAUAUAGGUUGAAUAUGGCUGUAGAUGGGUUUGGCGAGGUGGGCAUUCGUGUGGUGAGUCGCCGGCUGGUGAAGGCAUCCGACCCCUCCAUCCAACCGCAGGUGGUGCCCCUCUCCAACCUCGACCUGUACGUCGGCAACGUACAAGUCGCCAUACUAUGCCUCUAUCCCAAGCCUCCGGCGGGCAGGGAUUUCGCCGGCGUGGUGGCCACCUUCGAGUCCUUGCUGCCGGCUUUACUCAACGAGUUCUACCCUUUCGCCGGCCGCAUCGGCACCAACCCAAGCUCAGGCCUCCCCGAGCUGCUCUGCCAGAACCAGGGCGCAGAGCUGGUCGUGGGAGAGGUCCGCGUCGCUCUGGGGAGCCUGGACUACGGCCUGGCGGACAAGUCCCUGAAGAAGCUGAUGCUCCCGUACGCGGAGGACGUCACCUUCUCGGUGCAGCUGCUAUCCUUCGCCUGCGGCAGCUUCUCCGUGCUGUGGGCAACCAACCACCUCGUCGGCGACGGCCAUGACAACAUCAGGUUCCUGCGGAUGUGGUCUGAGCUCGCACGAACGGGCAAAAUCGUCGCCGACGGCGGGGACGGAAAGCUAAGCCACGACCGCUCGGUGUUCCGCCCUCGCAACCCGCCGUCAUACAGAGCCUCGCUCGCCACCGACCUAACGACGUUCGACCCGCGCCGGCUGGUAAACGUCCUGACGGCCCACGACAGCUUCGUCGACCGCCUCUACUACAUCGACGCGGCCGACAUCGCCAGGCUGCGCGAGAUGGCGAGCACCAAGCUGCAGCGCUCGUCACGCGUCCAGGCCGUGUCCGCGUACCUGUGGAAGGUCCUCGCCGGCGUGGUUGCCGCUUCCCGCGUGCCCGAGGAGCGCUGCCGCAUGGGGUGGUGGGUGAGCGCGCGCCGUCGUCUCACGUCGCCUGACCUCGCCUCUGCGAUGCGCAACUACUUCGGCAACGUCACGACCUAUGCCUACGGGGACGCGACGCUGGAGGAGAUCCAGCGCAAGUCGCUCGCGGAGGUGGCGGCCAUGGCGCGGGAGCCGGUCGCCUCCGUCAACUACGACGAGUACAUCCAGGAUCUGGUGGACUUCGUGGAGGUGCACAAGGGACAAGGGCUGAUGGAGACGGCCGUCGUCGGGCUGGGCAGCCCGACCCUAAGCCAGUCCGUGUUCGACUCAUUCCCACUCGACACCGACUUCGGCUUCGGCCAAGCUGCUCUCGCCAUGCCCAUCUCCGACUUCGCCAACCUCUGCUCAGCCUACCUGUCCAUCAGCGCGCGGCCGGCAGGCGACGGCUCCUGGCUCGUCAGUGCCUACAUAUGGCCGCGUCUCGCCGCCGCCCUCGAGGCCGAUGAGCAGCACAUCUUCAAGCCUCUCACGGCGGACUACCUUGGCCUCACAGCCUGCUAGACAACACCCACGCUAUUCUGUGUGUUCUUUUAGCCAACAAUAAAAUUCCUUGGUGUUUUGCUCUUCUUCCAACAAUAAAAUCCUUGUGUUGUGUUGUGUGGUGCUAUGUACUUUGGUUUUUUUCUUCAUCCAACAAUAAAGUUAGGAAGCGUUACUUUUUGAAAAAUAGCACACCUUAUAUAUACAUUUACUUUGAAAGUUAGAGAGGAUUUACUUUGAAAGUCACAGGUUUGCCAAGCACCUGAGGAAAAACACUCGGCAAAGCCAGCCCUUGGUUUCCGUCAGCCAAUAAAAGAUAGAUCACACGCGUGGCCGCCUGCUUAGCUAUAACCAAGGGCUCGCCGCCGCCAUACCCCCUUCACCUCCCCGCUGCCCCCAUCGGCCUCCUAAUUCCGACCACAGCCGCCUCUAUCCCCCACUAGCCGUCCAACUUUCUCCUCUUCAUAGAUCUAAAACUAGGAAUGGGUUGGAGGGCUCAAUGAACUAGAUCUACUAUAUAGUCAUCUUUGAGCUCAGCUAUUGGGCAUCAUUGCUAGUUGCAAGCUCCCAAUUGGUCACAUCACUGCUAUUCAUAUACCAGCGGGAUCAAAUUGGCCUCUACACGAGUAAGUUGGUCCCUACGGUGAAGUACAGCAGUGGGCCCAUAUUGGCACCCACCACUGAUAGGUGGCAAAGUAAAAUUGGCAUGUGAAAAGAAUUGCCAUGUACUGAUAAGAAUUUACCAGUGCGGUCCCACUUUGCACACACCACUGGGAAAAAAAUGAGACCAACCCAAGGGAUAACCCUCGUUGGCAUUUUCUUUAUAGGAGAAACUUCGCGAGCACCACACGUCCAAGCCGAAGCUCGAACUCGCGUGGGCUGGCAGCUACCCCAGCUACCGAGCCGACGGGUCGACGCCCCGUCCUCGCACACACCUAUGUGAUUUGGCUAUAUUAUGAGUUGGUGGGCCAUUAGUGUUUUAUGCAUAUUCCAAAAAAUCACAUUGUUUUACCAAUAUUCUGCGGCAGAAGCUUAUCCUCAAAGUGCACAUAUCCCAUAUUUACGAAAAAUACUCGUUUAUUCGUUUUUCUGCAGACCGCUCGGCGUUAAGGUUGGUUUACAGCCGAGCAAGCCGACUGCUCGGCGGGAUGAAGAUGAAAAGGCAGUGGGCUAAGCCGCGUGUGUUUUAUCAACUACAUGGGCUACAUUUAGGUAUUUCAAAACCAAAGGGCAAUAUAUAAGCCGAGUAAGGCGUUAGAGGACACUCGGCCAAUACCAAGACGUCGUCAUGGAGCCGUCAAGCACGUGGCAAUAGAAACACUGCAGUUGCUUGCGUGAGCCACACGUGUAUGCCGUGGUUUUUCUACAUAAUAUAUCGUGUUCUUUCUGUAGGCCAUGCGUCUUUUUACGUUGUAUUCGGUUUACAUGGAGCUAAGUUGAGGGACCUGCAAAUGCCGUGUGUUUUCAAGAUGGUACUCGGCUUAGGGUCUCUUUGAUUCAAAGGAUUUUGAUAGGAUCUUUGAAGGAUUAAAAUCCUGAGGAAGUUUUCCUAUGUUGGUCGUUUGAUUUGUAGGAUUGAAUCAUGUAGGAUUUUUUUCUAAAGAUGUAUUUGUACUACAUUUUACAGGAAUUCUAACAUCCACUCCAACCUUUUGGAAGAAAUCCUUUGUUUUCUCCAUGACACAAUCAAACAAACUCAAAUCCUAUAGGAAUCCAAUGGACAUGUCAUUCCAAUCCUACGUUUUUCCUAUGGAAAACUAUUAAAAUCAUCCGACUUAUUUUUCACGAACGUAAACCGUCUUUGACGGACGCCACGUGUCCCUGCUGGUCGCUCACUCCUUAUCCUUAUCUUUUCUCCAGAAGAAGCGUGAGCCACUCAUUCCUUUUCCUCCUUUUUCUUCUUCCUUCGAGCAAACAUGCUUUCCCAGGGACGGCUCUCUCCAGCAAUCCCAGUCGCCGCUCACUUCGUGUUGAUGUAGGGCUAGGCUGAGAGGAUGCUCCUUCCAUGGCCGGCGGCGGAGCUGCGUUUGGUGAUGCGCGACGAUGUUGCGGCCACGUUGACGGCAAAGCUGCGUUGGAGCAGAAGGUGCUACGAGCUGCUGCCAUGACCGGCGGCGCUACUGCACAGCAACGGCGAAGCUGCGUUUCAGCAGCAAACAGCUAUGAGCUGCUGCCAUGGCGGGCAGCAGAGCUACAUGGCAGCAUGCAGCAGGCGAUGCGUCAAUGAAACUUGGCCGGAGCUCCAUUGAAGCUUCGCCGGUGCGUCAAUGAAACUUCGCCGGAGCUCCAUUGAAGCUUCGCCGGUGCGUCAAUGAAGCUUGGCCGUAGCUCCAUUGGAGCUUCGCCGGGGCGUCAAUGAAACUUCGCCGGAGCUCCAUUGAAGCUUCGCCAGUGCGUCAAUGAAGCUUCGACGGGGUGGCUCGGUGUUGCUAUGGAGCAGCACCCGGUGGCUCUCGGUGUUGUGAUGCAGCGGUCGCCGGUGGCUCCGGGGACGCGAGGUCGCCGAGGCAGGGUGACAGGGGAGGGUCUGCGUUGCUCUGCAUCAGGAGGAGUUGUUGUGCGCUGCUCUGUAUCAGAUGGCUGGGGAUUAGUGGAGAAAGGCCCAGGUUGUGUCGCGGCGAUCGAACGACCAUCUGUGCGGACCGAACGGCUGGCUGGGCGGAUGAUAUCUCUAGGAAAUCAUCCGCCUGAUUUGUAGCAGCCGCCUCCUAUUCCUGUGUUUUUGCAAUUCUAUGAAUCUGUCUAAGACGAGUAUCCGAGAAAAUACACCCGGCUUACCAAAAAGCACUAAGCAACAUGUCUUUUUCUCGUAGUGGCCUUUUAAGGUUUUUAUUUUACUUCAUAUAGGGCUCAAAGAGCCAACCUCGCCACCAACAUCGCCUACCAAACUUUGCCCAAGACGUCAUGUCCAUGAUCACAGACCAGUCAGGUUUAAACAUGUUUUCAUCUCUAUGAAAUUCACACAAAAAUUCCAAAUUGACUAGGUGUUUAAACUUAUGUUUCGACAAAGACUCAGACACCUGGACAUUUGAAAAUAGGACAAACGUCGACGCUCACAUGGACGCACCUAGACUCACAUCUAUGAACUUAUACACUAUCUCACUAAAUAGCAUAAAACUACUACAAUUCGGACUAGAGUUUCAAAAAACUACUAAAUAUAUUUUUCCGCUCAUAACUACUAAAUCAGGGGUCGGCUGUUUCAAAAAACCCAAAUCAUCGAGUCUUUAGUAAUUGAUCACGAUUAUGACAGUUGGGGCCAAGCGUAAGAUAACCGUUUGUUUGACCGUUUAGUUUGAAUGUUAACUUACAUGUGGGUCCCACAUGUUAGUUUUUUUAAAAGCAAUCAGGUCCCUGUAAGUUUUCUAAAAUAGCAACCGGGUACAUGUGAGUUUUCUAUAAGGUCCCUAAAAGUUUUUGCAAAAAGCAAUAUAAUCAGGUCUCCAGAGGAGCCGCGCCCGCGGCAGCCUGCUCGAUCCCGAGCGCUCUGCCCGAACCACGACGCUGCCUCCAUCGGCCGGCCAGCCGCGCCCGCAACGGCCGAAUCCACGCCGUGCCUCGCCUGCCACCAUGGCGUGACUCGCAUGCCGCCAUGUCAUGCCUCGCUGGCGGCCGCUGCCACGCCGUGCCUCACCUGUGGCUGCCGCCAUCCCCUGCCGCGAGCUCCUCAAGCUAGACGUGGACGGCCUGCGCCGCUGCUGGAGUGCGCACCUCCCAUUGCCGCGGACGAGGUCGCUGUCUGCUAUGCCUCCUCGAAGCCACCGUCACCACCAGGAGCUACGGUGAGCACCUACCACGACCAUGGGGAGGGUGGGAAGGAGAGGGAGGGUCGCCGCCAGCCAGGCCCGGCCCGGAUGGAGGGGUAGGGGGCGGCCGCCCCAGGCCCCCGAAAUUGAGGGGACCCCACGUUCGUGUGCUCUCUGUAUCCAGCCCAUGUGCUCUCUGUAUCCAGCUGAUGAGAAAAAAUGAUUCUGGGCUACUUUUGAUGAAACAGACCUGUACAUGUAGUGGAACUUGUGUUUCCCUCGCGUAGGUCCGCGGAUGACGACAUGAGCGAUCAACCUAGCGAUAUAUCCUACAAGCCCGAGGGAAACCCCGCCGCCGACACAGCCUCCUCCCGUGGAGGCCUCCCCCGAUGAUUUCUCGUCCAAUGGCGGAUCGAGUAAUUUCAUGUUCAUCGCCCUGGACAGGAGUAACAACACCACCGGCCCUGGCAGGCAGUUUUAAACUACAGAGGUCAGGUUAGCAUCUUCCUGAUGCAUCAUCCAACGGAGCUAGCUAGAUUGAUAUGUGACUAGUUGGUGGCAGAAUUAUUAGAUCUAGUGUAUUAGCGGAGAGGAGUAGGACGUAGUUGUCCUUCUGACUAAUUUUUUUAAUGCAAUCCUUCCGAUUAAUUAAUCUGGUCGUGUUGGAGAUCGAUGAAAGAUGAGGGGAGAGGAUGUCUAGAAUCCAUGGGAUAAUGAUAAUUGGCAAGCUGAAAUUAAUUGGAGGAUUCAUGGUCGAUUCAAUAUGAUUAGGUGGCAAAAUUAAUUUUUAGUAGCUAAAAAAAUUAACUUUUAGUGUUGCAAACUAUGAAGCUAUUCUACCUGCAUGCCACCAAGAGCAGUUCAAAUUACUUUUUGUUUGCCAAACUAUGAAAUAUACAAUGCAUGAAACUUCCCUAUCAAAAUCUUAGCAAAAGUGAGAAAUAAUAAUUAUAAUAAUGUAUAAUUAGAACCCGGAACUAGGUCGACCAGCUGGUUUUGCACGCCAUGAUAAAAAAAUUAACAACAAUUCAUGUUUAAAAUUUAUCUAGACAUGCACAUAAUGAUUAUAAUUUUGGAUAUAUAAAGGGCCUCCGAUUGUAUUUUUGCCCCGGGCCCCUGAAAUCUCAGGACCGGCCGUGCCGCUAGCUUGGGAUGGGAGGGGACGGUCGUCGGCUUGGGAGCGGAGGGGAGGGUCGCCGGCUUGGGAGGGGAGAUGGCCUGCUCGGGAGACACCAGAAGAGAGACGAGAAGAGACAAAGAGGAAGAAGAAAGAGAAUAGCAAGAGGAAACUUACAUGUAGGCCCCACAUGUAAGUUAACGGCCAAACUAAGGUCAAACUGACAGUUUGUUUAGGUGCGGGCCCAACCUGUCGUGACCGUGAUCAACCGAUAAGGACUCGGGGAUUUGGGUUUUUUGAAACAGCCGACCCCCCGGCUUGGUAGUUAUCAGCAAAAAGAAUUUGGUAGUGUUUUGUAACCCUAACGUGAAUUGUAGUAGUUUUAUGCUAUUUACUCAAACGAUCUCUAUGAGCAUUUUCAAGAUACUGAACCGGCACAUCAUUUUGAGAUUGGUGAACACCACAGACGUCUUCAUAGUUGACAGAAACGUCUCCUCCCAAUGAACGAACAUCGCAAAAGCCUGAAAUAAAUCCCAAAAACUGUCAGCACCAUUACCAAGUUUAAAACUUGAACCCUGAUAGGGUUGGUUCCACCACAAGAAAUCUAACUAUUUGAGCCAUGCACAUCUCAUAGUUUUCCCUGUGGCCAUGGAGGGUGCCACAUAUGUAACCCAUUAAUAUGGGAACCCAUACCUGUAAGCUUGUCAGCAUUUAUAGGCUAUAUAUGCUAAUCAAUUAUAAAAAAAACUGGGAUAACAAGUUUGAACUACACCCAUUAUUCCUCCGCCUAUAUAUUGUCGUGCAUGCAUGCCAGUGCCAUAUACGGAAACAAACCGACCGAGAAGGCCCUUAAUUAACAGCUAGCUAGCUCUCUUGGUCGAAUAUGGUAACUGCUAAUGCUAUUGGCUCCGGCGACCUGAGCAUCCGUGUCCUGAGUCGCCGCCUUGUCAAGGCCUCCGACCCAUCUACCAAGCCGCACGUAGCCGCCUUCUCGAACCUCGACCUCUACCCUGGCAACGAGCAGGCCUCGAUAGUAUGCCUCUACCCCAAGCUCCCAAACGCCGGUGACUUCCCGGCGGUUGUAGCCACCUUCGACUCCAUCCUCCCGUCGUUGCUCAACGACUUCUACCAUUUCGCCGGGCGCAUCCGCACCAACCCAAGCUCCGGCCUCCCCGAGCUGCUCUGCGACAACCAAGGCGCAGAGCUGGUGGUCGGCGAGGCCGGUGUCGCCAUGGCCAGCCUGGACUACGGCCUGGCGGAGCAGUCGUUGAAGAAGAUAAUGCUUCCGUACGCCGAGGACGUCACGCUCUCGGUUCAGCUGCUCUCCUUCGCCUGUGGCGGCUUCUCCGUCGUGUGGGCGACCAACAACCUUGUGUGUGACGGCCAAGCCUUCACCAUGUUCGUCAGGAGGUGGUCCGAGCUCGCCCGAACUGGGCGCAUCGUCGACGGACCGCCCAACCAUGACCGCUCGGUGUUCAGCCCUCGCAGGCCGCCGUCGUACGGAGCCUCGAUCAGGGACAUGUUCGCGACGUACGACCAUGACCGGCUGGUGAACGUGCUGACGGCGCACGACAGCUUCGUCGAGCGCCUCUACUACAUCGAGGCGAGCGACAUCGCUGCCCUGCGGGAGGCGGCAAGCAGCAAGCUCCAGCGCCCGUCGCGCGUCCAGGCGGUGUCCGCGUACCUGUGGAAGGCCCUCGCCCGCGUGGUGGCCGCGUCCCGCGUGCCGGAGGAGCGCUGCUGCAUGGGGUGGAUGGUGGACGCGCGGCGGCGGGUGAAGGCGCCGGAGCUCGUCCGGGCGAUGGGCAACUACUUCGGCAACGUUACGGCCUACGCUCUCGGGGAGGCAGCCGUUGAGGAGAUACAGGAGAAGGAGCUGUCGGAGGUGGCGGCCAUGGUGCGGGAGACCAUCACGUCUAUCGACUACGAUGAGUACACCCAGGAGCUGGUGGACUGGGUGGAGGAGCACAAGACAGAGAGGCUGAUGGAGAAGGGCGUCAUCGGGCUCGGUACGCCCACCUUGAACCAGACGGUGUUCGCGUCGUUCCCGCUCGACACCGACUUCGGCUUCGGCCAUGCCGUGCUGGCAAUGCCCAUGUGCGACUACGGGAGGCUCAGCUCGGGGUACCUGUCGAUCGGAGCUCGGCCGGGAGGCGACGGCUCCUGGCUGGUCAACGCCUACAUAUGGCCUCGCCUCGCGGCGGCGCUUGAGUCGGACCAGCAGCGCAUCUUCAAGCCUCUCACGGCGGAGUAUCUAGGGCUCGUCUAGGCGUACCACUCUGCUGUCUGCCCGGUUUCUUCUUCAAUAAGUCUUUGCUUCGUCUUUUGAGGCAUGAAAGCAGCUCGUGCUUGUUUUACUUCCACCUAUUUUGCAAUACCCCAAAUAAAGCCCUUCUGUGUGGAGGGUAGUUUGUUUGAUCAAUAAAUGUUUGAGUCGUUCAUAAGGUUUCCUUGAUUAGUAUACAAAUCAGUUGAUGACUACGUUUCACAACUCAUGUGCAUGGAGAUGCUAAACCGAUAGUAUGGACUCGGGGAUGGAGACCACGCAGUCGGACAUACCAACUCUGAGACGCAGCGAGAUGUUGUCAUAUGUUAGUGUCAAGCACAAUGUUUAUGCCAUGUCCUAGACCUAAGGUCCUCGCAUGUUCUCGGGAUGAGUAUCGACUCACUUAAGGUCUAUCAAACGCUACUCCAUAACUGGCUAGAUAUAAAUGUAGCUUUUGGGUGGGUGGUGAGAUAUGCCGCGAGACAUGGCCGACCAAGAUGGGAUUUACCCCUCCUAUUUGAAGAGAUAUUUUCUGGACCCUCUCGAGGGAUCGGAUUCGGAAAGCAUGACCAUGCGACUUGGUUAAGUGUUAACCCAGUGCGGGAAUCUAUAUCACGGUGUCAAGAAGAGAGGUCGAGCUACCACAAGGGUGACAAGUACUCACCUUGAGCUUGACAACAUAUAUCGUGAGGCAAAAGGAAUGUUGCAGAUGAUACAUUGUCGAGGUUCUUCGAACGACUUUACACGCACAUGAGAGUUGGCACGUUCAGCGAGGAGCUGCUACCAACUAUCGACUCUGGUCGUGUCCAUGUGUACGUAAACCUAUAGGGUCGCACACUUAAGGGGCUGCAGGCCAUUCGGAUUGGAUUCGAGUGGAAAUGGUUUUACUCCUAGUGGGCCUCAAGUAUUGAGCCUAUCUCGGAGGUCUAUAUAUAGGGGAGUGGCCGCACAACUGAGGUUGAUCUUUUUCCACCAUGGACAGCCUCCAUCGCAACUCCCCACGCCCAUCCCGCGCGACCUAACCUAGAUGCCUACCGCCCGACGCUGCUCCCCGUACGUGUGGAUACCUUGCAGGCAUCGCAUCCGUGGUGCUUGGAUGAACUGUUCGAGGGAACCGCGAGGUGCCGUUCGCGGGAGAUCAACGUUCACAGGUCUUUGUUGUUCGCGGGAGAUCGACGACGCGAGGAGGAGACGCCUCGGGAGAUCGUCUACAUGCAUCUCCAACUCUAUUUUCUGCUGCGGUUACUGCGCGUCUAGUGGUAAACUCGAUCUCAUGAUCUAUUUCCAGCAACUUGAUCUUGGGUGCGUGGUAGAAUUUUUUUUAUUUGGCUCUAGCUUAGCAUACCGCGUGUUUCUACAGUCGUAUCAGAGCCUAUGCUACGUGGUAUUAGAUUCAAGGUAGAAUUUUCAAAUGAUGAUAUGUAGAUUGCUUUAUGUACUGGCCGAUGAGAUCGGUUGUCAAUAUGAUUGACUAUACAUGGUGUCAGGCAUUCGAAAUUGUGAUCUAAUUUUCCGUGAUGAUGUUGUGGAGGUCGUGGCACAAAUUACCUAUACCGGUCGGUUUCGGCCAUCGGGUAAGACAGUGGAACGUAAAGUCGGUCACAACACGCGAAGACCAAUGAGAUUGGUUGAAUCAGAUAGAUGGUCAAAAUAGGAUAAAUAUGAUUUGCCGGUGAAAAUUCCCAUGCAAAAAUGCAUAGAUAUUGCAAGGGCGCUGCCAGUUGACCCCACAGGGGGCAAAGCCCCAUCGACCCCCAUCCUGUUAAUCUCUUAGGGCGGUGGAUAACUUGUUUUUGCAGGUAAUGCUUGUGAUUUGGUACAACCCGGGUAUGUUGCAUGUACGUAAUUAUAUCAUGACCUGCGUGUCGAGAGUACAAUAACUGGUUGGAGCCAUAUGGUUGUCCCAUUAUUGUAUUAAUGACCUUCAUGUCAACAUGAGAAGCAUUGUAUUGUUAUUUACUUUCAAUAGCUAUUAGUUUGUAAUAGCGUAGUAUCUUAUGUAACACUUGGCGGUUGACACCAUGGCGUGGAGAUGAAGAUCUCCACGAGGACAACCAUGCAUGGAGAUGGAGAUCACCAUGGGCAGGCCGUGCAGGUGGAGACGAAGAUCACCAUGCGAUAUCAAAAGGGGCUAAACCAUAUCACACAUAUAAACUGCCUGUGAAAGUUUAUCUCUGUUAUGCACCCUUCUUUUGCAUGGUAGACGUUUCAAGUAGGGUGAUCCCUCAAAGAAUGUCAAGUAAAAAUGCCUCUCCAAAUGUUGCACCAUCACACAUCAAGUAUACUUAGUGGUGGGAUUAUAAAAUUAAGGUGCCAUUUGGUGUCCUUGAAGUGAUGGGUUCGGUUCGGACACUUACAUGCAUAGCAUUGGUUAUCUUGUCGUGGCUAUCAAAACAGUUUUGGGCCUCGAGGCGUAGGAGUUGGUGCGACAUGAGAUGUCCCCAACAACAAGAGUCGUAUGGAGACACGAUUAGCAAGAAAUACUUAUGGAGUGAUCUCGUCUUCUAGCAGUGAUGCAAAUGCUCACUAGUUAACAUGUUGAUCUUGGAUCUUGAAUCACUAAGUAUCAUCUGAGGGAUGUUGAUUUUAUUUGGAGUGAUGAUCUUAUUAAAAUGUUUAAUAUGAAUUACUCUUCAUGAAUACAUGUCUUAGUGUUUUGCAUCUUUCUGUUGGAGAUCAGAGGCACCACCUGCUCAAGUUACUCCUUUUGCGCUGAAAACAAUCCUAGAAAAAGAUAAAUGGAAUGGGACAAACUUUACGACCUGGUAUAGAAAUCUGGGAAUUGUUCUUAGGCAUGAGAAAAAGGACCAAGUUCUAGAAAAUCCGCUUCCAGAUGUACCUGCCAAGAAUGCUAAUGCCACAACCAGGAGUGCCUACCAGAAACCCAUUGAUGAAUAAAAUGAGAUCAUCUAUCUCAUGCCGGCUUCAAUGGAGCCCGAUCUACAGCAGCAGUUCGAAAACAUUAAGGCUUUCGAUAUGAUCGAGAACCUCAAAAGCAUGUUUCUGAUGUAGGCUAGGACCGAAAGGUUCAACGUCUGGCUAUCCUUGAUGGAUUGUAAGUUGAAUGAAAGUGAUCAAGAUGACUAGGUACAUGCAAGCUUUGGAUUGGUUGGGCUUCCCACUUGGGAACGUUCAACUCGAACUACCAUAUGCAUGGGAUGGAAAAGAAGCUCACUGAAUUGCAUGGGAUGCUCAAGGUGGCAGAGCAGGAUAUAAAGAAAGUUACGCAUCGUCAAGUGUUGAUGGUGCAGAACUGGGCUAAGUUCAAGAAGAGAUGUUCCAAGAAAAAGCAUAAGGCAAACGGCCAGGAGGAGAAGGCAACUCCAACUUCUGCCGUUGCGCCUAAGUCAGGGCCAGCCGGGGACCGUUUUCUUUCACUGUAAGGAACACGGCCACUAGAAAAUGAACUGCAACAAGUGGCUUGUCGAGAAGGGCAAGAAGACUGGAAGUGUCACUUCUUCAAGUACACUUAUUGUAUAUGUUAUAGACAUUUAUCUUGCUGAUGUUUCUAGUAGCUCUUAGGUAUAUGUUACCGGAUCGGAUGUUCACAUAUGCAUCUCGAUGCAGAGUCUAAGAAGAACUAGGAAUGUUGGAAGAGAAGUUGACAUACACAUCGUGAAUAAAGCAAGAGUUGAUGCAUUGGCCGUCAGCACUAUGCAACUUAAUUUACCUUCAGGAUUUGGAAUGGAACUUGAUAAUUGUAAUUAUGUUCCUGCUUUGAGUCAAAACAUUAUUUCUGCCUCAUGUUUGAUGAUACAAGUUUAUGAAAUAAGUAUUAAGGACAAUGGUUGUUCUAUGUACUUGAAUAAAAUGUUUCAUGGCUUUCCACCUAUUGUGAACGGGUUAUUAAUCCUAGAUCUUGAAGGUGAGCCAGUCUAUAACAUAAAUGUCAAGAGGCAUAAGCCUAACGAAAUAAACCCGACUUACAUCUGGCAUUGUCGACUAGUACACAUUAGUAAAAGUGCAUGAGGAAGCUCAAUGAUGAUGGAAUUCUAACUUCAUUUGAUUUUGAAUCAUUCGAGACAUGUGAGUGUUGCCUUCUUGGCAAGAUGACUCAGACUCCUUUUGCAAGGAGUUGCGAAAGGACGUCCGAGUUAUCGAAACUCAUCAUAGUGAUGUAUGUGGACCAAUGAGCACGACAGCAGGUGGUUUCCAAUAUUUCGUGACGUUUACAGAAAACUUGAGUAGAUUUGGAUAUGUCUACUUGAUGAGGCACAAGUUAGAAACUUUUGGAAAGUUCAAGGAGUUUGAGAGCGAAGUGGAGAAUCAACUCGGCAAGAGAAUCAAACUUCUACGAUCUGAUCGUGGCGGUGAGUAUAUGAGCCAGGAGUUUGAUGAUUAUCUAAAGAGUCGUGGAAUAGUUCCACAACUGUAUCCUCGGGGUAUGCCACAGAGAAAUGGCGUGUUGGAACGAAGGAAUCGGACUCUGUUAGACAUGGUCCAAUCAAUGACGAGUCGGUCGGAUUUACCUUUGUUAUUUUGGCGAUACGCUCUAGAAACUGCGUAUUUCACACUAAAUAGGGUACCAUCCAAGUUUGUAGAUAAGACGGCAUAUGAGAUAUGGACUGCGAAGAGUCACAGUUUGUCUUCUCUAAAAAUUUGGGGUUGUGAAGCAUACGUCAAGCGACUCCAGUCAGACAAGCGCACACCCAAGUCGGACAAGUGCAUAUUCGUGGGGUAUCCAAGGGAAACCUUGGGAUCUUACUCCUACAUCCGUGAAGACUGCAAAGCGUUUGUCGCUCGACAUGGAGUUUUCCUUGAGAAAGAGUUUCUCAAUCAGAAGGCUAGUGGGAGGAUGAUACGACUCGAGGAAAUUCGAGAACCACAUGGAGUUAGUCAGGGAACCCAUGGUGGAGUCGACGCCAAUUCCACGGAGGUCAGAAAGGUUGCGCAAUAUGCAUGACUGCAAUGUGUUGUUCUUGGAGAACAACGAGCCGGCAACGUAUGCGGAAGCCAUAGAGAGCCCUGAUUCCGAGUUAUUGCUUGAGGCCAUGAGAUCCGGAUUAAAGUCCAUGGAUGGCAAUCAAGCUUGGAACUUGGUUGAUCUGCCAGAUGGCGCUCGAGGCAUUGAGUGCAAACUGGUAGUGAUGCCUAAAUAAAUUAGGACCAUUCUUGCUAUAUCUGCAUAUUUCGACUAUGUUACUAUUAUGUUCUUCAACAGAAGGUCCCAAAUGUUGUUGUGCCUCUGCUGAUGGACGCCGAAAGUGAGAUGACAAUUGUUUGCCCUUUGAAGAUCAGAUUCAAAUAUACAUACUCGACCGAGCGUUAAUCAAAUGGAUGCCUCAAAAUUGAGUGAUGGAGGCAAAUAGUCAAUGAGCUCGGGCCACAAAUUGGAGACCGGGGAUCUCUGUGGUCCAUCAUGGAGAUGUAGUUUUUUUUCUCUGUUUUAUUCUAUUUUACCUAAGACACUGGAGUAGGUCAUAGUACUUGUCAUGUGCUUGAAAGUUACUUACCUAGGAUGAUGACAAUUAGUUAGUAGUGGUUAACUUAUGAUGAUGAUGAUGGUGAUGAUGGUGAUGAUGAUGAUGAUGAGACAUUUUUAUAUAAUUAUGAUCAUGAUGAGCUGUUAUAUCACUACGAUGAUGAUGAGUUAUAUCAUUUUGAUAAUGAUGAGUUGUUACAUGAUGAUGAUGAUGAUGAUGAUGAUGAUGAUGAUGAUGAUGAUGAUGAGUUGUUAUAUAGUUGCUUGUGUAUAAAAAUCUGUAUAAUUAUUGUAUAAAUAUAGUAUAAUAUGUAGAAAGGAAAUACAUAGAGUUAGUAGUGGCGGGGGGCCUCGCGCUAUAGCUAGUUAUUAGUAGCACGGGCCAAACACCGCGCUGCUCCUAAUGUAAGUAGUAUUAGAGCCGAGCCUGGCCCGUCUUACUAGGAACCAGUUAGCUACACGCUGAUGAGUUGUUAUAUGAUGAUGAUGAUGAUGAUGAGUUUUUAUAUAGUUGCUAAUGUAAGUAGCGAGGCAACCCGCACUACUCCUAUGCCUUUAAACCGCGCCACUACUAGCCUUAUCCCUUGUAGUGACGGGCAGAUGGAGCGAUGAAAUGCGCAUGUCCUCAAUGGGCUCCAAACGAGAACAUUCGCCUAACUCAAGAAGUGUGGCCGGUGAUGGAUCGAUGAGCUUCCCUAUGUUCUAUUUAGUGUAGAUAUCACUCUUAAUUAACUUGUUUUUCUGCGGAUAGUAACUAACGCUUUGAGCCUUUGUGGUUUAUCUCACAAUUUUUGUCUUCACAACUGGAGUAGGCCACAAUGUUGAGAUGCAAAAAAAGGUCCAUAAACUAAUUAAAUGGAAUAUCAUUUAGAUACGACACUUAUAAGAUACACUAAAUAUUAAGAGACGUGUUGAGUAUAUAAUGAAUAGGGGUCAUUGUCUCUAAAUAGUUUUCACUAAAUAGGAUGAUGUGUUAAGAGACACUGCGUUGUGAGUUCCCUUUCGCUAAAUUAAUUUGCCCUGGUUCGAUUGCAGAGAUGUGUGCGGAGUUUCUUGGGGGAGUUUGGCAGCCAAUCGAUGAUAACUAGUUCUAGGACGCUACUAGGUCAGAUUCAAAACUGAACAUAUGGCUUGGUCCAAGAGUUUCGGCUCUCACAACCUGAAAAUCUGCAGCUUUCACACUAAAUAUUAAGAGAUUCGAAACUGAACAUAUCUGUCAUUGGUUUGAUGCUGUGGGUCCGUUUCAUUAUCUUUUUUUUUAUCAGGUAGUUGGACGGCCACACCAUGCCCUGAAAAUCUGUCUAGAUCUUGAUCGGGAGGCAUAAGAUUUCUUAUUCUGACAACCCUGAAACUGUUUGCCAUGCAUGCAUUAUCCUUCGCAAAGCGAAUUAAGUUGCCCCUAGACAAGGGCGGAUGGAGUAUAGUUCACUGUAGCUUCAUGAUUCUUUUGUCAGCUUAUUUUUUAGAGCUGCGGCUAUCAUAUUUACACCUGCUGUUAUAUCUGUUUCCAGAACCAUGUGUCAGCAGCUUCUGUUAUCAUAGCCAAUAAAACUAUCACGAAGCUACAGUGUGAGCAAUGAAGACGUUAUAUAAACAGGGAUAAAAUAUAUUGUGCUAAACUGCUCUAUCCAAAACCAUGUGUCUGCUCCUCUUGUUUGUUUCUUUACUAUUUUUCAUAUUGUGGAUGAUCAUGACGAUACAUACUAAAGAGUUUUGCAUAGCAUAUGUAAUUUCAUGCAUACAGACAAUGUUUUUUUAUUGGUGUAUUAUUUCACUCUGUUAAGACAAAAUUAUAUUUUGGAAUAUUGAAAUAAUAAUAUUAGGUAAAUCAUACAUGUGCACUAUGAAGCUAACUUUGUGCAAGAGAAAUGAGUAAAAUUAAGGACAAGAUUUAUACCUAUGCAAUACAAAAAAAAACUAUCUGCAGCAGUAAAUUCAUGUAGCUGGCAACAUUACUGGUACAAAUUAGAUCUAAUUAUAGUGCAUACAUGUACCUUUUUUAGAAAACAAAUCUUGAAACUUCGAUAGAAAAUUUUACGAUUUAUGAAAUUUGAAUGGGAAAACUAAACCAAAACCAAAAGGCCGGGAGUUAAAUGUGAGUGAAAAUAAAUGUCAGGAGGUAUUUGUCAGUGAAAAUAAAUAUGAGUGACACUUCUCCAUGCAAAAAUGUUAGUGAAAAAACUUGAAUUUUCACUGUAAAAACAACCCCAAAAUAAAGGAGGAAGCAGAACCAUCGAAAUGUUUAUGAAACGAACAACCACCAACAUAAGAGAGAAGUCACCAUACUCAUUAAGACGCCCAUGUUCAUCUGAGUAGUUAAGCCACUGCAUAGCAAUUAAUAGAAAGAAAACUGCAUAGAAAUUAAUUUUGAUGGGCUCGUGGAUCACGGCAGAAGCAUGCAUGAAUGCAUAUGUCUAUCGUUGCAGGUCAUUCAUGAGAGCAAUGCAUUCAUAUCUAUCUUUGCACGGAUGGAAAAAUUAGUCUGGCGCCAUAUAUCUUCUAUUUGUUAUACUACAGAAAGACAUAUUAAAAUAAAGUUGCCCCUAAACAAGGUGGAUGGACGACCACUCAUUUUGGCAGACUGUACUCGCACAAUUCGUUUUCCCAAUAAUAAUGUGAAUGGAGAGAGUAUAAUUCACACUGUCGCUUCAUGAUUCUUUUGUCAGCUUAUUUUUUAGAGCUGCCUUUUUUUUUGCGGGAAUAUUUUUUAGAGCUGUCAGCUAUUAUAUUUACCCCUACUGCCAUAACUAUUUCCAGAGCCAUGUGUCGGCAGCUUUUGUUAUCAUAGCCGACAAAACUAUAACGAAGCUACAGUGUGAGCCAGGAAGACGUUAUAUUUUCAGGGAUAACAUAUAUAUUGUGCCAAACUCCUCUAUCCAAAACUAUUUGCCGGCACCUCUUGUUUUGUUUAUUUACAAUUUUAAUAUUGUGGAUGAUCAUGACGAUACGAAGUAAAGAGUUUUGCAUAGCAUAUGUAAUUUCAUGCAGGCAGACAACACUUUUUUAUCAGUGUAUAAUUUUGCUCUGUAAAGACAAGAUUUUAUCUUGUGAUAUUGAAAACAUAGUGUUAGAUAAAUCAUAGAUGUGAUCUUUGUGGAUAAAUUUGUGCAAGAGAAUUGAAUAAAAUUAAGAACAAGUUGUAUACCUGUGCAAUAAAGAAAACUAUCUGCAGUAGUAAAUACAUGUAGGUGGCAACACUCACAUUUUGGUUAUUCCUGUAUAAACAUUGCUAGUGCAAAUUGGAUCCUAUAUAUUGUGCACACGGUGUUCCCGUCCUCGGAUGGUUUCCCCUUGUUCGGUCUUGCUCAUUCUCGUUGCUCACAAGCUCAUGCAAUUGAGAACCUGAGAUCUUCAAUCUGGCCAUCUGGGAUUUCCGGACUUCUCCUUCGAAGGAAAACAAGGACUGGCACAUAUGGCGCUCUUUGGACACCUUGACUAGAUAGGGGCCUGUCGUGUGCACCCGCAACAUCAGCAUAACCAGCUUUACCGGGGUAUCGUGCAGCUCUGUUUUUGUUGGCACCUUGGGACAUGUCUGCACCAAGAUUCCCAUGGGAUCAACACAUGUGGAGAAUGUCAUGGCGUGAUUGAAGGACUUGCAAGUGGCAAAGGCGGGGUCUUGGAUGCGAUGAAGACUUUGCUUCAUAGGCAGUUGUUUAGACAUGGCUUACGGGAUAUGUUCCCAUCCAGACGGGACGUGAAUUCCUGUGAGCCUAAUGGUGCGUGACUUGCAGUAGUAGCCUCCGCAAGUGGGGGUGGCGGCAUUGGAGGACUUCUUUGUUAUUCGGUGCUCCUCUGAGUACCCAAUCAGGAUUUCCAAGGUGAAAACCCAAGGUCUGGCCUUUAUUGGUUGUGCCUGGCAGUAGUCUUGUUGAAGGCAUUAUUGUUGGGAACCUCAUCUUUCUCCAGGGUGAAAACGUAAUAUCUUUGAUCAGGCAACGACAACGCUUGUGCUUUGUUUCCUUCCUGGAGGCAUUGCUUUUGGAGAACCUAUUUUGUAGUCCGGGUGCCAUCUUUGGUGGUGGUUAGAGUGCGGCUACUUCGGGUAUUGAUCACCGUGGUGGGAUAUUUUUUCUUCUCUUUUUAUUUUGAUUUUUAGUUGUGUGCAUCCUGGAUGUUUUUAGGCAUCUUGUUGUUGCAGAGUCUGGGAGUAAUUGGUAUCUGCUUGAUAUUAAUACAUUCUCCUUUACAAAAAAAAAUUACAUAUGCCUUUUCUAGAAUUUUUUUCCUAAAACUUCCAGGGAUGAUUCUAUCAUUUGUUUAAUUUUAAUGGAAAAAUUAAACCAAAACCAAAACGUCAGGAGGUAAAUGUGAGUGAAUAUUAAGGUCAAGAGGUAAAUGUGUUUGAAAUAAAUAUGAGUGACACUUCUCCAUGUGAAAUUGUUAGGGAGAAAACUAGACUUCUCUCUGUAAAAAUAACCCCAAAAUUAUGGAGGAAACAAAACCAUCCAAAUAAACAAUAUAUUGAGAAGUCUAUGAAACGAACAACCACCAAGAUAAAAGAGAAUUCGCCAUACUCAUCAAGACGCCCACAUGUCAAUAGCUCAGUCAGUCAACAUUAUAGCAAUUAAUUUUGAUAGGCUCAAGGAUCAUAGUAGAAGCAUGCAUGAAUCGUUGCAGGUCAUUGAUGAGAGCAAUGCAGAUCACUAUCUUUGCAUGGUCAGAAAAAUUAUUCUGGCGCCACCUAUCUUCUAUUUGUUAAACCAUAUGAAGGCGCAUAUCUCAUCACGAACGAUUAAUCAACAAUAUAUACUACACAAUGACACAUUAAAAUUAUUGCACAUGGGCGAGAUUGAUGGCUUUAUCCUUCAUAUGAUCCAAAUAAUCGUAUUUAUUGUUCACACUGUAACAACAUAAUGGUUUUGUUGGCUAUCUACCCCUGCUACCAUUCCUAUCUCUUGAGCAACAUGCUAGUAUCUUUUGUUUAGUUUAGCUAAAAAGAUUGGAAUGAGAGAUUUCCUUUUUUUGUGCAAUAACAUGAUAGUACAAACUACUGAACUUUACAUAUUUAGGUACUCAAUAAAAUACUGUUAAAGAUAGCUAUAGACAUUAGUCAUAUUAAUUCAACCAUAAGAGAUUAUCAUGUACCAUAUUAGCAUGAUUACUGGUCCUGUUCAAGAAUUCGUCCGAUUAACCAGUUAACUUGGAAAUUAAUCCCUACUUGUAAGGUCAUCGUGUAGCCAAUAAACUGAUAAAUCCUCCGUUUAAUUUCUUAACAGGACAAUUAACUUGCCGAUUACCCUAUUAAUCCCCUACUCCCUAGCCAACCAAGCAGCUACCAGUUAACAAUUUCCUCAACAAAUUUACUGGUAUGUUCCUGUUUAGAUGGUUCACCAAUACACUUCCAAAGUUAUUUUUGAGAAUGAUGCACCCUUUUUACAUUUUUUUGGUAUUAUUCCAUCAAUGCUGCACUACAUCAUAGCAUCUUCUUCUUUUUGGAAUGGCUAUGAAAGGACACGAUAGGUAUGUCUGGUGAACUUUUUGUGGAGAUACUUGGGCUCAUGUGUCUGAGAAUAAGAGGAUGUCCUCCCAUAGGAUUUACAUAUACCAACAACUAUUAACCAUGUCUCAAUGUGAGAUUGGAGACUAAAGAGUCUAGAUUUUAUAAGAUUAACCGGAAGUGUUGACUUCAACCGUGUAUUACUAAUCCACUGCAGUUGAAUUUUUGCAGUUGAAUUUUGCAUAUGGCUAAUUUAUUAAUCAACACCUAGGAGGAAUAGUUUGUAGGAGUUACCUAUAGCGUUGCCCUGGCAAAAGGAAAUGUGAUUGUUUAUCAAAAUUGUUUCUACUUAUAUUGUUUUAUCCCGUUACUACUGCAGCACUAAUUUUUAGUUAACUAAUGAAAGAAAGGCAUCAUAUUGUUUUAUCCCAUUGAUACCAGAGCACCAAUUUUUAGUUCAUUAAUUAUGUUGCUAUCUUCAAGUAUUUUUAAUCUGGAGGAAGUUCCACAAAACAAAAAUGUGAGAGUCAAAAAGGUGAGGGGAAAACGAGCUGAAUACCACCUUCUUUGUCCUGUCUUGCUUAAUCCACUUGAAGCCAGAUUACCACUUCGGCAGGGUAUGCUGAUGGAACUCGAACUAGGAACCUCAGUGACAUUUGUAGCCAUACAUUCAAAACACCUCCAGGCACAUGAUUUCAAAAGAUAUUUUUGAAGCAACAGGUCACCAAGCGUCUAAUUGAGUGUUGUAGACAUGACAAUGUCUAAAAUGGCGACUUUGAGGAAGCGUAAUGGAACAAACAUUGUGUCAUGCAUGUGCUCUCUACCACACCCUCGACAAAAAUCAAGAUCCCAGUCCAGUGGAAUGAGGAGGACUAGGAUAUGGACGACGAAGGGCCCAGCAACUAGAUAGAGACAACUUAGGAGUGAGCCAUAGGAAGAUCAUCUAGUGCACUGGGUGUGUGGAUUUGAGGGCCCACUUGUAAGAGAGUGCGUAUGCGUUUAAAAGGGGCAAGUGAAUCAGACAUGUGCCGUAACUUAUCGAUGAAAUAAUAAUUGUUUGAACUCUCACCUACUCUGUUCUGCAUCUCACCCUCUUCAUCUGUUCUUCAACUUCUUCUCAUCCCCUACUCCAUAUUAUCCUCUCCAAUAUGUGAUUCUUCCACCAACACUAGUUGGACAUCACAGUUUGACAAUGGAAAUCUUGGUAAAUUUUUCUCUUUGACAGCACUCGGAAACAAUUGAUGCAGGCGCAAAUCCAUGAUAUAAGGGAUAUUUUCUGUAGCAUUGUUUGAAAAUACAUCAGUUACGCAAGGGCCCUUUUGCUUCUUUACUUCUUGUUCUGUGUGCACUCUGAUGUUCGAAGGUGCAGUGAUGGUAGACAGAUAUUUAGUUGGAAGAAAAAUAGAUAAACUCAGAUUUCGUGUAACCCGGGCUCACUCUUUUCAGUGAAUAAAUUAUUGUCACAAAAAACCAGCCUUUUGCUUCUCUUGAUGACAUUAUUCUUAGAAGUAAGAAUGUGCAUUUCUGCAGCCCAUGCUCAUGUGCUAUUUUUUCUUUUUAACUAGUGUAACAAAUGGGGUAGAUGUUUUUUUUUCUGUGCCAAUAAUGGUGUUAAGACUGCUAAAAUCUUGUAAGGGAAGAAAACAUUGAAGAGCAGAAAGAAGAAGAAAAUCAUUUAUUUAUAUAGAACUGACAUGCAUUUGAACAUCAACAGUCAUUUAUUAUUAAUAAUUCCGCAUUUUGUGAAUUCCUUUCUCCAAUGUUUUCUUCCAGGUUUAUUUACUAUGAUAGGCUCACCAGGAAAGGAACCUGAAAAUUUAAAUCGUGUCAAUUUCCUUUUCACACAAUUCUCUCAUGAUGCAAUGGUUUCAGAGAACGCUGUUGUUAUUUGCCAGACAUGUGAUGUUUAGUAUGACUUGAACUAACAUAACAUGCAUAAUACGUUUAUUGAGUACAUGAAGGUUGGUUUCUUUGAAUCAUUUUGGAUUAGCCUGUUUGCAAAGGCUAUUAUCAUUCCACCACUCAGUGAUUUAUGAAUAUCUCCCAUUCAUUUGAUGUGAGUUCCCUGCAACCACACACGAUAUUUCCCUUACUCCGUUUUCGGUAAGAUAUGGGAAACUAAACAUUCAAGGAUAUUGUUCCCACAAGUGGAGAGACUGAAAAAGUCGCGCGCGUUGCUCUCCNNNNNNNNNNNNNNNNNNNNNNNNNNNNNNNNNNNNNNNNNNNNNNNNNNNNNNNNNNNNNNNNNNNNNNNNNNNNNNNNNNNNNNNNNNNNNNNNNNNNNNNNNNNNNNNNNNNNNNNNNNNNNNNNNNNNNNNNNNNNNNNNNNNNNNNNNNNNNNNNNNNNNNNNNNNNNNNNNNNNNNNNNNNNNNNNNNNNNNNNNNNNNNNNNNNNNNNNNNNNNNNNNNNNNNNNNNNNNNNNNNNNNNNNNNNNNNNNNNNNNNGAGGCCGAACAGGUGAAGCCCGCCUCGGUGGGCGGCGGCAUCAGGGCAGUCUAUUCCCGCGGCAACUCAUCGCCCUGGACGGCGGAGCCCGCUCGCGGCACGGUGGCGAAAGUCGGCGCGUUGGAUCCCACGGUGGACCCCUCGUCAGCGUGGAGAGAUGCUUGUGUGUGGCUGACCGGGGUCGAGCACGAGGGAUUCGGGCCUUGUUCGCCGUAUCAAUCUCGCGACGACACCUAUGUCUUCAGCUGGUGCGGUCAGGGUGGUGACCCGGGCUGGCGGCGGCGACCGGUUCCUCCAUGGCUGGUGGGUUAAGUCCUUGACCUGGACGACCAUGUGACGAUGGGUGGUGGCAGAGGCCGCAGAACUAGCGUGCCAUCCAGAUCCAUCUCGGCGUGGCCUUGGCCGGCAGGCGAUGCGUGCAGGGACCGAUCUGGGGCGGCUGGAGGCCCUAUGCCGACGUUCCAGCGAUAGCUUACGUCUCCAUGGCGACGCAACUUCUAGUGAAAAUGUGCUGACUGCGGUCAUGGAAGAUGGUGGCAUCUCUAAUGUCGUUUCCUUCUUCGAGGCAUCGUCGUUUGUAAGCUGUGUCACUACGCUCGGGAUGUUCCGGGGGGAACUCUAUUUCUGGGUAUCCCGGAUCAGACGAUGACGGUGCCUUCAGCGCCAUUCUCCCUCCUAGGGGCAUUGUUCUGGAGCAGGUGCCGACUGGAAGAGACAAGUGGAGGAGCGGUGUUACAUCUACCGCAAGGAUGACGCAGGGUCUCGGUGGCGUGGCAAGGCAGAGUGUCGGCGACGAGCGCCCACGCUAGAUGGUUGAGCUAUCUGGUGUCGAGAUGGCCUGGCGAGAUGAAUACGUUGAUCGCUCCUGAAGGUGGGACAGCAGAACAUGGCGGUGGCUUAAUCUAAAGUGUGUGCAUGCUGUGCGCGCAAAGGGUCUAGCUAGACCAGUUGGUGCUCUCGAAUUGCCGGCAGACAUCUUGGUGAGGUGACCGGAAUAUAUGAUGUGUGUUGAUAAGUGGUCAGGGCACGGCAUUAAAGCUUGUAGGUGUAACGACAAUAGUUUCUAGGGAGGUGGCUUUGCCUUGAUCCAUAUAUUUGUUUUGUUUGGUUCCGUUGAAUAAUAUAAUAAAAUGGUUGUGUGCAUGGCCCGAUGCAUAGACUAGGGGUAAUCGUCUUUUUCGAAAAAAAGUAGAAUGGUACAGUCACACCAUUUUGCCAGUGACAUGCUAAAAAUGGCAUGAUAAACAAUUCCUGAAUGAUAAAUCACAUGGUGACAGUAUAUCUAUUUUAUAGGAAGAGCUGGAUAGAUUAGAGUAUACUGCCCCAGGAUUUUAAAGUGAGUGCGAGAGUUCAGAUUUAUUUACAUGUUUAGCUUCAGAGCUUCAGAACGUCUUUUUUUCACGAAUACACAAAGCUUGAAUAUCUUUUAUUGAUAGAAGAAAGAGAAUGAGUACAACAGAGGAUACAACACAUGGCAUGAACCCAAAGAGGCAUGAUCAUGGAACCCGGAGUAGAGAGACAAGGGGUGCUCAGCCCGAAUAGGGAAAUGACACAACUACACCCACAAAUCCUAAACAGAGAGGCAGGCCGAACAAGCACGGCGUCGAACAUCUCAAAAUCCAACACCAGGGACACCACGAGCGAACAAGAUAGCGCCUUCAGGAAGGGGUGCGACGUCGUGACACCGCCGCCAUCCGAUCCGAGGAACCGGAUCUAGGGUUUCCCCCAGCGCUCAAAGAGGGGCACGGAUAAAAGCCAUGGCAAAUAACUCACGAGUGUCGCCUCUGCCAACAUCGGCAAGAAGAGCAUGGAUUUCGCCUGGCCCAAGUCCGAGCAAUCCCAUAGCUGCCAAAUCAGGAUCCGAAGAUGAGGAAGACAAUCCGCUAGUCAACCACCGUCCCAGUACGGAGGUGGUGGGGCUGCACCUGCUGCCAAAAGAACACGAGCUUUGGAAAUGACAUGCCGUGGGUGUCGACGGGGUCGGGGAGGCAGCGUGGUAGACAGCUUGCAUGGAGGGUGGGAUGGUGACCGGCGCCGCUGACGAGAUGGAGCCGGAAGGGAGCACAAGUCCGAGCUGCCGGAGGUGAAGCCGCCAGAACACCGGCAAACCGAAGAUGCCGGAAGGGGACGCAGCGACCGGGGUGUUGGGGCUGAAAUUGAAGGAAAUAUGCCCUAGAGGCAAUAAUAAAGUUAUUAUUUAUUUCCUUAUAUCAUGAUAAAUGUUUAUUAUUCAUGCUAGAAUUGUAUUAGCCGGAAACAUAAUACAUGUGUGAAUACAUAGACAAACAGAGUGUCACUAGUAUGCCUCUACUUGACUAGCUCGUUAAUUAAAGAUGGUUAUGUUUCCUAACCAUAGACAUGAGUUGUCAUUUGAUUAACGGGAUCACAUCAUUAGGAGAAUGAUGUGAUUGACUUGACCCAUUCCGUUAGCUUAGCGCACGAUUGUUUAGUAUUCUGCUAUUGCUUUCUUCAUGACUUAUACAUGUUCCUAUGACUAUGAGAUUAUGCAACUCCCGUUUACCGGAGGAACACUUUGUGUGCUAUCAAACGUCACAACGUAACUGGGUGAUUAUAAAGGUGCUCUACAGGUGUCUCCACAGGUACUUGUUGGGUUGGCGUAUUUCGAGAUUAGGAUUUGUCACUCCGAUUGUCGGAUAGGUAUCUCUGGGCCCACUCGGUAAUGCACAUCACUUAAGCCUUGCAAGCAUUGCAACUAAUGAGUUAGUUGCGAGAUGAUGUAUUACGGAACGAGUAAAGAGACUUGCCGGUAACGAGAUUGAACUAGGUAUUGAGACACCGACGAUCGAUUCUCGGGCAAGUAACAUACCGAUGACAAAGGGAACAACGUAUGUUGUUAUGCGGUUUGACCGAUAAAGAUCUUCAUAGAAUAUGUGGGAGCCAAUAUGAGCAUCCAGGUUCCGCUAUUGGUUAUUGACCGAAGACGUGUCUCGGUCAUGUCUACAUAGUUCUCGAACCCGUAGGGUCCGCACGCUUAAAGUUUCGAUGACAGUUAUAUUUUGAGUUUAUAUGUUUUGAUGUACCGAAGGUAGUUCGGAGUCCCAGAUGAGAUCACGGACAUCACGAGGAGUCCCGAAAUGGUCGAGACAUGAAGAUUGAUAUAUUGGACGACUAUAUUCGGACACCGGAAUGGUUCCGGUGGUUAUCGGAUAUAUACCGGAGUACCGGGAGGUUACCGGAACCCCCUGGGGGUUUAAUGGGCCUACAUGGGCCUUAGUGGAGAAGAGGAGAGGCGGCUAGGGCAGGCCGCGCGCCCCCUCCCCCUCUAGUCCGAAUUGGACAAGGAGGGGGGCGGCGCCCCCCCUUUCCUUCCUCUCUCUCUCCUCUUUCCCCCUUCUCCUAAUCCAACAAGGAAGGGAAGGGAGUCCUACUCCCGGUGGGAGUAGGACUCCUCCUGGCGCGCCCCUCUCCUGGCCGGCCGCCUCUCCCCCUUGCUCCUUUAUAUAAGGGGGCAGGGGGGCACCCCAAAGACACAACAAUUGAUCAUUGAUCUUUUAGCCGUGUGCGGUGCCCCCCUCCACCAUAGUCCACCUCGAUAAUAUCGUAGCGGUGCUUAGGCGAAUCCCUGCGUCGGUAGAACAUCAUCAUCGUCACGACGCCGUCGUGCUGACAAAACUCUCCCUCAACACUCGGCUGGAUCGGAGUUCGAGGGACGUCAUCGGGUUGAACGUGUGCUGAACUCGGAGGUGCCGUGCGUUCGGUACUUGAUCGGUCGGAUCGUGAAGAAGUACGACUACGUCAACCGCGUUGUGCUAACGCUUCCGCGUUCGGUCUACGAGGGUACGUGGACACACUCUCCCCUCUCGUUGCUAUGCAUCACCAUGAUCUUGCGUGUGCGUAGGAAUUUUUUUGAAAUUACUACGUUCCCCAACAGUGGCAUCCGAGCCAGGUUUUAUGCCUAGAUGUUAUAUGCAUGAGUAGAACACAAGUGAGUUGUGGGCGAUACAAGUCAUACUGCUUACCAGCAUGUCAUUCUUUGGUUCGGCGGUAUUGUUGGAUGAAGCGGCCCGGACCGACAUUACGCGUACGCUUACGCGAGACUGGUUCUACCGACGUGCUUUGCACACAGGUGGUUGGCAGGUGUCAGUUUCUCCAACUUUAGUUGAACCGAGUGUGGCUACGCGCGGUCCUUGAGAAGGUUAAAACAGCACUAACUUGACGACUAUCGUUCUGGUUUUGAUGCGUAGGUAAGAAUGGUUCUUGCUCAGCCCGUAGCAGCCAUGUAAAACUUGCGACAACAAAGUAGAGGACGUCUAACUUGUUUUUGCAGGGCAUGUUGUGAUGUGAUAUGGUCAAGACAUGAUGCUAUAUUUUAUUGUAUGAGAUGAUCAUGUUUUGUAACAGAGUUAUCAACAACUGGCAGGAGCCAUAUGGUUGUCGCUUUAUUGUAUGCAAUGCAAUCGCCCUGUAAUGCUUUACUUUAUCACUAAGCGGUAGCGAUAGUCGUAGAAGCAUAAGUUGGCGAGACGACAACGAUGCUAUGAUGGAGAUCAAGGUGUCGCGCCGGUGACGAUGGUGAUCAUGACGGUGCUUCGGAAAUGGAGACCACAAGCACAAGAUGAUGAUGGCCAUAUCAUAUCACUUAUAUUGAUUGCAUGUGAUGUUUAUCUUUUAUGCAUCUUAUCUUGCUUUGAUUGACAGUAGUAUUAUAGGAUGAUCUCUCACUAAAUUAUCAAGGUAUAAGUGUUCUCCCUGAGUAUGCACCGUUGCGAAAGUUCUUCGUGCUGAGACACCACGUGAUGAUCGGGUGUGAUAGGCUCUACGUUCAAACACAACGGGUGCAAAACAGUUGCACACGCGAAAUACUCAGGUUAAACUUGACGAGCCUAGCAUAUAACAGAUAUGGCCUCGGAACACUGAGACCGAAAGGUCGAGCGUGAAUCAUAUAGUAGAUAUGAUCAACAUAAAUGAUGUUCACCAUUGAAACUACUCCAUCUCACGUGAUGAUCGGACAUGGUUUAGUUGAUAUGGAUCACGUGCUCACUUAGAGGAUUAGAGGGAUGUCUAUCUAAGUGGGAGUUCUUAAGUAAUAUGAUUAAUUGAACUUUAAUUUAUCAUGAACUUAGUCCUGGUAGUAUUAGCAUAUCUAUGUUGUAGAUCAAUAGCUCGCGAUAUUGCUCCCCGUUUAAUUUUUAUAUGUUCCUAGAGAAAACUAAGUUGAAAGAUGUUAGUAGCAAUGAUGUGGAUUGGAUCCGUGAUCUGAGGUUUAUCCUCAUUGCUGCACAGAACAAUUAUGUCCUUGAUGCAGCGCUAGGUGACAGACGUAUUGCAGGAGGACAUGCAGACGUUAUGAACGUUUGGCUAGCUCAAUAUGAUGACUACUUGAUAGUUUAGUGCACCAUGCUUAACGGCUUAGAAUCAGGACUUCAAAGAUGUUUUGAACAUCAUGGACCAUAUGAGAUGUUCCAGGAGUUGAAGUUAAUAUUUCAAGCAAAUACCCUAGUUGAGAGAUAUGAAGUCUCCAACAAGUUCUAUAGCUAAAAGAUGGAGGAGAAUAGCUCAAGAAGUGAGCAUGUGCUCAGAUUGUCUGGGUACUACAAUCACUUGAAUCAAGUGGGAGUUAAUCUUCCAGAUAAAGAUAGUGAUUGACAGAAUUCUCUAGUCACCAUCACAAAGUUAGUAUAACUUCGUGAUGAACUAUAGUAUGCAAGGGAUAACGUAAACGAUUCCCGAGCUUUUCAUGCUGGUGAAAUCAGAAAUCAAGAAAGAGCAUCAAGUGUUGAUGAUUAACAAGACCACUAGUUUCAAGAAAAUGGCAAAGGGAAAGAAAGGGAACUUCAUGUAGAACGGCAAGCAAGUUGCUGCUCAAGUGAAGAAGCCCAAGUUUGGACCUAAGCCUGAGACUGAGUGCUUCUACUGCAAAAGGACUGGUCACUGGAAGCAGAACUACCCGAAAUAAUUGGCGUAUAAGAAGGAUGGCAAAGUGAACAAAAGUAUAUUUGAUAUACAUGUUAUUGAUGUGUACUUUACUAGUGUUUAUAGCAACCCCUCAGUAUUUUAUACUGGUUGGCAACCUCUGCUUGCCUCUGCGAAGGGCCUAUCUUUUACUUUUAUGCAAGAGUCAUGGUGAUCUUCACCUUUCCUUUUUUUCAUUUUAUCCUUUGGCAAGUACCUCGUGUUGGAAAGAUUCUGAUAUAUCCAAUUGGAUGUAAGGCAUCAUGAACUAUUAUUGUUAACAUUACCCUUGAGGUAAAAGGUUGGGAGGCGAAUCUAUAAGCCCCUAUCUUUCUCUGUGUCUGAUUAAAACUUUGAACCCAUAAAUAUCGCGUGAGUGUUAGCAAUUGUGAAAGACUAAAUGAUAGUUGAGUAUGUGGAGUUUGCUAAAUCAAAGCUCUGACAUAGACUCUUCCUGAAAAUAAGAUGAAUUGUAAUUGUUUGAUGACUAAUAACACGGCUUGUUAGUUUUCAAGAAAGUUUAUGAUCUAUACUUUAACAUGUGAAUAGCUUGUUACUUGAUCAUGAAAAGUUCUAUGAGUUGAGCUACUGUUAUGACAUAUGAUGAUGCUAGAAAAAGUGAUUGAAAUUAUCAUUGAUCAAACUUGUGCACCUGCUAGCAUUCACACUUCAUAAAUUCUUUCUUUUAUCAUUUACCUACUCGAGGAUGAGCAGGAAUUAAGCUUGGGGAUGCUGAUACGUCUCCAACGUAUCUAUAAUUUAUGAAGUAUUCAUGCUAUUAUAUUAUCUGUUUUGGAUGUUUAUGGGCUUUAUUGAACACUUUUAUAUUAUUUUUGGGACUAACCUAUUAACCUAGAGCCCAUUGCCAGUUUCUGUUUUUUGCUUGUUUUUGAGUUCUACAGAAAAGGAAUACCAAACGGAGUCCAAUGGACGUCCCAAUUUUUGACGAUUUUUUAUGGACCAAAAGGAGACCCCGGAGCAAAAGGGUUGGGACAGGAGAGUCCCGGGCUGCCCACGAGGGUGGGGGGCGUGCCCUCCCCCCCUGGGCGUGGGCCCCUGCCUCGUGGACAACCCGGAGACCCCCCUGACAUGAGACCUACGCCAAAAAAUCCUAUAAAUACUGAAACCUCCAGAAAGCAGAAUAGAUCGGGAGUUCCGCCGCCGCAAGCCUCUGUAGCCACCAAAAACCAACCGGGACCCUGUUCCGGCACCCUGCCCGAGGGGGUAUGUCGGUGUCAAAACCGGCGGAUCUCGGGUAGGGGGUCCCGAACUGUGCGUCUAAGGCGGAUGGUAACAGGAGGCGGGGGACACGAUGUUUACCCAGGUUCGGGCCCUCUCGAUGGAGGUAAUACCCUACUUCCUGCUUGAUUGAUCUUGAUGAUAUGAGUAUUACAAGAGUUGAUCUACCACGAGAUCGUAGAGGCUAAACCCUAGAAGCUAGCCUAUGGUAUGAUUGUUUUUGUCCUACGGACUAAACCCUCCGGUUUAUAUAGACACCGGAGGGGGCUAGGGUUACACAGAGUCGGUUACAAGGGAGGAGAUCUGCAUAUCCGUAUUGCCAAGCUUGCCUUCCAUGCCAAGGAGAGUCCCAUCCGGACACGGGACGAAGUCUUCAAUCUUUUGUCUUCAUAGUCCAACAGUUCGGCUAAAGUAUAUAGUCCGGCUGUCCGAGGACCCCCUAAUCCAGGACUCCCUCAGUAGCCCCUGAACGAGGCUUCAACGACGAUGGGUCCGACGCGCAGAUUGUCUUCGGCAUUGCAAGGCGGGUUCCUCCUCCGAAUAUUCCAUAGAAGAUUUUGAACACAAGGAUAGUGUCCGGCUCUGCAAAACAAAUUCCACAUACCACCAUAGAGAGAAUAAUAUUUCCACAAAUCUAAUCUACUGACACAUUCUGCAGCAUGACAUCACACCAUGGCCCGGUCAUUAUUCGGACCGUUUUUCUUAACCAGCCACUGCACAUAUCGCGAGGCGGUUUUCUUGGCACGUCUUGUCGAAGCAGAGAUCGUGUCCCCCUAUCACGGGAUUGUCAUCAAUACGGGUGUGGGUAACCUAACCGCGCCAUCAAUUACAGCUCUUGGGGAAUAAGCGAGUUUACCAGGCAGGUGGGGAGGCGCAUAGUUCCUUCCGCCCUUAUAAAGAGACAAGGAUUCAUCUUUUUCACCCACGCCCUCUUCCUCCUUGCUCAUCCGUUCUUGCGCACUUGAGCUCCAACACCCAAGUUCGCAUUCUCUCCUCAAACCACUCCAAGCAUGUCCGGAGCAGGAGGCAAGUGGAUGGUCUCCUCCGUUACGAAGGAGGACAUCACAAGGCUAUGGGGAGCCGGAUACCUGGCCGCGGAUAUCGCGCACCGGCUACAAGAUGCGGGGCAGAUCGUCCCUACUCCAGAACCCCAUGAGAGGGUGAUAUUUCUUACCCACUUUGUCCGCGGACUGGGAUUUCCCCUCCACCUGUUUGUCCGCGGGCUCAUGUUCUACUACGGGCUGGACUAUCACGAUCUGGCCCCCAAUUUCAUCCUCAACAUCUCGGCGUUUAUCGUCGUGUGCGAGGCCUUCCUCCGCAUCAAGCCCCACUUCGGCCUGUGGCUGAAGACCUUCAACGUUAAACCGAAGGUGGUGGCCGGCCAGCAAGCGGAGUGCGGAGGCGCCAUGGUGGGCAAAAUGCCCAACGUCACCUGGCUAGAAGGCUCCAAUGUGGAGACCGUAAAGGGGUGGCAAUCGGGGUGGUUCUACAUCACCGAGCCGCGCGACACCAACUGGGUAGCGGCCCCCGAAUUUUUAUCCGGAAUCCCCAUGCGGCUCACCUCCUAGAAAGAGAAGGGCCUAUCCUGGGGUUCCUCGGUAGAGCUGACCGGACCCCAGACCUGCGUCAAAAACAUGAUGAGCAAGAAAAUCAAGCUUGUCAACAUGGUCCAAGUCAUGCUCUUCCGCCCGAUCCUCCCGUGUCAAAGACGGGCAUUCAAUUUGUGGGAGUUCGACCCGGCCGAGCACCAGACGCUGCGAGAGCUCUUCGACACGGCGCACAAGGACGUCUGGAAGGUGAUGUUCAAGGGCGCUGAGGUACCUCCUCCCCUUACCAAGGACCGCGGACUCAGCGCAAAGCGCCCUGCCAAUCCGGUAUGUCUUUUAUAUUUCAUAAGAUGUUCUUUUCCCCAGUAUAACCACACGCGGGAUCUAAGCCCCCACGCCAUUUAACAGGACUGGGUAGCGACAGCGGAGCAGAUCGAUUGUCCAGCCCCCCUGCCUGAAGAUCCAGCGGAUGCUCUCCUAACGGAGAUCCUGGUUUCGGCGCCUUAUGAGGUGCCGGAGAAGAAGGCCACGGGGACCAGGAAGGGUCUCCGGCGCAAGGUUAUAUCGGACUCAUCGUCCGAAAACACCGAGGCGCACUCCUCCCACGAAAACGGGGAGGAAGAGGAAAGUUCUCCCCCCCAGCCAGGGGGGACAGGACAAGGAAGGCUGCCCCAUCAGGGGAGGCCGAAGGGUCCAAGAAGGGAAGGACCCUCCUCCCGGACUGCUCCACAAAGGCCGCUUUUAGCGACGAGGAGUGGUUACCCAGGGACAAGCCCCUGGCAAAGUCGUGAGUAUCCGGAUACCAUAAUAAUUCUUGGUACGUCUUAUUGUACUGUUUCUUAUCACGCCGCGCAUGAUUAUGCAGUCCGUCCCGAGCCCAUAUCGACGUAUCUUCGUCGGAUGAUUCUUUGGGCCCGUCAGAUAUGAAUAGCGAUUCACUCCCGACUGCCUCCUCCCCCCGCCCUACGGACGACGCCGAGGUGUUGUCUCAAAGGGAACUAAACCAAGGGGAGACAGUUCCGGAGGCGCCCCAAGGCGACAUUCCAGGCGCUAGGUGCACGAGGGGCAAGACUCCCCUAGGCCCUAACACCGGGGGCAGUAAGUCUAGCCCCAAGCCGAAUACGGCGCCGGAACCUCCAGUGGUUCCGGAUUCUGUCAGGCAACCCCUCGCUAAGGGGGGUAAGCCGUCUGUGCCGAUGGCCUCUGUCCAUCCAGAGGCAUCGGACAACUUGCUAGAAGUGCUUCGCGGCGCUUCCAUUGACGAAGAGCACCGCACUAUUAUGAGUGCGGUAGUUAAGAAGGUUCAGUCCGCUAAGAGCGGACUGACUGAAGCCUGUGCCAACCUCCUAACCGGCUUUGAGGUAAGUAAUCAAAUUGUAAGAAAAUGUUACAGCAUAGACAGUAGCCCCUGAUGCUCUGUUUGGCGUUCGCGGAGAAAGGCCGAAUAGAGGAUCAAAUAAUAAUCGCAGGAGUCUAAUCAGAAUGUGUCUAUGUGAAUAAGCGGGCUUCACUGCUGGCCGCCGCCGCUCGUACUGCGGAGGUCACCGCACUGAAGCGGGACCUUGAGCGGUCCAAGGAAGAGCUCGGCCUUACCAAGAGGCAGCUCGAAGAGAACAAAGGUAAGUGACACCCCGUCUGAAUAUUGGUAAAGAAAAAUUUGGUUUUGGAAUAAUAGGAUCCUCAUGAAUUUUGCUAGGGGCCACGACCGAAGUGGCGGCCCUGCAGAAGGCGCUAUCUGAGGCCGAAGACAAAGCGGCCAAGGAGCACAUCGAGCGAGAGAAGCAAGAGGCCCGAGUAGGCGAGGUGCGGCAAGAGCUCCAGGCUCUCGUCAAGAAACACGAGUCCUUGGAGCUUGACUCUAUGACGCAAGGGUCCGAGCUUGCGAAGGCCCUCGAAAGCGCACAACAUGCCAAGGCCAAAGCCCAAAAGGCCCUCCAGGAAAUUUAGGCGGUUAAGAAGAUAGCGGCGGGUAAGGCAUUCAUUAUGCAAAGCAAGCAUGUGAAGGAAACUUUCUUUUUACUUACCCGAGUUCGGAGUUCUCCAGAAGCGUUCGCAGAUCUACCCCGCAGUGUGUCGGAUGCCACGGAGUUCUACCGGGCCGAGGAGGGGAGCUCGGCGGAGAAGUUGUUCUGGUCUCAGUAUACUGGGACCGAACAUCCAAUGCCCUUGAGCGACCAGUUGAAGCAACUGGUCGAGCUUCACAAGGCGGCCGAACAGGCCAUGAAGGGUCUUAUGGUCUGGAUGUGGCAUGGCGACCCCUGCCUGGUAGCUACUUCGGUCUGGUGAGGCGGCUUGUGAAUGCCUGCACACGGUUUGAAGUCAUAAAGCGGUCCGUCUGCAUUGAGGGUGCGCGCAGGACUUUUGCCCGGGCGAAGGUGCACAGGGCGAAGCUGGACGCCGAAAAGCUGGUGAAGGAGGGGCCGCCGGAGGGCAAGGAGCAUCGCCACCCCGAAAAGUAUUAUGAUAGUGUCCUGAAGGGUGCUCGCCUUGUGGCGGAGGAAUGUGCUAAGGAUGUAAUAUUUGAAUGAAUGUACUCAUGUGAUCCUGUAAUAUGAAACGAGUUCAUUUGCGUACGCAAUGCUUGUUAAUUUAAAAUAUUACCUUCUAUGCGGCCGUUUAUAAAAUCUGAGAGUUGGCCAGUCGUCGGCUUCUGCCCCCAUGUAACUAGUACUAAGGUGUUCGGGGUAAACCUGAGCACUCUUUAUCCCAAUUUUGGGUCCUUCGAAGGAGGUGUUUAGCACAAUGAACCAGGCAAUCGGACUAUAAAGCUUUAUCACUCUCACUUAGCCAUAGAAGUCUACAAUUUUAAAUUUUGGCGAAGCCCCUAGUAUUUCGAAGGCCGAAUUUGGGGCACUAUAUACGCCUAAGUCGGGCAAGACGACUCCUUGCCCGAAGCGGAAAGAGACUUUAAGGACUUGAGACCUCUCGAACAGCGACCAGCUCUCGCCUCAUUAUGACAGUCAGUUUUCGGCUUUCUCUACUGAGGUGCUCGUCCGGAAGAACCGGGACACAAUCGCAGUAGUUCUCCCAAGGCUACCUUAGCCGAUAUUGCGGAACGUAAGGUACCAAAACAUGGGAGCCGGGCAAACCCAACUAUUGACCCAAGACAUGAUUCGGAGCUGGUGCAUAUAAUUCUAUAAGUUCGGGGUGCCGCACUGUCGAAAGUGUUCGGACUUCUCACACUGUAUUAUGGGGUAUACUAAAGCCCCUGGCGCACUGGUCAUACCAGGAUGUACGGGUGCAAUUUGUCGUAAAUAAGCAGACAAGGAAAAAAAAGAAAGGGGAAUGCAAUAAUAGACUAACGAUAUGCAUUGUUAUUAAAUAAUACGUCAAAGCGACGGAUACAAGUAGUGCAAUAAGCAAAAAAUAAGACUAUUUGACAUGUCCUAUCCAAGGGCAAGCUGCGUAUGGGUAUGUAAAACAGGUAUUUCGAUCGUUAUCAGAGACCACCUAGGGAUUCCCUUGUACGUCAGAGCGUCUUGCUUCCUUGGUAUUUCCUUACCGCGAUGGGUCCAACAAUUAGAUUGCCGAAAAGGGCUUCCAGAGAGUAAGGUCCUGAAAGAGAGAAAAUGAUAAAGGUAUAUGGCCCCUGGGGCGGUUGAGCCACCUUGUGGGACGUGCCGUAGCUGUGCCUCCGCCUAUGCCCAUGGUAUCUUGAGUGCGUAGUUAUGUACGCGCGGCGCAAAUUUCGCCACUUGACUGGGACUAGGACGGAGGCCGAAUUGCUAGGCGAGCUCAAAACGUGCAUGGCGAUCCUCCUGCGGGGUACCCCGGACUCGCUUGAAGGUGUCCGGGGUCUUUUUCGCCGAAUUGGCGGUUUGCCUAUUAAGGCUGCUUUGCGCUUCUGCUGCGAGGGCUGCAGUGUGCUCCUCCGUGCGGAGCGAGCGCUCUGUGUUUCCAUUAACUGUUAUAACCCCGCGUGGUCCUGGCAUUUUGAGUUUGAGGUAUGCAUAAUGCGGUACCGCAUUGAAUCUGGGAAAUGCGGUUCGUCCGAGCAGUGCGUGAUAGCCGCUGCGAAAGGGGACGAUGCCGAAGAUUAACUCCUCGCGUCGAAAAUUGUCCGGAGAUCCGAAGACCACUUCCAGUGUGAUUGAGUCCGUGCAACAGGCCUCUACACCUGGGAUUACACCUUCAAAGGAGGUUUUGGUGGGUUUGAUCCUCGAGGGGUCUAUGCCCAUUUUGCACACUGUAUCCUGAUAGAGCAGGUUCAGGCUGCUGCCACCGUCCAUAAGGACGCGAGUGAGGUGAAAUCCGUCAAUGAUGGGGUCAAGGACCAAUGCGGCAGAUCCGCCAUGACGGAUACUAGUGGGGUGGUCCCUGCGAUCGAAGGUGAUCGGACAAGAGGACCAUGGGUUCAACUUUGGGGCGACUGGCUCCAUAGCAUAGACGUCCCUUAGUGCACGCUUCCGUUCCCUCUUGGGAAUAUGGGUUGCGUAUAUCAUGUUCACCGUUUUCACUUGUGGAGGGAACCUCUUCUGUCCUCCAAUGUUCGGCGGCCGAGGCUCCUCCUCGUCGUCGCUAUGGAGCCCCUUGUCCUUGUUUUUGGCAUUUAACUUGUCGGCCUGCUUGAAUACCCAGCAUUCUCUGUUGGUGUGAUUGGCUGGCUUAUCGGGGGUGCCAUGAAUUUUAACGAGCAAUCGAGUAUACGGUCCAAACUGGACGGGCCCGGAUUGCUUGUUUUGAACGGCUUCUUCCGCUGACCGGAUUUAGAGCCACUGAAUCCGGCAUUGACUGUCGUGUCUUCGGCGUUGUCGCCGUUGUUGUGGCGCUUGUGUCUGUUGCGACGUGGUCUGCCAAUAGUAUCUUUGGCGUCUGAAUUGCCGGGAUUUCUUGAUGUGCUGUUGCUGCGAGCUAGCCAGCUGUCCUCGCCCGCGCAAAAGCGGGUCAUGAGUGUCGUGAGGGCUGCCAUGGACUUCAGCUUCUCUUGGCCGCGGUGUCAGGCGAGCCACUCGUCCCGGAUGUUAUGUUUAAAUGCCGCUAAGGCCUCGGCAUCCGGACAGUCGACAAUUUGGUUCUUUUUAGUUAGGAACCGAGUACAGAAUUUCCUGGCCGAUUCCCCUGGCUGUUGGGUUAUGUGGCUCAAGUCAUCAGCAUCUGGUGGUCGCACAUAAGUGCCCUAGAAGUUGUCAAGGAAUGCGUCUUCCAAAUUCUCCCAACUGCCAAUGGAGUUUGCUGGCAGGCUAUUCAGCCAAUGUCGAGCUGGUCCUUUGAGUUUUAGUGGGAGGUACUUGAUGGCAUGUAGAUCGUCAUCGCGGGCCAUGUGGAUGUGGACGAGGAAAUCCUCGAUCCAUACCGCGGGGUCUGUUGUACCAUCAUAUGACUCAAUGUUCACGGGUUUGAAUCCUUCUAGGAAUUCAUGAUCCAUUACUUCAUCGGUGAAGCAUAGUGGGUGUGCAGCGCCUCUGUGCCGGGCUAUGUCACGACGCAGUUCAUACGAGUCUUGUCUGCUGUAUUCGGCCCCGCCGGAUUUGCUUUUAGUGUAUCCGGCAUGACGAUCAUCAUCACACAUUGGGGCGCGACCCCGUGAUCCGUAGAUCGAUCUUGUUUGUCCUGCUCUGUUUUCCUAUACGUCUCGCAGGUCCCGCGUGUUGCCCCAGGCCUUGGUAUUUAUGUUUGAAUGGCGGCGGGGUGCGGGCUGGACUUCGGGCUGAUAUGCCCCUCUGUCUCGGCCACGAGGUGGCCGAUCAGCCGCAUCAUACGCUGGUGAUGUAGGUUUUAAUGCUUCCUCCUCGAUUUGGGGUAGCAACCUGCGCUUUGGGUAACUCUUGGUUGGGCGCUCGAGUUCGUAUUCCUCUACCUCCAGGACUUCAGUCCAUCUAUCCGCUAGCAGAUAUUGAUCAGCUCGAAGCUGUUGUUGCUUUUUCUUCAGGCUGUUUGUUGUAGCUAUAAGCCGACGCUUGAAGCGCUCCUGCUUGACGGGAUCCUCAGGCACGAUAAAUUCUUCGUCGCCGAGGCUCACCUCGUCUUCGGAGAGAGGCAUGUAAUUGUCAUCCUCUGAUUCUCCGUCUGCUGCCUAUUCCGGAGGGCUAGCUUGUUCAUCCUCUCGCUCGAGGUCUGGCUGGAGGGGAUUGUCGUCGUCUUUGGCACUAUCCGGAGCGUUAUUGUCUCUUGUGCCGGUAUCGCUGCUUUUGCUAUGGCGGGACUUAGAGCGGCGCCGCUGACGUCGGUGCUUGGGUUGCUUCUUGGAGGGAUUAUCCUCGGUUGUCUUAUCGCCGUCGCCUUCUUUGGGGGUGUCCACCAUGUAUAUAUCAUAUGAUGAGGUGGCAGUCCAGCGCCCUGUGGGCGGUGGUUCCUGUUCGUCUCCUGUAUCGUCGUCCAUACCGUCGAUGUUUUCGGAGCCGAAAUCGAGCAUGUCGGUUAAAUCGUCGACAGUGGCUACUAAGUGGCUGGUGGGUGGGGAGCGAAUUUCUUCGUCGUCCGCAUCCCAUUCUAGCCAGACAUAGUUCGGCCAAGGGUCUCCUGACAAGGAGAGAGACCUCAAUGAGUUCAGCACGUCGCCCAGUGGUGAGUGCUGAAAGAUAUCCGCGGAGGAAAACUCCAUAAUCGGUGCCCAAUCAGAUUCGAUAGGCACAUACGCAGGCGGCUCAGAGCCCGUGGCCGGGGAUGAAUCCAGGUGUCCGGCGACACAGGUCUCAUAGGAGGUGAAGUCAGUAUUCGGCUCUAUCGCCACUCAGUGUGUGGCCUCCGAGGCGGGGUCCAUCCACCCGUCCUCGGACGGCGCAAUCGACUCCGGAUCUAGGGCCGGAGUAGCCAUGGGUGUGAUCUCCCGAACACCGUCCGGCGGCAGAGCUAAGUCGUGCUCGUCGUGACUGUGCGGCGCACCUGACAUGGGCUCGAAUCCGUCAAAGAUAAAGUCUCCGCGGAUGUUGGCACUGUAGUUUAAAUUUCCAAACCUGACCUGACAGCCAGGGGCGUAGCUCUCGAUCUGCUCCAGAUGGCCAAGCGAGUUGGCCCACAGUACGAAGCCGCCGAAUACAAAGAUCUGUCCGGGGAGGAAAACCUCACCCUGGAUCGCAUCGUUGGCGAUGAUUGAAGGAGCCAUCAAGCCUUUAUCGCGACGGCAGAGUGGAACUCUCAAUGAAAGCACCAAUGUCGGUGUCAAAACCGGCGGAUCUCGGGUAGGGGGUCCUGAACUGUGCGUCUAAGGCGGCUGGUAACAGGAGGCGGGGGACAUGAUGUUUACCCAGGUUCGGGCCCUCUCGAUGGAGGUAAUACCCUACUUCCUGCUUGAUUGAUCUUGAUGAUAUGAGUAUUACAAGAGUUGAUCUACCACGAGAUCGUAGAGGGUAAACCUUAGAAGCUAGCCUAUGGUAUGAUUGUUGUUGUCCUAGGGACUAAACCCUCCGGUUUAUAUAGACACAGGAGGGGGCUAGGGUUACACAGAGUCGGUUACAAGGGAGGAGAUCUACAUAUCCGUAUUGCCAAGCUUGCCUUCCACGCCAAGGAGAGUCCCAUCCGGACACGGGACGGAGUCUUCAAUCUUGUGUCUUCAUAGUCUAACAGUCCGCCUAAAGUAUAUAGUCUGGCUGUCCGAGGACCCCCUAAUCCAGGACUCCCUCAGGGUAUCCCUCACCGGUGGCCAUCUUCAUCAUCCCGGCGCUCUCCAUGACGAAGAGGGAGUAGUUCACCCUCGGGGCUGAGGGUAUGUACCAGUAGCUAUGUGUUUGAUCUCUCUCUCUCUCUCGUGUUCUUGAUUCAGCACGAUCUUGAUGUAUCAUGAGAUUUGCUAUUAUAGUUGGAUCUUAUGAUGCUUCUCCCCCUCUACUCUCUUGUAAUGGAUUGAGUUCUCCCUUUGAAGUUAUCUUAUCGGAUUGAGUCUUUAAGGAUUUGAGAACACUUGAUGUAUGUCUUGUCGUGCUUAUCUAUGGUGACAAUGGGAUAUCACGUGAUCCACUUGAUGUAUGUUUUGGUGAUCAACUUGCGGGUUCCGCCCAUGAACCUAUGCAUAGGGGUUGGCACACGUUUUCGUCUUGACUCUCUGGUAGAAACUUUGGGGCACUCUUUGAAAUACUUUGUGUUGGUUGAAUAGAUGAAUCUGAGAUUGUGUGAUGCAUAUCGUAUAAUCAUGCCCACGGAUACUUGAGGUGACAAUGGAGUAUCUAGGUGACAUUAGGGUUUUGGUUGAUUUGUGUCUUAAGGUGUUAUUCUAGUACGAACUCUAUGAUAGAUUGAACGGAAAGAAUAGCUUCAUGUUAUUUUACUACGGACUCUUGAAUAGAUCGAUCAGAAAGGAUAACUUUGAGGUGGUCUCGUACCCUACCAUAAUCUCUUCGUUUGUUCUCCGCUAUUAGUUACUUUGGAGUGACUCUUUGUUGCAUGUCGAGGGAUAGUUAUAUGAUCCAAUUAUGUUAUUAUUGUUGAGAGAACUUGCACUAGUGAAAGUAUGAACUCUAGGCCCUGUUUCCUAGCAUUGCAAUACCAUUUACGCUCACUUUUAUUAUUAGUUACCUUGCUGUUUUUAUAUUUUCAGAUUACAAAAACCUAUAUAUACCAUCCAUAUUGCACUUGUAUCACCAUCUCUUCGCCGAAUUAGUGCACCUAUACAAUUUACCAUUGUAUUGGGUGUGUUGGGGACACAAGAGACUCUUUGUUAUUUGGUUGCAGGGUUGUUUGAGAGAGACUAUCUUCAUCCUACGCCUCCCACGGAUUGAUAAACCUUAGGUCAUCCACUUGAAAGAAAUUUGCUACUGUCCUACAAAGCUCUGCACUUGGAGGCCCAACAACGUCUACAAGAAGAAGGUUUUGUAGUAGAUAUCAGGGGGAGGGGGGUGAAACCGCCCCGCCGCCGCCGUCCCCGAGCGCGGCGCGGCUUCGCUGGCCGGCCCUCCGGCGGCAGCGAUGCGGGGGGAGGGGGGCACUGGCGGAGGAAGGCUACCGGUGGCGAUGAAGGUUUCCCCCGUAUCGCCUGUUGCGGGCGACGCGGGGGCAGGGUUGACCAGCUCGAGGAUUUCGGCUGAGCUGUAGAACGUAUGAAAUAUUGAAGGAAAACAAAAACAUGAGAAUCAACAGAUAUUGGAGAAGUUGGUACAGAGUGGUACAUGGAAAGGAAAUUUUACUUUUACUGGAGGUUGAAUGAAGUUAUGUUUACACCUUCCAUUUCACUUUGUGGGCACUCCGAAGUUGCAAAGAAAAAAUAUAUAAAAUAUCAUCAUUCGUACGCAUUUAUAUGCAGGUAAUGAAAAUGGCUCCACCUAAUUAUAAGAUUAUUAAGCACUUUUAGUACCCGGGAGUCCCUGGUACUGUGAAGAUGAUAUUAAGACUAAUUAAUGGACAUGGAUUUGUUCUGAUCACACAAAGAUAGCUCAAACACCCAUCCGCUUACUUGCUUGCAUUUCAAAAGAUUGAUAACCACAUUUCAUCAUUUUUCCCCACUUCUCCACCUUGCUGGUGAUAUAUAUCCAGCUUCCGCAUAUAUGAUAUUUUUCACUCUAGCACUUUCAGCUUCUUUUUGAAAUGAAGAGUACUUUUCUUGCUGAUGCAGCAACAAUAGUAAGUCAGAGCUUUCUUAGGCCUUGUACAAUGCAAGGUGCUUUGAGAAAUAAACUAGGCUUUCCUUAAGCACCGAUACUUAUUUGUACAGGAUACUUUAUUAAUUUUUCUCACAAGAUCUUACAAAGUCAUACAACAGUAAGACUAAAGCCGCCGUCUAAGCAACAAACUGUCGCUACACCUAUCCAGUUGAUGAAGGGACGCAGAUAGCCUGGGCCUAAUACCAAACAGACAUCGCAUCCAAGCCUAACAUCUAAGACCUGAGACCCCAACCUAGCCACUUGCCGGGUCUGGGGCACACACUGGUCCGGCGUGCUCUCAGAGGCCGCCGCCGCCAACUGCCACCGCUCCAUCUUCAGAAUUGUACUGAUGCAUCAACCUUACUCGGUCUAGCUAUCGUCGACGCCACCACUGCGCCCAGCGGCACCUCCUCCCUGCCCGCAAACAACUGAGCACAUCGCGGUCGCCACUGAUACACCUCAGCACCAUGCUGCCAAGUACCACCAGCUGACACAGCUUGAAGUCCUUGGAAGAUCUUUCAUGCGUAGCACCUGCCGACCAAGUAUGACAAAGUGUAGCACCUGUCGGUCAGGCAUGACUUGACAUCUCCACCGAAGCUCCGUGCAAGACGAAGCCGCUCCACCUCCUGCCUCUGACUUCCAGCGCUGCUCCACAAACGAUGCUCCCAAGAGAGAAACGAGACAGCGGUGCCACAAUCGUCCGAUCUGGAACACCAGAUCCUAGAGUUUCCCGUGGAGCAGCACGAGUGGGUCGACAGUAGUUACACGAUGAUGCCUCCAUCAAGGUAACGACGAGAACGCCGCCAUCGCCUACCGUCGGCUCGAUUUUCACCGGCAACCAUGUCUCCCCUACUCGCAGUCGGGACUAGAUGAUGGAUCUCGAGAUCCGAUCACCAAGCCUCUGGCCGGCCAUCUCUGGAAGAAGAUGACCACCACGUCCACCAGCGUCACCACACCGGGCACGCGUUGCCGCCGGCACCCCCAUGGUGCCUAGAGGCCGACAAGCCCCGACGAACACCACGCCUCGCCAGCCGCCAUAGCCCAGGCCCAAGCACCACCAGAUCCAGAUCAGAUCGGGGUCAAGGGCCCCAAGCCGCAGCCGUCGCGGAGGCAGCACCACUAGACGGUGCCCUGCCCUCCACCCCGCUGUAGGAUCGAGUCAUCGCCGGAGCUCCGCCACGCCACGCCGCCAAGACGCCGCCGGAAGAACUCGCGCCGCCGCUAGGGGAGAGAGAGACGCGCUAGGGAGAGGCCCCGCCGCUGGCACUGCCUUGGCUUUGCCCGGCUGUGUCCCUCGGCGGCGGCGAGGGGGGAGGGAGGGUGGAGGAGGGCCGGCGGCGGAGGGGGCUAGGGUUCCCCCGAGUCGCCUCAGAGAGGGACGCAGGCGACGGGGUGAGAAAACUGAGAGAGUGGAUAUGGCCUUUACUCGAGCUCAUGGGGUGGCCCGACUGCUGGUGAGUGUUCUCGAUAUUGAGUUCGUGCCUGAUGUGGUUAAGUGGACAUAUAGGGGACAGAUUUUCAACCUCGAGAUUGAGUUUGAGGAUGCCGCUCUCUUCGCUGAGGCUAUCAAUGGGACUGAUGUAGAUAUGCACGAGGGUGAUGACAGCUCGGGUGCUAAGGAGGCACCGGUUGAUGAUGUUGGACGAGAGUUGUCCAACUAAUCGGGGCCCGUUCCUCAGACGCCCAGGGACGGGACGGCACCAUCCUCUUCGGUGCCUAUGAGUUCUCUGAGAUUUGGGUCGUUUGAGCCAGCUUCUGCUCCUCCCAGACUCUGGAGUGACCGGGUGGAGUCCGAUGACGUGUUUGAGCGCACGCUACCUACCCUGGAUUUUGUUGCUGCUGAUAGUCCCGUGCUUGGAGGUUUGGAGGGGAUUAUCUCUGUGCAGACCUCGGUAAGGGGAGGGGAGGCGGAGCUUGGGCAGGUGGCCCCUCUUUCCCCCGCUCUCCCUGCGGUGUCACCUCGGGAGACGGAGUCGACUAUGGAGGCUGUCCCUAGGGAGGGAGUCCAUGGCAGGUGGCCUCGGCUCCUUCUUCUCUUCUCGCGGUGCCGGAGCUGCAGAUGGCGGUUGUGCUUAGGGGAGGCGGUCCAGGGCAGGUGGCCUCGGCCCCCUCUUCACCUCUGGCGGCUAGGGAGGCCACACCCCCUAUGGCGCCGGAGACCUCUUCUAGCCAGAGGGCUGGGGCGGGAGGAGCGUACGGGCAGGCGGCCCACGCGCUUCCCUCUCCCGGCGCGCCAACGUCCCAGGGCCUCGGUUCGAGGUGGACGUCAGUGGGGCCGGGGAGGUCCCCGCCGCUGCCCCCGGCAGCUCCCGCCGACUCUUCGACGUGUGCAGCUUCGCGGUGUGCUGGGGGUGAGGCCGGUGGCUUUACUCCGAGCGGGGUCACUCGGGAGGAGGUCAUCGCCUUUGGAGGGAUUCUAGAUCCUGUCUCUGCGGGGCGACGGAUGAGCUGUCGUCUCUAGGAUCAUCCGGAGGUUGAUGACAUGCAGCAGCGGUGCGCCAUGAGGGCGGCCAAGCUUCGUGACAUUGAGGUCACUACUGGUAUGUCGGUCAACACUUCUAAUUCCAUUCUGCAUUUUUCUAAUAAUGAGAUUAUUAAUAAUUCAAAUCAAUUGGGAGUUUCACUAGGUAGUAAUGAUAGUGAAAUUUCUAACUUUGUAAAUGAUAUCCUGGAUUUGGAAGCGGAACGCGCUUUAGAAAUGAUUCAAAACUUAGCAGCGGUUAAACCCAUGAAUGAUGCAGAUAUCGAUGCGUUGGGGGUCAGGGUGCUCGAUAAUUUUUGUGCAGAUCUUGCACCAUCCAUUCCUGAGUCAGAGGAAGAGGAUAACACUUUUGAGGCUGCCGUAGAUCGAUCCAUGGAGCCCGGUUGUGAGGACUGGGUGGAGGAUCAAAACAAACCUAAACGCAAGUGGAAGCGGAAGAUCUACCCUGCUUCGGCGGUGCGUAGGAGUGCUAGGAUCCGUACUAUUAAAACAUUUCAUGAUGAAAUAUGAAAGGAAUCUUUUGGAAUAGCAGAGGUCUGAAAGACUUGGCUAAAAGAAGGUUUCUUGCAGAUGCGUCUAUCGAGCAUAGGUUGGAUUUUAUCACUCUCUCGGAAACUGGUAGAGAUAAUUUUUCGCCCCAGUUUCUCAGUACUUUAUCGGGAGGUGUUGAUUUCAAUUGGCACUGCCUGCCUCCGAGAGGAAGAUCGGGUGGGAUCUUACUUGGAGUGAGAUGCGAUUCGCUAGAAGUCUGAAGUGUAGUGAUGGGAGAUUUCACAAUUAAGUUCCGGGUUAGGUCGAAAGCCAACGGGUUUAAUUGGGCUCUGAUGGCGGUUAUGCUCCCGCGCAGCCCGAUCUCAAACCAGAGUUCUUGGCGGAUCUUGUUCAAAUUUGCGGCUCUGAGCAGCUCCCAAUCCUGGAUGGGGGUGAUUUCAACAUCAUUAGGAGGAGAGAGGAAAAGAAUAAUGAUAAUUUCGACGGCAGGUGGUCGUUUAUGUUUAAUACCAUUAUUGAAAGCUUGGAUCCUAGAGAGAUAGAGCUUUCGGGUAGAAAAUUCACCUGGGCUAAUACUUUGCCAAAUCCGACGUUUGAGAAGCUGGAUCGAGUCCUAGUGAGCGUCGAAUGGGAACAGAUAUUUCCUUUGGUAACGGUCCAGGCUCUUUCGCGUGGUAUUUCUGACCACACGCCUUUAUUUGUGGACUCUGGUGAGCCAACCCACAUGGGGAACAAAAACUCCUUUUCUUUCGAGCUGGCAUGGUUUGAACGAGAAGGCUUCUUGGAUAUGAUAGCCAGGGAAUGGGCUAAGGAUGCAGGAGGUAGGACUUCGAUUGAGCGCUGACAGAAUAAGAUAAGGCACUUGAGAAGUUUCUUGCGUGCGUGGGCUAAGCAUCUUAGUGGGGUUUAUAAGGUCGAAAAGGAAAGGCUCCUUACACUUAUUCAGUCUCUAGAUUUAAAAGCCGAGUCCACAAUUUUGCAAGCCACAGAGCUUCAUGAUAAACUGGAGGCGGAGAUGAGAUUGAAAGAGCUUCUCCGUGAAGAGGAAUUAAAGUGGGCGCUGCGGGCUAAGGUUCGCAAAGUUGUCCAGGGGGACGCGAAUACUCAAUUCUUUCACAUGAUCGCUAAUGGCAAGCACAGAAAGAAUAGAAUCUUUCAGCUUGAACCAAGAUGAAGGAACGAUUUUAGGACAGGAAAACCUAAAAUUAUACAUAACCGAAUACUACAAGCAGUUGUUUGGGCCUCUGGAGGAUAAUUGUGUAUCCCUGGAUGAGUCUAGGAUUGAGGAUGUGCCUCAACUUACUGCUGAUGAGAAUGAUAUUUUGAUUGCCCCUUUUUCGGGGAAAGAGGUGUUUGAAGCCAUUACACAGAUGAAAAACAAUAAGGCUCCAGGGCCGGAUGGAUUUCCGGCGGAAUUCUAUAAAAAGUGUUGGCAUAUUAUUAAGGGGGAUUUGCAACCAAUGUUCCAUGAUUUAUUCUCUGGACAGCUUCAGUUAUUUCACUUGAACUUUGGAAUGAUAACAUUGCUUCCUAAGAAAACAAAGGCUGUGAGAAUUGAGCAGUUCAGGCCGAUCUGUCUUCUCAAGGUUAGUUUCAAAAAUUUCACAAAGGUUGGGACUAAUAGGCUCACGCAGACUGCGCAUUCUGUGGUGCAGCAUUCCCAAACUGCUUUCAUGCCGGACAGAAACAUCCUAGAAGGGGUUGUGGUCCUUCAUGAAACGCUCCACGAAAUUCACACGAAAAAACUAGAUGGAGUUGUUUUCAAGGUGGAUUUCGAGAAAGCGUACGAUAAAGUCAAAUGGCCUUUCCUUCAACAGGCCUUACAUAUGAAAGGUUUUGAUGAAGCCUGGCGACGCCAGGUAGAAUCUUUCACGCAAAAAGGGAGUGUUGGAAUUAAAGUGAAUGACGACAUAGGUCAUUAUUUCCACACACAUAAGGGCCUGAGACAAGGGGUUCCGAUGUCUCCUAUUUUGUUCAACAUUGUAGUUGAUAUGUUGGCAAUUCUAAUAGGAAGGGCUAAGGAGGUUGGUCAGGUGGGUGGCUUGGUGUCUCAUCUAGUUGAUGGAGGUGUGUCUAUCCUACAGUACAGCGAGAAAUAUGAAGCUGGUGUUAUGCUUAUUUGAACAAUUGACCGGGUUAAAGAUUAACUUUCACAAAAGCAAAUUGUUCUGCUUUGGAAGAGCCAAUGAGGAACAAGAGGCUUAUAGGCAAUUGUUUGGGUGCGAAUUGGGGACCUUACCAUUUACGUAUUUAGGUAUACCAAUUCACCAUCGUAAGCUGACAAACACAGAAUGGAAGUGUAUCGAGGAUCUCUUUGAGAAGAAACUGAGUUGCUGGAAGGGCAAGCUCAUGUCAUACGGAGGCCGAUUAAUUCUGAUUAAUUUGGUUCUCACGAGUAUGCCUAUGUUUCUCUUGUCUUUGUUCGAAGUCCCAGUUGGAGUUAGGAAAAGGCUGGACUUCUAUCGAUCCCGAUUCUUCUGGCAGAGCGAUGAACUAAAAAGAAAAUACAGACUCACCAAAGGGAUAUUAUCUGUCGACCGAAAGACCAAGGGGGUCUUGGCAUUGAAAAUCUUGAGGUCAAGAACAGAUGUCUUCGCAGCAUGUGGCUGUCUAAGUUAUCUGUAGAGAUCGAUGCCACAUGGGCGCAGAUUCUUAGUAGUAAGUAUCUUCAUUCCAAAACUUUGUCCCAGGUGACAGCGAGGCCGACAGACUCACCUUUUUGGAAAGGGCUUAUGAUAGUCAAAUUAGCCUUUUUUAAUAGGACAAAGUUUAUUAUCGUCAAUGGCGCUAGCACGCGAUUCUGGGAGGAUACUUGGCUCGGAGAGACCCCCUUGCACUUCAAUACCCGUCUCUGUAUCGUAUUGUUCAACGACGUGAUGCUUUCGUUGCAACGAUACUUCAAUCCAUCCCCCUUAAUAUUUAGGUCAGGAGGACGCUAGCCGGUAAUCGUUGGGAAGAGUGGCUCCAUCUAGUGAGUAGACUGAUGGAGGUUCAGCUGUCUCAACAGCCCGAUCAAUUACGCUGGAAACUUACUAGGUCUGGAGAGUGUACAGUUAAAUCAAUGUAUCUCGAUGUGAUCAAUUCUAGCUCUAUUCCUAGUUCCAAAUAUGUUUCGACAGUCAAAGUUCCAUUGAAAAUUAAAGUGUUUACGUGGUUUGUACAUAAACAAGUCAUCUUAACCAAGGACAAUUUGGCAAAGCGUAACUGGACAGGACCUACUAAGUGUAGUUUUUGUGAUCGGGAUGAAACUAUCAAACACCUUUUUCUUGAUUGCUCGAUGGCCAAAGUUCUAUGUCGGACAGUCCACAUAGCCUUUGACAUUUCCGAGUUCUGUUAGCACGUUAUUUGGAACGUGGCUUAAUGGGAUAGAGUCCGAAACAGCGAGACACAUUCGCGUAGGAGUAUGUGCUUUAUUGUGGGCAGUCUGGAACUGCAGAAAUGAUUUGGUUUUUAACAGAACAACAAAUAUUCAUUUUUUGCAGGUUAUCUUCCAAGCCACUGCGUUGAUCCGUACGUGGUCACUACUCACUCCGACGGAGGCCAGGGAGCGUUUGGUUACUGGAUCUAUCCGGUGGGAGAUGGUAGCACGGGAUAUCUUCAACCGGUUUGAAUGGCGGUCAUGUAAUAGGAUAGGCAAUUAGUUUACCUAUCUUUCUUAUGCCGGCCGAUUGUGGCUUUUUGGCUAGUUUGUUAUUGGCCCUUUGGCUCUUUAUGAGCUUUCCUUUACUUUCGUUUGAGACUUUAAGACCUUGUUAAACCUAUUUGCUUUUUUAUAAAGUUGGCCGUAUGCAUCGUUCUGAUGCAGAGGCCGGGGAGCCCCCACUUUUCGAAAAAAAACCUCUUGUUAUCUUGUAUUCUUGUGUGACAAUGCUCGAAGAAUAUAAAAGGGCUAGGUGGAAAGACCCCCAUAUCGAAAACUUGCCUACCUACGAGUUUUAUAGACACAGAGCCUCAUUGGAUUGUACUAGAUGGAGCCUCCAGUGAGAGCUGAAGACGAGGCGAUGAGCACGGAGGAGCUGCUCCAAGCCCAGACGGAUCUCUACCACCACUCCCUAGCCUACAUCAAAUCUAUGGCGCUCGGUGCCGCCACAGAACUCAGCGUCGCCGACGCCAUCCACGGCCGUGGCGGUGCCAUCACCUUGUCUGACCUUGCGGCCGCGACCGGCGUCCACCCGACGAAAGUCCAACACUUCGGGCGGCUGAUGCGCGCGCUUACCGUCACUGGUGUCUUCACCUCGGAAGAAAAAGAAGGCGGUGGUGGUGCCCUGUACAAGCUCACUCGGAUUUCACGCCUCCUUCUCGGAGUCGGCAAGCGUCGGCUCUCCCCGAUGGUGCGUAUGCUUGUCAGCGAGGUCAGUUUCACUACUCCCAUGAGCAUCUGCGAGUGGAUCACCACUGAGACGCCGGCCAGGGCCAUGUUCGAGGCCCAUUUUGGCUCUACGCAAAAUGGGUUGUGGGAGAAGGACGACGCGUAUGGUGCCCCCUUCUACUCAGCAAUGGCUGCGGACAGCCGUCUCGUCAUGGAGGUUCUGCUGAGAGAGUGCAGCAGCGUCUUUGAGGCCGUUGCCGGCUCACUUGUCGAUGUCGGCGGCGGCAGCGGAGGAGUCGUGGCUGCCGCCAUUGCCACAGCGUUCCCUCACAUCAAGUGCUCCGUGCUGGACCUCCCCAACGUGGUAGCCGCGGCUGACGACACCACCAACGUGCAGUUUGUCUCCGGCGAUAUGUUUGACUACAUUCCACCAGCGGAUGCCGUUCUACUCAAGGUACGUACUUACAUAGUACUCCCUCCGUAAGGAUAUAUAAGAGCAUUUAGAUCAUUAUUAUUUUAGUGAUUGAUCCAAACGCACUUAUAUUUCUUUACAGAGGGAGUAGCACAUACAAAUGCAGCAAGCUAUCCAUUUCUUAUAUAUAUAAUGAACCAAAUUAAUCAACCAAUCCUUCCUAUAAAUUUUGUAGUGGAUUUUGCAUGACUGGGAAGACCAAGACUGCGUCAAGAUACUGCGCAAGUGCAGAGAGGCCAUCCGCACAAGAGGUGCUGGGGGGAAGGUGAUUAUAAUCGAUUUCGUCGUCGGUGCUGGUUCUUGCAAGGAGACGGAGACACAGGUUCUGUUUGAUCUUUACAUGAUGAUGGAGAAUGGGGCUGAGCGGGACGAGCAAGAGUGGAGCAAGAUUUUCUUUGAAGCUGGAUUUAGUGACUACAAGAUCAUGCCAGUCUUAGGCGCUCGUUCACUCAUUCAAGUAUUCCCAUGAAUUCUGGCGGUUUGAUGUCCAAAUGUACUUCCUGUUUCCAAAUGUUUGUUUGCUUUCACAUCAGAAUAAUGCCUAGGACUAUACUAUAUAGUCUCGACUUUGAAUCUGAAUAAUGAAACUGUUUGUUAUCCUACGUGUUGUUUUCGUUCAUAAUUCAUAUGCUCACAAUGAAAUACAGUCUGCUAUUUUUGUUUACAUUAAAUUAUACUUUACCUAGCAAUAUGGUAAACAGGCUCACUUAGCAGAGGCUGGCUUGUUCGCUUAUUCGCCGCCCUAGGAAUGCGAGCUCCUUGCCGAAAUGAAAUUCUAGUAGCACUGGUUACUAUCGGGUCCUGCAUGUUCGUCAUUUGUGCAAGUAAACACAAUGCAUACGAGUACUCUACUGAAUUGAACUUUUUUGUAUUGUUUUCAUUGGACCAUCCACUGUAUAGUAACAGAGUAUUUAUUGCACACAGACUAUUUUAUUCUUUCAACCCAUAGUUCAUCCACCCACACUUUUAGUCUGAUUCUAAAAUUUGUAACACUUUUAAAUUUUGAACUUGUUCUGAACAAGUAAAAUUCCAAAUUUGACACCAUAAUGAAACUUAUGUCAAAUGUGAGAUCAUAUGAAAUGAAACUGAAGUGAACCAAUAAUAAAAAAUGCAAAAAUAAUUUAAUAAACCAUAAUAAAACUUAUAUCAAAUUUGAGAUGAAACAUAGACGAAUUGUGGAUUGAAACAAUAACGAAAACAAGCUAAGGGGAAUCUAUGAAUAAAUAAUGAGAACAUGUAAAAUUACGAUGACACGGAAAUGAUAUCGUAUGGAAAAUAUGCUAAGAGAACACUUUCAUUGGCCAGCCCAACCAUGAAAGGUAAUUUAACAAAAUGAUAUGAAACUUAUUUGAAAGCUCGAAAAAUAGAAAUAAAACCAGAAUGAAAAUAAUAAUGAAACAUGUAAAAAUACGAUGAAACACAUAUGUAAAAAUAAGGCCGCGAGAUCGUCGUCCUCUGAGUUGGAAGUUUAUGGUGAAGGUGACGUGGGAUCCAUUGCAGGCGCGCCCGGGGUCUGGUGUGGUUGUGGAACACAUAUGUGGAGAUCAUAGUAGCGGUGAAUGACGAACGUGAGCGCUCCGAAGAAUAUGGUGCAGGAAGGAGAAGUCGGUCUGUUAGUGUAGAACCGGCCUUCUGCGAUGAAGGUGAGGAAGCCGAUGGUUAAGCCGUGAGAUUGCCAGCCGUUAUUGAGGAUCUGAUCUAGAGUCGGUCCCCAGCUGACAUAGCCCCUUCCUGUGCUAACUGAUGGUAUGGGAAUUUGCGAGUAUCCUUUGUAGGGUGGCGAACAUGUCCGGAAGUACAAGAAGGGAGUUCGCCAAGGGGGUUUUCCAGAUUUGCGCCCUCAUGGCGAGGAAAUACCUUACGUCCUGCUAUUUGUUUUCUAUUGAUGAUGGAGAACGUUGAGCGAGGGGUUACAAGGGACAUAAAUAUGGCCAUAGGAGUAUAGUCUACGGGAGUAGAUUGGAAUCGCUACCCCUAUCCUCACCUUAUAUAGGUGACGGGGCUAGGUUUUACAUGGCGCCUACAUGAUCUCACACUGCCAUCAUCUUGGCUUCCACCCAAGAUGGUCUUCUGGCUUCCAGGACCCCCGGGCUGUCUCUUGAUGCCAGACCUCCUUCAAGACUUUUGGGCCCGAAGGCCGGCCCACUAUUGGGUUCAUAUCUAGUGUGCCAUCCACGUUGUAAUGCACCAUCACCAACCCCGAUUUCUGGGGCCUUAAGAGUGAAGCGAUUCCUAAUUCUUCUUGGUAACAUGCCAAAGUGUUGUGUCCCAAAGGCUCGACUGGGUAUUUUCGUCAUUGCGGUUGAUAUGGAGAAGGGGUGGGUCGCAUGGAGGCAGAAAUGGGUAAAUGAAGACAGAAACGAGGGGCUGGCCUGACAGUGGUUCAUGUAGACGACGAGCAAGAGCAUGUGGCCAAUUUUUCCGCAAGCGUUAGAAGCAUAGCCAUAAUUCCAGAAAUUUUAGUGGCGGCAACUGAAUUUGCCCUAUUAUAAGAAGGUAUUGCCCCACAACGGUGCGCACACGGGUGACCUUCCUCUUGGUCCAAUGACAGGUGGGCCAUGGACUCGCCGGGGGCCAUAUUAAUGGGACAUUGUCUAUCGUGCUCUUGUGAUUUCUCUCUCGGGUGAUGGGCGGGCUAGACCCACCUGUCGGUUUUUUCGGACACCGUUGGGCUGGCUCAGGUGUGCCAGGGGGCCAGGUCAGACUGUGGUGGGCCUAGACCCCGGCGGGUGUGCGUCGUUCAGGAUGGCCGGCCACGCGGGUGUGCCAUGCUGUUUGAUCGCGAGAGCUGGCAAAGCACGGGCACCAGGUUGUUCGGCUUGUGUGAGCGAAACAGGCGACGGUGAGUCUAUCGUCCAAGAGACGGGCCGAAUAUACCGACAGGCGGAUCAGGCUUCCUGCUCUUGUGCAAUACGAUGAGAAAGGGUUCUCGCGGGAGCACCGAGGCCGCUCCAUGAGAGUGGCCCUGCACGCACCCGCGGUCCACCCGUCAUGGACCCCCGAGUGCACGUCCACUAGUUGAAAACGGAGUUUUAUCACCGGUUCGUAAGGGCCUUUAGUGCCGGUUCUGCAACCGGCACUAAAGAGUGGGGACUAAAGGUCCCCCUUUAGUACCGGUUUGGCACGAACCGGCGUAAACGUGCCACCACGUGGCACGAGCCAGGCCUGGGUGCGUGUAGGACAUUAGUACCGGUUGGUAACACAACCGGUACUAAAUGUUUGGGUGUGUUUUGGUUUUAAUUUUUAUUUUUCCUUUAGUUUUGUGUUUUCAAUUUAAUUUAGUGAUUGUUUUACAUUAUAAUGAGUUGUUAAAUCAUUAGGUGAAAGUACCGCAGAUUAGUUUCGACUGGAUGCAUGUGGAUCCUAGCUAAGUGAUAAAGUAUAUGCCAUAUCCAUAUUACUUAGAUCUAAGUAAUAUGGAUAUGGCAUAUAGUUGAUCACUUAGCUAGGAUCCAUCCAGUUGAAACUAAUAUGCGGUUUCUUUCAUAAAUGAUAUAAUAACUCAUCAUCAUCAUCAUCAUAUUAAUAUAAAAACUCUUGCAUCAUAUCAUCACCAACAACAGUAUAUACUAGCUAGCAAAGAUAUCAUCGAGUUCAACAUGGUCAUGAUAUUAUAAGCAUUCAUAACACCACAAAAGCAAAUCACUCUUUGAGAUUAAGUUCAUGACGAAGAACACGGACACGCAUGAGAGGACAAGAAGUACUAAGAGCAUGAUAACUAGCUAAAUCACUCCUGCUGCUCUCUCUCAGGUAAAAUAGCAUAGAACAUGUAUAGCUCUCCUGAUUCAUCAUAUUGGAUCAUGCAGAUGAACCUGUCUCCUAAUCGUGGGCUGCGCUUCUGAUUGCUGCCCCCUAGUACUUCUUUGCGAUCGUUAACAAUUUUGCUCCAAUCUUUCACUAUUAAGCAUUCAUCGCUUUCAGAAAUUCUGAAUGCACUCAUGUGCACUGUAGGAUAUCUUGGCCGUAAGCUAACAAUUGACAUGCGACCUUUAGUCUUGAUCCACUGAGGCACAACUAUUAAGCAUUCAUCGCUUUCAGAAAUUCUGAAUGCACUCAUGUGCACUGUAGGAUAUCUUGGCCGUAAGCUAACAAUUGACAUGCGACCUUUAGUCUUGAUCCACUGAGGCACAACUGUCAUCGGGAGUCCCUGUUGAAGAACAUCGUAUAGUAAUUAAUAUACUUAGCAAUGAAAGUUUAGCUUGAAAAAUAAUGUAUGCAAAAGAUGCACUGAGGACUAAUAGUAAAAAUCUUACCAUCUUUCCUAAAUACAUGUGACCGUAGUUCAAUACGAUCACUAUUGGUCGCACGUUUUGAGUACUAAGAUUUUCAAAUUCAGGAAAAUGAUUUCUCUUAACAGCAUCAAGAUCCUCAAGCCAUGAAACAUAAUGACUUAUCUCCUCGCAGUUUAGUUCAGCCCCGGGACAGUGGAUGGUCCUGUCUACCAAGCGCCGAACAUGUUUGCUUGAAUCAAAAUAAGCUGUCAAUAGAAAUUACUUGUCAACUAUUUUUGAAUAAACAAUAUCGAAGACAUAAAUAUGGUUGAGAAACUCACAUAAUGGUAGAACUGGAGGCAUCUGCACAUCGACCCAGAUAUCUCUAUUACCUUCAAUAUCAUCUUCCGGACGAAUAUCAAAGGUGAUAACCAUAUCAGGCUCAAAUGCAUAAGUCUUGCAUAGUGCUUGCCAAGUUUUGCAUUCAAAAUAGGUGUAUGUGUCUGCAUUGUAUAAUUUGACGUUGAAAGUAUAACCAUGCUCGGUCUUCAGGUAAACUCUCUUUGCCUCCAUAGUUUCCAUAGCACUGAAACCUAUCUUAUCCAAGACAAAAAUUCUUGCAUGGCAGGGGAUGCGCUACUACAAUAGUGAAAAUUAAAAAUUAUAAGUUGAAGCAAAUGAAGCAUAAGUCAUGCUUAAUUAUGAAAAAAGACUUGUCGUUGUGACUUACUGUAUCCACUUCGAAGGUCUCAUCCAGCUUGAUGCUGAAGCGCCUAUCAUCAACAAGGAAAUUUCUGUCGCACAGGCCGCGCUGGUCUUCACAGUAUUCGCACUUAAUGAAAUCUUUUUCGUCGUCAGACGACAUUUCCUAUGUUCAUAUAGGUGAAACAUUAAACACUUACUAGUUCUAUUAAUUCAACUAGUUCAACUACUUCUAUUAAUUCAACUAGUUCUAUCAAUUCAACUAGUUCUAUUAAUUCAACUAAUUCAACUAAGCAUUUACUAAAAAUAAACUAGUUCUAUAUAUAUAUAUAUAUUAAUAUUUUAAUUAGAUCAUCAAAUCUCAAAUACCUAAAUUUUCUUACUAAAAAUAAACCAGUUCUAUUAAUUCAACAAAUUCAACUAAGAAUUUACUAAAAAUGAACUAGUUAUAUUAAUUUUCUUACUAAAAUAUAUAAAGUAGCUAUGUAUAGUAAUAUUUUAAUUAGAUCAUCAAAUCUCUUAUACCUAAAUUUUCUUACUAAAAAUAAACNNNNNNNNNNNNNNNNNNNNNNNNNNNNNNNNNNNNNNNNNNNNNNNNNNNNNNNNNNNNNNNNNNNNNNNNNNNNNNNNNNNNNNNNNNNNNNNNNNNNNNNNNNNNNNNNNNNNNNNNNNNNNNNNNNNNNNNNNNNNNNNNNNNNNNNNNNNNNNNNNNNNNNNNNNNNNNNNNNNNNNNNNNNNNNNNNNNNNNNNNNNNNNNNNNNNNNNNNNNNNNNNNNNNNNNNNNNNNNNNNNNNNNNNNNNNNNNNNNNNNNNNNNNNNNNNNNNNNNNNNNNNNNNNNNNNNNNNNNNNNNNNNNNNNNNNNNNNNNNNNNNNNNNNNNNNNNNNNNNNNNNNNNNNNNNNNNNNNNNNNNNNNNNNNNNNNNNNNNNNNNNNNNNNNNNNNNNNNNNNNNNNNNNNNNNNNNNNNNNNNNNNNNNNNNNNNNNNNNNNNNNNNNNNNNNNNNNNNNNNNNNNNNNNNNNNNNNNNNNNNNNNNNNNNNNNNNNNNNNNNNNNNNNNNNNNNCUGGGGCGGCGAUGGGGGCGGCGACGACGGCGGCGACGACGACGGCGACAGGAUGGGCUGGGGCGCGAUAGGGGCGGCGACGGGGGCGAAGAACAAACUGAAACGAACUGAAAAUAUUCGUAAGUGGUGCUUAUAUAGCGGUGGCCAUUAGUACCGGUUUGAUACUAAAGGCCUAUUUUGGCCAGGCCAAGAGGCGGGAAGAGCAGGCCUUUAGUACCGGUUGGUGGCUCCAACCGGUACUAAAGACCCACCUUUAGUACCGGGUUGGGCUACCAACCGGUACUAAAGGGGGUGCGCUGCCACCCGCGGUGUAGAAAGUUUAGUCCCACCUCGCCGGGCGAAGGGCAGCCGCACUGGUUUAUAAACCCAGCCGCGGCUGCUACUUUGAACUCCCUUGUAAAGCAGGCUUCUGGGCCUAACUAUGGCACGCUGCCCUGUGAGCCUGCUGGCCCUUGUGGGCCUGAAUUUCCACGCCCGUGGUCUUGUAGGCCCAUUGGGAAGCGCCCCAAUAAUUUUUUAUAUAGUUUGUUUCUUUUCUUCUUUAUUUAUUUUCUUCUAUUUAUUUCUGAGUAGUUUUUUAUAUAGUUUUUUCUUUUCUGCUUUUUUUUAUUUUCUUCUAUUUAUUUCGGAUUAGUUUUUUAUAUAUUUUUUUCUUUUCCCCAAAUCGGUAAAUGACUGAAAAAUAGCAAAUGUUGUCAGAAAGUGUUGAAAAUUGAUGACGUCGCUUUGAAUGGUGUGUAUGGAACGCAAAAAAGUCUGGAGUUGUAAUAAGUUUAAAAAAAUGAAGUGCCCAUGUAACAGAUGAGUUCUCGUCAGAAACCCUGAUACUACAAAAAAGAUAGUCCAGUUUGUACACGAAGUGCGUCCAGUUUUUGCCAUAACCCUCUCUACUCUUUUGCACAUGCUAUGUGGGUGAAAUGAUGAUACCAUGCCAAGUUUUGACAUUUUCAGAGUUUAUUUUGUAGUGAUUUUCAAUUUCACGGUCAUUUAACUCUCUAAACAAAUCGGUAAAUGACUGAAAAAUAGCAAAUGAUGUCAGAAAGUGUUGAAAAUUGAUGACGUCGCUUUGAAUGGUGCGUACGGAACGCAAAAAAGUCUGGAGUUGUAAUAAGUUUAAAAAAAUGAAGUGCCAGUGUAACAGAUGAGUUCUCGUCCGAAACCCUGAUACUCCGAAAGAGAUUGUCCAGUUUGUACACGAAGUGCGUCCAGUUUUUGCCGUAAUCCUCUCUACUCUUUUGCACAUGCUGUGUGGGUGAAAUGAUGAUACCAUGCCAAGUUUCGACAUUUUCAGAGUUCAUUUUGUAGUGAUUUUCAAUUUCACGGUCAUUUAGCUCUCUAAACAAAUCGGUAAAUGACUACAAAAGUGCAAAUAAUGUCAGAAAGUUUUGAAAAAUGAUGACGUCGCUUUGAAUGGUGUGUACGGAACGCAAAAAAGUCUGGAGUUGUAAUAAGUCUGAAAAAUCGAAGUGCCAAUGUAACAGAUGAGUUCUCGUCAGAAACCCUUAUACUUCGAAAGAGAUUGUCCAGUUUGUACACGAAGUGCGUCCAGUUUUUGCCGUAACCCUCUCUACUCUUUUGCACAAGCUAUGUGGGUGAAAUAAUGAUACCACACCAAGUUUCGACAUUUUCAGAGUUGAUUUUGUAGUGAUUUUCAAUUUCACGGUCAUUUAGCUCUCUAAACAAAUCGAUAAAUGACUGAAAAAUAGUAAAUGAUGUUAGAAAGUGUUGAAAAUUGAUGACGUCGCUUUGAAUGGUGCGUACGGAACGCAAAAAAAGUCUGUUGUUGUAAUAAGUUUAAAAAAAUGAAGUGCCAGUGUAACAGAUGAGUUCUCGUUCGAAACCCUGAUACUCCGAAAGAGAUUGUCCAGUUUGUACACGAAGUGCGUCCAGUUUUUGCCGUAACCCUCUCUAAUCUUUUGCACAUGCUAUGUGGGUGAAAUGAUGAUACUAUGCCAAGUUUCGACAUUUUCAGAGUUCAUUUUGUAGUGAUUUUCAAUUUCACGGUCAUUUAGCUCUCUAAACAAAUCGGUAGAUGACUAAAAAAUAGCAAAUGAUGUCAGAAAGUUUUGAAAAUUGAUGACGUCGCUUUGUAUGGCGUGUACGGAACGCAAAAAAUUCUGGAGUUGUAAUAAGUUUAAAAAAAUGAAGUACCCAUGUAACAGAUGAGUUCUCGUCAGAAACCCUGAUACUCCAAAAGAGAUUGUCCAGUUUGUACACGAAGUGCGUCCAGUUUUUGCCGUAACCCUCUCUACUCUUUUGCACAUGCUGUGUGGGUGAAAUGAUGAUACCAUGCCAAGUUUCGACAUUUUCAGAGUUCAUUUUGUAGUGAUUUUCAAUUUCACGGUCAUUUAGCUCUCUAAACAAAUCGGUAAAUGACUAAAAAAUAGCAAAUGAUGUCAGAAAGUGUUGAAAAUUGAUGACGUCGCUUUGAAUGGUGCGUACGGAACGCAAAAAAAGUCUNNNNNNNNNNNNNNNNNNNNNNNNNNNNNNNNNNNNNNNNNNNNNNNNNNNNNNNNNNNNNNNNNNNNNNNNNNNNNNNNNNNNNNNNNNNNNNNNNNNNNNNNNNNNNNNNNNNNNNNNNNNNNNNNNNNNNNNNNNNNNNNNNNNNNNNNNNNNNNNNNNNNNNNNNNNNNNNNNNNNNNNNNNNNNNNNNNNNNNNNNNNNNNNNNNNNNNNNNNNNNNNNNNNNNNNNNNNNNNNNNNNNNNNNNNNNNNNNNNNNNNNNNNNNNNNNNNNNNNNNNNNNNNNNNNNNNNNNNNNNNNNNNNNNNNNNNNNNGACUAAAAAUAGCAAAUGAUGUCAGGAAGUGUUGAAAAUUGAUGACGUCACUUUGAAUGGUGCGUACGGAACGCAAAAAAAGUCUGGAGUUGUAAUAAGUUUAGAAAAAUGAAGUGCCAAUGUAACAGAUGAGUUCUCGUCAGAAACGGUGAUACUCCGAAAGAGAUUGUCCAGUUUGUACACGAAGUGCGUCCAGUUUUUGCCGUAAUCAUCUCUAUUCUUGUGCACAUGCUGUGUGGGUGAAAUGAUGAUACCAUGCCAAGUUUUGACAUUUUCAGAGUUCAUUUUGUAGUGAUUUUCAAUUUCACGGUCAUUUAGCUCUCUAAACAAAUCGGUAAAUGACUACAAAAGUGCAAAUAAUGUCAGAAAGUUUUGAAAAAUGAUGACGUCGCUUUGAAUGGUGUGUACGGAACGCAAAAAAGUCUGGAGUUGUAAUAAGUCUGAAAAAAUGAAGUGCCAAUGUAACAGAUGAGUUCUCGUCAGAAACCCUUAUACUUCGAAAGAGAUUGUCCAGUUUGUACACGAAGUGCGUCCAGUUUUUGCCGUAACCCUCUCUACUCUUUUGCACAUGCUAUGUGGGUGAAAUGAUGAUAUCACGCCAAGUUUCGACAUUUUCAAAGUUGAUUUUGUAGUGAUUUUCAAUUUCACGGUCAUUUAGCUCUCUAAACAAAUCGAUAAAUGACUGAAAAAUAGUAAAUGAUGUCAGAAAGUGUUGAAAAUUGAUGACGUCGCUUUGAAUGGUGCGUACGGAACGCAAAAAAAGUCUGUUGUUGUAAUAAGUUUAAAAAAAUGAGUUGCCAGUGUGACAGAUGAGUUCUCGUUCGAAACCCUGAUACUCCGAAAGAGAUUGUCCAGUUUGUACACGAAGUGCGUUCAGUUUUUGCCGUUACUCUCUCUACUCUUUUGCACAUGCUAUGUGGGUGAAAUGAUGAUACUAUGCCAAGUUUCGACAUUUUCAGAGUUCAUUUUGUUGUGAUUUUCAAUUGCACGGUCAUUUAGCUCUCUAAACAAAUCGGUAGAUGACUAAAAAAUAGCAAAUGAUGUCAAAAAGUUUUCAAAAUUGAUGACGUCGCUUUGUAUGGUGUGUACGGAACUCAAAAAAUCUGGAGUUGUAAUAAGUUUAAAAAAAUGAAGUGCCCAUGUAACAGAUGAGUUCUUGUCAGAAACCCUGAUACUUCGAAAGAGAUUGUCCAGUUUGUACACGAAGUGCGUCCAGUUUUUGCCGUAACCCUCUCUACUCUUUUGCACAUGCUGUGUGGGUGAAAUGAUGAUACUAUGCCAAGUUUCGACAUUUUCAGAGUUCAGUUUGUAGUGAUUUUCAAUUUCACGGUCAUUUAGCUCUCUAAACAAAUCGGUAAAUGACUGAAAGAUAGCAAAUGAUGUCAGAAAGUGUUGAAAAUUGAUGGCGUCGAUUUGAAGGGUGCGUACGGAACGCAAAAAAAGUCUGGAGUUGUAAUAAGUUUAAAAAAAUGAAAUGCCAGUGUAACAGAUGAGUUCUCGUCCGAAACCCUGAUACUCCGAAAGAGAUUGUCCAGUUUGUACACGAAGUGCGUCCAGUUUUUGCCGUAACCCUCUCUACUCUUUUGCACAUGCUAUGUGGGUGAAAUGAGGAUACCAUGCCAAGUUUCGACAUUUUUAGAGUUCAUUUUGUAGUGAUUUUCAAUUUCACGGUCAUUUAGCUCUCUAAACAAAUCGGUAAAUGACUAAAAAAUAGCAAAUGAUGUCAGAAAGUUUUGAAAAUUGAUGACGUCGCUUUGAAUGGUGUGUACGGAACUCAAAAAAGUCUGGAGUUAUAAUAAGUUUUAAAAAAUAAAGUGCCCAUGUAACAGAUGAGUUCUCGUCAGAAACCCUGAUACUUCGAAAGAGAUUGUCCAGUUUGUACAGGAAGUGAGUCCAGUUUUUGCCGUAACACAAGAAGUCCGGAGUUGUUAUAAGUUAUUAAAGAUAAAAAAGAGGCACAAUGCUCGUUAAUUAGCUUCAAGCCUUUCGGAAUAGUGCAAACUGCACUGCACAUAGCUCCGUGCAGUCUACACUAUUCCUCAAGGCUUAAAGCUAAGCAACGUGUAGAUGAGCAUUUCACGGUCAUUUAGCUCUCUAAGCUAAUCUAGUAGCCAUGUUAAGUCGAUAAUGACGUGGAAUUGUUAUAUGACAUGCAAAUACCUUCUGAGUUAAUGGCACUAGUCAUCAACCCGUGCAACUGCAUGGGCUAGUUUUUUAAACGGUUCAUAGUUACAAUACUUUUCAUGACCACUUGUUUCUUUGCAUCCAGCAAGAAUAUAAAUUUGUUGUGUGUGAACCAUUAAAUGAACAAUUAAUAUGAAAAUAGAAAACUUAUAUCCUGAAAGUUUACAAUCUUCAUAAAAUAUUUAUAUUUUAUUUUAAGACAAACGGGAAAUUAAAAAUCCUACUUAUAGAGAUCCUGAAACAUAAUUCAAAUGUCGCAUAAAUUACGUAAUUUUGAAUGAUAAGUACUAAAAAUGUAAUAAUUUGUUUAGUUAAUAUUAAUCCUUUUUUUAUUUGGGAGUCUACUUAAUCAUGGGGUAUUUUGCAUAAUGCUUAGGCUUGUCAAAUGAAAUAAGCAUUUCAUAACAACAGUGUACCUCCCUACAGUUUAAUAACAAACUUACUCUACAAACACCGAAAACCGAACCAAAGACUGAAGAAGCAAUCAUAAGUGUCAUACUUCUUAAAUUCUCCUUUUUUUUCCCGGCACCACCCAUGGAGUAGUCUUUCCACCGUGUUUGACUCUCGUUGUGGUAGCAAAUGAUGGGUCCAAGUUUUCGCAUAGUAUUGUCCGUUUGUUUUAUCAUGAUAGAGUACUCCAUUAGUUGGCACCGCUCUUAUAUUUGUGUGUGAUCUUUUAGCAGUUCAACAUUAUAGUUCUUCCACCCAUAUGUUCGCAAUGUUAAAUCUAUGGAGAAAAAGAUUCAAAUCUUCACUAUUGUACCACAAAAGCAAGUCACAUGAAUAGCUCGCAAUUAUUUAACUACUGGUGGUUGGUGCCAGGUAUAUUAGCGUUAGGAAAGUAAAUGUACAUACUGAACAUUUGACUGUGGAAGAAAAUGAAUUUUCUUAUUUACUCUUAUUGAAUUCUAAAUAUAUUUUGGAUAUUUGUUUUCAGUAAUACACCUAAUUUUGGAAAAUCUAUUUCAUAGCCUUGUAUUUUUGAAAUAUUUUACAAAACAUGACACAAAUUGUUGUGUUUUUUCACAUACAUAUUUAUAACAUUAAUACACUCUUUAUAUGUAAUGUGAUAUUUAUUAUAUAAUUUUUUAAUCAUACAUAACUAAAUUCUUAUUAUUUUCAAAUCACAAAUUUUAAAUGAUAUGAUAACUUACAUUUUAAAAGCUCUAUUUCGGGACAUUAUAACUAAAAACUAUCUGAGCGAAUCGGGCACCAUAAUGUAUUUGGUGUCUACACUUUGUCGCAUACAUAGCCUUUUUUAUUUUUAAUGUAAUUGCUAAAAUAUGUAAUUAUGUAGAACUUAAUAUUACAUUCUAUUACACAGAUUGGACUUAUAUAGGUUGGAAAAGAAUUAAAUCUAUGCUGUCAAACCUACCGAAUAGCAUUCCUCCGGCACAUUGUAUAUCUGGCAUUUAUUAGUAAUGUGUCUAAAUCAGUUCGGGAUAAAUUCACUCUACAUCGUCAUAAUGGCUUGUUGUUAAAAUUUGGCAUCCUGACGCAUUACUUGGAAUUUUUAUAAACUCAGUGUAAACAGUUAUGUUAUCUUUUUAAACAUAAGUUAUUUAGUUCAAUUCGGAGUACUAUAUAGUAAUUUUCAACAGUAAAUCUAGCCUAUUUCAACUCGGUCAUUAUAAACAAUAAAUCUAGCCUGUUUCAACUCGGCCAUUAUAUUUAACUUAUUUAAGACAUAAGGUAAUCUAACUUUUGAACAAUCUUUAGAAAUCUACAUAUGUAGAGGUCAAGUAGGACAUACAUAUGUGAAAUUCCUUAAAAUAAUUUGAUAAUUGUUAUAUUAAAGAAAAUAAUAUUAUAAUUUAUUAUCUGUACUUACUAUAAUUGCAAUACUUUUUGAUAGCAUGUUCCCGUUGCAUAGUGUCGCUUACUGCACAAUAUCUUAAUUUGUUAUGUGUCUCGGAUAGAAAAAUAUUGUAUUUCCGCGUAUGUAUAUGCAUGUCUAUAUAUGUUUCACACACAUGAAAUUUUUUUAUAUAUUAAAAAAUGAUUUCGCCUGAGUUACAUCCAUGCAUGCUAAUUUCCUGUCUAUCAUUGGAGUUUAGAUCUAUGCAUGUAUGUGCUUGACUAAGCUCUGCACAUAUAUACGUGCCGGUCAAAUCAUAUACAUGAACGUACAUCACUCUAUUCUACUAUUAAGGGAUUCGUUGAGCACCUCGUCAAAGAAACAAACCUUUCAGAUCAACUUGUAAAUUUUCUUUUUACAUAUUUGCAUUUUUUUAGCAUAUUUGCAUUUCUUUCCUAAAAUAUUGCAAUAUUUGCAAAUAUCUGAAUCAUAUUCUUUUGAUUGACAAUAACACAAUGGCUUACCAGCAGAUCAAAACAGAUAUCUAGCUAGUGCGAAGGUUGUGCCACCUCUUGAUUGUUUCCUCCAUGAGCAAGCAAGCUUCUGGUAACGGUAACAGUCAUGGCGACGGAACAUGAUGUGCCGGCGAGCCGCAGACAUUAGAAAGAUCUGAAAAGAAGCAGAUAGGCAUGAUGCAUAAAUCUGGAAAGGAAGAAGAAUAUGCAUAACUCAAAAGCAUUGAAGCCGUCGGUUUUUGCAUUGCUCUACGAUCAGUUAAUGUACGCAUGCAUCGUAUAUGUACGCAUCCAGCCGCCGGAAUUUACUUCUCCUGCCUUCGUUUGUCAAGGGCAAAAAUACUGGCCAGCAGCACAAAUUGAAGACCAGCUUUCGGCACCUCCAUAACGCUCGUAGAAAAGUUCUCAAUGACUUGCAUCGGGAAUAUCUCUCCAGACCAGGGCAUGCGCCAAUUAAUGCUUCUUGCCGUGUCAUGUAUGCCGGGUCAUGUAUCUCUACGGGGACAACAAAAUUCAACUUGUUUAUUUUUGGAUAAUCAUUGGGAGAUAGAGACCCAGCACAGGACGUCUCCCAUGCGUGGGACAACCGAGGUUUUUUUUUUCAAUCUUAGGCUUCAUCAACGGCUAAAAUAUAUUAUAUUUUAAUCUGACGGAUGUAAAUCUUUAACUUAUAAAAUUGACGUGAAUCCUCGUAUGGCUCUUCCAAUUAGUAAAUAUAUAAGAUAGUAGUAGACGUGAAGAAUAAAGGGGCAGUAAUGGGAUAUUAAAUGUGGCAGCUAACUUGCUAGGCCUUCGAGUUAUAUUUUGUUCAGCAUUAAGUGGAAAACAUAUUUUGGCAUCCUUUUCCUCCUCUCGACUCUGACAAAAUGUUAGUGAUAUUCAAAUGGAAAAGCUUAGGCAAGAAAUAUUCCGAGGAAAAAUAAUGCAUCUACUCUAAAAUAUAUUUUCAUCAAUAGUAGUCCACUACUACCAUGAGCCAAUGGCCAUGGUUCUAUUCAAAAUUUUAAUUUAUCAAGAUCAGGCGUAGACUUGAUGUUGACAUCAAUGGCUAUCUAGGCUUAGAGAGAUGAGAGGAGUGAAGAACAAAAAAGGAGCGCCAAUAAUGGUUAUAACCCAUAGGGGAUAAAAUAAGGACGCCGCUAGUUGGCAUGAAUUGAUACAGGUAGACAUCACUUACUCUGCGUCCCUGAAUAGAGGCCAUAAUUUGUGUUGCUCUAGGGACCCAUAAUUUAUGAAUUCUGCUCACAAGAGAUCCGACUGUUGUGGGGAUCAAACUUUAGCACGCUGCCCUUAGAGCAACUCCAACGCGUCAACCCAAAUGGACGGCGAUUUUGUUAUAUUUUCGUCUGUUUGUGUCGACCGUCCACUCGGUGUCCGCCUAAUUUUCUUUUUGGGUCAGCAGUGCGCCCAAUGCCAGCGACUCAUUUCAUGUCCGUGCACAAAUUUUAAAAAGGCCCGCGGCUGUAGAUCAUGGCAGCGGCCAAGCCGUCACCCAAAGUUCAUGCCGGCACCAUGCCAGCAGCCGACAUACAAUGCCAGCUCCAAAAAAGCACCACACAGUUUGUGUUGGCGCACUUGCCAGCGACUGGCAUAGAUGCCAGCAAACAAAAAAGGGGCGGGAGUUCGACCACGCCAUCGCGACCGUAGUCAUGCCAACACACUUUUCGGCAUGCAAAAAAGGAUGGCGCUUUCCGCCAUAAAUCACUCGUCGUCGAACUUGAGCAUGUCGGCUUGCAUCUUGUCGAACCACGACCUCUUCCUCGGCGACAUGGUGUUGAGGUCCACCUUCAUGAUCUCCACACCCGUCAUCAUGCUAGCGAGAACCACUUCUUUCGCCUUGGUCUUGACAUUUGCGGCAUCGAUAUCUAGCAUCUUGGCUUGCACUGGUGCAGAACCGGGCUUUAGCACCAGUUCGUAAGGCCCUUUAGUGGCGGUUCUUGAACCGGUACUAAGGGGGGGGGGGCUUUAGGGAUUUUGGUUUUAUUAUUUAUUUUUCCUUUAAUUUUGUAUUUCCAUUUAUUUUAUUUUUCAUUUGCUGGUAUUUUACGAACUACAUAUUGUACACGUUAUGCAUAUAUAUAAAUAUAAUUUCUCGUAGAACCGAUCAUAUANNNNNNNNNNNNNNNNNNNNNNNNNNNNNNNNNNNNNNNNNNNNNNNNNNNNNNNNNNNNNNNNNNNNNNNNNNNNNNNNNNNNNNNNNNNNNNNNNNNNNNNNNNNNNNNNNNNNNNNNNNNNNNNNNNNNNNNNNNNNNNNNNNNNNNNNNNNNNNNNNNNNNAGCUAAUCAUUGAUAUAUACUACAUACUAAACGUACAUACUCUCUAUUUUGACGGAUACUACAUACAACAUACAAAAUGCAAGUGGUGGUAAUUACCACCGCUUGGAGGAAGCAUUUGAGGCACCACCAUUUGAAGCACCGCCAUUCACACAUAGAGCAGAAAAGAGUACCGGUUGGAGCGACCAACCGGUUUAAAGGGGUGUGCUGGCCCAGGUGCGAUGCACAAAGUUUAGUCCCACCUUGCUGAGCGAAGGGCGGCCGCACUGGUAUAUAAACCCAGCCGCGGCUGCUCCUUUGAGCUCCUCCCUAACGCAGGCCUUCUGGGCCUACUUGUGUUGCGCUGCCCUGUUGGGCCUACUAGCCUUGCGGGCCUACCUCCUGGCCCGACUACAGGUUGGGUUUCUAGUCGCAUGCAGGCCGCUGUGGCCCAGUAGGCGGGCUUUUAAAAAAAUAUUGUUUGCUUUAUUUAUUUUCUUUUAUUUAUUUCUGAGUUGUUUUUCCUGUAUUUCGAAUUUCUUUGUGAAUAUUUUUGCUUUAGGUACAAAAAAUUACAAAAUUUCUGUUAGUGCCAGUAGUUUUCAAAUUUGAAUAGUUUAAAUUUGUCUCCUUUAUUUAUUUUUAAGUUGUUUUUUGCUGUAUUUAGAAUUUCUUUGUGAAUAUUUUGCUUUAGGUAAAAAAAAUUACAAACUUUAUGUUAGUGCCAAUAGUUUUCAAUUUUGAAUAGUUUAAAUUUGUCUGCUUUAUUUAUUUUCUUUUAUUUAUUUGUGAGUUGUUUUUUGCUGUAUUUAGAAUUUUUUGUGAAUAUUUUUCUUUAGGUACAAAAAAUUACAAAAUUUCUGUNNNNNNNNNNNNNNNNNNNNNNNNNNNNNNNNNNNNNNNNNNNNNNNNNNNNNNNNNNNNNNNNNNNNNNNNNNNNNNNNNNNNNNNNNNNNNNNNNNNNNNNNNNNNNNNNNNNNNNNNNNNNNNNNNNNNNNNNNNNNNNNNNNNNNNNNNNNNNNNNNNNNNNNNNNNNNNNNNNNNNNNNNNNNNNNNNNNNNNNNNNNNNNNNNNNNNNNNNNNNNNNNNNNNNNNNNNNNNNNNNNNNNNNNNNNNNNNNNNNNNNNNNNNNNNNNNNNNNNNNNNNNNUAAGUUGUUUUUUGCUGUAUUUAGAAUUUCUUUGUGAAUAUUUUUGCUUUAGGUACUAAAAAUUACAAACUUUCUGUUAGUGCUAGUAGUUUUCAAAUUUGAAUAGUUUAAAUUUUUCUGCUUUAUUUAUUUUCUUUUAUUUAUUCCUGAGUUGUUUUUUGCUGUAUUUAGAAUUUCUUUGUAACUAUUUUUGCUUUAGGUACAAAAAAUUACAAACUUUAUGUUACUGCCAGUAGUUUUAAAAUUUGAAUAGUUUAAAUUUGUCUGUUUUAUUUAUUUCUGAGUUGUUUUUUGCUGUGUUUAGAAUUUAUUUUUGAAUAUUUUUGCUUUAGGUACAAAAAAUUACAAACUUUCUAUUAGUGCCAGUAGUUGUCAAAUUUGAAUAGUUUAAAUUUGAAUUAUUUGAAAUUUUUGUGAAUAACUAGUUUCGGAAUAACUUUACUUUAAAAAUAGAUUUUUCAGUGAUUCGUUUUUCUUAUGUCUAACAUUAGUGUGUUUUAUCAUUAUAUUCAAUUUGGUAAUACUUAGGUUAUUUAAAAAAUGAAAUGCCAUUGUAACAGAUGAGUUUUCGUCUAAAAACUCUGAUACUUCGAAAGAGAUUGUCCAUUUUGUACACUAAGUGCUUCCAGUUUUUGCCAUAACCCUCUAUACUUUUUUGCACAUGCUAUGUGGGUGAAAUGAUGAUACCAUGCCAACUUUCAACCUUUUCAGAGUUCAUUUGUAGUGCUUUUUAAUUUCAGGGUCAUUUAGCUAAAAAAAUCAUUAAAUGCAUGAAAAAUAGCAAAUGAUGUCCGAAAGUGUUGAAAGUUGAUGACGUGGCUUUGAAUGGUGCAUACUGGACGCACAAAAAGUAUGGAGUUGUAAUGAGUUUCAAAAAUGAAAUUCCUUUGUAACAGAUGAGUUUUCGUCCGAAACCCUGAUACUCCGAAAGAGAUUGUCCAUUUUGUACACGAAGUGCAUCCAGUUUUUUCCAUAACCCUCACUACUUUUUUGCACAUGCUAUGUGGGUGAAAUGAUGAUGCCAUGCCAACUUCCAACCUUUAAGAGUUCAUUUGUAGUGUUUUUCAAUUUCAGGGUCAUUUAGCUAAAAAAUCAAUAAAUGCAUGAGAAAUAGCAAAUGAUGUCAGAAAGGUAUGAAAGUUGAUGACGUGGCUUUGAAUGGUGCAUACUGAAUGCACAAAAAGUUUAGAGUUGUAAUAAAUUUAAAAAAUGAAAUGCCUUUGUAACAGAUGAGUUUUCGUCCGAAGCCCUCAUACUUCAAAAGAGAUUAUCCAUUUUGUGCACGAAGUGCAUCCAGUUUUUGCCGUAACCCUCUCUACUUUUUUGCACAUUAUAUGUGGGUGAAAUGAUGAUACGAUGCCAACUUCCAACCUUUCAGAGUUCAUUUGUAGUGCUUUUCAAUUUCAGGGUCAUUUAGCUAAAAAAAAUCAGGAAAUGCACGAAAAAUAGCAAAUGAUGUCAGAAAAGUUUGAAAGUUGAUGACAUGGCUUUGAAUUGUGCAUACUGAACGCACAAAAAGUCUAGAGUUGUAAUAAGUUUAAAAAAUGAAAUGCCUUUGUAACAGAUGAGUUUUCGUCCGAAACCCUCAUACUUCGAAAGAAAUUGUACAUUUUGUACACGAAGUGCAUCCAGUUUUUGCCGUAACCCUCUCUACUUUUUUGCACAUGCUAUGUGGGUGAAAUGAUGAUGCCAUGCCAACUUUCAACCUUUGUAGAGUUCAUUUGUAGUGCUUUUCAAUUGCAGGGUCAUUUAGCUAAAAAAUCAGUAAAUGCAUGAAAAAUAGCAAAUGAUGUCAGAAAGUGUUGAAAGUUGAUGACGUGGCUUUGAAUGGUGCAUACUGAAUGCACAAAAAGUCUGGAAUUGUAAUAAGUUUAAAAAAAUGAAAUGCCUUUGUAACAGAUGAGUUUUCGUCCGAAACCCUGAUACUCCGAAAGAGAUUGUCCAUUUUGUACACGAAGUGCAUCCAGUUUUUGCCGUAACCCUCCCCUACUUUUUUCCACAUGCUAUGUGGGUGAAAUGAUGAUACGAUGCCAACUUCCAACCUUUUCAGAGUUCAUUUGUAGUGCUUUUCAAUUUCAAGGUCAUUUAGCUAAAAAAUUAGUAAAUGCAUGAAAAAUAGCAAAUGAUAUCAGAAAGGUUUGAAAGUUGAUGACGUGUCUUUGAAUGGUGCAUACCGAAAGUACAAAAAGUCAGGAGUUGUAAUAAGUUUAAAAAAAUGAAAUGCCUUUGUAACAGAUGAGUUUUCGUCUAAAACCCUCAUACUUCGAAAGAGAUUGUCCAUUUUUUUCUACACGAAGUGCAUCCAGUUUUUGCCGUAACCCUCUCAACUUUUUUGCACAUGCGAUGUGGGUGAAAUGCUGAUACCGCCAACUUUUAACCUUUUGAGAGUUCAAUUUUAGUGCUUUUUAAUUUCAGGGUCAUUUAGCUAAAACAAUCAGUAAAUGAGCUAAAAGUAGCAAAUGAAGUCAGAAAAGGGUUGAAAAUUGCUGAUGUGCCUUGGAAUGGUGCAUAUUGAACACACAAAAAGUCUGGAGUUGAAAUAAGUUAUUAAAAAUAAAAUCCUUUUGUAAUAGAUGAGUUUCGUCCGAAACCCUGAUACUUCGAAAGAGAUUGUCCAGUUUGUAGAAGAAGUGCAUCCAAUUUUUGCCGUAACCCUCUCAACUUUUUAGCACAUGCUAUGUGGAUGAAAUGAUGAUAUCAUGCUAAGUUUCAACCAUUUCAGAGUUGAUUUGUAGUGCUUUUCAUUUUCAGGGUCAUUUAGCUAAAAAAAUUCAUUAAAUGCAUAAAAAUAGCAAAUGAAGGCAGAAAAGAGUUGAACAUUGAUGAUGUGACUUUGAAUGGUGCACAAUGAACACACAAAAAGUCCGGAGUUAAAAUAAGUUAUAAAAAUGAAGGAGAGGCGCAAUCCUCACUGGCACAUUGCUUAGCUUCAGGCCUUGACAAACUACACAUAGCUCUGUGCAAUCUACACCAUUUCCUCCAGGCAUGAAGCUAAGCAACGUGCAGGUGAGCAUUGCGCCUCUCCUUCAUCGUUCCUCGUCUCUGCACUCAGGGCUUAUAAACCGCUGAUACGUCUCCAACGUAUCUAUAAUUUUUGAUUGUUCCAUGCUAUUAUAUUAUCAAUCUUGGAUGUUCUAUAAUCAUUUUAUAGUCAUUUUUUGGUACUAACCUAUUGACAUAGUGUCAAGUGCUAGUUGUUGUUUUCUGCAUGUUUUUUACAUUGCAGGAAAUCAAUACCAAACGGCGUCCAAAUUCAAUGAAACUUUACGGGGAUUUUUUAUGCACCAGAAGACACCUAAUGGGCCAAGGCUGCGCCUAGGGGGUGCUCCGAGGAGAGCACAACCCACCAUGGCGCGCCAGGAGGCCCGGGCACGCCCUGGAGGGUUGUGCCCACCUCGGGUGCCCCUCGGGCCGCCUCUUUGCUCUAUAAAUAUCCCAAUAUUCCAGAAACCCUAGGGGAGUCGACGAAAAUCAAUUCAAGCCUCCGCAGAGUCCAGAACCACCAGAUCCAAUCUAGACACCAUCACGGAGGGGUUCACCACUUCCAUUGGUGCCUCUCCGAUGAUGCGUGAUUAGUUCUUUGUAGACCUUCGGGUCCGUAGUUAGUAGCUAGAUGGCUUCCUCUCUCUCGCCAAACUCUCAAUACAAUGGUGUCUUGGAGAUCCAUAUGAUGUGACUCUGUUUGCGGUGUGUUUGUUGGGAUCAGAUGAACUUUCAGUUUAUGAUCAGAUCUAUCUUUUUAUAUCCAUGAAAGUUAUUUGAGUUUCUUUGAACUAUUAUAUGCAUGAUUUCUUAUAGCCUCGUAUUUCUUCUCCGAUAUUUGGGUUUUGUUUGGACAAAUUGAUCUAUUUAUCUUGCAAUGGAAAGAGGUGCUUUGUAGUGGGUUCGAUCUUACGGUGCUUGAUCCCAGUGACAGAAGGGGAACCGACACGUAUGUAUCGUUGCUACUAAGGAUAAAACGAUGGGGUCUAUCUCUACAUAGAUAGAUCUUGUCUACAUCAUGUCAUCAUUCUUAUUGCAUUACUCCAUUUCCCCAUGAACUUAAUACACUAGAUGCAUGCUGUAUAGCGGUCGAUGUGUCGAGUAAUAGUAGUAGAUGCAGGUAGGAGUCGGUCUACUAAUCUUGGACGUGAUGGCUAUAUAUUGAUCAUUGCCUGGAUAUCGUCAUGAUUAUUUGGAACUCUAUCAAUUGCCCAACAGUAAUUUGUUUACCCACCGUUUGCUAUUUUGCUCGAGAGAAGCCACUAGUGAAACCUACGGCCCCCGGGUCUCUUUCUCACAUUAUUUGCCUUCGCGAUCUAUUUUAUUUGCCUUUUGUUUGCAGAUCUAUUAAACCAAAAAUACAAAAAUACCUUGCUGCGUUUUACUCUUAUUUAUUUUAUUUGGUGUUCGAUCUAUCAAUCUACUACAAUUAUCUCACGUCUGUUUGCCAAUUUCUGGCGCCGCUACCCGAAAGGGAUUGACAACCCCUUUAACACGCCAGGUUGCGAGGAUUUGUUAUCUGUGUGCAGGGGCUAUUUACAUUCUAUUGCUAGGUUCUCCUACUAGUUCGAUAACCUUGGUUUCAUAUCUGAGGGAAAUACCUACCGCUGCUAUGCUGCAUCAUCCCUUUCUCUUUGGGGAAAUACCGACGUAGCUUCAAGCCGCAUCAAAAGGAAUUUCUGGCGCCGUUGCCGGGGAGGAUCUUCAACAUAUACGAGGUUCCGAAUCACAAAUCUCAUCUCCUUGCAAUUUACAUUAUUUGCCAUUUGCCUCUCAUUUUCCUCUCCCCCACUUCACAAAAAUUUGCCAUUUUAUUCGUCCUCUUUUUCGUUCGCCUUUUUCUCGUUUGAUCUUUUGUUUGCUUGUGUUGCCAUGUGCCUUCUAUAUGCUUGCGUCUUCGCUUGCUAAAAAUAUAUUGAUAUGGAUCCUCAUCCACUUGCUAAUCUUUUUAAAAGAUCCAAUCAUGUUGAACCAGUUGCUAGUGAGUUGAGUGCACUAGAUUAUCUUUAUGAAGUUUUUCUUGAGAUUCGUGAAUCUAAAAAUUGCGAUGAAGAAAUUUAUGAAGUGAUUCAUGAUAGCUCCUUGAAUGAAAAGCAUGAUUGCAAUGAUUUUACUAUAAAUCCUAUUAAUGUCAAUUGUGCUAAUAAUAUGCAAAACCCCAAACUUUGGGAUGCUAAUUUUGCUAUGUCCACUACUUGUUGCAAUGAUCAUGAUUGGGGUGAUUCUUCUUAUGAGCUUGAAAUUUUAUUUAAACCUCAUGAUGAAUAUGAUAUUGAUAAUAAUGUUUGCAAUAAUAUUGAAAGUGGGUAUGGAAGAGCGUCAACUUUAGGUAAAAAUAAUCCCACAUAUUUGGAGAGUGUUCAAUCUUAUGAUUUUUUUUAUGAAAGUGGGUUCGGAGGGGUCAUGACUUUAGUUGAUGUUAAUCCCACUAUCUUGGAAGAUUAUAAGACUUGUAUGCAUGUGGAUCAUGAAAAGAAAGUUUUAUAUGAUUGCUAUAUUGUUGAAUUUGAGUAUUAUCCUACAUGUAAUUAUUAUGAGAAAGGAAAAUAUGGUUGUAGAAAUUUUUAUGUUACUAAAUUACCUCUCGUUAUGUUGAGAUCGUCAAUGUUUUAUUCCUCUUCUUUGCAUAUGUUAGAUGUUUCUUGUCUUGAUAUUUUGUUUUCUUAUAAAAUUCCUAUGCAUAGGAAGUAUGUUAGACUUAAAUGUGGUUGUCAUAUGUUUCAUGAUGCUCUCUUUGUGUUUCAAUUAUUAUCUCUCAUGUGAGCAUCAUUGAAAUUUUAUGCCUAGCUAGGGGCAUGAAACUAUAGCGCUUGUUGGGAGGCAACCCAAUGAAUAAAAUUUGUUUUUACCUUUUGCUUUCUGUUCUUGAAUGUUUGCACAAUUAUGCUAAUGUUAUGAUUGUGUGUUUUGUGUUUUAAUUAGUGUUUGUACCAAGUAGAACCUAUAGGAUCUUCUUGGGUGAUAGUUGUUUGAUCUUGCUGAAAAAACAGAAACUUUUGCGCUCAUGAAAACAAUUCUUAUUUUUUACCAGAGCGUGAUAAAAUGCCAAUUAUUUUUGCAGAAGAUUAAUAUACAAAUUUCUUAGGUCUUCCUAUUGUUUUAGAAUUUUUGGAGUUUCAGAAGUAUUCGAACAAUUCAGAUUGCAACACAUUGUUCUGUUUUUGACAGAUUUUGUUUUCUUUGCGUUGUGUGCUUGUUUUGAUGGCUCCAUGGUUUUCUUUGUUGAGUUUUUGCCAUAGAAAAGUUGGAAUAUAUUAGAUAUAAUGCAAGAAUAAAAUAUGAAUAGGUUGCAACAGUACUUAUAGUAGUGAUUUAUUUUCUUAUACUAAUGGAUCUCACGAAGGUUUUGUUGAGUUUUGUGUGAUUGAAGUCUUCAAGUUUUGGGUUAUCUUACGAUGGAUGAAGGAAUAAGGAGUAAGCAAAGCCUAAGCUUGGAGAUGCCCCGGCAACCCAAGCUAUUAUCCAAAAGAUAGCAAGCAAGUAAGCUUGGGGAUGCCCCGAGUGGCAUCCCCUCUUUCUUCUAACGACCAUCGAUAUUUUACUCGAAGCUAUAUUUUUAUUCGUCACAUACUAUGUGUUUUGCUUGGAGCGUCUUGUAUGAUAUGAGUCUUUGCUUGUUUUAUUUUGUGUUUUAAGUCUUGAUUCCUUGCGGGACACACCUAUUUGAGAGAGCCAAAAUUAUGCAUGACUUAUUAGAAUUGCUCUCUAUGCUUCACUUAAAUUUUUUAUGAGCCAUGGACUUGCUCUAGUGCUUCACUUAUAUCUUUUUGAGCACGGUGUGCUUAGUUAUUUUUUAAGAAAUGCUCUCUUGCUUCACUUAGAUUUGUUUUAGAGGUAGUAAAUUUUUCAGGAAAUUCUCUCUUUCUUCACUUAAAUUAAUUUGAAAGAAAGAAAUAUUAUGCUCAUGAUCUUCACUUAUAUUUGUUUGAGCUUAUCAAAAGCAACAUAUGAAAAUUAGUUCCAAAGUGAUAGAUAUCCAAGAAGGAUAUAAUAAAAACUUUCAUGAAGAUCAUUGGACAAAAUAAACUUGAUUCUUAGUAAUAGUUUUAAGAUAUGAUGAUGUGAUAUGUGAGUCAUGUUGAUGAGUAAUUAUGCUUUACUAAGAAUAUUGGUGUUAAGGUUUGUGACUCCCUAUGCAAGCACGAAAGUCAAUAAUUAUGCAAUGAAAUUAUAUCCUACUUGUGGUGCAUUAUUCGGUGUUAAUUAUGCUUAAUGCUCGCUUAUGAGAUUAUUCGUUUCUUGGUUGGUUGCUUCUCAAUCUUUUGCUAGCCUUCAUUUUGCACUAAGUAUGAUCUCUACUUGUGCAUCCAAAAACCUUUAAACCAGUUUUGCCACAUGACUCCACUAUAUCUACCUAUAUGCGGUAUUCUUUUGCCGUUCUAAGCAAAUUUGUAUGUGCCAUCUCUAAUUUUGAAAAUAAACUUCUCUUUUGUGUGUUCGUACCGCUCGCAGAGCUGUGAGGGGUGGCUAAUAUUUUCCAUGCUAGAUGUGUUAUUCUCACGAUGAGUGUUUAUUCACUUGUCAUUGCACGAGAGUAAGGCAAAGGUAUUAGGGAUGCCCAGUCCCGAAAUGAAAAAUGAAUUUACUUUAUGUUGUCAAAUAAUAAAUUCCUUGGAAAGUGUUGGUACGGAGGGAAACCGUGGAUACGGCUAGCCAAGGAAAGUGAAAGUAUGGUUGAAAAAAGAAUAAACUUUAUUUUCUGUUUGGGAACCGCCUAUGAUAUAUCUAGCAUGGAAAGUGUUGGGAACUCUAAGUCGUUUUCGUUGGUGGGAAGGACACACCUCCUGAAAUGUUCUUAUCUCUAAGUUUUUUCGCUUUGAGCUUUGGCACGUCUACAAAUCCCUACUUCCCUCUGUGAAGGGCCUUUGUUUUACUUUAUGCAAUUUUUAUUAUUGAAUUUGAAUCUCCUUAUAAAAGCACCAACUCGGAGGCACUAUGAUCUUACUUGAGCAUUGGGUGUAGCUAAUAUGCAAGUGUGUUUCAUGAAUGGAUCAAUGAUUGAGCAUGAUGGGCUAGGGAUAACUUAUUUUAGCGUUGAUAUUUUGAAAGACAUGGUUGCUUGUUGGUAUGCUUGAGUAUUUAAGUUAUCAUAUCAAAACUAGACUAUUGCUUUGAACAAUAUAAAAGUCCAAAUGUCCAUGCUAUAAAGAAAACAAUAUGAUAUGACAUGUUACGCAGUAUUCCACAUCAAAAAUUCCGUUUUUAUCACUUACCUACUCGAGGACGAGUAGGAGUUAAGCUUGGGGAUGCUGAUACGUCUCCAACGUAUCUAUAAUUUUUUAUUGUUCCAUGCUGUUAUAUUAUCAAUCUUUGAUGUUUUAUAGUCAUUUUAAAUAAUUUUUUGGUACUAACCUAUUGACAUAGUGCCAAGUGCCAGUUGUUGUUUUCUGUAUUUUUUUACAUCGUAGGAAAUCAAUAUCAGACGGAGUCCAAAUGCAAUGAAACUUUACGGAGAUUUUUUUAUUGACCAGAAGACACCUAAUGGGCCAAGGUUGCGCCUGGGGGCGCUCCGAGGAGAGCACAACCCACCAGGGCGCGCCAGGAGGCCCAGGCGCGCCCUAGUGGCUUGUGCCCACCUCGGGUGCCACCCGGACCACCUCUUUGCUCUAUAAAUACCCCAAUAUUCCAGAAACCCUAGGGGAGUCGACGAAAAUCAAUUCCAGCCGCCGCAGAGUCCAGAACCACCAGAUCCAAUCUAGACACUAUCACGGAGGGGUUCACCACUUUCAUUGGUGCCUCUCCGAUAAUGCGUGAGUAGUCCUUUGUAGACCUUCGGGUCCGUAGUUAGUAGCUAGAUGGCUUCCUCCCUCUCGCUAAAUUCUCAAUACAAUGGUCUCUUGGAGAUCCAUAUGAUGUAACUCUUUUUGCGGUGUGUUUGUUGGGAUCAGAUGAACUUUAGUUUAUGAUCAGAUCUAUCUUUUUAUAUCCAUGAAAGUUACUUGAGUUUUUUUGAUCUCUUGUAUGCAUGAUUUGUUAUAGCCUCGUAUUUCUUCUCCGAUAUUUGGGUUUUGUUUGGCCAACUUGAUCUAUUUAUCUUGCAUUGGGAAGAGGUGCUUUGUAGUGGGUUCGAUCUUAUGGUGCUUGAUCCCAGUGAUAGAAGGGGAACCGACACGUAUGUAUCGUUGCUACUAAGGAUAAAAUGAUGGGGUCUAUCUCUACAUAGAUAGAUCUUGUCUACAUCAUGUCAUCGUUCUUAUUGCAUUACUCCCUUUCCCCAUGAACUUAAUACACUAGAUGCAUGCUGGAUAGCGGUCGAUGUGUGGAGUAAUAGUAGUACAUGCAGGCAGGAGUCGGUCUACUAAUCUUGGAUGUGAUGCCUAUAUAUUGAUCAUUGCCUGGAUAUCGUCAUGUUUAUUUGUAGUUCUAUCAAUUGCCCAACAGUAAUUUGCUUACCCAUCAUUUGCUAUUUUUCUCGAGAAAAGCCACUAGUGAAACCUAUGACCCCCGGGUCUCUUUCUCAUUUUAUUUGCCUUCGCAAUCUAUUUUAUUUGCCUUUCAUUUUCAGAUCUAUUAAACCAAAAAUACAAAAAUACCUUCUUGCGCUUUAUUCUUUUUUUUUUAUUUGGCGUUCGAUCUAUCAAUGUACUACAAUUAUCUCACGUAUGUUUGCCAAUUUCUGGCGCCGUUACCCGAAAGGGAUUGACAACCCCUUUAACAUGUCGGGUUGCGAGGAUUUGUUAUCUGUGUGCAGGGGUUGUUUACGUUGUGUUGCUAGGUUCUCCUACUAGUUCUAUAACCUUGGUUUCAUAUCUGAGGGAAAUACCUACCUCUGCUCUGCCGCAUCAUCCCUUCCUCUUUGGGGAAAUACUGACGUAGCUUCAAGCCGCAUCAACCGCUGCGAGUCCCUCUUGCUAGGCGAGGUGGGACUAAAUUUUAGCCAUUGCCAGGACAAGGCCUUUAGUCUCGGUUGAUGGCUCAAUUAAAAUAUUUUGUUAUGAUCCACUUAUAGAAAGUUAUAAUAUUCUUCAAUAGCAAAAAGAAUCAACUAAAAAUCUCUAGUACCGGUUCGUGGCAUGAACCGGUACUAAAGGUGCUGGUGGGGGGCCCAGCCUGACAACAGCCUGCCACCACCUCUUUAGUACCGGUUCGUGGAACGAACUGGUACUAAAGGUUCGCCACGAACUAGUACUAAUGAGCACCGCCCGCCUAGCUGUUGGAACCGACACUAAUGGUCACAUUAGUGCUGGUUCAGUUACAAACCGGGACUAAUGUGCUUCACAUUAGGCCCUUUUUCUACUAGUGUUGCUUCUCCGCCUCCAUCUCAAGCAUCCUCAUUUGCUUCUCUGCCUCCAUCUCAAGCCUCCUCCUUUAGAUCUUCAUGAAGGCGUUCAUUUGUUCUUCCUUGUCUUGUCGGCGCUUCUCCUCCCUUGAGUCCUUCUUAGUCAUCAUGCCCUCCAUGGUAGCGAUCAAGGCAUUGGACGCCGCAUCCCUCUUGUCCUACUUCUUGGAGUUGGUCUUCCCCCACGGCCGUGGCUUCUCGCCCUCCCCAACCUCCUCCACGACUUUCUCUCCCCCACGCAACAUGAGGGCGGCAUAUUGCACCUUGAACUUCUCCUCGUCUUUGAUGACCCUCCAACAAUGAGAGAGGUUGAAGGACUUACCAUCAUGUUGGACCUUGAAUGCCUCCAAAGCUUGGAAUGCCUACAAAUGAAAUGCAUGCAAGCAUAUUGGCAAAUGGAUAUGAAUAUGGACUUGCAAGAAUAAACGGAAGAGGGGCGCAUGCAUGCAUACCAUAUCUUGCAUGCCGAUGCCGCUCACCGGGCGUGACUUGAUGCUCUCAAAGGUGGCACAAAACUUGUCAUGCUCUUGUUGGAUCACCUUCCAUCGGUUCGAAAUGGACACCCACCCGCGCAUGCUUUAUAUCUGGUACGGCAGAAACUUCUUGCGUUCGUGGAACUCACGAUGGACACGAGUCCAAAAGGUUGAUUCCUUUUGUUCGGCACCGACCAUGGGGUCUUGCCCAAUGUCCCUCCAAAACUCACAAAGGAGCUUGUCCUCGACCGUGGUGUAUGCCUUCGUCCGCCUGCUCUUGUGCUUUGGCUUCAGCCCGGCGGCUUGGCUGGCGAGCCCGUCCUCUUCCUCAAGGCCGUAGUCCUCCGGAAACUCGUGGUCGAACAGGAAGUCGUCUAGGUCCAGGCCGAAGUGAUCUUGCAUGAAGGCGUCCUGCAUGCUAUCUUGAUCAUAGGUCGACGGCGUGAACGGCCCUCAGCCGUCCUGGCUUUGUGUCUCCUCUGAAUCGUAGGCAGCCGCGGCGGCACCACAGGCGGCCGACGUACCACCCUCGAAGAUGAUGCUCACCAUGAAACGGUCGGCCGUCUUGUCUUCGCCGGAUGACGAGGCACCGACUACCGGUGUGGCGUUGAGAUCGAUGGGCGCGGGCGCGGGCAUGGAAUGCGCCACCACGCUCACCUCCAGCGAGCAUUCCCUGAAGAAUUGGGAGGCUUGCAAGUAGACGUGGAAGCCGGGAAUCGAGUAAGACGCCGACGCGCGAGGCGACUCUGGGAGCACCAUCCGAGGAAACGCGGACGAGUCGGAGCUGGCCACGGCCACAGCGGCGUUGACGAGCCCGUGCUGGCCAGGGUUUAGCCCUAGGUAGAUUAGCGCCUCCCUCAUUGCCGCGGCGACGUGGGCGGCGGUGUCCUCCUGCUGCGCGGCGGCGGCCAUGGCGAUGGCAGCGGACGCUGCUUCGUCCCACGCGUCCGCCGCGUGCCUUCGGCCCUUUCGCUUCGGUGACUCCGCGGCCCGCUCCUCGGACGUCAGCUGCUUCUUCUUCUUGGGCACGGUGGCAGUCUUGCGGGAGGCGCGCGGCUUGCCUUUGCCGAAGGGGGCGGCUGUGAUGCUGGACGAGGCAAGGGCGACGAGGCCGCCGACAGUAUCGAGGUCCUCAUCCAUGGCGUGCGGCCGGGAGCGAGCACGGGCGGAAGGUUUUUGAGAAAGUGGACGAAAAUGUUGGAGGCUUUGCCACCAAUUGGCAGGUCAGGGGUAGUUGGCACGCAACGCGCUUCUCCGUCUCGUGUCGCGCGCCAACGCAAAUGAGGCUCAAAAUUGGGCUGAGAAUGGGUCGGCAGGCGAACGAAAAGCGGACACGCGUCCAUUUGGGUCGGCACAUUGUGCCGACUUUUCUGUCCGCACCGACCCAAAUGAACGCGCGCGAACGAAAUGGGUCGUCACGUUGGAGUUGCUCUUACGUGGCACUGUAACAAGAAAUGAGGACCAGUGGAAACCAGCAUAUGCACCUAGAAGAAUCGUAUGGAUCUGCAUAUGUAAUUGAUCUAUAUCAUACGGACCCAUAAAUGAUAGGAAGGUCCUAGCUACCAGGUACCAGCUAUCCUGGUUACUCCAUUUGCUGCCCCUCCAACCUGGGUUCCGGUCAUGUCCUCGGGGUCUGUCGGUGGUUCCGUGUUCUUGUUCUGGACGGACGCUUGUAAGAUCAGGUUUUCGAUCGGGAGCCUUCUGUUGACAUUAUAAAAGUGCGUGUAUUCAAAGGAGAUGUAUGCAUUUCUCCGUGACAAAGCAAAUUAAGUUCUGCUGCUAGCUAUUUUCAAAAAAGAGUCUUGCCCCACCACUUGCGUCGUUUGCAAAGCCCUUAAAUAUACUGAUAUGUUAUACACACACACAUAUACACAUGAGAUUUAAUUUUAAAGAGCACACGGACAUGUUCGUUCUCGUGUUAAUGAAAUCCUAGAAAAUCUCAUUAAUUAACCAUGGGAUCUAUAAUUCCGAGAUCUUUAGCUGUUGGAUGUAUGUAAUGCCUUAAGAUGCAUUAAAACAAAUAUACGUGAGAUUUAAUUUUAAAGGCCUUAAGGUGCAUAAAAAAUACGCAUGAGAUUUAAUUUUAAAUAGCACAAGGACAUGUUCAUUGUCGUGUUAAUGAAAUCCUAGAAAAUCUCAUUAAUUAACCUUCGGAUCUGUAACUCCGAGAUCUUUAGCCAUUGGAUUUACAUAAUGCCUCAACCUGCAUCAAAAAAAAUAUACGCAUGAGAUUUAAUUUUAAAGGCCUUAACCUGCAUAAAAAAAUAUACGCAUGAGAUUUAAUUUUAAAGAGCAGACAGACAUCUUCAUUGUCGUCCGCUGGCUGUAUGAAUUAGAAUAACAUAUAUUUACUUAGUUGGAUUAGAGAGAAGAGAAAAGAGAAGAGAAGUGGGCUCUGGAUUAAAGCAAGUACAAUAAAAUGACGUAGGCGGGCUAUAAAAGAUGUCAUCUUAAAUUUGUGCUUUUUUAGUUAACCUUAAAUUUGUGCUUAGUUGAAGGAGAGAGAAGCGGGCUACAAGUGUGACAAAAGCCUUUUUCAGUAGGCAGGCUACAAACUUACAAUCGACUGUAGCACGAGCUCAAACAACCUUUGUAAGAAGAUAUGGGCCAUAUAUUAAUUCACAGUGUGACUUAAUGUUGACAUGAAUUGAUACAGGUGGACAUAGUUAGAGCAACUCUAGCAGACCCCGCAUCCCGCCCCGACUGUUAAAAUAACCGCCAAAAUGCGGGUCGGGCAGGAAAACCAGCCCGAUCAGACCCCGCAUCCCGCCCCCGCCCGCAAAAAAAUUUAGGGGGCGCGGCAAAAUCCCAACCCCAACCCGGGAAAACGCGGGUUUCCCUCUCGCGGCUGCGGUGCCCUGCAUAUAGGAGGAAGCGGCUGGUGAGGGGACAUUUCAUGCCGCGCUUUCUCCCACCAACCACCUCUCCUCUCCCCCCUCGCGCCGCUGCCGGCCGCCGCCCAAGAUUCUGGCGAAAGCAGCCGGCAGGAGCACGCCGGAAGGCCGCCACGCACACGAGGCCUCCCCUUCCUCCCCCUGCGUCGGCGGGCCACCGGAUUUGCAGAUUUGCAGCACUUCAUCGCGGGUCGCCGGAUUUGGCUUUUUCCGGCCGCCGGUUGCUGUCCCAAGCUAUGGAGUGGUCGGGGAGCCUCUCCCACAGCCCAGGCAAGGGCGCAUUGCCGCAUGCAGGUACGGGUUCGUCCGCCCGCCGCCGCCGAAGGUUUGCGGGCUUGGACUCAUCCGGCCGUCCACCGGGCUCGGCGCUCACGCAGCGUCUUUGUGGCAUGCCGAUGCCGCUCAUAGAGUGUGACGACUGCACGCGGAAAGUGCUGCGGCUCACUUCGGGCACGCCGAAGCACCCUGGGUGGGUGUUCUUCAAAUGCGAAAAUGACGGGGUACGUGCACUUGCGGUAGCUCGUUUCAUAGUUCAUUCUUUAGUUCAACUGCGGUAGCUCACUUCGAGCUUGCUCACUCUUUUGUGUAGGACGAUGGAUGCUCAUUUUGGUUUUGGGAAGGCCAAUACAUUUAUUUGUUGAUAGAAAGAAACUUAAUAGAUGUUAGUGCACUCCUUAGUACAAUCGAAGGCAAUGAUGCGGCUGCAUGUGCAAAUAGAGGGGAAGCAACGUCUACUUCUUUCGAACCAAAGAUGAAGAAAGAAGAAUGCAAAAUCAAGAAUCCACAGAUCAACAACGAAUGCAUGGAGAAGAUAUUAGUCCAACUAGUGGGGGCAGUUAUGGAAGUUGGAAAUCUUCUAAAAUGCAUACUUGUGGUUCUUAUUUUCUUUGGUCUUGCUAUUCUAGCAAAGAUUUGGUGAUGUCUUUUGUAUCCAAUGUUGUUGAUAAAGCAAAGCAAUGCAAUAUGCUAGAUCAAAUUAAGGUGCAAAUUUAAGUUUUGCGGGCCGGGAGAAGUUGCACCAGAUCAGACGCGGCAACCCAACCCGUAAAAAAGCAUAUUCCAGGAAUAUCGUUUUUACGGAUCCAUUAUGCGGGGUCUGCAACUGCGGCCGUCCGCGCCGGCCCGCAAAGCCGUUUUCCCGCGAACUGCAAAAACGUUUAGCGGGUCGGGAGGAUGUGGGGUCUGCUAGAGUUGCUCUUACUCUGCGUCUGUAAAUAAAGGUCAUCAUUUUUAUUGCUCUAGGGACCCAUAAAUGAUAGGGACUGUCCGCUACCAGCUACCAGCUAGUAGCUACCCUGGUGACUACAUUUGCUGCCCCUCAAACAUGGGUUCCCGACAUGUUCUCAGGGUCUGUCGGUGGUUCCAUGUUCUGGCCUUUGGGGUUGGUUUAACUAGUGGUAUGGGGGUUCUUGCAUCGCCCUGUACUCUCGAUCGGGACCCUUUAAUUCUAGGUGACAUACAGUGCGUGUAUUUAAAGCCGAGGCAUGGAUCCUCCGUGCCAAAGAAAAUUAAUUCAGCGGCUACUCGGGGAGAGUUGUGGCAGCAUAUCCGGGAUGCCAGCUUUUUAUUUUGGGUUUUGAUUGUCAAAGUUUUAGAUCUUAAAAAAAACUAAAAUUAAGUGCUGUUUUCAUAUUCGUGUUUCUCGUGACCAGCGCCUUGAAAUAAUAUCCAUUUUGAAUAUAUUUUGACGACUUUGAAAAAUGUUAAGUUUCAAAUGUUGAAACUUAGUAUGAGCAACCAAUAAAAAUCAAUUAUUUUGUACCUACGCCUGACAGAAAAAUGCUUACAGUUAUAUCCCUGAAACUUGCUGAAACUUUGCAUUUUUCAUCAUUGAAACUUAAAACUGUUUAAGGGAUUUUCUUUUUUACUGUGCCCUCAUGUGGGAUUCAACUACUCUUUUCUCUCCGUGAGAUCCACAUAAAAAAAGCACAAAUUUAAGAUGAGUGCCCUGCACUUACAUGCCCCUGCGAAUUUCCGCAGCUACUAGCUAUUUUUGGAAGAAAAAAAUCUUGCCCCGCCACUCCCAUCAUUAGCAGAGCCCUUAAAUAUACUCACAUGUACCAAAUUACGAGUCAGAAUCAAACAUGCGUUGGCAUCAUUACCUACGAACUCUACUAAACAAUGUUCCAACUAUCCUGCGAGUCAAAUCUAAUAACUCUUGUCUUGCACGUUGCAUUGUCCAUUGGCAGAUCUUUUUAAGAAUUUUACGUCAGAUCUAAUUUUAUUUGAACGAAUGAAAGAUAAGCAAGUAGUAGUAAAAUCGACCCAAUUUGCACAGCCGAAAUGUGGACCAGACAAUUUACUCUUUGUUACGGGACUAAGAAAUUCGGACCGGCUAAUNNNNNNNNNNNNNNNNNNNNNNNNNNNNNNNNNNNNNNNNNNNNNNNNNNNNNNNNNNNNNNNNNNNNNNNNNNNNNNNNNNNNNNNNNNNNNNNNNNNNNNNNNNNNNNNNNNNNNNNNNNNNNNNNNNNNNNNNNNNNNNNNNNNNNNNNNNNNNNNNNNNNNNNNNNNNNNNNNNNNNNNNNNNNNNNNNNNNNNNNNNNNNNNNNNNNNNNNNNNNNNNNNNNNNNNNNNNNNNNNNNNNNNNNNNNNNNNNNNNNNNNNNNNNNNNNNNNNNNNNNNNNNNNNNNNNAUGUCUCCCAUUUCUCAAUCCCAUCCCGACGGUGUGUCUACCAUGUUUAGAGGGCGCAUGGGGGAGUUACUCCAUUGGUUCUCGCGGGAUUUGAUCGAUGAUGGUUUUCCGUGGAUUUCCUUGAAUCCAGUUUUUGUUCAUCCUCAUCCGUGCGUUUAAAUAUCCCAACAAGGCGAAGAUUUGGUUGUGCACAGGCAACUGAGGAGGUGACCUACUUCUUUACUGUCUCCUAUGUCCCUUGUUACCCACUGAUCCUAGAUCCACAGCUCGAGACCCCCUACCCUGAGGUCUACCAGUUUUACCACUGACAACCGGCCACAAGGGAGAAAUCCCUUUGAAUUUAGAGAUAAGAUCUUAUCUCUAGAUUUAACCCUUUAAAUUUAGAGAUAUGACCUUAUCUCUAGAUUUUAAAGACAUGGAACUUAGGGACGAUGCGGCCAGCCCAUGUGGGUUGUUGCCCCACCCCUCGGUCUAUGUGGGGACUUUUCGGGUCGUUGGGCCCCAUGGUGGAACCCCGGAACAUUUCCGGUACUCUACCAAAUAUUCCCAAACUUUUCUGGAACCCAUAAAACCACUUUCCUUACAUAACUCUUUACCUCCAGAGCUCCUCGUGAUGUCCCGGAUUCUAUCCAGGACUCUGAACUACCUUCAGACUUACCACUAUGAAUGUCCCAAAACUAUCCAAUAGUGGUAAGUCUGAACGUUAAGUGUGUGACCCUGCGGGUUCGAGAACAUGCAUAAAUGACCGAGACACCUCUCCAAUCAAUAAUCAAUGAACAUCUUUAUCGGUUUGAACCACGAUGUCAAUGAUUCAGUUAAUCCCGUAUACAAUUCCCUUUGUCCAAUGAUUUGUUAUUUGCCCGAGAUUCGAUCGUCAGUAUCGCCAUACCUAGUUCAAUCUCAUUACCGGCAAGCCCCUUUACUCAGUCCUUAAUACAAGAUCCACGUGACUAAACACAUUGGUCACAUGCUUCCAAUCUAUUCACGAUGUUGUAUUACCGAGAGGACCUAGAGAUAUCUCUCUGUCAUAUGGAGUGACAAAUCCUACACUCGAUCUAUGUAACCCAACAAACACUUUCUGAGAUACCUAUAGAGCACCUUUCUGAUCACCCAGUUACGAAGUGACGUUUGUUUACCCAUAAUGUAUUCUUCCAGUAUUAGGGAGUGGCACGAUCUCAUGGUCUAAGGAACAGAUUCUUGACAUGAAGAAAGUUGUAGAAAAUAAACUAAGUGAUACGAUCUGAUGCUAAGCUUAUGGUUGGGUCUGUCCAUCACAUCAUAAUCCUAAUGAUGUGAUCCCAUUAUUAAAUGAUAACUCGUGUCUAUGGUUAGGAAACCUUAACCAUCUUUAAUUAAUGAGCUAGCCUAGUAGAGGCUCACUAGGGACACGUUGUCUAUUUAUGUAUCCACACAUGUAUUUAAGUCUCUGGUCAAUACAAUUCUAGCAUGCAUAAUAAAUAUUUAUCAUGAACACGGAAAUACGACAAUAACAUCUUUCUUAUUGCCUCUAGGACAUAUUUCCUACAGAUUAGUAGGAUAAAAGAUCAAGGUGGCCUUGGCAUUCAUGGCAUGAAGGUCAAGAAGGAUGCCUUACAUAGGAAAUGGUUAUUCAAAAUACUUACUAGGGGUGGCGUUUGGCAAACCUGUUGCGAAAGAAGUAUCUAAUACUAUGCCAAAAACUUAUCUCUCACACAUAUUGGAAAGCUGGUGACUCACACUUUUCGGGUGGUGUCGUGGAAUUCUCACGGCAGAUGUCCUAGUGUGAGGACUUAGUCGUGAGGCCAACGCAUCUAUGUGGUAGCUUGAGAGGGGUUGAUUGGGACGAGAGACGCAACACACAAGACAAGAAUUUAGACAGCUUCGGGCCCCAGGAAACAUCAUCCAAUAAUAGCCCUACAUGCUGUUUGUGGCUAGGUCUCAUUAUGAUCAUGAGAGAGUCAUCGGUAAGCCGGCUCUUUGUGUCUAGCCCUAGAGAUUGUUUCUUGUUUCUUGUCCCUCUUGGGGUGCCCUGCCCCUCCUUAUAUAAGUUAGAGGGGCGGGUUACAUAUGGAGUCCUAGUAGGAUUAGGACUAGUCUAUCUUUCUUUACAAGUUGAAUACAAGUCCGGGUCUUGCUUCCUUGUGAAGGAAAUAAUCCUCACGCCUUUCAUCUUAAACCGGCCCACCAAAGUAUAAGCCAGCCUGCUGGGCCUUGGGCCUUGUCGUCCGUCUGAUCAGCCCGCCGGGUCUCCAGUGAAUUACAAUGUCCAGGCGGGUUACCCUGUGAACCGCCAUGUUCGGGCGGAUCGCCAGUGAGUCGCCAAGCUCCAGCCAGGUCUCUGGUGAGUCGCCAAGUCCGGCCGGGUCAUACCGCGGGGUAUAUCCCCGACAUUAGCCCCCAGUUUAAUUUGGAUUUAUCCAUGUUAAACUGAUCCUGCAACAUAAACACAAGAACAAAUUUGACAGGUUGUGCUCCGGGUUAAAUAUUCUUGUAAGCCGGCACCUGAUCAUCCUUAAGUCCUUGACAUUUUCUCCUGAAAUAUCCGGGUCAAUAUUGGUCUUGAAAUAUCCAGCUUCAUAAUCCAUUUGCUGACAUUGGCUCUUGUAAAGAAAUAUUAUAAGAAAUAAUCCAUUUGAUUCGGCCUUCAAUGCUCUGAUUUGACAAAAAUAUUGCUCUUGAAAUAUCCAACUGAUAUUCAGCCGGCUUAAAGAUGUAGAUUCUUGCCGACGAUUGCCACAAUUGUCGGGUUAGAAAUAAAUGAUGCCGGGUCAUGAUUGUUGCAGACACCGGGUUAAUCUGGUCUACUCCAAACUGAGAAUUUGAAGAUUUUUUUCUCCCUUAUAUGCAUAUUACCUGUAGCCCCUAAGUCUUAAGGGGAGAACAUAGUGAUAACUUAAGACUUGCUUCAAUAUAAGUGUUGCAACCUUGAAGAAAUCCGGUUUAUUCAUCUCAAUCAUUAGUCAUAAGCUGAAUAUUCCACAUUCCACAUAUGUAGCCCCCAAGUGCCGAGUUGUCAUGCUUGCAGCAACCUGGGACUUGUAAUUGCCUUAUGCUCAUAAAAACUUCAACUAGUGUAGCCCCCAAGGGCCGGGUCAUUAUGCAAUAAUGAGCAGGGACUUUGUAAAUAUGAUCAUGUAAACUUGACCAGCAACGUGUAGCCCCCAAGGGCCGGGUCAGUAAGAUAUUACCGAGCUGGGACUUUGUAUAUGAUUCAUCGAUAAUAACAGCAUAUGAUGUGAUCUCCACCAUGGGGUUUGAACCCACGUCCAUAAGGUUAAGAGCUUUGUACUCUACCAACUGAGUAGUGGAUCUUUCAAUAUAAUGGAUUAAGGCUUGUGUACCUUGAAUUUUCGACAAGAGCAAUUGGUAGCCCCCAAGGGCCGGCUCAUUUAGAAUGUGAUGAGUCGGGUCUUCAAUAAGUUGAACAAAAAAUGACUUUGCAUUAGCCCCCAAGUGCAAUGGUACAUGCUGGCAGUAACAUGGGACUUGCAUAUUCGAUGUAAUAUCAAUUUGAAUAAUGUAGUCCCCAAGUGCCAGGUCGUAAGCCUGCAGCGACUCGGGACUAUUCCUUACAUUAUAGAAUAAAUCAUAUCCAUCGAUAAAAUAAUAGCCAUUGCGCCAAAGCGACUUUGAAUACCUCAUCUGUUGAUAAGUAAAUCCGGAGUUUAAAUACCCGGCGGCUCUUGGCCGAUGGCGAUUUAAUACGCCUCCAUUGUAAGCCGGAAUUUUUAUAAUCCGGCGGCUUAUAGCCUUUCAGAACAUCAAGAAUUGAUAACCCUUCUGAGACUCCAAUUUCAAUCUAUGAUGAUGGGCUUGAACUUAAUCAUUUAUGUAAGUCAUAGCUCUGCAAAUCCUGCAUAGAGUUUAAACAACAUAUGCCCUGGCGACUUAACGUCAAGCCAGGGCGGGUAACCACCCAAAUGUAGUAUCCUGCACACAAGUAGAUCACAAGAUCCCUUGGCGGUUUACCGCAGGGCGGGUCAUAAUAUCUCACUGUUGGAAAUAUGCCCUAGAGGCAAUAAUAAAAUGGUUAUUAUUGUAUUUCCUUGUUCAUGAUAAUUGUCUGGUGUUCAUGCUAUAAUUGUAUUAACUGGAAACCGUAAUACAUGUGUGAAUACAUAGACCACAACAUGUCCCUAGUAAGCCUCUAGUUGACUAGCUCGUUGAUCAAUAGAUGGUUAUGGUUUCCUGACCAUGGACAUUGGAUGUCAUUGAUAACGGGAUCACAUCAUUAGGAGAAUGAUGUGAUGGACAAGACCCAAUCCUAAGCAUAGCACAAGAUCGUGUAGUUCGUUUGCUAGAGCUUUUCUAAUGUCAAGUAUCAUUUCCUUAGACCAUGAGAUUGUGCAACUCCCGGAUACCGUAGGAAUGCUUUGGGUGUACCAAACGUCACAACGUAACUCGGUGGCUGUAAAGGUGCACUACAGGUAUCUCCGAAAGUGUCUGUUGGGUUGGCACGAAUCGAGACUGGGAUUUGUCACUCCGUAUGACGGAGAGGUAUCUCUGGGCCCACUCGGUAAUGCAUCAUCAUAAUGAGCUCAAUGUGACUAAGGAGUUAGCCACGGGAUCAUGCGUUACAGUACGAGUAAAGUGACUUGCCGAUAACGAGAUUGAACAAGGUAUUGGGAUACCGACGAUCGAAUCUCGGGCAAGUAACGUACCGAUUGACAAAGGGAAUUGUAUAUGGGAUUGAUUGAAUCCUCGACAUCGUGGUUCAUCCGAUGAGAUCAUCGUGGAACAUGUGGGAGCCAACAUGGGUAUCCAGAUCCCGCUGUUGGUUAUUGACCGGAGAGUCGUCUCGGUCAUGUCUGCAUGUCUCCCGAACCCGUAGGGUCUACACACUUAAGGUUCGGUGACGCUAGGGUUGUAGAGAUAUUAGUAUGCGGAAAUCCGAAAGUCGUUCGGAGUCCCGGAUGAGAUCCCGGACGUCACGAGGAGUUCCGGAAUGGUCCGGAGGUAAAGAUUUAUAUAUGGGAAGUCCUAUUUUGGCCACCGGAAAAUGUUCGGGAAUUUUCGGUAUUGUACCGGGAAGGUUCUAGAAGGUUCCGAAGUGGGGCCCACCUGCAUGGGGGACCCACAUGAACGUGGGUAGUGGGGGCAAGGCCCCACACCCCUGGUCAAGGCGCACCAAGAUCCCACCUUAGAAGGAAUAAGAUCAUAUCCCGAAGGGAUAAGAUCAAGAUCCCUAAAAAAGGGGAUAACAAUCGGUGGGGAAGGGAAAUGAUGGGAUUUCUUUCCCCCACCUUUGCCAACGCCCCAAUGGACUUGGAGGGCAAGAAACCAGCCCCCUCCACCCCUAUAUAUAGUGGGGAGGCGCAUGGGAGCAGCAACCCAAGCCCUGGCGCCUCCCUCCCUCCCGUGACACCUCUUCCUCCCCGCUUGCGCUUGGCGAAGCCCUGCCGGGAUCCCGCUACUUCCACCACCACGCCGUCGUGCUGCUGGAUCUCCAUCAACUUCUCCUCCCCCCUUGCUGGAUCAAGAAGGAGGAGACGUCCCCGCUCCGUACAUGUGUUGAACGCGGAGGUGCCGUCCGUUCGGCGCUAGGUUCAUCGGUGAUUUGGAUCACGACGAGUAUGACUCCAUCAACCCCGUUCUCUUGAACGCUUCCGCUCGCGAUCUACAAGGGUAUGUAGAUGCACUCCUCCCCUCUCAUUGUUAGCAUCUCCUAGAUUGAUCUUGGUGACACAUAGGAAAAUUUUGAAUUUCUGCUACGUUCGCCAACAGUGGCAUCAUGAGCCAGGUUUAUGCGUAGAUUCUAUGCAUGAGUAGAACACAAAGUAGUUGUGGGCGACGAUUUGUUCAAUUUUCUUACCGUUACUAGUCUUAUCUUGAUUCGGCGGCAUUGUGGGAUGAAGCGGCCCGGACCGACCUUACACGUACUCUUACGUGAGACAGGUUCCACCGACUGACAUGCACUUGAUGCAUAAGGUGGCUAGCGGGUGUCUGUCUCUCCCACUUUAGUCGGAUCGGAUUCGAUGAAAAGGGUCCUUAUGAAGGGUAAAUAGCAAUUGGCAUAUCACCGUUGUGGCUUUUGCGUAGGUAAGAAACGUUCUUGCUAGAAACCCAUAGCAGCCACGUAAAACAUGCAACAACAAUUAGAGAACGUCUAACUUGUUUUUGCAGGGUAUGCUAUGUGAUGUGAUAUGGCCAAAAGGAUGUGAUGAAUUAUAUAUGUGAUGUAUGAGAUUGAUCAUGUUCUUGUAAUAGGAAUCACGACUUGCAUGUCGAUGAGUAUGACAACCGGCAGGAGCCAUAGGAGUUGUCUUAAUUUGUUGUAUGACCUGUGUGUCAAUGAAAAACGCCAUGUAAUUACUUUACUUUAUUGCUAACCGUUAGCCAUAGUAGUAGAAGUAAUAGUUGGUGAGACAACUUCAUGAAGACACGAUGAUGGAGAUCAUGGUGUCAUGCCGGUGACGAAGGUGAUCAUGCCGCGCCUCGAAGAUGGAGAUCAAAAGGCGCAAGAUGAUAUUGGCCAUAUCAUGUCACUUUAUGAUUUGCAUGUGAUGUUUGUCAUGUUUACAUCUUAUUUUCUUAGAACGACGGUAGCAUAAAUAAGAUGAUCCCUCACUAAAAUUUCAAGAGAUGUGUUCCCCCUAACUGUGCACCGUUGCGAAGGUUCGUUGUUUCGAAGCACCACGUGAUGAUCGGGUGUGAUAGAUUCUAACGUUCGCAUACACCGGGUGUUGACGAGCCUAGCAUGUACAGACAUGGCCUCGGAACACAAGCAAAACACUUAGGUUGACUUGACGAGCCUAGCAUGUACAGACAUGGCCUCGGAACACAAGAGACCGAAAGGUCGAACAUGAGUCGUAUAGUAGAUACGAUCAACAUGGAGAUGUUCACCGAUGAUGACUAGUCCGUCUCACGUGAUGAUCGGACACGGCCUAGUCGAUUCGGAUCAUGUAUCACUUAGAUGACUAGAGGGAUGUCUAUCUAAGUGGGAGUUCAUUAAAUAAUCAAAUGAACUUAAUUAUCAUGAACAUAGUCAAAAGGUCUUUGCAAAUAAUGUCGUAGCUUACGCUUUAGUUCUACUAAGAUAUUUUCCUAGAGAAAAUUUAGUUGAAAGUUGAUAGUAGCAAUUAUGCGGACUAGGUCCGUAAACUGAGGAUUGUCCUCAUUGCUGCACAGAAGGCUUAUGUCGUUAAUGCACCGCUCGGUGUGCUGAACCUCGAGCGUCGUCUGUAGAUGUUACGAAACAUCUGACAUACAUGUUUUGAUGACUACGUGAUAGUUCAGUGUGUGAUGCUAACGGUUUAAAAUUGUGGCACCAAAGACGGUUUUGAAAUGUCGCAGAACAUAUGAGAUGUUCCAAAGACUGAAAUUGGGAUUUCAGACUAAUGCCCACGUCAAGAGGUAUGAGACCUCUGACAAGUUUCUUAAGCCUGCAAACUAAGGGAGAAAAGCUCAAUCGUUGAGCAUGUGCUCAGAUUGUCUGAGUACUACAAUCACUUGAAUCGAGUGGGAGUUAAUCUUCCAGAUGAGAUAGUGAUGGUUCUCCAUAGUCACUGCCACCAAGCUAUUAGAGCUUCGUGAUGAACUAUAACAUAUCAGGGAUAGACAUGAUGAUCCUUGAGCAACUCGCGAUGUUUGACACCGCGAAAGUAGAAAUCAAGAAGGAGCAUCAAUUGUUGAUGGUUAGUAAAACCACUAGUUUCUAGAAGGGCAAGGGCAAGAAGGGAUACUUCAUGAAACGGCAAAUCAGUUGCUGCUCUAGUGAAGAAACCCAAGGUUGAACCCAAACCCGAGACUAAGUGCUUCUGAAAUGAGGGGAACGGUCACUGAAGCAGAACUACCCUAGAUACUUCGUAGAUGAGAAGGCUGGCAAGGUCGACCGAAGUAUAUUGGAUAUACAUUAUAUUAAUGUGUACUUUACUAGUACUCCUAGUAGCACCAGGGUAUUAGAUACCGGUUCGGUUGCUAAGUGUUAGUAACUCGAAAUAAAAUAUGCGGAAUAAACGAAGACUAGCUAAAGGUGAGAUGACGAUAUGUGUUGGAAGUGUUUCCAAGGUUGAUGUGAUCAAGCAUCGCAUGCUCCCUCUACCAUCGAGAUUGGGGUUAAACCUGAAUAAUUAUUAUUUGGUGUUUGCAUUGAGCAUAGACAUGAUUGGAUUAUGUUAUCGCAAUACGGUUAUUCAUUAAAGGAGAAUAAUGGUUACUCUGUCUAUUUGAAUAAUACCUUCAAUGGUCUUGCACCUAAAAUGAAUGGUUUAUUGAAUCUCGAUCGUAGUGAUACACAUGUUCAUGCCAAAAGAUAUAAGAUAGUAAUGAUAGUACCACAUACUUGUGGCACUGCCAUUUGAGUCAUAUUGGUAUAAAACGCAUGAACAAGCUCCAUGUUGAUGGAUCUUUGGACUCACUCGUUUUUGAAAAGAUUGAGACAUGCGAACCAUGUCUAUUAGUAUAUAUGCAUGAAGAAAGUCCAUACAGAUGGAUCAUUUGGACUCACUUGAUUUUGAAUCACUUGAGACAUGCAAAUCAUACCACAUGGGCAAGAUGACUGAAAGGCCUCGUUUUCAGUAAGAUGGAACAAGAGAGCAACUUGUUGGAAGUAAUACAUUUGAUGUGUGCAGUCCAAUGAGUGCUGAGGCACGCAGUGGAUAUCGUUAUGUUCUUACUUCACAGAUGAUUUGAGUAGAUGCUGAGAAUAUUUACUUGAUGAAACACAAGUUUGAAUUAUUGAAAGGUUCAAGUAAUUUCAGAGUGAAGUUGAAGAUCGUCGUGACAAGAGGAUAAAAUGUCUGUGAUAUGAUCAUAGAGGUGAAUAUCUGAGUUACGAGUUUGGCACACAAUUAAUAAAUUGUGGAAAUUGUUUCACGACUAAUACCGCCUGGAACACCAUAUUGUGAUGGUGUGUCCGAACAUCAUAACUGCACCCUAUUGGAUAUGGUGCAUACCAUGAUGUCUCUUAUCGAAUUACAACUAUCGUUUAUGGGUUAGGCAUUAGAGACAACCGCAUUCACUUUAAAUAGGGAACCACGCAAUUCCGUUGAGACGACACCGUAUGAACUAUGGUUUAGAGAAACCUAAGCUGUCGUUUCUUAAAAGUUUGGGGCUGCGACGCUUAUGUGAAAAAGUUUCAGGCUGAUAAGCUCGAACCCAAAGCGGAUAAAUGCAUCUUCAUAGAAUACCCAAAACAGUUGGGUAUACCUCCUAUUUCAGAUCUGGAAGCAAAAGUGAUUGUUUCUAGAAAUGGGUCCUUUCUCGAGGAAAAGUUUCUCUCGAAAGAAUUGAGUGGGAGGAUGGUGGAGACUUGAUGAGGUCAUUGAACCGUCACUUCAACUAAUGUGUAGCAGGGCACAGGAAGUUGUUCCUGUGGCACCUACACCAAUUGAAGUGGAAGCUUAUGAUAGUGAUCAUGAAACUUCAGAUCAACUCACUACCAAACCUCAUAGGACGACAAGGAUGCGUACUACUUCAGAGUGGUACGUAAUCCUGUCUUGGAAGUCAUGUUGCUAGACAACAAUGAACCUACGAGCUAUGGAGAAGCGAUGGUGGGCCCGGAUUCCGACGAAUGGCUCGAGGCCAUAAAAUCCGAGAGGAUCCAUGUAUGAAAACAAAGUAUAGACUUUGGAAGAACUACUUGAUGGUCGUAAGGCUGUUGGGUACAGAUGGAUUUUAAAGGGAAGACAAACAAUGAUGGUAAGUGUCACCAUUAAGAAAGCUCGACUUGUCGUUAAGAUGUUUUCCGGCAAGUUCAAGGAGUUGACUGCGAUGAGACUUUCUCACUCGUAGCGAUGCUAAGAGUCUGUUAGAAUUAUAUUAGCAGUUACUGCAUUAUUUAUGAAAUCUUGCAGAUAGGAUGUCAAAACAUUGUUUCCUCGACGAUUUUCUUGAGGAAAGGUUGUAUGUGAUACAACCAGAAGGUUUUGUCAAUCCUGAAAGAUGCUAACAAGUAUGCAAAGCUCCAGCAAUCCUUCUAAGGAUUGGAGUAAGCAUCUCGGAGUUGGAAUGAACGCUUUGAUGAGAUGAUCAAAGAUUUUGGGUUUAUACAAAGUUCAUGAGAAACUUGUAUUUCCAAAGAAGUCAGUGGGAGCACUAUAGAAUUUUUGAUGAGUAUAUGUUGUUAACAUAUUGUUGAUCAGAAAUGAUGUAGAAUUUCUGGAAAGCAUCCAGGGUUGUUUGAAAAGUGUUUUUAAUGGAAAACCUAGAUUAACCUACUUGAACAUUGAGCAUCAAGAUCUAUAAGGAUAGAUCAAAAAUGCUUAAUAGUACUUUCAAAUGAAUACAUACCGUGACAAGAUUUUGAAGGAGUUCAAAAUAGAUCAGCAAAGAAGGAGUUCUUGGCUGUGUUACAAGGUGUGAGUAUUGAGUAAGACUCAAGACCUGACCACGGCAGAAGAAAGAGAAAGGACGAAGGUCGUCCCCUAUGCUUUAGACGUAGGCUUUGCAAUAUGCUAUGCUGUGUACCGCACCUGAAGUGUGCCUUGCCAUGAGUUAGUCAAGGGGUACAAUAGUGAUCCAGCAACGAAUCACAUGACAGCGGUCGAACUUAUCCUUAGUAUCUAGUGGACUAAGGAAUUUUCUUGAUUAUGGAGGUGGAAAGGGGGUUCGUCGUAAAGGGUUAUGUCGAUACAAACUUUGACACUAAUCCGGAUGACUCUGAGUAGUGAACCAGAUUCGUAUAGUAGAGCAGUUAUUUGGAAUAGCUCCAAGUAGCGCGUGGUAGCUGCAUCUACAAGAUGACAUAGAGAUUUGUAAAGCACACACGGAUCUGAAUGUGGCAGACCCGUUGACUAAAACCUCUCUCGUAAGCAUAACAUGAUCAAACCCUAGAACUCAUUGACUGUUAAUCACAUGGUGAUGUGAACUAGAUUAUUGACUCUAGUAAACUCUUGGGUAUUAGUCACAUGGCGAUGUGAACUUUGAGUGUUAAUCACAUGGUGAUGUGAACUAGAUUAUUGACUCUAGUGCAAGUGGAAGACUGUUGGAAAUAUGCCCUAGAGGCAAUAAUAAAAUGGUUAUUAUUGUAUUCCCUUGUUCAUGCUAUAAUUGUAUUAACUGGAAACCGUAAUACAUGUGUGAAUACAUAGACCAGAACAUGUCCCUAGUAAGCCUCUAGUUGACUAGCUCGUUGAUCAAUAGAUGGUUAUGGUUUCCUGACCAUGGACAUUGGAUGUCAUUGAUAACGGGAUCACAUCAUUAGGAGAAUGAUGUGAUGGACAAGACCCAAUCCUAAGCAUAGCACAAGAUCGUGUAGUUCGUUUGCUAGAGCUUUUCUAAUGUCAAGUAUCAUUUCCUUAGACCAUGAGAUUGUGCAACUCCCGGAUACCGUAGGAAUGCUUUGGGUGUACCAAACGUCACAACGUAACUCGGUGGCUGUAAAGGUGCACUACAGGUAUCUCCGAAAGUGUCUGUUGGGUUGGCACGAAUCGAGACUGGGAUUUGUCACUCCGUAUGACGGAGAGGUAUCUCUGGGCCCACUCGAUAAUGCAUCAUCAUAAUGAGCUCAAUGUGACUAAGGAGUUAGCCACGGGAUCAUGCGUUACGGUACGAGUAAAGUGACUUGCCGGUAACGAGAUUGAACAAGGUAUUGGGAUACCGACGAUUGAAUCUCGGGCAAGUAACGUACCGAUUGACAAAGGGAAUUGUAUACGGGAUUGAUUGAAUCCUCGACAUCGUGGUUCAUCUGAUGAUAUCAUCGUGGAACAUGUGGGAGCCAACAUGGGUAUCCAGAUCCCGCUGUUGGUUAUUGACCGGAGAGUCGUCUCGGUCAUGUCUGCAUGUCUCCCGAACCCGUAGGGUCUACACACUUAAGGUUCGGUGACGCUAGGGUUGUAGAGAUAUUAGUAUGCCGAAAUCCGAAAGUCGUUCGAAGUCCCGGAUGAGAUCCCGGACGUCACGAGGAGUUCCGGAAUGGUCCGGAGGUAAAGAUUUAUAUAUGGGAAGUCCUAUUUUGGCCACCGGAAAAUGUUCGGGAAUUUUCGGUAUUGUACCGGGAAGGUUCUAGAAGGUUCCGAAGUGGGGCCCACCUGCAUGGGGGGACCCACAUGAACGUGGGUAGUGGGGGCAAGGCCCCACACCCCUGGUCAAGGCGCACCAAGAUCCCACCUUAGAAGGAAUAAGAUCAUAUCCCGAAGGGAUAAGAUCAAGAUCCCUUAAAAAGGGGGAUAACAAUCGGUGGGGAAGGGAAAUGAUGGGAUUUCUUUCCGCCACCUUUUCCAACGCCCCAAUGGACUUGGAGGGCAAGAAACCAGCCCCCUCCACCCCUAUAUAUAGUGGGGAGGCGCAUGGGAGCAGCACCCCAAGCCCUGGCGCCUCCCUCCCUCCCGUGACACCUCUUCCUCCCCGCUUGCGCUUGGCGAAGCCCUGCCGGGAUCCCGCUACUUCCACCACCACGCCGUCGUGCUGCUGGAUCUCCAUCAACUUCUCCUCCCCCCUUGCUGGAUCAAGAAGGAGGAGACGUCCCGCUCCGUACGUGUGUUGAACGCGGAGGUGCCGUCCGUUCGGCGCUAGGUUCAUCGGUGAUUUGGAUCACGACGAGUACGACUCCAUCAACCCCGUUCUCUUGAACGCUUCCGCUCGCGAUCUACAAGGGUAUGUAGAUGCACUCCUCCCCUCUCGUUGCUAGCAUCUCCUACAUUGAUCUUGGUGACACGUAGGAAGAUUUUGAAUUUCUGCUACGUUCCCCAACACUCACAUAUAACCACUAUGAUAUUGAAUUUGUACUGCCGGUUUACAUGACCUGUGCAAUAAGGGUGAUAACCCAAUCUUUAGAAAUCAAGACUUCCAAAUGUUUAUGAUUGUCAUAUGAUGGCGACUUAUCAACCAAAGUCAAGCCGGGUUAAUCGAAGCCACAUAUAUACUUCAGAUAUGAUCAAAAGAACUUCAAAUAAAAUACAAAAUUUUGUUUGCAAAAAGAGACUUCAAAAAUUUUGAGGCUUCUGAUUCGAAUACUAUCAGAAAACCGUCCCAAAGGGGUUAAGCUAAGAUUCGAAUACGAUCAUAUAGCCCCCAGUGGCUUUGGCGUUGCCGAUCAAGAGGGUACCGACAGCUAUGUUCUCUUUGGUUCGAAUACGACCUAUGUUUGAACAGGAAGCCCCCAAAUGACCUGGAGAGUUGUUUAACGACGCUGAUUCGAAUACGAUCCAUGUCGGUUCCCAAAAGGGGUUGAGCUAUGAUUCGAAUACGAUCAAGAAGCCCCCUAGUGAGCUCAGCAGUGUGCCGAUCAAGAGGGUACCGACAGCUAUGUUCUCUUUGGUUCGGAUACGACCUAUGUUUGAACAGGAAGCCCCCAAGUGAUCUUGAGAAUAUUUAACGACUCUCAUUCCAAUACGAUCAGGGUCACACCAAAAGGGUUAAGCUAAAUUUGAAUACGAUCAGCUCCCAACGGUCAUUAAAGCAGGUAGUUAUGUUUGAGUUGUGCUUUGUAACAGACUCUCCUUGGUCCCUUUAAUUUUUCUUGAAAACUUGAACUUUGCGAGAGAUAAAAUCUUUUUAAAACCGGAAGUUCUUAAACCGGAUAUUAAGAGUUUCAAAGCAUGGUGAUAGACAAAUUUACCUUGAACCGGGUUUUGAACCGGAUUUGAGAUCUUCAAAGCAUUGUGGCAGAUAAAUUUCAUUUGAACCGGAUUUUAAACCGGACAUUAAGAGCUUCAAUGCUUUGUGGGAGAUGUCAAGUCUCUUGAUAAGGAUCUAAACCGGAAUCCUUCUUUUUAAGCCAGAUAUUUUUCUGACGGUCUUUAAAUUUUUACCAAUAUGGCGGUAGCCUCCGGGACCGGGUUAUUUUUUUCCUCCAAUGACCCAGAGUUCUUGAAUGCAUUGAAACCGACCAAUGUUGCCGAGUCAUAUCAUUGUAACCCCUGAGUCUCAAAACGACUCAAGGAGUUGGCUUUGAGAUUCUCCAUAUUGACCAUAGCAUAAGGUGUAUAUCAUUGGUGUUGAUAGUGCGAUGUGAAUCCACAGAAGGUUGAGGUGACUGCGGCGGAUUAUAAAUGAUCAUGUAUGAGCCGUGUCAGCAACUCGGCCAAUGGUCCCUUCCAACUGGCUGUUUGAAGUUAACCAAACUAUAGUGGCGGCGACUUGUGCGCCUGCCCAUUUAAACCAUCCAGUGUAGACGGCGGCUGAUAAUACAUGAUAAUUUGCCUCCAAUUUUGUUGGAAGAAAAACCAGGCUUCCCAAGCAGUGACUUGCUCAUACUCGAUGAUCAGCUCACGCAGACAGGUGCGGCCCGGUAUGUUGAUAUAGACCAGGCCGCAAGAGACAGAUGGUAAAAACAACCGUGGCAUCAAAGGUGGUACAGACAGAUGAGUUGGUCACGACGUUGUAAACCGGUGUGGUCGGGCGAGUCAAUCGCCGGCGCGGUAAGCCGCGCGGAUGGGCGAGUCAACCACGUCGUGUUGAUGUAGUGAACAAUUGUCCUACAUCAAAAACAUCGCAAGCAAGAGUAAUUGCUCUUUUUUAAAGAAAACAAUAUAUAAUAUAUAAAAAUUUACUGGAUUGAUUUCACCUGAUAUGUUAGGCCAGAAAAUAUCCACCGCGGAGUUGAUCAUCACGACGGUGAAGCUGAAAUCAAUCACGGCCGAGUCGGCCGCGGGAACAGACAGACGGGUCGGCCGCGGCGUUGUAAGCCGGUGCGGUCGGGCGAGUCAAUCGCAUGAGCGAUAAGCCACGCGGACGCUGAGUCGGCCGCGGGGGCGGACAGGUAAGUUGUCCGUCACAUUGUAAGGCGGCGCGUUGAUGUAGACCGGACCACAGGGGCGGUGGCUUGCGCCCACCUGUUGACCAGUAAGCGGUCGCAGAUGCCGUUGCAUGAUGAUGCUACCGCACACUCCAUGGAUACGGCAUUACACCAUCUUUAUGAUGAAUCCUUGUCCUGCACAUAAAAGUGUACAUAGCAAAGCGAUUGUUUUUUGACAAAAAACAAUAUGCGCUUAAUAAAAUAAUCUUAGAUGGAUAUCACCUGAUUUGUUCGGAUGACCGAUGAUCCAUUCAAUGCAACAAAAAACGGCUCUGGUAGACCGGUAACCCAUGGCGAGUCAACACAGCAGAAGCGACUCAACGCAGCCCCGGCAGCUCGAGGCACGGCGGGUCUCAGCUCACGGCGGGUUGAGGUGUGGCGGUUCAAGGUCACAGCGGGGGGACUCGCAGGCUCAGGCGAGGCCGUUUUGAAGAUGGUUGGCAGCGGCGCGGUGACUCGCCACGGUGCGCCGAAAUAGCAGCAGCGUAGUGGGAGAAACAGCCGGUCUGUUGAUUUUGACCGUGAUGUGAAGCUCGCGGGGCAGCCACGAAGGCGCUGGGACGGAGUGGCUCCGAUGUGCGAGACGUGCCACCACAAGGACGCACGUAGGAGAAGACCAGAGGGGCAUCGAAGUCGGGUCCGCGGCGGCUCUGGAGAUGACAAGUGUGCGGGAGGCAAGGCCGUGCUGGCCAGCAGAAAACGGCGAGGUGCCGGCGACUUAGCGUAAAACCGCGGGUCAGAGGCGGCUCGGAGUUGAGUCCAUGUCCUGCUCUGGUCGUUGUUGGUUUGACAAUUCCCUUUAAGUGCUCCUUUAAAAUUUCCUUCAUCACACGUGGUGUCGUGCCAGGCAACAGCAUGGCCGGACUAAAAAUCCACUAGACCUUGAUUUUUAAUGCUCCUGUAGAUCUUGGGGACUGCGUGUGAGCUGACUAUUAAAACCUUCAAAUUCAUGCACGUACAGUGGCUGUACUAGUUGAUGCUACGUGCAGAAGGUAAGGUAAUCUAUCAGGCUUUGUUUUUCGCGUUGAUCAGCACUUGGACCCUUGAUCAACAGUUGGCUUGAUCCGGAGACUUCACAGGGCUGAAGCAAACUGUCUUGAUCGCCGCUGUACCAACAGAUGGCGCUCGUGACGCGUGUUUGGCUGUCUUUGAUCACCUCGGACUUGGACAGCUAUAUAUGGACCAGCAGAAGCGACCUGGCGAAUCGGACACGGCGGCUAGAUUUGACAGCGGCACAGUAGAAAUUCGAGUCGGCCUCGGUGUACUGCUGCAGCAGAAACUAACCCGGACUCGACGGAUCAUCUAAUUGUGGCGGCGCUCACCAUGCAACUCUAAUCUUUCUUGAAUUCAGACCUCGUACGAGUAUUAGAUCUGACUGCUCGCUUUGGAGACAAUGUAAAUCCUUCCGCGACGAUUCUUCUUUCAUCCGAAGAAAUUGUCAACUUCUCGACCCUUGAAAGAGAUCCCUCCAAGAACUCAUCACCACCGUGCGCAGCCCCACGGUGGGCGCCAACUGUCGUGGAAUUGUCACGGCAGAUGUCCUAGUGUGAGGACUUAGUCGUGAGGCCAACGCAUCUAUGCGGUAGCUUGAGAGGGGUUGAUUGGGAUGAGAGACGCAACACACAAGACAAGAAUUUAGACAGCUUCGGGCCCCGGGAAACAUCAUCCGGUAAUAGCCCUACAUGCUGUUUGUGGCUAGGUCUCAUUAUGAUCAUGAGAGAGUCGCCGGUAAGCCGGCUCUUUGUGUCUAGCCCUAGAGAUUGUUUCUUGUUUCUUGUCCCUCUUGGGGUGCCCUGCCCCUCCUUAUAUAAGUUAGAGGGGCGGGUUACAUACGGAGUCCUAGUAGGAUUAGGACUAGUCUAUCUUUCUUUACAAGUUGAAUACAAGUCCAGGUCUUGCUUCCUUAUGAAGGAAAUAAUCCUCACGCCUUUCAUCUUAAACCGGCCCACCAGAGUAUAAGCCAGCCUGCUGGGCCUUGGGCCUUGUCAUCCGUCUGAUCCGCCCGCCGGGUCUCCAGUGAAUUACAAUGUCUAGGCGGGUUACCCUGUGAACCGCCAUGUUCGGGCGGAUCGCCAGUGAGUCGCCAAGCUUGUCCGGCCGGGUCAUACCGCGGGGUAUAUCCCCGACAGGUGGUCUAAUACGGGUAAAGAAACGCAUUUUUCGCUUUGGAUCCUUUACAAUAAAAGAUGGGUCAAAAAUUCGAUUCUGGGAAGACAAGUGGCUAGAAAAUGCUUGGAUCCAAUAAAAAUAUCUAUCUUUGUACUGCAUCAUUCAUCACAAUAAUGAUACUCUUGUGCUAGUGCUUAUUUCUUUCAUGCCAGAUAUUUCUUUCAGGCGAGAUUUGAUUGGCCUAUGUCUUAUGUGAUGGUAAAAUCAUUAUCCUGAUUGGAUUUAAUUAACCUGACACAAGGGCGGGGAUGUGUUUCAUUGGAAUCUCUCUACAUAUGGGUCCUUCAAGUCAACUUUAUGUACCAUGCACUAACGCAUUCAGAGGUCCUAGUGGAUAAUAAAAUAAUAGAAGAAGAUAUGGGCCAUACUCCCUCCGUCCAGUGAAGAGUGAAAUCUAGAGAUUUUAGGACAAAUUAUGGAGUAAAAUAGAAAAUGCAUUGGAAAGGUGCAAGCCACCAUCUUUCUUCUCUUUAAUUAUCCAAUCCCUAAUGUGUUUAGUGCAUGUAAAAAUUAAGAAGACCAUGUGUAGAUUGUUAUUGGUCUUGGUUACCAUGUGAUGAGAGAGAAAUAUAUUUUUUUCUACUUUAAAGUGCAUUGAGAAGAUAGAAGUACACUCUUUUGUGGACAAAUUUUAAAGCCAAACGUACACUCUUCACCGGACGGAGGGAGUAUAUUAAUUCCUAGUGUGACUUAAUGUUGACAUGAAUUGAUACAGGUGGAUAUAGUUACUCUGCGUCCGUAAAUAAAGGUCAUCAUUUUUGUUGCUCUAGGGACCCAUAAAUGAUAGGGACUGUCCGCUACCAGCUACCCUGAUGACUCCAUUCGCUGCCCCUCAAACAUGGGUUCCCGACAUGUUCUCAGGGUCUGCCCGUGGUUCCAUGUUCUGGCCUUCGGGGUUGGUUUAACUAGUGGUAUGGGGGUUCUUGCAUCGCCCUGUACUCUCGAUCGGGACCCUUUAAUGCUAGCACUUCUGGUGACAUACAGUGCGUGUAUUUAAAGGCCAGGCAUGCAUCCUCCGUGCCAAAGAAAAUUCAUUCGGCGGCUACACGGGGAGAGUUGUGGCAGCAAAUCCGGGAUGCCAGCUUUUUGUUUUGGGUUUCGAUUGUCAAAGUUUUAGAUCUUAAAAAAACUAAAAUUAAGUGUUGUUUUCAUAUUCGUGUUUCUCGUGACCACUGUUUUGAAAUAAUAUCCGUUUUGAAUAUAUAUUUUGACGACUUUAAAAAAUAUUAAGUUUCAUAUGUUGAAACUUAGUACGGGCAACCAGUAAAAAUCAAUUAUUUUGUACCUACGCCUGACAGAAAAAUGCUUACAUUUAUAUCUCUGAAACUUGCUGAAACUUUGCAUUUUUCAUCAUUGAAACUUAAAACUUUUUGAGGGAUUUUCUUUUUUACUGUGCCCUCAUGUGGGAUUCAACUACUCUUUUCUCUUCCGCGAGAUCCACAUGAAAAAAAGCACAAAUUUAAGAUGAGUGCAGGGCUUGGCAGAUGAGUGCCCUGCACUUACAUGCCCCUGCGAAUUUCCGCAGCUACUAGAUAUUUUUGGCAAAUUUAUUGUUUGCUCUUUUACAGGUGUGCCACUUAAGUAUUUAAACCUAUAAGGAUUUCUGCACUGGUGCUAAACUCACUUAUGAGAGCAUACCGGAUUUUCUCAUAUGAGCUAACAAAGAAUCAAACAUAGUUAUAUCUUGUAUUAUUUUCUCAUUAAUUACUUACCCACUGGGCUGAAGCAGUUAUUGUAGCAUAUCAUGCAACACUCAUGGUUUUCCAACAUGUUUCCUUAAGGGGUCUUAAUCAAGAUGAUUUACAUUCAAAAACAAUCAUUGAGUAUGGAUCAUUAAGAAUAAUUUGAUCCUACUUAAUCCAUGCUUAGGAAAUAAGAAAAUGGUUACUCAAUGAGCAAACGCUGCCUGUUGCUGCCUCCUCACCAACAAACUUUGGUUCUUCACAUCCCUUACCGAAGAGGCACCUUUACAUUGCAUCCCUUGUAUACUACUAUAUAUAUGUGAUCUUCAUAAAGAGUUCAGCGAUUUCUCCAUUGUUGAGUUCCUUACACUCAAUAUUCAAUAAUAGUUAUUUCCAAAUUCACAUAAUCAGUUGGCAGGAUGGUCACCAAAGUACAUUCAUCCAUCGAAAGAAACACACAAAAGAAAACAGUAACAGCACCAAAAAAACUACACGUUGUCCAAUUAUGAAUAAUGUUUCGUCCGUGUAACAAGAGCUUCGACGGUCAUUUUCUUAAGCAUAAUUAAAUAAAAAACUAAUCAUAGACUCUGAUUGUAAAGCAUUCCAAAAGAAAUUCAUAUGUCAGUUCUUCAACGCUUAUUGUGUUGGAAGCCUGUCCUCAAAUAUUCUCUCCUUCGCCUUGUCGGCCUGCAAAUAAAUAUCAGUUAUUUUUUCUUACUAUCCUUGGUACCAGUGCUUAGGGUUUUGAUAGACAGGUCGCUAGUUAUUGAAAUGAAACAUUUAAGACAAGGAGAAGCAUGCAUUAGGGCAACUCCAACUAUGUGCAUCAAAUCGGACACAUCUAACAUUCAUGGGCACGUCCGGACGUGUCCACAAAGAGCAUAUAGGGGGCGGCCAUCCAAGCCUAUGCACCAAAUGUCCGCACCUUUUCAAAGAAAAUAAAAUAAAGCUAGACCAAAUGUUGGCUCACUUUAAAUCAUCGAUCGAUAGCAAUUCAAAAGUGUUGGAUGAAAGUACUUCUCGAAAGCAGCCUUCAUUACAUACUUUCUCUCCUCGAGUUUGCACUUCUUCAUUACAAAUGUUGUUCAUCCAGAUGUUGUGCCCUUUGAGCUUCAUCCAACAGUGCAUAAAUGCGAAGAACUUGCCCUCCGUCCUUUGGUAUAGCAUGGGCUGCGCGUCUGGGCUAUACAAUGACGUGAUCAUCAAGUGUAACAUUGAGCAAUUUGCCAUUUGUGCUUGCUUCAUGUUAAACAAGGAGAAAGUCAAAGAAAUUCUCAAUGGUAUUUGGCCGAACACUUGCCGGGGUUGGCCUCCAUUAUGGAGGGCAUCGGCAAGGGGGCGGCCAAUGCAUGGGCUGCCGCCGGAUACUGGGUGCAACCGCGGCGAAGUACAAUGCGCCUGGUGGAGCAAUGGAGGUCUAGCAAGGCCUAGGCGCGGGACGGAGUGGUAUAGCAGCGGCGGUCUUGGUGGGUGCGGAUACAGAUUAAGAGUGGGACNNNNNNNNNNNNNNNNNNNNNNNNNNNNNNNNNNNNNNNNNNNNNNNNNNNNNNNNNNNNNNNNNNNNNNNNNNNNNNNNNNNNNNNNNNNNNNNNNNNNNNNNNNNNNNNNNNNNNNNNNNNNNNNNNNNNNNNNNNNNNNNNNNNNNNNNNNNNNNNNNNNNNNNNNNNNNNNNNNNNNNNNNNNNNNNNNNNNNNNNNNNNNNNNNNNNNNNNNNNNNNNNNNNNNNNNNNNNNNNNNNNNNNNNNNNNNNNNNNNNNNNNNNNNNNNNNNNNNNNNNNNNNNNNNNNNNNNNNAUAGUCCGACCAGGCGGGCGUCCGGACUCCCAAACCUCCAAUGAGUUUGCUUCCGGUUUGGCUGAUGUUGGACGUCCGGAUUAGGCCGCGGGCAUUUGAUGCAUGGCAGUGGAUGGCAAAAAAUGUACAGGCAGCGCAGUCCGGACCUUGCGGGCAAUUUGAUGCAUGGCAUUGGAGUUGCCCUUAGCAAUACCUAAGGCAUGUUCUGAUCACGAAUCAUCAGGCAUAAAAACUGAGAAAGGACUUACCAUCUUGUUCCAGUUUGUGGUAGCCGUAAUAACAGACAGGAGAGUGACCUGUGUGGCUCCACCAGCCAGUAUGCCAAUCCAAAACCCCUUUGCUCUUAGUUGCAUUGCAAAACCAAAGUAGAGUGCAACGGGGAUACCAACAAGAUAGAAGGCACCCAGGUUAACAUAAGCCCCUAGAUGCUGCCAUCCACAGCCCCGAGACACACCUGAGUGGUGCAAUGGAAGCAUUCAGUCUAUUAGUUUAAUUUAGUUUAUGAUGCUAUAUGCCAAAAGAAAGACAUGUGGAUACCUUGAAGGACUGCCAUGAGGCUGUCUGUAAUUGCUGAAAUGGAAAGUAGGGGUACCAUUCUUGUGACAUAACGCCUGACCUCUUCCUCAUUGCUGAACGCAAUUCCAAUAAAGUGGCGCAGUAAUAGAAGAGUUGUGCUCACUAAGAAUGCUGAGCAGACCACAAUAGACAAGGCAACACACACCACCAAGCGGGGACCUUGUGUGUUGCCGGCGCCUAAUUCAUUUGAGACGCGCACACUGGCACACGGACAACAUAUAUACGUAGCAUGUUAAAUUCUGUAGAAACAGGUGAUACUGACGAUAUAUAGCAACAAAUGCACUAGCUAGUAGCUACCCACCUGGUAGCUAUUCCAAUGCCGUAAGGAAGGUUGGCCAACAGUAUCAUUGUAGAUACGCUGUUCCAAAAGGACAUCAGUAUGGUAAACUUCAUAGAAUAUGAUGGAUUCAAGUAUAAUCUUAUUUAGGGUUCUACUAAUGCAUACCAUAUAGAAAGCACAGAGGUUUCCAGUGCAGGAUUUGGUAACAUCCCGGAAAGCAGAACAAGCAGCUCGUAAGACCACCACUCCAGACUGUGGUCAAGGAAAGCUAGGUUAAUAUUCAGAGGUUUCCGGGAUGUUUUGAUGCUAGAGAAUACAUAAUUAGAAGCUAAACUUAAAGUAAUAUAUGUGCAGAAAUUAUCCAGUUCAUUUCAAGAGGAGAGGGAAGAAUAUAUCCAGUGGUAUUGCGAGCGGGUGGCAAAAAAACAAAAGGUAUCUGAUCAGGAUCUGCUCACAACAAAGGCGAAGACGAAGACGGACUUUCUUUUGUUGAAAGAUGUCUUCACAACAAAGACGAAGAGGAAAACAAACUUGAUUUGGACAAUCAAUCCGAGACGAGCCGACAUUUCAAAUUUUCAAAUGGUUUGUAAAAGACCAUCAUCCUUUUCUGACAGUAUUCUAACAGACCAAUCAAGUGUGCAAGGGUGCUGUGGCAAGAACAACAGAAAAAUAGUAUUUCCUCCAUCCGAAAAUAAGUGUCGCUCAAAUAGAUGUAUCUGGACGUAUUUUAGUGCUAGAUACAUCCGUUUGAGCGGUACUUAUUUCCAGACGGAGGGAGUAGGUAUGAACGAACAUAAGUAGAAAGAGAUAUAAAAAAUAGCAACAAUGCUUGGAUCUUAUGGGCUGCAAGUGCACCACUAUUAAAAAGGUUUUGCCACGUACUUGUUAUUAUUAAUAUAUUUUUUGAGAGGAACGUACUUGUUAUUUUCCAUGCUGACACCUUUAGAAACGUUGGCUACUGAUACACAAACUAUAUAGAUUUGUCACAUGAAGAUACCAUUAGUGUUAUGAAUGAUCACAUCAUUAUAAUUAUAAUCUUAAUUAUUUGCCAAAAGGUGCACGUUGGAAACUAUAUUAAUGUCCACAAGAACAAGUAAAAGUGAAUGAAGAGUGCAUAAGAGUUUGCUGUAUUGGACAAUAUUUUGCUUGCCAAAAUAUGAAAUACUAGAUAAAAUAGCAUAUGUUAUUUUUUGUGCUAGAGGUUAAAACAACAUCAUUAUAGAAACAUGGCAAAUAACAUUUACUUACCAAAUCAUAAGAGCCGAUGGUACAGCCAAACGCAUGAAACUGCCAAUCCCUCUAAAAGCUUCCCACGAUGGUGGAGCGCGUGUUUUCUCACAAGAGGGUGAGAACUUAAUGUAAAGGCCAAGAAAAGUCACUUCAACCCAAUCACAAAUGCUAACGGAUAAAGCAGCUCCAGCAUUACCCAUCCCAACUUUGUAAACCAUGAACCAGCAAAGAGGAAGAAAUACCGCAAUUGUAAUCAAGGAGCUAAGAACCAUUGGAAAUAUUAGGCUUUGACAUUGCAGAAACUUUGAAAAGCAUUGAGUAACACCGAAGGCAAAUAAACCAGGGAUAAGCCAUAAUGCAUAUUUGCCAGCCUCAUUUGCAAUUUGUGGUUCCUGGCCCAUGAGAGGAAGUACUUCCGGGAUGAAACACCAAACAAUGGAGAUGGGCACACUCACAACAAGAAGUGCAAUGAUGGACCUGUAGGUACAUAAAGAUAAUGUAUGAUAUUGUUCUGCUCCAUAGGCCUGCCCACAAAGAGUUUCCAAUCCGCCUGCCAGUCCAAUCUAAAAGGGAAACUGCAUCAGUAACAAAUUAUACAUAUUGUUGCUGAAUAAAUGGAAGUUAAACUAGGAUAAAGUGCAUCGACAUUACUGAAAGAAGAGUUUUGCUACACCUACACAUUAAUCUUAUGGAAUUAAAUUUACAGGAUGAGGUGGCAACAUCUGAUUGGAAGGGAGGAGACUCAUAGUAAAUUCGGGGAAGACGGGUUACUUGGAGGUUAGGGGGGAGGGGUGGCAGUCCAUACGGGUCGCUCAUAAGUUUGGAUUUUCGCUGAAAGAAUAUCAAGAAUAACAAACGUGGCUUGUGCAAGGUGGGCAACAGUUGCUAUGAAGAUUUUGUUUCAAUCAUCACUGCAAAGAAUGCGAACAUCACCCUGGCCGAAUUUUCUCAACACCCAACUCAGUCGGAUCAAGUGACUGAUUAUAUUUUUCGCGGGAAUAUAAUAGAUCGAUAUUGCCCACCGAAACUAGCUAUAUGUACAGCGGGGUGGGGUGAAUCAAGCACCACAGGUCCAUUGUAAAAAAGAUUAAUCGAACGACCUAGCUAGCCGCGUGCGGUCGGCGCUAAUCAGAAAGGUUGAGAAAUGGAACCAUCUGAUUUGAUUCAUUCCCAGUAGUCAUGAGAUGAUCAUUUUUUUUUAGAAAAGAGGGGAGAUCCUGAAUGAUCCACACAACCUUUUGUUUAUCAUAUCAAAGUACAUCAUCUGACCAUAACAAAGUUCAUCUUGCCAACGGAUGCUUCUAUUACACUCGUGGUCUCUAAAAGAUGAGAACCCACUAUGUAGCAUCCACAUCAAUAAUUCAAGCAUUUAUGUCCUUAGUACGAUUCUUUGUAGGAACUAUCCGUAAUAACAAAGAACAUCAGAAGUAGCAGAGAUCUCCGCACGAUGCAACUGGAUAAAUGGCGGUCGCAUGGAGGGAGAAGACACUGAGACAUCUGGACCGGUCGCCGAUCUUGUACACAUCCGGAUGGGAUUCAGGGGCUGCUCUAACGGAAUUGAAAGUACCAAUAGCUAAACAUAAACGAAAUAAAUUAAUGUGCGCUGCAUGCUUGCUCACAAGGACGCUGAAGCCGGAGACGUUGGUGAGGGAGUUGGCGAUGGCCGCACCGGCGAGCGCGACGUCGCCGAGGUGCCCCACCAUGACGGUGGAGAUGAACUGCAUCGUGACCUGCAGCAGCAUCACCACCACCAUCGGCGCCGCAAGCCCCGCCAGCUGCGCGGCUUCCCUACACCAGCGCCGGCUGGUACUGCCGGGCUCUUCCCACCUCGCGGCCAGCAGCGGCGCAUCGGAAGAAGAGUCCAUGGAUCCCCCCGACCAAAGCUCUGCCCAAGCAACGUGGGUGUGGUUAAUGAAAAUGGUAAAUGCGGGAGCUACCAUCCGUCUAGCUGUCUCCCUUUGCACAAUGCAUGGAGCUCGAACUAUAUAUAGAGUAUUACUCCAGUCGUAGUAGCUACGGAAACUAUUUCCUCUGUCCAGAUUUAUUAGUUUUGUCAGAGCAUCGGUAAUUGAGGAGCUAAUUUGAUUUCAUAUACAUCCACUGACCCGUCUUGGCGCUGUUCAGGCAUAUUCACUUAAGCCCACAUUUAUCUGUGCACGCAGUGGUAACCCCACUUUUCUCCCUAUUAUAUGCCCGAUUACAUGCAUAUGAAUGGUAGGGACAGAACCUCAAAAAAAAAAGAAUGGUAAGGACAAAAAAAGAAAAUAAAAGAAAAUAGUGAAGGUGAAAAAGUGGUCCGGACUCUGGAGUGUGCCAAAUUCGACGUGGCAGACUGCUCAGACAUACCACAACAUCUCAUACCCUUUCCACGUAUGGGCUCGGUAUAAGGGGUGCCAGAAAGCCCGCGCCCAUGUAUAUAGUUUUGAGUUAAUGAUACUCCCUUUCAUCCAUAUUACUUGUCACACGGACGUAUUUAGACGUUUUUCAGUGCUAGAUAAAUUCGUUUGAGCGACAAGUACACUAGUAGAAAAAGGACCUUACGUGAGACACAUUAGUCCCGGUUCAAUUUUGGCUCGGUACUAAUGGUAUUAGUCCCGGUUCAAACGGCUAUGCAUUAGUCCCGGUUCAUGUUGAACCUUUAGUACCGGUUCGUGCCACUAACCGCUACUAAAGGGGUGGUGGCAGGCUGGCGUCAGGCCGGGGCCCCACGAGCCCCUUUGACUAAAGGGGUUUAACCUUUAGUCCCGGUUGGAGACACAAACCGGGACUAAAGGGCAAUUAUCAAACUCUACCCCCCUCCCCUCUCCCUGUCUAUCGCCAUUUCAGUUUUGAAAAAAACAAAACAAAAUGAUAAAAACUUCAAAAAUUAAGAUCCUUCGAGAUGUAGUUAUGUUACUACAUCUACUAGUUAGGAAAAUUUAAAAACUUAAAUUUGGACAUGUUUUGCAAAAAAAUAUGAUGAAAAGGUAAAACAACUAUAUCUUUUGCAUCCGAUAUCGGAAAACAACGUAUAAUAUAUCAAAAUGUUCAGCACGAAAAUACGCAUCCGAUUUUGACGGCUGUAGGCCGUUUUGCAAAUUUUUAGAAUCCUCAAACUCUAAAAGGAAAAAAGUUAUGCUCACAUUUCAGUUUUUUUUUUGAAUUUUGGUCAAACUGUGGUCAAACUACUUAUUCAAGAAAUAUUAGUGUUACUAAAUAAUUAUUUCAGUUUUUUGAAUUUUGGUCAAAUCUGGUCAAACUAUGGUCAAACUACUUACUCAAGAAAUAUUAAUGUUACUAAAUAAUUAGUGUUUUUUAGAAUAAUAGUUUCAAACUCAAACGAUGAACGUGUGACUUCAUGCUCAAGCUAAACUCCUGAGGGUUAAUAGGAUUGACAGCUUAAUAUUGUUAGGAAACAACAAGUGCGGACUUGGAAACUAGGGGGAAUAGAACUCAGAAGUUAAGCGUGCUCAGGCUGGAGUAGUAAGACGAUGGGUGACCGGCCGGAAACUUAGGUGAUUUGGGAUGAGUGAUCCACACUUGAGCAGUUAUGAGUGGUGAUUAGAGACUAAAUCGUCAAAUAAUUAAGAAAAUUGAAAAUCGGGAAAAAAAUCAAAGUUUUUUCCAAAAAAUUCAAAAAAAAAACCUUUAGUCCAGGUUGGUGUUACCAGCCGGGACUAAAGGUCCCGCAUACCACGGCGCGGGCUCGUGCCACGUGGUGGGCCUUUACUGGCGGUUCGUGUUGAACCGGGACUAAAGGGGGGGCCUUUGGUCUCCAACCUUUAGUGCGGGUUCCGAACCGGCACUAAAGGCCCUUAAGAACCGGCAUGAAAGCUCCGUUUUCUACUAGUGGUAAUACAUAUCAGAUGGAGUAGUGGAUUUAACUAGACGGGGAAGCAACGGAUGGGCGGCGGCUUUCAGAUAUGACGAUGGUGGUCCUACCGGGGUGGCUUGUUCGGCGGAGCGGGUUGGGAUGGCACGGGCCAGAGGCUGCUUCGCUGCCUCCCAAAGGUGGUGGUGGGCUGCGGGUGUAUGCGACAACUCAGAUCCGUCGUGGAUCAUCUGGUUGAUGCGGGAUCGACUCUGGCCUACCUUGGCUUCUCUGACGCGGCUCUGGUGGGCGGAGGGCUAGGUCAUGGCAGGGAGCUCCCCCUGCCUUGGUCUUGUUCGGCCGUCAUGGCAGCGAGCUCCCCCUGCCUUGGUCUUGUUCGGCCGUCAUGGCAGGGAGCUCACCCUACGCGUUUUGGCUCACGGGCUCAGAUGAGUCCGGGAAUGAACAAAAAAUCAUUAAAAAUUACUAAAUAAAUUCAAAAAAAAUCUGAAUUUUUUUUGUGCAGAAAUAUAACUGAGUGUCUGAUGUUCGUACCGAAUUUCAGAACACUUGAAUGUUUGAGUAGCUCUCAGCAAAAAAGGACGAAUUUAAUGUAUGUGAAAAAGGUUACUAUUUGUGCAUUGUCUGGACCCUUUUUUUACUGAGAGCUAAUCCGAUGUCCAAAUGUUUUGAAAUUUGGCACGCACUUCACACACUAAAAUAUCUUCCAUUCAAAAAAAUAGAUUUUAAAAAAAAAAUCUAUUUUUGCUGAAUUUACUGUUCACCAGGUGGAGCAGCGUCGAAGACCACAGACAUGGUGUCGGGCGAGCGCGCUCGGAGACAGAUGUCUGUAGUUGUGUCUCCCCCGGUCCACCGGGACUGGCUGGAGAUGCAGGCGUGGGUGCCUCCUACCAUGGAGGCAUCGAUCCAGACUAUGUGGCUGAUGUAUGGCUAUGAUUGUAAGGGGACGCCAUUUGCUUCUCCUACCGUGGUGGGUGCACCGUGAUGUGGGCGGUUGGUGGUGUCUCUGAUAUGGAUGUCGAGGUGGCAACCCUGGAUGGCGGUCUGAUGGUUCGCUCUCUAGCGGGCCCCAUGGCAGCAGUGAUAGGUGGAGCGACGGGUGGCUCGGGUGUGCUCUUUGUCUCCGGCAGUGGUGACACCUAGAUCCAGAUCUGGAGGUCUGAACUCGUCGUGCUUACCCUGGAGACCUCGUGGUGUCAUGGGGGAGCUGUCGAGUAAAGCCCCAUGCUUUGCCGUCAACGAGGGUGAUGCUCGCGGGUGCCGCUUUGCUCUUAAAGAUAUCACCGUGGUGCUCUUCUUCUUGUCUGGGCUCGGAGUAAAAACCUUUGUUCGGUGUGGACUCAACAACGCUGACACUUAGGGCUAUUCGCUCUCCUAAGAGUGUUGUCGUUGAGCUUAGAUGUUAUAGGGCAUAGUGUGACGUUGCUAUCGGUUCUUCCUAUGCUCACUUUGGUAGUAUAGCUGCAUGCGUUCUGUGUGAUCCGGUUAUCCUGGGAUCUAUUAGAAUAAUCCGAGGCAUACCGUUGAUCAUCCGAGGACCAAGGAACCACACGAGCACGACACCGAGAUUUGUUAACGAGGUUCACCUUGGCUACAUCCCCGGGGCUUGACUAUGGGCGCUCCUCCCCAUGACAUCGCUACAAUACCGCACCCCGUCGCCCUGCACGCCGGCACAUGCCGCCGGCUUCCCUUGCGUUCCUAUGCUAUUAUGUUGGCAUGGGUUACAUCGUGUGUCUACCCCCAUUAUAUAUGAGAGGCCUAGGAUACAAGUGUCCUAUUAGGACACGACUCUAUAUCCUAUCUAAACACAAUACUACUCAAAGUCCAACUCUAACCUAUCUUAUACGCAAUAUUCGACACAACUCUAACAGGAUCUGCAUUGUAUGAGGACUACCUCAUCACCUUGUAUUGGUCAGCCAUGCACUUUGUUCGGUUGUUGCAUUAUACUCUCUCUGUUCAGAAUUAUUGGUCGCAGAAAUGGAUGUAUCUAGUUAUAUUUAUAUAGUUCUAUAUACAUCAAUUUCUAUUCAUUUUUGAGACAGGUAGUCCCGGACGGAAGGAAUAUAUAAAGCGGGGCGCCUGGUUCAAACUUUAAAGAGAGACAUAACCACAAAGGAGACGUAAGAAGGCAAAUAACUACAGCGCAAUUGAUGUCAUGUCAGCAAGAAAUGUUCUUAAGGGCCACUCCACAGCUUCCCACUACGAACCUAAAUCUUCAUGAAACUUGAGAAAAUCAUACUCGACGAAAAUCAUACGCUUGUUUUAGAUGCCUGUCGUCGUUGGUUGCUACAGAAGAUGGAUUUAAAUAAUUGAAAUUAAGUUUUUUUUUAGCACUCUCUCUGAGCCAAAUUAAUUAACAUAGCUCUAGUACAACUUUUUCUUUUUGAGUUUGGACUUGGUUUGGCUGUGUGCAUCUUUUUUUUUGAAAUGUUGGCUGUGUGCAUUUUAGUUAUGCAGAAGCCAGAUAAUACUUAAAAACUUUGUAAGCAAUAAAGCGCCCCUUAUCGAACAAUAGAAUUAUGCAGAGGACUAACACUUAACUCUCGAGUAGUAACUGGUUGAAACUUACCAGCUCUACGUGGUUGAUGUUGACAUCCAAUUUCGAAUACAGAACAUAUUUCCCAAACCAUUCAAAAACAUCACAUUGCCAUCUUGGUUAUUACCCUUUAACCUCCUCACAGCAGAUUCCAUCUGCAUACACUCAGUGUAAGAACGCAGCAGAUCCAUUAAAACAUGUAGUACGAAUUAUCACGUUAUACUAAAAUUUUAGAAUCAACAAGACAUUAGCUACAUAUUGACUUCUUUAAUUAUUUAUGAAGACUGCCUCUAGAGAAUUGUUGGCAUGUCUAUGACGGUAAAUUUGCAGCUCAGUUAAAGUGUGCUUGGUUGGUUAAACAAGGUAUACUAGAUGAUUUUCCCGCGCGUUGCUGCGGGAUUUUAAAGAUUAAUUUUGGAUAUAUUAUAUAAGAAUGAAAUGAUCUAAAUCAAAAGCUAUUAUUUUCAAAAGUAAUUAUAUGUGAACAAAGAGUAUGCAUGUACGUUGGACCAUUGGAGAUGGAACAAUUAAAUUGGAGUAUGCAUGUGCUACAAAAUAAUUCUAGUGGGUGAUGAUAUGUGGAGGGCUGCAUGUUGAGAUAAUUAGACUUAAUGGGAUCAACUAUAUAUUUAUUAUAGAUGGGAUAGGUUGUUUGCUUGGUUGGGUGGAUGGGAGUAUCAAAAAAGAUUAAUUAGCUAAAUGAUACCUCCUAACUUCUACAUUAACACCAUCAAGACCUAGUGAACCUACUUAAGUCAAACCAGAAAAACAUGUACCUGUUUCAGAUAAUCAUCCAUGAACAUGAUUGCAUGGUCAUCAUGCCCAGUACUGAGUUUGAAAACAUGAAGUACAUUGUCUUUCUUCAAUGACUGCAAAAAUGAUUUCUAUAUAUGUUCAGAUUUUCAUCAAAGCAAGGAAAAUUUUCUCUGGUGCAGUUGAAGAUUACUACACAUUGGUAAACAAUAAUCACCAACAGUUUAACACAAGAAUAGCUAGAAAAGAAUCCAAAGGUAAAACACAAACUCAUCAUUGCAUUACAACAGUUGUGUAUACAUAAAGAAUUAUUGCAUAAGUUCAAAACAAUACCUUGAAAUCUCUGGCAGCUUGUGUCCUGUCCUUCACGCUAUUAUAGUUUGGGACUGCAAAAUGAAUGGUUGUGUCACAGCCUACAAGUGAACACAAGAAAAAGGUGAAUUUCGGAUCUGAAUCACCAUUAAAAAAGGAAACAGUUAGAGAAGAAGCACACACUGAGUUUAUAUAACCAUCUUUAUUAUAUAACAACAUGUUACAUGGGAGUAUUGUUACAUCCCUCCAUUAAGAGGAGGAGCAAACAUAAGUACAAGAGUUUAAUAGUGGCCGUGUCCCCCAACCCACAAAUAACUUUGGCACAUGCACGCACAGACCAGAAUUUUGCAACAGAAAACAUCACUAACCUAUGCACACGGUGGCUCUCGCAGCCAGUGAUGGUAGGCCUGAAUCGUCGCUCCACCUCUGCCUUGAUGUUGUUGGCCAUUGUCUGAAGGUCCUGGUUCUCUCCCUCGAACACCAGGUAGCUAUGUUCUCUCCAAAAUCCCUACGGGCCAAAUUUGUACAAUCACUAUCGAGUCCAGGUCUUUUUGCCGAUCUUUUGGCAGUGCUUUUCACCUAGACAGCCACCAAAUUCACCUGAAGUGGCGAGCUGUUCAUUUUAAAAUGACUUGCCACAGUUAUGUCAACCAGGAUCAUUGCUCUCUUUCUCGGCCUCCCGCAGAACUUCACAAGUUAUGAGUUUGCUGUAUGAGUAUAUAACUGAAUGAAGUAGUCUUUGAACCUGCAAACAGAGCACUUAAUCUACUUCUCAACGCACUGGAAUUUUUUGCAAUGUCUCUCUGUACUAAUUGUCCACUGCUACCCUACCACGAAGAAGUAGCGAUUUCUCCACCAAUCCAGCUCGCAAUCGGAUUAAACACUAGGCAAAGAAAUUCCUCUCUGCAACUAUAUAUCCAUACAAAAGUACCAUUUACUCCUGGAUCGAGCACUAAGCCACUAACUGACGGACGGAGAAUGGAUGACUAACCUUCUAGUUGCAACCGCAUGACCUCUGACCUGCCCUGCCGGCGGCUCACAGCGAUGGAUAGCGGACUAGCCUGCCAUCUAGGGUAAUUGCAGACGGCCAGAGUUGCAACGGAGGCCUCAUCGUGAUACACGACGACCUCCGUAGCUGGGAUCAGAUGUAUUUUCUAAUUUGAAUUGAAUAUGUAGUGUCACCAUUCCAGAUUUUUGGUACAUAUGAACAAAAAUAAAUUUAUUCAUGGGCCAUUCAACACUUUUCAACUCAUCGGAUACUGGCUCAGAUCGAGUUCACAUAUCAUUAACAUAUUUCGAACCAAAUCCAUAAUCAUAAAAUCCUCUGGUUUUAUUCAAACAAGCGGUGGAGAUGCCCCAUCCCUCCUAGCAUUGUUUUUCCUUAUCAUUUAGGAUCUCUUCAUUCAGCCUUUAAUAGAUUAAUAACAAAAAAACAUAAGUAUGGCCUAGAUAUAUAAGAUGCUUCAGAAUAGCUGGGCACAAACAAGUUGGCAUGAAACGGUCUAGAACUUCUUUUGCGGGAAAAAAUCUAGACCUUCUCAAAAUCCAACAAAUAAAAUAUGCUCGUUGUCCAUGAUCUAGGAGGGUAUCUACGAAUAGGUACUUAAGGUUUGUUCAUGAAAAGUAUUAAAAUAUUUGGCAAUUUUCCUUUUGGGUAGACAAAGUACCUAGAAAUAUGUAAAUUCAUGCUUAUACACCUGAACAUGCACCAUAGUAGACCAAAUUAUGUUGCCAAAGUAUAACGAACAUAUUAUAUUUUUGAAUAGGUUAUCUGUGUAAAUGGUCUACACAAUUCAAAUAAGUAUCAACUUCAUGCCCAAAAGAUUUAGUAAAAGGUACCGGGUGGUCCCAAUGAAAUAUUUACAUAACAUUACAAACUUAGUCCACCAAAAGAAUGAUUUGAUCCAGAAAAAUCCUUCUUCACACAUAGAUCGAACUGAUGAUGACGUAUCUAGAGUUAGGACCGGAUAUAUGCUAGUAACUUGUAAGCAAUUACCAUCCUUUACAUGUAAGGGAAUUCUAUGAGUCAUGUCAUGAUCUAUACCUCUCAGUUCAUCUUAUCAUCUUAGAGAACAAUACAAAGUUAGUUUUAUAAAAAAGCAACCGAGUCUAGACGAACCCUCCACAUACAAGGCUUUAAUAAUCGAGCAUAUCUUAACAGUCCACACACGAUUGCAACUUAGUCCUACACAGGUUUUGCCUUUCUUGUUUAUGGUUGACAGCCUAUACAAGGUUCCAAACUCGGUUGCAAAAGUGAUACUAUCCUGAUAAAUGUGUGACAUGUAAAGUGAAUAAGGCGAGUCAUAUAUACCACACAUCAGGGUUUCUAUAAUUUGUGUGUGAUCAUAUGCACAACUAAAAAGCAACUUUGAUGAUCAAUCCAAAAGUACGCUUGUAGCUAGUGCAACCUAACACAAUGUACCAAAAAAUCAUUUCUGAUGCAUCCAAAUAGAAUUAUUUAAGUUGAUGCAAAGAAGGAAAGAGGUGGUGCCCGGACUACUAUAAAUAGGCAUGAAGUAUAAUGAUCAUCACAAGCACAAGCAUCAAAACCAAGCAAAAGUAGUUAGCACCAAUCCAUCAUGAAGACCUUCCUCGUCUUUGCCCUCAUCGCCGUUGUGGCGACAAGUGCCAUUGCACAGAUGGAGACUAGCUGCAUCUCUGGUUUGGAGAGACCAUGGCAGCAGCAACCAUUACCACCACAACAGUCAUUUUCACAACAACCACCAUUUUCACAACAACAACAACAACCAUUACCUCAACAACCAUCAUUUUCGCAGCAACAACCACCAUUUUCGCAGCAACAACCAAUUCUAUCGCAGCAACCACCAUUUUCACAGCAACAACAACCAGUUCUACCGCAACAAUCACCAUUUUCGCAGCAACAACAACUAGUUUUACCUCCACAACAACAACAACAACAACUUGUGCAACAGCAAAUCCCUAUUGUUCAGCCAUCCGUUUUGCAGCAGCUAAACCCAUGCAAAGUAUUCCUCCAGCAGCAGUGCAGCCCUGUAGCAAUGCCACAACGUCUUGCUAGGUCACAGAUGUGGCAGCAGAGCAGUUGCCAUGUGAUGCAACAACAAUGUUGCCAGCAAUUGCAGCAAAUCCCCGAACAAUCCCGCUAUGAAGCAAUCCGUGCCAUCAUCUACUCCAUCAUCCUGCAAGAACAACAACAGGGCUUUGUCCAACCUCAGCAGCAACAACCCCAACAGUCAGGUCAAGGUGUCUCCCAAUCCCAACAGCAGUCGCAGCAGCAGCUCGGACAAUGUUCUUUCCAACAACCUCAACAGCAACUGGGUCAACAGCCUCAACAACAACAACAACAGGUACUACAGGGUACCUUUUUGCAGCCACACCAGAUAGCUCACCUUGAGGCGGUGACUUCCAUUGCACUCCGUACCUUGCCAACGAUGUGCAGUGUCAAUGUGCCGUUGUACAGCGCCACCACCAGUGUGCCAUUCGGCGUUGGCACCGGAGUUGGUGCCUACUGAUAAGAAAAGUUGU
Molecule: long non-coding RNA, 276971 nt
Filed under: Triticum aestivum (bread wheat)
Lineage: Eukaryota; Viridiplantae; Streptophyta; Magnoliopsida; Poales; Poaceae
Description: long non-coding RNA (TAES_LNC012640)
Source: RNAcentral